Molecule: long non-coding RNA, 182316 nt
Filed under: Citrus sinensis (sweet orange)
Lineage: Eukaryota; Viridiplantae; Streptophyta; Magnoliopsida; Sapindales; Rutaceae
Description: long non-coding RNA (CSIN_LNC000383)
Rfam family: small nucleolar RNA snoR128 (bases 70287-70380)
Source: RNAcentral
GGUAGCUUCGUUGUCGUUGUUAAUGGCGGUGACGGUUGGGCGGUCCAAGUUAACGAUCUCUUUAACGGGGUCAAAGUUAAAUAUUUAAACAAUCAACCAUAUUUUUGGGUUUUGGCAUCUAUAAUGUAGCCAAAUAUAAAAUGCACUCAUGCAAAAUUGGUCAAUAAAACAAGAAGUCAUACAUAUUUCGAAAUGGUUUUAGCUAUAUGUUAAAAUCCGAACAUAAUUUUUUUCCGUUUCAAAUUUGGUGUCAUUUAUGAUUAUUUCAAAAAGUUAUGAUUGAUAAUUGUUAAAUAUAGGAUAUAAUUAAGCCCCAAAAUUUGAAAAGAUGCAGAGAUAAUAAGAGGAUAAUUGGAUUUGGAUCAAAUAACGGACAUGGAAAAUUAAAUCACAAAAAUAAAAGAAUAACAAACUGUUUUAUUUAAAAUAAAAUUAUUAGAUAUACACCAGCCAAAAUCCAAUCUCUACAGUCAUCCACUCUCCCACGGUCCCACCCAUCAUCAGAAGAUCAAAACACGUGCGUCGCUAACCCCCCGGCGGUCAAACCCGAUACAGAAGAAUCAUCAAUUAGUAAUAAUCGCGAUCAACAAUCAGCACCGAACAAAUGAAUCCAUGAAAAUACGAAAAUAAUAUAAAGAAAAAGUUAAAAAAAAAAAAAAACACUACUCAUCGACAAACAAAUAAGAAUAACAGAUCUAAAUUAAAGCCGAUAGAAGAUAGACCGGAAAUCAAAUAAAUUUCUAAGCCAUGACAAGGGCGAAGAAUGUUCCGGCGAGAGCAGUGCCAAAGAUAGCAGCUCUGUUGACCCAACCGUCGACGAAGCUACCACCGGGCUGGUUAUCAGCAGGAGUCGACUCGCUUCCUGGUGCAUUAGCUGAAGGUGUAAUGGAGCCAGGGGUGGGAGCCGGUGGAGGGGUUGUAGAUGGGGUUGGUGCUGUGGUGCCUGGAGCUGGGCUUGGCGGUGUAGUUGCUGGUGCUGGUGAUGUUGAUGGGGAUGGCGACGGUGAUGGCGUUGGCGUUGGCGUUGGCGUUGCCGGUGCAGGUGCUGGUGAUGGAGUUGGCGAUGGAGUCUUUGGUGCUGGUGCCGGAGCGGUUGGUGUCGUUGACGGUGAGGGUACCGGUGCAGCACCCGGUGCCUGGGCCAUGCAAGAGGUGGCCAAGAGACCCAAGAAGAACAGUACUUUAAGCAUUGAAGAAUUCAUUUUCUUCUUCUUUAAAGAUUCGAGAUGGCGGAGAGACGGAGAGAGAAUAUGGAAAAAAAAAAAAGAGAGAGCUUUUUGAGCGUUUGUGAAUUGUGAUUGUGAGCGUGGAAACUGAAAAGGGGAGUGAAUGUGUGUAUAUAUAUUAAAAAUAAUCGGAAAUGAGAAAGUGCGGGGGGUUGGAAAAGAGAGCAAAAAGAUUAAAAUUCUCUCAGUAAUCAAUAACGCUAACAGAUUCCUCCAAUCGUUUAAACUAUCUGUACCUAUUUAUAUACAUAAAAAUACAUGCACGCACAUAUUAUACGAUAGGCUAGUUAAGCAAUGGCGGUGUCAAUAAUUAGAUUUUAUUUUACUUUCUUUCUUUGAAGUUUCUUUAAGGAUGGGAUAUAGACGCGGCUUCUGAAAGCAUCAAAUCAGGAAAUGACACCUGUCAAAAUUGGGCCGUUUUAAUUAAGUUUGAUUGUGUUGCUAAGUCAGGUUAUUGGCCAGAUUUGUUUCUUAAUUUGACGAUAAUGCCACUAAGAUUGGACAUGUGUCGGUUAAUAAAGUUCAGUAAGAUGUCUCUUUCUUGACAAAUCAUAAAAAAUUUGGUCACCUUCUCUUCACAGACUGUCCUCCGCGUUAACCUUUUCCUUUCAACGACUCCAAGCCCAAGCGCGGUCGGUGUCAUUUUACAGGAAUACCCUCUCUUUCCAACUUGAUAAUAUCUUAAUCAUAAUCAUUUGACCACAAUUUCCUCAAGUAAUCAAAAAUCAACAUGGACUUGUCUAAAGUGUGGUGUGUAAGACAUUAAAUAACGAACGUGGCAAAUACGGAUUUCAUCAUCAAUAUGAUUAUCAGAAACCAAGUCUAAUCAAAAGCUUCGCUACACGUGUCAGAAAACUGUGCUUUUGAAAGAGACCAUCUGCUGUAUCGCAGAGAUUUUCCUACUUUACGUGGAGUUUCAGAUUUUUACUUUCUUUUUUUUUUCCUUUUUUUUUAAAGAUUAAAUUAGCUGUGUCUUAGAGCCGUUCUGUGGAAGAUAAUUGUGGAGAGAGAAAAAAAAAAUAUUAAAGUAAGCUCUUCAAUUGGAGAACACCUAUCAUGUUCAAUUUCUGUGCAAAAAAUGUUCAUGUCCUGUUGUCGUGCUCGAACAUGGAUGACUGUGAUGUGUUAUUGUGAUGGACAAUUGUCUGGAGGAACUAUACACUUGCCCUGCUAAGAAGCCACGUGUUAUCGUUCUAGUGUGACAACCACAUGUCGAGCUGGGACAACUGUUGUAAUGGUUUUCUAUGCAUCCGAAAUUUAUAGACAAUGGGAUCGAAAUAAAUUAGUCAAUCCCACCGUAUAAUUCAAGUUGCCUAAAUUACAAAAUAGAGAGCUGGCAAAAGCUGGCAAGAAUUAAUUACAUUAUAUCCAAAUUUUGAGAAUAUAAGCAUAUGCAAGAAAAUCAUUUGUUUUCAUUGCUCGCUCGGAAAGUGAAAAUGGGUUUUUUUUUUUUUUUUCCUUAUUAAGGGAACUCUUGAAUUAGACUCAUUUUGGGUACCCAAAAAUAUUAUAGAUUCCACUUUCUAUAUAUAAAAUUGGAUGGUGUUAAGAUAGCCAACCUUACAUAAUCUUUUAAUAAACUCGUGAUUUUUUUAAUGAUUACUUACAAAAGUAUUAUAUCAUUUUCAAUCCACCAUUUUAAAACACAUUAUUAUUUAAUUGACUUCAUUACCUAUUUAGGCUCCAUUUGAUAUAGUUUUUUUUUUUAAAUAGAGCUUAUUUAAAUAGAACUUUUAUAAAUAGAGCUUUUGUCAAAAAAAAUUAGUUGUUUAGUUGUCAAUGAAAAUUUUUAUUAAAAAUUAUAAAAUUACUUUAAUAGCAAGUUAUUUAAAGUUGUGUUAUGAAGAAAUAAAAAAGUUUAUGAAAUAAAGAAAUUCUAUUUUAGACAUUUUAAUAUUUUAAAAAAGCUUUCAACCUCUGCUCUUAAAAGUCUAAAUUUAAGCUUUUACUAGUAGAGGCAAAAUAGCUUAUUUAAUAUUCAAAAGCUUUACUCAAAAACAACUAAAUAACAACAAAAAAAUUUGAAAAGAGCUUAUCAGAUUAAACAAAUACUUACGGUUAUUAGAUAAACCAUACAUAACAGGCACUUAGAGAAAAAACACUAUAAUGUAAUUAGGCUUAGCUAUGAAACUGCCAAUAAAUUUGAUAUAAAUAUUAAAAUACUUUUAAUGUACUUACAUGGUUGAAAUAUAAUUUGUAUUAUAAUUGAAGCGAUAAUUUAUGUGUUAUUUUUAUAAAUAAAUAAUAUUAUAAAAUCAGUAUAAUAAUCAUAUUAGUAUAAAGUCAACAAUCACAUAAUGCAAAUAAUCAAUUAUUGAUGUUUUAAUCGGUAUAUAAUCUAUGUUUAAUCAGUAUAUAAUUCAUGUAUCACAAUCAUAUUAAUGUAGCGUUAUUGAUACUAAAAAAAAUUAACCAAAAAAAUAACACUAUUAAACGUGAUAGUUAACAUUAAGCAAAAGUCUUGGCAGCUCAAGAAACAAUUUAUUAGAAUGAUACUAAACGUUUGGAAUUUAAACUUAAAAACCCAUACAAGAGAGAAUGAGAUUAAAUUACCAUUAGACAAUACUUUAAAAAUCCAACACAAGAGAUAAAACCAUAUGACUGAGGCCCACAGAGAUUCAUGUUACAAUAGAAUAAGUUAAUAUCUUUUUCUUUUUACAAGGUUAACCGUCAAAAUAAGAUUUCGUUUUGGUUUUCCUUUUUUGUACUUAUGCCCGAGAACAAAUUAUUAUUUACUAGAAAUUGAACAUUUCCUUCCAAACGUCACAUUCUAAUUUAUGACUUUGAUCCAGAUUGCUAACAUUAAACAUAAAAUUAACACAUUAAUCCUUAGAACCAACAAGUAACAAAUGGGAGAUAACAUGUUCAAAAUUCAACAUAUUCUAAGAGAUUAUAAUGUAAUUGCUCGCACUCUAAUCAGUAAUGAUACUUAUAUUUAAAAGGAGAUUCCCUAAAUUAUAUAUAAUGUAACUUACACCCACUCACAUAAACAGUAAAUAAUAUAAGAUUUACUCAUUAUUUAUGUGAGUAGUGUAAACUAUAUUACAUGUAACUUAAGGCAUGUCUUUAAAAGGAUUCAUUUUCCUCUCAAAUUAUAUUUGUAUUCAAUUUAAGGGGAAACAUGUGGUGCAACUGUGGUACCGUGCUACAGUUGCAUUCAGCCAUUAAAUGUCAGUGAACCUCACCAAUCUAAGUACAUUCAAUAAUUAGAUAUAAUUAUAAUACAAUACUAUAAUUAUACCGUAGCAUGAUCCUCAAUUUAAUCAAAAUAAAUUAAUCCUUCCCAUAACAUUGAUAUUGAUUUGAUGCUGCAUUUAAUUCCCAAAGCAACAAGCGAAUUUAUUCAUUUGUUUAUUGUAGGAACACGAUAAGACUGGUUCGACUGGCUAGAAAACCGUGGGCUUUGCCUUUACGUAUUCGUGACACAAGAAUUUUGUGAAAAGAUGGUGCGGUGGUGAAUUUAGGCACACGUAUAACAAAGGGACUGGACGCGCAAAGCAACAAAUUGAAAAUGGACAAACGUAGGCACAUUGUAUUCCGUGAGCUGUGGGGAUCGAUCGAUUUUUCAACUCUGUAACAGCUCUUUGACACUAAUCUCUCAUCGGAUUGCUGGAUCAUUCUUCCAAGUCCCAGCCAAAUGUUUGUUAGACGGAAUCUUUCCAUUUUAGAUUCGUCACGAGUUACUAUCAUAAUUAGUCAGUUCCAUUCUAUUGUUUAUCUCUUCAUUGUUCUUUAUUGAUUAACGUUUUCCUUUCUUUCUUUUUUUUUUUAAAUUAUCUUUACAUAUUGUCAAUUUACGUUUAGAAUCAUUCUUCUCUCAAUAUAGUAAAGGCAUACGUUUUAGAUGCGACCAAUGAAUGAACGACCAGUUGCUUUAUGUUGUAAUUUCUUUCUUCUUUUUUUUCACUUGAGUGGCAGCUGUAGUUGUUUAAUACAGACCCUCAACCUUCUUUUAUACGGCAGAGAACCGGAGUAUGAAGAUAAGGAAAUACUUUGUCAAAGGUUAACAUAUUUCGCGGCUAUGAAGAUCUAAUCUAAAUGAUUUUUUCAAGUAAAAAAUUAAAGUAGACAGUCUCAUCAAGGAAAACAAAAAAGAAUUUUAUUAUUGAAAGAUAUUAAAAUAUAUUAUACAACCACUUUAUUUAUAAUUGAAUAAAUUCACUAAGUUAACUGAAUUCAAAUAUGAAAACUGAAUCCUACCUAAAACAAUAAUAAAUGGAAAACAUACCAAAUAAUGUACACGCUAAUAAAUUUUAGUUGACAAGAAUUAAAAUACUCGCUAAAAUAACUAAACCAUUACGUAAUCGUCCUACAUGAAGUAAUCAAAUUAUGUCAGCUUUUUAAUUUUGAGACAAUAAAGGUGGAGUGACAACAAUAUGGCUCUUAAAUAAGCCAUCUAAUAGUUUUAAGGAUUAAAUGAUGAUAAUCUACAAGUAUUUUAAGGUAAAAUAGCCAACCUAAAGUUGUAUUUACAUAGUUUCUGUUUUUUUUUUUUUAAAUUGCACUAUUUGCAUGCUCGAUUUCUACAAUUAGCCCAGGGUAAAGAAACUGAUAAACGGAAAGUAAAAAAAAAAAAAAAAAGGAAAAGAAAUAUGUUUAUCGCAGACAACCCCGGCCCAAUUUCCAAUUUCCAGGCCCAACUACUUGAAUCGUAAAACUAUCCCCUAAGUUAUAAUGGGCUAAUAUUCUUAGUACAUCCAACAACAUUUAACCAUAAACUGUUUGUUAAGGUUGCCAGUUGCUACCUCUUUAACUUUUUCGUUUGGGGGAUGGGACAUAGCGGAACAUUUAAGCCCAACACCUCUCCCAAUCAGCUGCGGAUUCAAUUUAUUCUCACACUUAAAUUGGUGGUUUCUGGAACAAUUGCUAUCAACAAACAUUUGUCUACGGAAAUAACUAUCGUUGUCACAUCGCGCAUAGCAAGUGCAUGGGAAUGAAGUCCAGAAGUAGAUUUGUGAAACUCAUUUGUUUUAAUUGAGCGGCCGUUGUCCUUAAGCCUAAGUGCUCGUUCGUUCAAUAAAUAAAAUAACUAAGAAGAAAAUGCUCUUUUUUAUUUUGUUGUUGGUGUUUGAACUGCAGCCUCAUUAAAGCCUUUAAUUUGUAUGUUCGGGACCACUCAACGCUCCAGUAACAACAAAAAACAAUUAGAAUACAGAACAGAAACGACAAACAAAUUAUACAUUAUGGGAAAACCGAUAAAUUCUGUGUCUUCAAGCGGUAGUUCGGAAUAAGCUUUGGUAAACCCAAUCAAUUUUUAAUCCCAUGCUCGUAUUCAGUGAAAAGAGUAAUCACCUGGCGAAACUCCGUAUGGCACUCUGUCGUGUAAUUACCAAUAUUAAUUUAUGUUAAAAUGGCGAUAAACCAUGAAUAUGAUAUAUGCAAACAGCGCUGCUACACACACCGGGUCAAACCCCGAGUCGCGCCCAGAAUUGUGAAAAACGACGCCGUUUUACUUUGUUACUUUUCCUUUUAAUUUCAGCCGAAAUAGGUGGGCAGCACGUGGGUGAGCAUAUGCUUCAAUUAAUUUCAAACCAAAACGACGUUGCCAGCAUAUGCUUUAUCCUUCUUUUUGCUUUCAACCACAACACUCGGCUGGGUUACAGAACUUCCACAAACUCCAAGCUGCAAACUACAAUUUAUAUUUUACUAAAGACUAUGAAGAAGGUUAAAUUAAAUGAGAAUUCUAGUAUUUUACCCAAAAAAAAAGAAAAAAAAAUGUCACGCUCUAUCUCAACAAGGCACUAAAAAUUCAAUAAUCACUUCCAGCAGUAAUAAUUCCAGCACCAACAAUCAUUUCCCAAUCAGCCAAAUAAUUUAAAAUUAUCAAACAACAAGUCCAAUAAUCACUUCCAGCAGCAACAAUUCCAGCACUAAUACUCAAUUCAGGCACCAAUAAUCAUUUCUCAAUCAGCCAAAAUCUCAAUCAACUAACUUUGUGAGUGGAUGAGGAUGGUCGCGUGACUGUCGGUGAUGGUAACAGAGACCUCGAUCAUGUGACGGCGAUGGUCCGUCGUCUGUGGCUCGUCCAUCGUCGGGCGUGAGAGAGUGCGUUUCUGUUUGCAGGUGCAGAACUAUUACUGUUGUUUGCAACUGUUGUACAAAAAGUAAAAGGCCUUGAUCGCGUGAAAACGAAAGGAAAAAUGCGUCGAAAUGGUACGUUUUCAAUUAUUCUCAAAACGGUGUGUUUAAUUCGAGGCGCGAGUCGGGGUUAAAAUCCGGGGAAAUAGCUUUUUCGGAUAUGCAAAAUUCAAGGUAGCGGGAAUAGCAACGCCCACGUCCCCCGAGUUUUGCAGUUUAAAAAAAAAAAACAAAAGAAAUAGAAAAAACGCUGCCUAAAAUAGUGAAAGAAAAGACAUUAACUUCCCUUCAUAAAGACAUUAAGAGCUCGUUUGGUAUUGUUUCUAAAUUUAUAUUUUUUAAAAAUAAAAAUAAAAAUAAAAAUAGUGUUUUAUAGUUGCUGUAUUUUGAAUUUAAAUAUGCGUCUGGUAUCAUUUUUUGUAUCCUAUAUUUUAAAACUGAAAAUAGUAAUAUGCGUUUAGUAAUACUUUUUUUCAAAAACUGUUUUUACUAAGUAUUUACAUUAUAUUUGUAGUCAUAAAAUAAUUAUUUGGCUAAUACAUACAUAAAUACAACAAAAUAAUUUAAACAAAUUUAUUAUUAAAAAAUUACAUGAUGAUAAAGUUUUAAAAUUAACAUUAAUUAAAAAAAAGUUUGAUAAUAAACUGAAAGCAUGCAUGGUAUGAACUAGAGUUAGUGCAAUUUAACAUGAAGCUUGCUCGUGCAAAAUUAUUUGGGAAAAGGACAUAAAGACCCCUAACGUUUGAAUAAGGAACACAAAACCUCCUAAUGUUUCAAAAAAGACACUCAGACCCCCAUUUCUUAAUAGUAAAUUAUAAUUUUACCAUUAUACCCUUAUAGCAUAUUAAAAAAUAAUUGUUCAUUAUCCAAUUUAUUUCUAUAUUAUUAAUAAAAUUACGAAUAUAACUUAAUUACCCAAUUUUUCCAUUUAAUUUUUAUCAAAUUUUAUCGUCAAACUAAAUAAAUUUAAUCCAUUGCUCAAAAAUAAAAAUAAAUUAAAUUGAUUAUUAAUAUAAUAAAAAUAACAAUUCUCCAUAUGUUAUUUCUUAUAAUUUCUUAUAUAUAAAUUAAAUUGAUAAUUUCUUAAAAAUAACAAUUCUCCAUAUAUAAAUUAAAUUUAUUUUAAUUUAAUAUAUGUUAUUUUUAUAUUAAAUAUAUGUUAUUUUUAUUAUAUUAAUAAUCAAUUUAAUUUAUUUUUAUUUUUGAGCAAUGGAUAAAAUUUAUUUAGUUUGAAGAUAAAAUUUGAUAAAAAUUAAAUGAAAAAAUUGGGUAAUGAAGUUAUAUUUGUAAUUUUAUUAAUAAUAUAGAAAUAAAUUAGAUAGUGAACAAUUAUUUUUUAAUAUGCUAUAAGGGUAUAAUGAUAAAAUUAUAAUGUACUAUUAAAAAAUAAGGGUCUGAGUGUCUUUUUUAAAACAUUAGGAGAUUUUGUAUCCCUUAUUCAAACGUUAGGGGUCUCUGUGUCCUUUACCCAAAUUAUUUUAUAUAGCAUUUGCAGUUUCAAUUUCCAAUUCCAAGGUUCUCAUUCCAUGCUCCCAAACACAGCAAUAAAUGUAAAUCCAAUUACACAUCUUCUUGGAACAACUUUUUGUGAAGUAAGUGCCAAUUUUUUUUUUUUUAGAAUGUUCAUUAUGAAAACACAUUAGACACGGAAUUAGAAAGCUGUUUAACUGCUUUCGCUCAAUACAACACCCCGUUCAAGGCUCAUCGUCAAGAACCCAAGAUUCAGUGUGUUUGCCAAGAAAGUUGGACCGUUCCCUCCAUUUCAGCUUGGCAAGUCGAAGGAUGAGAAUUCAUCUGAUGAAAGCUCAAAUGGUGAUUCCGGCAAUUCCAAUCCUUUUCGCUUCAACUUUGGUGAGGUGAGGGAUGUGACAUCUUUGAUCCUAGUUGUGAGCAGCCCUGGAACUGGGCUGUCAUUUGGAACUGGGCAGGCCGGCGUUCGUAUUUUGUGGCAACGGCCACGACGGAGAGAGAACGGCACACCAAAGGACAGCCACGGUAGAGACGAAGUUGCAGCGCCGGCAGAGAAAAUGUUGUUGGAGGGAGAAAAGGAGAAAGCACUGCUGCCGUGACUAGAUCGAGGAUGGCCGUGGGGGGGGUUGACCAGAUCGAGAACGAUGAGAGGGGGGAGAGGGUUGCUGCCGAAGAGAAUGGGUUUUGUUUCUUAAUCUAUUUUUGAGUUUAGUUUGUAAUAUUUAGGAAACAUGUUAAACACGUUUUCAUGUUUGUAGUUAUAACACUGGAUCUGAAUUUGUUAUUUUGUGCUUUGUUUUUUGAAUCCAUCUCACCAAACAUAUAUUACGUUUGUAUUAUGAAAACAAAAAUGAAAACAAUGGGUAAAAAACGCUACCAAACGGGUACAUCCGCCUUGGCCGUACAGCAGGAUUUGUUUUUUGAAUCCAUCUCACUAAACAUAUAUUACGUUUGUAUUAUGAAAACAAAAAUGAAAACAAUGGGUAAAAAACGCUACCAAACGGACCCUAAUUUUUAUCGUUUCUGUUUCCCCCCAAUAAUUGUCUUAAAAUAAAUAUUGUACUUCUGCGUAGUACGCAGCACAAGGACAUUAUGAACGGUAUUUAAUCUCGCCGCACUUGUUCACAAACAAUUUUGAAGUUUCAAAGGAAAUUAAAGAAAGCUUUAGUUUCCUCCCUUGACGUUGACGUUCUAACUGAUUACUUUACUUACCGUGCAGUCUUACCUCACCGAACACAAAUGACAAAUGUAUGGCGACUCUGACUCAAAUCUCAAUUGACGCACACAUUUUAAUUUAGAUUAUUUUGUAGCAAGACCCGUGACAGCGACUGUUUUCUUACUGUAGGAUUGUACUCAGUAUAUGAACUUUGAACAGAGCAUUGCAUAUAUUGAAGAUUACAUGGAAACACAUGGUCCUUUUGAUGAUUUGUUGGGCUUCUCUCAGGUGGGCACCUGAGAACUUGAACUAUUUUUGGUUUUAUUUUCUUCGAGUUUAUUGCUACUUGCCGCAGUUGUGUUCGGUUUCUAAUUUGACCGAUGAGAUUUUAGGGAGCAUUUAUAGCAGCUGCUUCACCAGGGAUGCAAGCAGAGGUACUUGAGAUGUCAAUUAUUAUUGUUGCUUAAUUUUAUCCCGUUCCUAAUUUUGAGGAGGAGAACAAGAUUUGAAGAUUUUUUUUUUUUUCCCACUAAUAUGCUCAAUUUCUGAAACUGUAGGGAGUGGCUUUUACUAAAGUACCAAAGAUAAAGUUUGUGAUAUUAAUAGCAGGGGCUAAAUUCCUGGGAUUCAAGUUUGGGCAGCCUAAGCUUGCGGUUAAUGCAUUUUCAUCCCCAGUCCAGUGCCCAUCUCUUCAUAUUAUAGGUCAGCACAAGAUUCAAAAACUCUGCAUAAUUUCUAUUGUUUACAAGCUUCCAAGGAAAGAAUACAAGAUUAAGCUUAUGGCGUCAAUCAUUAAUCUUGAAGCUUGAUGGCUCUUAUUAUUUUUCUAGGCAUUGUCACAUUUCAAUUUUCAAGUUCACAUGUUCCUGCUACAUGUCCGGGAAAAUUUGUAAUGAACGAUUACAUGAUUGUAUUUUCAGUGCUGUAACAAUAGCUUGUCUACAAAAGAAAAAAAAAAAAAAAAGGAAACAAGAUUAUAUAACGCUUACGAUUAGAUUUAGAACAAAUUCCAAUGAAACAAAAAAGACUAGAGGAGAUGUAUCUUUUUGUUAUCUCUGCAUCCGCAUAAUUUUUCAAUAAUGUGGGAAGGGAAGUUUAUAAGAGCCGGAGACAUAAUCAUUUUUAAUUGACGAGCAUGAUAUGUGGAUUGUGGUGCAGGAGAAAAUGAUUUCUUGAAGGAGCAAGGAAUGGUUCUCCUGGAAUCGUUUGUAGACCCUGUUGUGAUUUAUCACUCCAAGGGGCACACUAUCCCGAGAAUUGGUCAGUUCAUUCUUUCUUUGAUAAAGCUUAUGGUAUUAAAAUCUCACUUCAUUGCAUCAAUUUGCAACACGACUCUUUAAAAAAAUGAGUUGCCUGAUCUAAUUUUGAACUGGCUCUGUCUAUUAUGUGCACAGAUGAGAGAGGCCAAGAGACAAUGCUCAGUUUCAUCCAGAAAUUUCAAAUGAUAUGAUGCAAUCAUGCACAAUGAUGAUGCCUUUGGUGAUUUAUUACCGUUCCCCUUUCAUGGAACGUAAUAAUAUAAUAUAACACCUUUCUUUUUCAUUGUUCCAUCAAGGGUGUUCAAACAAAUCUCUGCUUUUUCACCUGAUAAAAUAUAUCUUUUUAAGAUGAUGGUAUCCCCAUUCAUAAUUAAUAAUCUUUUUCUCACAAAUAAAUUAAUUUCCUCUUUUCUUUUUUAAAUUUAUGUACUAAUAAAUCCAGUUAAAUAUAUGUUGAUUAUUGUAUAAGAAUUUCGUUUGAUUAAAUGUUAUUACAUUCAAUUUUUUUACAUCAAUCAAUCAAGUUUAAGAUUUCCGAAGUUAGAAUUAGACCUCUGCUUGUCUUUUAUCUUUGACAUGUAUUCAGUAUUCACAUUGGGCUUAUUUGAAUUAUGUUUAUCUUAGUAGUACAAAUCAAAUAAGAUUAAAUAGAGUUUUCGCACAUCUUAAGUGUCAUAUUCCUUUUUUGUUUUUGGUGAAAGAAUAAAUUGUCCAGCAAGUAACAUAAAAAAUAUUUUCAUGUUUGCCUUUACAAACUUUGGAUACUUUUCCUUAUGAAGAAAUUAUCAUUAUAUAAUUUAAGAGAGCCACUCUAUCUAUAACUUUAUUAUUGCGGAUGUUUAGCAAUUGGCAUGCUAUAAAAUUUGAGUUCAUGCAUCAUUGUAAGUAGGGGUGUUCAGAAUCCAAUCCGAUCCGCUCAAUCCGUCCGAUUUGCUGAAUCUGAUCUGUGGAUUGGUGGAUUGAAUAUGGAUUAAAAAUUAAAAAAUCUGCAGUCGAUGAAUUGGAUAUGGAUUUACUUCUAUAAAUCCGCAGAAAUCCGUGAAUCCGCAAAAAAAAAAAAAAAAAAAAAAAAAAAAAAAAAAAAAAAAAAAAAACAAAAAAUUGUAAAAAUUAUAAAAUAAAAUAAAAGGAAAGUCACACGCACUAGCAAAAGCAAAGUAACAUAACGCCAAGUCACCAACAAUUUGCAAACAAAAAACCCUAAGUUUAUCUGCCGUCACACACACUAGCAACACUUAAUACUGGUUGGAUACACUCUCGACACGGAUUUAAAGGACAUCAGCCGCGCGAUUCCGGCGAGAACAAGCUAUCUUCUUUCCCAGGUCCAUCGAGCUACUUCACAUUCAUUGGUUCCAGCUGAACAAUUUCACUAUCACAACCUUCAAGAUCGCCACCCAUAUGACUUCUCCUGGUUCCCAUCGUGGAUGGCUCUGUAAUCACCACUUUUCGACAGGCGCAACAGCCCUGGUGAAGGAUCAGACUGUGUUUGGUUUCCGAAACUUCGCCAUUUUAAUUAAUUGUGGCUUUAUUUGAACAAUUAAUUUAAGUGUUAUAUUAAUGUAUUAUUGUAAUUUUAUUUGAACAAUUAAGCUUGGUGUGUUAUAUUUUAAAACUUUGAACGCAUUAUUGUAACUUUAUUUGAAUAAUUAGUCUCGAUGUGUUAUAUUUUGAAACUUUAAAUGUAUUAUUUUAGCUUUAUUUAAACAAUUAAUUUAUUUAAAUUUUAUUCAAUUUUAAAUUUAAUUGGUAGCAAAAUUAUUUGUAUAUUAGAUUUUUUUAUUUCAUUAGUUGGAGAGAACUAAAAAUUUUUAAUUCGAAAACUAAUGCGCAAAAUGGUGGAUUGCAUAUGGAUUGGGUCAAAUCCGCAUCCGAUCCGCAUACGUAUGGAUUGGAUAUGGAUUAAGUCAAAUCCGCAUCCGAUCCGCAGAUGUAUGGAUUGGAUUUGGAUUGAAUUUUAUCAAUCCGUAGAUUGGAUUGGAUUGGAUUGGAUUAAAAAAUUAUAAUUCGCAAAAUCAUGGAUCGAAUAUAGAUUGAUGUCCAAUCCGUAAAAUCCGAUCCGCGAACACCCCUAACUGUAAGAAUGUGCAAAAGCAGUGUAUAAUUGCUAAAUGACUAUGUAUGACAUUAAAAUCUGAUUAACUCCGGAAUGUGCGUGUUGACACUACACCUGAGAAUUUUUAUUUUUAGAUGUUGUGGGGAAUAAUCUUCUAUUAUUGUUGUUUUUAGAAUGCAUAUGUUUUAAAUUUAAAAGGCCUUACGGUCACUUAAAUUACAUGAAAAAUAAUAUAUUUACGAGAAAAUUGAUGAAUGACGAGCACCAGUCAAGAUAGUCCAUCGAAUUCUCAAUCCCGCUUGGCGCUAAAAAAAGUCAUCAAUUUGUACGGUCAUGCCCUCUAAAUCCUCUCUCCCCUGUAGCGAUCCGAACAGAGAACUCAUAACAUUUGAAUAUCAAACCAUUCCCAAUCAAGACUCGCCACGCGCCUCCGAAGAACCUUCUGAAACAAAAUGGAUCAGCAACAAGCGCCCCCGAAGGCCGCAGCAGCAGACCCCGACCACAACAAGACAGAGUCCCCCGCUCCGAACCCGAAACCCGAUCCCAAUCCCAAUGGGGACGGCGAUAACUGGGCGAAUAUCGUCGUGGGAUCCGAGUCUGAGAAAGUUUCUGAGAAUGAGAAUCAAGCGCAGCCUCAGAAUCAGAUCAAGAUCCAAUUAGAAAGCUCCACGAAUUCAUCCGAACCGUCGCCAGCAUCAUCCGUGUCGAAGAAAUCGGUGCACUGGAGCCCCGACUUGGUGACCGAAUCGCACGCUCCCAAUACUCAUAAUUACCAAAAUACCAUGCCCCCAAUCGACGGAUCCAAUCCUUACGUCGCCCACACUCCUGCACCGCCCUCCAAUUCAUUUUCCUUCAAAGGUCCGUCCCGUAUUUGUAUUUUUGUUUUUCUAUUUUUUUUUGUUUUUGGUUAUUUUAUUGAGACGCGCCUCCUGUAAAUGUUAGUUAAUUUGGGAUAAUGAUUUGAAUCAGACGCGGUAGGGAGUGUGAAGGAUGUGUUGGGGCGAUGGGGGAAGAAAGUUGGAGAAGCGACGAAGAAAGCAGAGGAUCUCGCUGGGAACACCUGGCAGCAUCGUGAGUUUUCUUUCUUUUGUGUUUAUGCUAAUGUCAUUUAUCAGAUAAGAUACAAUGAGUUUAGUAUUAGAAUUUACGAAUGAAUUGAUUUCAACUACCGGUAAAAUUGGGUGGGUCAUGGCCUGGGGAAUUUUUUGUUGCGUCUUGUUUUACUUGUGAAAACAACUUUUUGGGUUUAGUACUAACUAAACCUGAUCUGAGGAAGAUUGGCUGCAAGUACUAACUAAUAGGUGACCGUCUAAAUCUAUGUGUCUACAUUUCUCUGUCUCGUCUCUUGGUUGGAUUUGAAUUGGUGAUGGGUGAAGAUAGAGAAGGGGGUGGGGGAAGGUAUAGAUAUUUUUCAUAAUAAGAAUUCAUUUGAUUUGUUGUAUUGGAAAAAAUGAAAUCAUCAAGCUACCUUUUGUCAGUUUUGGCCUUGCAGUCACUAUCAUUCGCCCAUUAUAAAUUUCUAGGUACACAAAUAUCAACCCUUGCACUUUGUGAUUUAUCCAUUUAAAAUAAGCUCUGGACUAUCUCUUUGGCUCUACUUUCCUCAUUUAAGGUGCCGGUAGAUAUAUUCUGUGCUGGUGAAAAUCCAUAUUCAAUCUUACUUACUUGCCCAAUCUUCCGUCCUCCAUUACCAAUACUCGAAACUUCCCUGAUGUCAAGUUUACCAAGUCAAGUUCGUCUUACAAUAAUUUUGAAUUCUCUAUGGGCAAAAGUCUGGCCGCCAGAAGCUUUCUAUGCAAUAUAAUCAGUAAUAUUGUAUAUCUCGUAAGAAUGCGAUUUUUUAUUAUCCCUGAUAUGAGCUGCCUACCUUACAUUGGGUAGAGUUUAUGCCAGUAUUGUUAGGUAUGAGUUUAACUUAUUUAUGAGAUUUGUUUUGAUCUUAACUAAUUAGUUAUGCUAUAGAUUUUCUCACGCCUUUCAUUGGCUAAACCCUAAAACUAACAUCUAAUAAAGCAUGCAAUCCUCUCUAGUAGGCAACCAAAAAGAAAAAGGAGCCAAAUUUUGAUUAGGCUGCUAUACUGAAAUUGAAAUUAAAGGGCAGGAAAAUAUAGAAUGAGUCUGAUUAAAGCACGACAUAAUUCUGUCUUAACAGCUUCUAAGUCGGUGUUUGCAAUCCUCAAAUCUAAUGGCUAUAAAGUUAGGUUGCUGGUAGAAUGUUGGAAAGAUGAAACUUGAUGGUAAAUUAAGCUACUUAGUUAGUUGGCAACUGUUUUUUGUUGUAGCACUCUGUCAUUCUUUGUUAGUUUAUGUCAUGAAAUUACUGGAAUGACCCUGUUCUCUCCUAACUAGUGAAAACAAGCCCGAGCUUUGCUGAUGCUGCUAUGGGAAGGAUUGCACAGGGAACUAAGGUUCUGGCAGAAGGCGGUUAUGAAAAGAUCUUUCGGCAAACUUUUGAGACAGUUCCUGAGGAGCAACUUCAGAACUCAUAUGCUUGUUACUUAUCCACAUCAGCUGGUCCAGUCAUGGGAAUCUUAUAUGUAUCUACUGCGAAGCUGGCAUUUUGUAGCGACAACCCGCUUUCCUAUAAAUCCAGUGGCCAAACUGAAUGGAGCUAUUAUAAGGUAUUUUCCUUGAGCCAUAUAUAUGAAAGAAAGGUAGUUUGGAAAUCCUCAUUAGACCUCCAAUCCAUGAGAUUGUGUUUUGGACUAUAUCUUUUACCCUUCACAUUUACAAGUUACAGGCACUUUUUUGCACAGUAGGCUCUUACUAUUUGCAUGUAGUUUGUUGUUCUGUUUACUUUGUUAGUCUCUCAUGGUUUCAAAGAUACCUACCUUUUCUUUCCUGUUCGACAUGGUCAGUGAGUUUGUUGGACAGCUUCCCAGCGUCCCCUGCCUGUAUAGUACCCCAACAAAACACUAUUAUUGUGUCACUGCACUUCGUUUUCAGUUGAGAUUGCAUUUGUCUCUUAACCUAUGUUACAGAAAACAUUAUACAAAUUUUUUACUUAGAAUUUUGUGCUCUAUGCUGUAAUUUGGGUCGGCCCAUACAAGAGCGAAUGGUGGUUGAUGUUUUCAAGGGAAAAUACAUUCAUGUUAAUCCUCUCUCUUAAGUUUCCAAUAUUUACUUCAUAUAUUGUUUUCCAAAACACAAACACCCCCCCAUCCCUCCCCUUUUUUUUUGGGUGAUAGACUGUUGGCUUUUUUGUUUUUUCUCUUUUUUUAUUGUUGAUUAUCCUGUGGCAAUUACUGAUGCUUUUCUCUGCUUAAAAUAGGUAGUUAUCCCAUUGCAUCAGCUUAGAGCAGUUAAUCCUUCAUCAAGCAGAAACAAUCCCGCUGAAAAAUAUGUUCAGGUUAUCUCCAUAGAUAAUCAUGAGUUUUGGUUCAUGGGCUUCUUAAACUACAACGGUGCUGUGGAAUGGCUACAGGGAGCUUUGGAGGCUCGCAACCUAGAAUCUGUGUGACUUGAUUUGGCUUGCGGUUUCACUCUAUUGUCUGAUGUUCCCCAUGGAACCGUGAAAUUUUCAUAAUGCAUGUGUCUCCUCUGUGGGAACUAAAAUUAGGUAAACAAUAGAGAUUAUAUUGUAUCAGGGAUAUAGUAGAAAAAUAUGUUGACUUUUUUUUAGUCCAUGUGAUUAUUUUGCAUGUUACAGCUUGUCAGGAAGCUUUAUAUUGUAUCCAAUCUGUUUCAAAAUGAGCUAGUUUAACAUUGCUUUCUCAUUAUGUAUUUAUUUUUUAUUUAUUAAAUGGUUAACAACAUUUGGAAUAUGACUGUAAGAUGUAUUUUAAGCCUAAUUGUUCUAUUUUCAUUAGCGUAUGUCAUGAUAGCUGAAAGAAAUUCAUGCCUAUUUGAAAAUUAUAAACAAAUUUACAUUUGCAGAACAUGCUGCAGCGGUAAAUAUUGUAUCUGCAGGCUUUGCUCAAUCGACAAAUGACUGGAAUUCUAAGUUAUGCUGGAACUAUAAUAGCCUCCUCCCUUUUCAUUGUCAUAGUUAUGGACCCAGUUGUGGAUUUUGUAUUGCCACUCGCCAACAGAGUUUUAUUUUAAAUUAUUAGAAAAGUAAGAGAAACGUGGAGAUAUACUGUAGGACUUGAGGGUAACUUUUAGCUUCUUCUGCGAAUAACUUGCAGAAUACAGUUGAGUGUUACAAUUUGUAGUGUGUGCCUGUGUGGUGUUGGCAACAACAAUUGAUGCCGACGGUUAAAUUAAUGAAUAUUUAAGUACCGAAAAAUAAAAAAUAAAUAAAUAAAUCAUAGUUUGGGGAUUGAGGUCUUAUUAUUAUAUAGGCCGGUGCAUACAGCCCAUAAUCAUAAGCAAAAAUGAUAUGAACUUUGGGAAUUGAGGUCUGAAAUGGCCCAUGGCCUAUCUAUGAAUAGGAGGCAGGCCCUCAGAUACUACUACACAGUUUAAAAAUAUUUGUCAACUCCACUUUCUUAUUAAGUUUAGAAGAGCUCCAGAGUCUGUCCAAAUUUAAGAAGAAAAAGAGUUUGAGAGCUGUACUAUCAUUUCAUAUAUAUUCAUAUUAUGUUUGUAAGGUUGGGAUUUGUAUUCCAAUAAAUUAUAGUAAAUAAAACUCUCCGAUGUUUUAAUUAAUCAAGUACUUCGAUUAGAAAAAAAAAAUUACAAAAAUCUACGGCUUUACUUUCAUUUUCAUGCAUGAUUUUAGUUAUGAUCAUUGACUUUGUAAGAGGUGGACCACCGAAAUUAACCUUUCGGCAGUUGAUUAAGCGGCCAACGCUAAUCUCCGUUGGAUUGUGUUAAUUAUGAGCCUAGCUAGCCAUAGCGUCUAUAUCAAAGGAAGAACCCUCAUAUAAACUGACUGUGUUUAACCUUUAUAGCGUUUUUUAGAUGACCCACCAACGAUUUUCCAACUGCACGCGCGAACGUCGUUUCAGAAGAUCACAACUCUCUUUUUUUUUUUUUUUUGGGUUAAUAAAUAAUAAUCAUCACGUCUUAUUACAGUGAAAUUAAAGCGACGCUUUCAUUUAUAAGACCUAUAAAGCCAAAAGGCCGAAAAGCCUACCGUGUCUUCUCAAAUUUUUUGCACCGGCAACUAAUCAUAACCAGCCCAAUGCUCAAUUUUAGAAACAAAGCCAUUAGAAGAAAUAGAAAAAAACCUGGACACAAACCACAUUCUUAUGCUUUACUAGGAGUUGAAUUUGUCACAGUAAAGUGCAAUUCGUAGCCAAUAAGUCAAGACUCUAGAGGCUAGACCCAUUAAUUUCAUGGCCCUUUAUAAUCACUUCCCAAAGUAUGCCAUUCUACUGUUUAAACCAAAUUAUUCGUCCUGAUCACAAACUCUUUCAUCAUCAUUUUCUACAAUCUUUUUUUUGUGGAAGUGGGACUUCAAAUCUCAUGCAAAUCAAUGUGUUUAACAGCUUUGUCGGUGACUUUUCAGUCCCAACUUAUUAUACACGCCAUAAUGUGUCUCACUCUUACUCAAAAGAAUAACAUCAUUUUCAAUAAAAUCAUCUUAUUUCUACUUAAAUUUUGUAAACUCAAAGAAACUAGCCUUCCUUUUCUUCUUUUUCUUUUUUAAUAGGAAUGAUUGAAGGAAUCAUUCCUUCAAUAAGCUUAAACAGUUCCACCCAUUUUAACAGAACUAUAUUCUCAUUGACAAUCUUCAUCAUCAUAUAAAGUAGGACGGGUUUAGCGUCAACAUAGGGCAAGUAAAGUAUUAUUGAACUCGCACGUUUAGUUUGGAAGAAUGUAAAUAUGUAGUGGCUUUAACUGAAAUUUUAUACCGUACCCGACUUUUCACCCUCUGCCUCACAUGGUAACUUUUGAUUCAAGGAAAGAACAAGGAGCAAAAGCUAAAAUUGAAAGAGUUGAAGGACAAACUGAUGCAAUUGUCAUAAAAUAACACAUGAUGGUGAUGAUGGAGAGGGAAUGGGGGACGCCUAAAGGAAUUCGAUUGCACGCAAGAAAUUAAGUGAUCAGUGAAAAGAAUAUCAAUAUCUUUCUAUUUAGGUGCAAGCUGGAUGAUAGUGGUGGAAGCAAUUGACAUUGUCAGCCCAAAUGUAGUUGGUAAUUGAUUUCUUAGUCUUUAUCUUUACCUCCCCUUCAAAAAAUAAUGAACCAUUGCUUGCCAUUCCCAUUCACAUUUUCAACCCACAAACUCAUUCUCUGUUCCCUUUAUCACUCAUAUGCAACCAACAUUGAAAAUUACAUCCAUUGUGAUUGAGUUACCUUUUUUUUUUCCCAUGUAAAUGACAUAUACGCUUAUUUAAAAAAAAAAGAAAAGAAGAAUACAAUUUGAAAGAUGACCAGCGGUUGUUGUUGAUGUAAAUUUUUGCUCAAUAUACAGUAAUCAUUUUGUGUUCUAAAAAUUCUUCUAAAUUAAGCUUUGCGGUCUAUGUCCUCCUUGAGGCAAAUGUUUAAAUCACGUGUCUUCAAUGGUCAAUCAUUCUGCAAAAGUUAACAACUGCCAAGGGGGGCCGGCGUGCUAGCGAUAAUUCUUUAACACUCAAGUCAAUUCCUUUUAACCAAUUUCUACAUAGAAAUUUUAGAAUGAGAUAGGUAUUAUUUUGUACCUCUUUUUCAUCUUACCUUCAAAUGUGGGAUGCUUGGCCUUUAUAUAAGGCCAAGCAUCCCACAUUGAUAGGUGUCCUCAUUGAUAAGUGUCCAUGCAUGAGGACACUUAUCAAUAUGUGGUAAGACUUGUUCAUCACAAGUCUUAUUUGGAAAUUUGACUUGAUUCUGACCAUUGACCUUUAAUGGACUAAAGCUUGAAUUCGACAAUUAUGUUGAUUUUCCCAAAGAAGAUUGAUUUUAUAACAUUUUAUCUAUAAGCAAAAUUUAUAAAGCUUUUGCUUAUAAGCACAUUGCACAAAAAUGUUUGCUAGCUUAUUUAUUUGCCCACUGGCAUAUUCUAUAGAAUAUCUGUUGGCUCGUAAGCUCAUUCCGUAAAAUAUUUGUUAGCUUGUAGGUGCAUUUCAUAGAAUGUUUAUUUGCUUCCAGACCCAUUUCGUAGAAUGUAUAUUUGUCUAUAGGCACAUUUCAUAAAAUGUUCAUUUACACGUAGACUCAUUCUAUAUAAUGUAUAUUUGCCCAUAGGCUCAUUCCAUGUUUAUUUGCAUGUAGGCUAAUUCUUUAGAAUGAUUGUUUACCCAUAGGCCCAUUUUGCAGAAUAUUCUUUUGCCUUGUAGGUGCAUUUUGUAGAAUGUUUAUUUACUUGUAGGCUAUUCUAUAGAACAUAUAUUUAAGUUCUUAAGUCAUUAUUUGUUAAAAAAAAAAAAUGAAUCUAGGUAAUUUUUUUAUAAAGAAUGGAUCUAAGGCAUCAUUUGUAGAAUCAUGUUUUUAGUGGUUUGUCGAAUACUCUCCCUUUGGAAGAUUUACUUAGAAAUAUUUUCUAAGUGCCUAAGUCAUUUUUUGUAAAGAACGAAUUUAGGUUGUUCUUUAUAAAUAGCGAACCUAAGUCAUUCUUUAUAAAUGAAUGGACUUAGGUUAGAAUUAAGCCUUUGGUACUUUGUCGAAAACUUGACUUUUGAGCAUUUAGUUAUAAAUACUUUUUAAGUCUUUAGGUCAUUUUUUAUAAAUAAUAGACAGAUUAUUCUUUGUAAAGAGUGGACUUAGGUAAUUUUUUUUUGUGAAAAAAUAGAGAUCUUUGUUUGUAGAAUAACACCUUUGGCGCUUUGCCAAAAACUCUCCCUUUAAACAUUUUACUUAGAAAUUUUUUUUGAGUGCCUAGAUUAUUCUCUGUAAAGUAUGAGCCUAGGUUCAUUCUUUGUAAAGUAUGGUCCUAGGUCCUUUUAUAUAGAAUCAUGGCUUUUGCACUUUGUCGAAAACUUUCAUUUGGGAUUUUUUACUUAGAAAUAAAUAUUUUCUAAAUACCUUAGUCAUUCUUUAUAAAUAACAUAUCUAGACUGUUUUUUAUGAAAAAAUUUUACUGAGCCUAUAUUUUUCGUAAGCUUUUGGGCCUUCCGUAAUUUAGUCUAACAAUUGCUAUUUAAUUUUUAAGGAAAGUUAAAAAAUAUAUAAAAUUUUAAAAGAAUAUCACAGAUCUAUUUAAGUUUUGGAAUCAUAUCAAAAAACUACUUUUUUAUUAAUUCUGUGAAACCUUUAGAAAAAGAUCAUUAUGCCUCUAAAAGUGUUUUAUUAUGUAAAUGACUUCUUGUUGGUUUAUUAAACUUUCACUAAUAAUUAGGGGGACGGGGGAAUGAAUUUAUUAGGAAAAUAAUUAUUUUAUACUUGUGACAUUAGCGUACAUUAAUGUAGCUUAAUGAAAAAGUGGUUUGGUGAUACACUUAAAAAUAUUGAAAUGGACCGCUAAUAAUUUUUAAAAAUUUUGCGUAUUUUUUUAACUUUUGUUAUAAUUAAUUAGACUGCUGAUAUUUUCCCUUGUCGAUCUUUUCAUUUUCUUCUAUAUAUAUAUAUAUAUAAAUUAAAAACCCAUUAAAAAAUAAAAGAGAGGUAUGAUCAUGAUCAGUACCUCGAAAGGGAAAAAAUAAUUCUCAUGAUGAACGAAGAGAAAUAAAUCUUUUCUAAAAUGAAAUCCAAAGAUAUGUGUUUUGUCUCUUGCUUAAUUUUGUAUCUUUAUGAGCUGUAAAAUCCAAGAACUAAUAAUGAUAUGUAAGAAAAUUUUUUUUAGAAAAGAGAAGGAGCAAAUGAUAUAAAUAUAAGAUAACAAGUAAAAGAAAACAAAGAAAAUGCGUUAAUCUGUUCAUAUGCUGGUGAUGCAAACAAGCAAGAAACAAGAAAUGGGGCCACCGUUUAACUCACAGCGUUUAGAUUAAUAAUAAUUAAAAACAAAAAACAAAAAAACAAAAAAACAAAAAGAAGGCUGCCAAAAAAUAUGGAAAUGGAAAUGAAGGUCGUCCCACUCUGUUGAUCGUAUUGUCACGAUCCGUUUCCUUUUUCUCCACAAAAUUUCGUCUUCUUGUUAAACAUUAAUUAAUUUAUAUUCUCACUUUCGAAUUUCAAUAUUUCAUCGUCCUUCUCCUCCGUCCCGUUUUCACCUGAACUCCGAGGACUCCGUUCCGUUUACUGGUGUAAUUAUUAUCAUGAUUAUGUGUUCGCAUGAGGGGAGAAACAGAGAAGGACAAGCGUUUCUUGUAUUGAUGUGUCUGCACUAGUGGUUUCCCGCCAGCUGACAGCACAUGCACUGCACGGGAGACGACGAUCCUGAUCGUGUCGUUUCUGUGCCUCUCUCUCCCUGUUAUGUCAGAAUUGACGUAUCUCGCUCUCUUACGUCUGUCAUCCUGUUUGGCUGUUUUUCAGGAUCACAUGAACCCUAGCUAAUAAGAUAAAUUUUUAUUACUUUUUAUUUAUUUUAUAUAUAUAUAUAUACCAAUUUACGAUGUUAGCAUUAGCCAUUAGGUGUUUGAAUGAAAACUGAGUGCAUGCUGCAUCAUAACAAUAACAACUUCACAAAUGGUGUGUAAAUCGUAUUAAGAAACGAUUUAAGUGUUAACCGACAAAAGUCAAUAUAAGACUACAUAUAUACAGAUGAAAUUAAUAGUUAAUAAAUACACCCUCCGGUUGAAUUAUUAGCAUCAAAUUUGACUUUUUCUUCACGAAAUCACUCCACCACAGCCUUUCGUUGCAUGCGUAUUUCACAAUUAAUUCAUUUUAACAUUAAAACAUUAUUUGUCAGGAUUUUGCCAUUUUCAACUGAAAAACUAUUAAGGGACCAACGUACGUACGAGCAGCCCCCUCUUAAACAGGAAUUAAUAAUACCCAAAUGAGCGACACUUGGCUACACAAAUCUAGGGGCUUUCUUAUAAUCACCAUCGUGGUCCACUCCCUCUCGAUUCAAGAUUAUCAACCUUUAGGCUAUAUAUCUAAUUUGUAGUGAUGGAUAACUUAAAAAUUAAUUGCGAUAAAUCCCUCUCCCUCUCUCUCUCUCUCUCUUAAUGGUAAGAAAAAUAAGCACUCUAAUAAUUGGUGUGUUUUAUCUUUUAGUACAUUAAAAUUUAUAUUCUUUUAUCCUUUAACUUGGUCAUAUCAUUUUAUUGAAACUUUAUCUACUAAAUGCAAUUUUUUAUUUAUACUAUUACUCGAACUCAUAUAAUUUUGUACAUGUAUGUUGAUUUGUUAUCAUCAAUAUCAUCUUUGAGAUUUAGAUAAACAUAUCACAAAAAAUCAUGGCUCUUAUAAAUAAUUCACAUCCAAGAGAUCCUCAUGAUGCAGAAUAUCAAAACACAUAAAUUUCAGCAGUUUCAUACAAAAACUUGUACAUGUAUGUUGAAUUGCCAAGCACUGGAUAUAAAUAAAUUCCGUAUCUUUUAAUUUGGUUAAUGAGUUUCUCACUCACCAAAACUCUCCCUAUCUUUCUCACAUAAAUUCCCCCAAAUGUAAAAAUUCUCUCCAAAUGUUUCUCUUCUUUUCCAAUAUUCUCUCUUUAAUAAAUAAAUAAAUAUGUAUGUAUGUAUGUAUGUAUGUAUGUAUGUGAACUUAUAAAUAGAGAAUCACUAUAUCUAGUAAAAGAAACUGUACUUUAAUAUGAUAAGAACUAAAUUAAAAGAUAAGAAAGCAUAAAUUUUCAUUCAACAGGGUGAAAACUGAAAAACAUCCAAAGCUGGUAGUAUUUAGUGUUCAUUCAUUCAUUCAUUGGAGUUGAGAUGAUGUCAAGUCUUAAAUUUGCGUUCCGUUCCCCCCCCCCCCCCNNNNNNNNNNNNNNNNNNNNNNNNNNNNNNNNNNNNNNNNNNNNNNNNNNNNNNNNNNNNNNNNNNNNNNNNNNNNNNNNNNNNNNNNNNNNNNNNNNNNNNNNNNNNNNNNNNNNNNNNNGGGGGGACUGCUGUACCGUACAUCCCCCUUGACGUAAAAUUUUGGAAUGAUAUACGGAAAGGACAAGGGAGAGUCAAUAAUGAAUUGAAAGGACAUCACAUUCGUAAUUAUCCUUAAAACCCCCUCCUCAGUCCUCACCCCACCCACCCGUUCCGUUCUAAAUACACAACGAUCCGUCCAAAUUAAUUGUGUAGUUACAAAAAUUCACAAACCAAAUUUUAGUAUUAGAUAAGGGCAAUCCUCCCCUCCUCAGUUACAAUAAUAAUAAUAAUAAUAAUAAUGAUAGCAAAAGAAAAAGGCUGCAGCAGCGCCCAUUGAUAUAUAUAAAGAGGAAAGAUUAAAGGAGGGCAGCUGAUCGAAGGGUAGGGGACAGGAGAAGAGGACAAUGCAUGCAGUCACUUCAAAUGUCAAUCAAUUAGUCAAACAUCUUGUAAACUUUAACACAGAAAUAGUGUAAGGCAUGAGAGGAUGGGGUUCUUGUACAUGCUCUAACUACAAUUAUUAAUAGCUAUUUCUGAUUUUGAUGUGAAUGCAAAUGGACUGCAUGACCAUCACCUUUUCUUUUCUUUUUCUUUUGUUAAAUAAAUUAUUGACAUUAUUUAGAAUCUUCAGAAGGACAUGAAUUACUUUACUGUGAUCGUCAUCUACCUGAUUAACUGAUUUUCAGCCUCAGAUAAGGUUUCCUUUUUCUAUUCAAAUUAGGGACCGACAUGUUUGUUUUUUUUUUUUUUUUUUUUAAAAAAAAAAUAUUAUGUGAAGUAUUAAAUCACGUACAGUACACGUUUGAAAACUUGAACUCUGCACUUCCAGGAUAAGGGGAGAAAAAGAAUGGACCAAACUCAACCAAAGAUUCAAGGACUAGUCAUCAUAUAUGAAGGUUUUGGUUAUUAGGGUCUAUUCACUUGCAUAUUGUUAUAUUAAUGGGUACGUAUAAAUAUUUGAAUGGAAGAUGUCUAAAAUUAGGUAAAAGUCUAUUUAGUUUUUGUAUUUUAAGAUUAGUAUCCAUUUAGUCUCUGUAUUUUUUAAAAUAUCUUAAAAUAUUCAUGCCGUUAAAGUAUUGAUAUCCCUACCGUUACUUUUUAUUUCUUUUGAUUUACUUUUACAAUAUCACCCUUUAAUAAUAAUUUUUUGUUUGGACAUUAAUAAAAAUAAAAUAAUUAAAUUACCAAUUUAACCAUAAAAAUAAAAAAUUAUAUUAAUUUUUAAUUGUAAAAAAUUAUAUGCAAACUACCAAGUGUGCAAACGGUGCUUGUAAAAAAAUUAAUAUAAUUUUUUUUAGGGUUAAAUUAGUAAUUUAAUUAUUUUAUUUUUAUUAAUAUUUAAAAAAUUAUUAUAAAAGGAUAAUAUUGUAAAAGUAAGCUAAAAGAAAUGAAAAGUAACGGUAAGCUGCUGUACGGCCAAGAAAAAUUGUAUGCAAACUACCAAGUGUGCAAACGGUGCUUGUAAAAAAAUUAAUAUAAUUUUUUUUAGGGUUAAAUUAGUAAUUUAAUUAUUUUAUUUUUAUUAAUAUUUAAAAAAUUAUUAUAAAAGGAUAAUAUUGUAAAAGUAAGCUAAAAGAAAUGAAAAGUAACGGUAAGGGUAUCAAUACUUUAACGGCAUGGAUAUUUUAAGAUAUUUUAAAAAAUACAGAAACUAAAUGAACACUAAUCUUAAAAUACAGGGACUCAAUAAAUUUUUACCCUCUAAAAUUCGACUCAUUGUCGGUCAGGACCUGGCCUUCAAUAAUAUGGAGAUUCAAGUUCGAAAUUAGAAAAUUAAUAAAUAAACAAACAGACACGCCCACGGAGAGACUCGAAGGUGUUGUUAGCAUACUGUUAUGAUAUUGAUUUAUAAUCAAUGUUGUUACUGUGAUGACACCACCGAAAUUUUACUAUUUCUUUCGUAUAGUUUUGAGUUGCUUCAAGUCACAUUUUAUGAAAUUAAUUUCACACAAGACACCAAUCCUGGACUAAUCUUAACUUUUAAUUAAACCAUAUUUGAAUUUUUUUAUUGGAAGCUUAAAUGAAAUCACCAUCAUAUUCAGAUUGUUCUAAUUCCUAAGCUCUAGCUAAAUUAUGUUGUGACUAAAAACUAUGCAAACUCAUCGUGAAUUCAGGAGUAUCGUAUUUUCUCAUCCCAUCAUUUAUCGCCAAAUUUAAGCAGCAUGCUGUGUUCGUUUAUUAAGAAACUAAUAAUUAAGAAAAACACAUCAGUUCAAUAGGUUGCAUUUUUUUUUAUUAGUCAUAUUAUGAUAACUAAAUCUUCUGACUACCUGAGUGAAUGGAUAAAUACUCUAAUUUUGAGGGCACUUGAACCAUUUAAUUUAGAGCUAACUUAGUUAAUUUUUUUUAGACUGUUAAUGUAACAGUUUACUUUUUUUUAAUACAUACGAAACUAACAUUUUGAAAAAUGAAUUAAUAAAAAUGAUAUCACGAAAACAAUAUAAUUUAAAAUAAUAAUAAUUUUAAAACAUAAUUCAAAACUAAUAACAAUUAUCAAAAAUUAAUUAUGAAUUACAAAUAGUUAUUUAGUGACAUCAUAUUAAAUUUUCUCUUCAAUUGAGCAGUACUUCAAAACAAUAUUUAUAGAGUAUUUAAUUUUCCACGAGGAGAAUUUAAAAAGAAGAAGAAGAAGAAGAAGAAGAAGAAAAGGAGAAAAAGCAAUGAAAAUUUUCCCAGAAAAAUUGGGAUGUGAUGGCAUCUACGAAAGGGCUAACAUGUCUCCCUCAGGUAUGUUAGCGCAAGGUUGGUAAAGAUGGAGACCCCCUCCCACCUUUAUUUGUGAAUUGUGAUGCUCGCAGCGCGUACUGAUCACGCGCAUCUGUUGCGAAUAUCUCAAUCAUACGUGCACUCUCGGCUUAUCUACGGCUCUGUUUUUCGCUCGCCAUUUUCUCUCAUUUGGGAUUUUGCCAAGUGCUAUUUAAUGCACGUUGAUGCACAAAGCGCGUCACCCUUGUCGGAGACCGAGUACACGUAAGUAGCUGCCUGGAGAGCCGACACAGCAACAUACUCCUCUCCUCUGUAUGUUUCGGUUGCCUCACGCGCAAUCACACGCGCAGCCAGAGCGCGUGGUCCGUUGGAUUGCGCUUUUGUGUAUUUCUUUUGGGCUGUCAAACUGCAGACUGUACUAGCACUCCACCUCACACGCCACAGUCGACACCGUCUGAUCCUUUACAGUAGUACCCCUUCACUUUAACGGUGCAGUGAAAAAAACAGACAAAAAAAAAUAUUACCGUUUACCGGGUAAGCCGGUUAAAACGAUGGUUUAAUUUCAAGAACGGGAAAGUAUAACAAGAGCUUUGAAGCAAAACAGGUCCUUUUUGCAGAGAGAGGGAAAAUUGACGUCCACAUUUUCUCACUCCUCUUAUCUUCUCUCUAUCUCUUAAUCUCUUUUUUGUUCACUCUAAAACCCAAAUAUUAUUACCUGAAAAGAAUUCUUUUUUUAUUUUUUUCUUUUUUUUUUAUUGUGUGUUGUGAAAAUGGAGUUUGAGGAUCAUGAGGAGCAAGAGGAGGAGAUGGGUCUGCCGGCGGGUUACGACUCGUCGCUAGGAAACUCAUCUCAAGUGAGAAUGGGGAGCUCUGGCGGGCAAGCAACAGCAGAGGCGGCUCAUCCCGGGAGGAAAGCAAGAUACAGAGAGUGCUUGAAGAAUCACGCGGUGGGUAUUGGGGGACACGCGUUGGACGGUUGCGGUGAGUUCAUGGCUGCUGGAGAUGAAGGCACUCUCGACGGUCUAAAAUGUGCAGCCUGCAACUGUCACCGCAAUUUUCACCGCAAAGAAGUGGACUCAUCAGUCGUGACUCCCAUGGCCGCUGGAGUCCCCGCUGCUGGUGGUGGUGAGGUUUUUUUCCAUCCCUCGCAGGUGCCGCAAUUCACGCCUUAUUACAGGACGCCAGCUGGGUACCUGCACGUGGCGGCUCACCACAGGCCACUGGCCUUGCCGUCGACGUCCGGUGGUGGUCACAGUAGGGAGGAUCAAGAGGACGCGUCAAACCUUGGUGGUAGCGGGGGUUCGAGGAAGAGGUUCAGGACCAAGUUUACGCCGGAGCAGAAGGAUAGAAUGCUGGAGCUUGCGGAGAAGUUGGGAUGGAGGAUUCAAAAGCACGAUGAAGAAGUAGUGCAGCAGUUCUGUAACGACACUGGCGUUAAGCGUCAUGUGCUCAAAGUCUGGAUGCAUAACAACAAGCACACUCUGGGUAAGAAACCCUAGAUUGCUCUACCUUUGGACUCAAAAUGAAGGAAAAUUUGCUUCUGCUGAGUAUUAUUGAUCAGUUAGCUCUAUUAUUAGUCUCUAGGGUUUUUUUUUUCUUAUUAUUUUUUUUUCUUUUUUCAUUUUUCUUUGAGGAAUUUGACAUCUGAGUUCGAAUGAUGUUUGGACGGAUAUUAUGAAGCUGGUUUUACAGUGGAUUAAUUAAUGUAGAUGGGAUGUGUUAAAUCUGAAUUCCACUUUGUAUUUUUCAGUGCAUUUGAUUUUUUAUUUUUUUUUCUAUUCAAUCUUAUUUCUGCUUAUGGGUUUUAGUGGAUAUCUAUUUGCUUUGUUGUUAGCAAUGAUCAGUUGCUAAGCAGUGCUGGGUAUUACAUCGUAAGUGGGAUUUAAGGUUUUUAGUGCACCAGGCUAGCUACCUAUGAGUAAUUAUUUGAGCUAGCUAGAGAGAGAUAAGAGAAACAUGUCAUGUGCUUUUUAUCAAGAAGCUGAUGGUAAUCAAACUGGUAAGGCCUGGGUUCAUCAUCAACUUUGAAUUUGACCUUUCAUUUCUACUUGUAAGUCUGCGUCAUCUUAUUCUUAAGCAGCAACGUGUUCAAAGCUGCAACUUAUGUUUACUGAAUCUCAUUCUACGUGUGCCUAUCUCUGCGUGUAUAUGUGUCACUUGUUACUCCUCUCCUAAUUAACAAUAAACCCAAAACUUUUCGUCUGUGUCCAGAGAUCCUAAAAUCUUCAGAGAGAGAUAUUUGGUUGAAGCACUAUGAAUAAAAUGUGGGUACUUUCGGGCAUUUUUUGUUCUGGGGUUUUUACAAAUCACAGUAACUUCUUCUUCUUCUUCUUCUCCUCCUCCUCCUCCUUCUUCUUACUGUAGUCUUCUCCUUCUUCUUACUGCAGUACUUUUUCUUCAAGUUCUUUUUUCCCCCUUAUAUGGGUACAUAUAGCUUUAAUGCGCUUAACUGAACAAAUGUUUGAUCAUGGGGCCUCCUUCUCUGGACUGUUUUUUCUGUUGCCAAGUCUUUGCUCCUUUCUGGUAUUUGCAUUUACUUUUGCAGUCUUGAGGGCAGACACUGAUCAUCUUUGAAUUUCUUUUUUAAAACAUCUCCUACUCUUUACAUAUUAAUUGAGUACAUACAUAAUAUAGUAGAAAUUUAUAUUUAAUUGUAUAUUGUACUAUACUUAUUCUUCGACUUUUCAAUAUUAAUUCGCAUGAUGAACCUCCUAUGAUGAGAGAAAAAUAGUAGCGAGAUGUUCGAUCAUUCAUGGAUCACCUUGGAAAGGAAACAACUGAGUUUUUUAAUUGGUUUUUUGUUCUCUUUAUUUUAUGUGAUUUUUGUAUAUUUCUUUUAGUUAUUAUUUUCUGCUUGUUUUGUUUUCACUUGGGAAAAAAAAAAAUGCAUCAGCAAACAAUAGCAAUAUUUGCUCUCGUGCAAACCCAAAUCCAGAUGUGGGCAAGUCAUGUUCGAGAAAGUCGAUAGAUCCAAAGUUGUCUCAGGUUCCAUUUCUUUCUUCUUCAAUUUGUUUUUUUUUUUAUUUGAAAAAAAAAAUACCUAAUUGGGAACAUGUGGGCUCUCAAGCAAGAAUCAAGAAGAGCGAGAAAAAAAAAAACUCAAAAAAUAUUGCGAAUGGCUGGGCACACCACUUUUGUCUGAAACUCUCUUGAACUACAUGCUAUCCUUGAAAGAUUCAGCCUUUGAUAAAAUAGUUUCCAUCAAGAUUCCUAGAAUCUCCAUUCAUCUUCUAUAAUUAAUUAAUUAAUUAAUCAAGAUUAGUCGAGUUAAUAUCGUUUUAUUAGCAAAUUAAAAGCUCAAUUGUCUUUUUAUUAGGGAUGCAAAGGGGCCUGAUAUGAGAUAGAUUAGACUAGUACCAUUAAUGGUGCUUAUCGUAGAUUAAUCAUGGUUAAUGAUUAAGAUUUACGUUCCAGGCAUAUCUAGGGGAACCUGAUUCUAUAUAUAAAGCAAGAAAGAAGAGAGAUGUCACUGUCCCUUGAGCUCUUUACUAGUUCUAUUUCCAAGCUUUGAUGUUUCAAGUUUACUAGCAAAAUAUACUUUUGUUGGAAGUUUGCUUGUUCAAGUAUCCAAGCUUACCUGCUGAACUUCUAUGUGCUUACACACGUCAAGUACUUUGCUUGAUUCAGAAAAAUUAAACACAAUGUAUGAUCAGUUAAAGCUGCAAGCGGGAAACUGUGGUCCUUUUGGGAAUCUUGGUCAAAGGUUUGCCCCCCCCCCGGCGUAAGAAAGUGAUUGAUGAUCUUCUUCUCACUUGUGAAUUAAUGUUGGAGUUAUGAUGUAUAAUGAAUAAUGAAUUGUCUCUAUACUUAGUUUGGCUAUUCAAAGAUAUCCAGAGAGAGUAGGGUUUUCAGUUCAAAAGUAAUCCAAAACAGGCAUUCUAGCUAGUUGAGUAGUGUUAAUUAAAUAAUGCUUGUGUCCAAAUUGAUUACCCUUUAACUAACUAGGGUUUAAUGUUUGUUUGUUUUUUAAUCAGUCAUAAUCUCUCUCUCUCUCUCUCUCUAUAUAUAUAUAUAUAUAGUCUCUGCUAGCUAUAUGACCCACUUGUUUCUUCUUUAUGAUUAGAAUCAGAAAUUAGUUCAUUUUUAGUCUCUGCUAGCUAUAUGACCCACUCAGCAGAUAUAUAUAUAUAUAUAGUCUCUGCUAGCUAUAUGACCCACUUGUUUCUUCUUUAUGAUUAGAAUCAGAAAUUAGUUCAUUUUCAUAUAAAUUACUAGGACGACAUCUAUGUUUACAUCUCAGGAAACGUUCUGGAUGCUUUGUGAUUAUAUAUGCCGCGUAGCUUAAGUGGAUGAUUUUGCAAAUUUAAUUUGUAUGAGUUUUAUGUUGUAGCCUGUGUAAGUAGGAACCGUAAAAUGAAAUCUGCCGGUACUACUGAUUGCCGCAAUCAUCUCUAUGCUGAUCAAAUGAAAGAAAUUCAGGCAUCAAGGAAUCAGAACAAGCGACCCAAAUCAUGGAUUAGAAUAAAGAAAAUUUAUCUUCUUUAAAUUACCAGUUAAUUAAUCUUGAUCCAUAGCCAGGUUUUGCCAAAUUAAUUCCUGGGUUUACUAUCCUUUCAGCUCUUAGAAUUUGAAACUAAUUGAAUAAAAUCAUUGAAAACAUUUUCAAAACUAAAAGCAUUUUUAAUCAUUUUAUUAAUUAUUUUAGUAAGAAUACCAUUUUCUUCAAACAAGUAUAAUAACUAGAGGCAUUUCACUGGCGCGGAUAUAAUAUCUACACAGUAACAGACAUUAAAACAACGAGAGGAAAAUGAAAUUAAAAAAUAAAAAUAAGAAAAAAAGGUUGCUGGACAUUUAUUUUUAUUUGGCUGCUGCCUCUGCUUGAUACAACACAAGAGCAGCUAGACCAGAAGGGGCCGCCAAAGAUUCGUUUAGAUUGUCAACUUUUCAAAAGCAAAAUUGGGUCACUUAAAAACAAAACAUCUAAGAAAUAUAAUAAAAAUGAAGUACUCUCGCGAUCACCACUCAGCGGCUUUUGCAACUCCCAGAUACUUUUUAGACAGUCGAAGGAUGGUGACGAUUCAAUGCCAAUGGCACACCAACUGGAGCCCUUGAAUUAUUGUCCCCACCCCGUUCAAUCCUCGGUCUAAAUUAAAUGUGCAAUUGAGCUUUCGAUGUGAUUCUAAUUUUCACGUUACGGGAUGCUCUACGGGACCACAAAAUUUACGGUUCCUUAUGUUGUUGUGUUUUAAAGAAAUCACUACUUUCAUUUUUUUGGAAUUUUAGAAGUCUUUGUAUCACUCCAACGGGUCACAUCAUACAUAUGUUGAAAUUGAAACCAAUACUUUAAUUUGUGUAAAUGUAAUUCCACACUGCACAAAUGAUAGUUUUUUUUUUAAUGACUAUAUAUAUUUUAAGAUUUUAAAGUGCGAGAAAGUUUGAAAAAACUUUAAAAUUGUGUGAUUCUAAAGUUUAAUUUCAUAAUGUUAUUAAACUCCACCGUUCUAAAAUUUUUACGAACUUUUCUGCACUUUAAAAUUUCGGACCAGAAAACUAUAUAUAUAUAUAUAUAUAUAUAAUAUGCUGCUGGAUUUUAGGAGGUGAAAUAAAAUAAUAAUAAUUUUAAGAAAUACUAAGAAAUUAUAUACCUCUUGCCUAAUCGGCGAGCAGGAUGAAUAACCAGAAUCAGCCCAUCAAGAACGAGAGAAAUUUUUCAUCAUGUAUGUCAAGAAACAAUCAAUUGCCAUUUACUUAUUUAUUACAAUCAAACACUUUACAAUUAAUCAUCCCAAAAUCAAAUCAUUUGUUAACACACACAUAGAUAGAUAGUCUCACAAUCAUUUGUUAACACACACAGACACACCUAGUUGGCUAUGUCAUUAUUGUUAUUAUUAUUUGUUAGCUAUCAUAUGCAGGAUUCCAAACACAAUUCAACAAAAACAAAACUCACGUACACACAUUGAAUAUAUACUCCAAUUUCACCAUUUCCAUCCCAGUUCUGCAGCCACUUUGGUAUCAACAACACCAGCAGUCCCCUUGCGUUGGCCAGACGCACUUCCACUCUUCUGGUUAACAUUGGCCUCAGAAUUCAUCCCCGAUCGUAGGCUCUUAGCCCAAUCAAACUUCUUCUUAUGCGAAACCGGCAUCACGUCCUUAACGUUUUCCGAUAUGGUAGAGCUCCUUGGCCGACCCUGCUGAGCUUCUUUCUUGAUCUCUUUUAUUUCGAUCUUGGUUCCUCCUUCCAUUUUUAUGCUUAUGUUCACUUCAGAAAGUGCUUUGCUCCUUUUAUCAAUGAGUGUUUCUCCUGCUUUUCUUUCUUUUUGGUGCUGAUAAAACCGGUGCAAUCUGAGAGCAAGAUGGUAGAUUCCAUCUUUAAUUUCCUCCUCCAAAUCUCUUUCUAUGUCCCUCUCAAGCUCCCCGCGAAUCUUUAUCUCCUCCUCGGACAUAAUGCUACCCCCAGGGUUUUGCUUUUUCUUCAUUUCAGUUCUCAAAUUGCCUUCAUUAACAUCAACCUGCCCCAACAUUAUCAGUUUUAUAUAUACAUAAAUAUAAUUUAUAAGCAUCAUUACCAUUACUGCAGCCAACGUUGAUCUUUGAUUCACAUAGAAAGAGCAAAAAGAUCCGAAUUAAUUAUACCCUUUGAUCAUCGCCUCGAGAAUCUCUAGAUAAGUCUGCAAAUUAAAAGAAUAGAAAAUUAUUAGUAAAGCUCAAAGUACAUGUAAAGCAGUCUGUGAUUUGCUGAAAAUUAAAGACGGACCGAGAAUAUCAGCCUUUUUGUAUUUGGAUUGCUGGUCCAUCUUCUAGUUCAUGAAUUAACUCUUCUUGCGUGCAGCCAAUUUUUAAAUGCAAGUAGAGCGAUUUUGACUGGCGAGGAUGGGGCCUGAUACGUAGUUGGAUUGAAGAGGACAUCAAGUGGAAUGUUUUGUUUGAUAAAUAAAUAUUAAAGACGCUAUAUAAGUUGGAAAAAUUCAAAUUUAGGCGCUAAAUACUUCUACGGUGAGGUUGAGAUUGCUAUAUUUCGCAUUGAGAUAAUACAAAGGAUAAUUUCCGAAAUUAAACAGUCCUUUACUUGUAAGGGAUUUUAGGGUUUGGGUUGCCCUUAAAGCACAAUCAAUAUUGGGCACAGUACCCACAUGUUUGAUAUAUGUGUCUCAAGAGAAGGGGAUAGUUACCCUUUACUAUUAAUGAGAUUCAACUUGCUCUGUUGUUGAAUCUUGAUCAUGUUACUUGGGGAUUUAAUUCAAUUUUAUUAAACCAAGCCAAUUCGAUGCAUUGAGUUUAAUUCACCCUCCGGAACUGUAGCUUUUGGACCAUUAUUGUUAAUUGGACCUAACAGAACCGAAACAUAGAGAUGAUAAUAGAUUUUGUUAUUCGAUUAUUAAAAGCACAUGACGAAAUCGAUCUACUCUGACAAAGAUAUAAUAAUCUUCUUUCUAGAAUCAUGAACCAAUUUGUUUAAUACAGAAUUUAGGAGUUCCAUCAAGGAAAAGUGAGGGCUAUUAAUUUGUUUAGUACUUUUGUGAAAGGGAUUGCAUCAUCAUUCAUCAAUCGCGGUAGCGGUUGUUAGUCAAUCCAUCUUUGCCAAUGGUUACUUGUCCAAUCAAUCCAAUCUUACUAAAACUACAAAAACCGUAUACAGCUUUCCAAGAAAAAUCAGAGAAGGUUUAUGAAUUCAGCGUUCAUCGUACAUCAGGAUGAGAAGUGGAUAAAAUAGCGUUGUCACAACUUCUUUGGAGACCCACAAUUUGAGAAUGGGACAUGAUAUUAAUUUCUGAUUUUUUAAUACGAUACCCAAUACAUAAUGCUUGUUUUAUCUGAUUUUAUUUACUUUCAUAUCAGCUGCUUUUUGUUCAUCUAUCCGCUAGCAAACAGAGGAUCAUUUCAGUGAAAAUGAUAGAGAAUAAAAAGGGUCUAUUAAACUGUUUUAAAAAAAUCAGAUCUCUUUCAAGGGGAUUUUUUUUUUCCCCGAUUACCACCCAAAAAUGCAUUUUUACGACAAUUGUAUGGCCACAAGAGCAACGGAAAUUUCUUUUUUUCUAAGUUCUAACAAUGAUUAUAAACAUUUCUUCAGAUCAUCUUCAACUAAAUAUGUAAUAAUAAGGAUCACCGUGUAUGAGAUAUUUUAUGUUUUAUGAUGUUAUUAUAUAAUUGAUGAGUAUGUACGUCUUUAGUUUCUCCUUUGAGGAGCUUAUUGUAUUCUCCCUCUUCAUUAAUUUAUUUAAUAAUAUUUCCAUUCUAAAGAAAUUAUUCAUAAAAUAUAUGUUUCUGGGCGUAGUUCUAUUAGUCAUAAAUACAUUUUAUGCCUAUAAUCAUUAAAAUUUUAUUAAUAAUAAGAGAUAAGAUUAUGUGUUUAGUGAGUAAACUUUAAAACAUAAAAAAAAUGUAGGACUUUAAAAUUUAUAUACCAAUAUGAGUUUUCUACUAUCCUUUGCUAGGGCUUUUUUUUACUCUAUUUUGAUAUAUAUGGUAUCGAAUUUAAAUAUAAGUUUAUGUUUGGGAUAAUAGUGGAUUCUCGAUAAUAUUAGAAGAACUACUCAAAUCAAACGUUUUUAAUUAAAAAAAAUUCAACAAUUCAAAGAUAAUUAGGGGGCUGCAAUUGAUCCACAAACACGCACUAAAUCAACGAAUUCCAAAUGCGAAAUAAAAACUGACAAAGGAAAUAAAUAAAAUGGGUAAUUUUUAGGGACCUCCCCUGAGGUUUGGGUUAUUAACAGUGUGAUAGAAUGUAUGACAAUAAUUACACAAACCUCCCUUGCCGUUAGUAUUUUGUAAUAUUGAUUGUUAGUGGACUGCUAAAAUUUCCAAAAUACCCUUGUCACCAAACAAGAAUGACGAAUAUUGUCGCCAACAUCACAAAACACAUAGAAAGCCCAAGAUUCCCAUUAAUUGUAAAAAGAAUUGACAUUGCAUAAUAAUAAAUAAAUAAUAUAUAAAAAUUUGAAUAAAGCUGCCAAUAUUACUUUAAAAUGUGGUGAAGGUGGUGAAAUGCACAGAUUGCAUGGUUUCUGUUGAUGUGGGAUUAGCAGUCGAUGAAGUUGUUGAGGGGAGUUUGGCAAUGGUGGGAAAGCACCCUGAUCGCCUAGAUUUUGGAUGGGCUUUUGGGGUUGGUUUUUCUUAUUUUGGUUUUAAGCGCUAAAAUUUUUAUUAUGAGAUGGCUGGCGAGAAGAGGGUACAGAUGUUGAAAUCUGUUUUGAGGAAGCAUGGCAGAGAGUGGUGGUGGUUGGAGGCGACAAAGAUGAAGUUGGUGGUGGAUCGGUUAGAUUUUUGUUUUCAAUUAUGGAACGUGACAAACUUGAUUGAGUUGGCUGGCGAAUUUCUGGUAGUACAGGGAGGAACUAUUGGUGGUUGACUACCGUCAUGGUUCACCGGGGCGUUUGCAAGAUCGUUUAUUAGUUACAACAACUUCGUUAAAGCGUUUGGUGCUGGAGAAUGGUUGUUGUUUGGUUAAUUGGUUCAAUGAAAAAGAAAAUGAUGAAGUUUAUGAAAGAGAAAUUGAAGCUAAUAGCCACUAGGUAUUGAUGUGUAUCAGUGAGCAAAACUCAGAUCCUGGGUUUUGUUUAUUUUUCAUUUUUUCAUGAUAAAGUUCAUGAAAGAGAAAUUGAAGCUAAUAACCACUGGGUAUUGAUGUGUAUCAGUGAGCAAAAGUGGUUUUGUUUAAUUUUUAUUUUUUCAAGUUUGUUUUAAAAUUACAAAUUUACCCACAAAUACUAAAGAUAUACGAAACUUUAUACUAACGCCAAGGGAGGUUUGUGUAAUUACGAUUAUACAUUCUCUUAAACUGUUAAUACGUUAAACCUCAGGGGAGGCCCUUAAAAAUAACCCUAAAUAAAAUAAGUCCAAAGAAAAGGUGGGAGGGGUUUUUGGUUAUUUAGGGUACAAAAGAAGGUUAUUAUAGUCACAUACAAAAAACGGGCGCUUCCUUGCAAAUUGCGAGCAUAGGCCAAAAGAAAAAGUUAAAAAGAGUUCCUCGGUUUUUCCAGUCAAGUGUACACUGAAUCAUUUAAUACAGCCGUCCGCUUUGUAUAAUUUGUUUGCCAAUGUCACCCACCCCCCUGCUCGCUGAACGUUCAACAAUAAACACAAUAAACUAAUUGAUUGUCUUCGAUCAUUCAUUCAGAGACGGAGUGACAUUGUCCGAACCAAAACUGAUCGUUUUACUUCGAUGGAAGCUCUCUCUCAUACUGUCGGUCCUACGGUCGCUCCUCUCCGCCCAAAGCGUCCUCUUCGGUGGAAUUGGAAUGGAUUCAGUUCCGUGCUCGUCCAAUCGAAGAAGAAUCACCCGAGUGGAAUUUGUAGGAGCGCUGCUGAUGAGAUUAGUCAAAGUGCUCGCGCUUCGGGCCUCGAUUUCAACGACCCCGAUUGGAAGUCAAAAUUCCAGAGUGAUUUCGAGAAGCGCUUUAGCCUUCCUCACAUCACCGAUAUUUUCAGAGAUGCCACGCCUAUUCCUUCCACCUUUUGUCUUAGGAUGAGGUCAGUCUAAGCCUCAGCUUGUUCGAGCUAAUCAUCUUAUUGUUACUUAUUCUUUCAUUUGUUUAGUUUUUUAAUUUAGUUCCUGUUGCAGGACUCCCGUGACUGAAGAUUUCGCGGAUGGCUACCCUUCUGAUGAGAAGUGGCACGGGUAUAUUAACAAUAAUGACAGAGUGCUUCUUAAGGUCUGUCUGUGUCUUAAUUGUUAUUUUGUUUCUUCAUUGAUUUUGUGUUUUUGUUAGUUGUUUACGCUCUGAAUGUUGCUUAUAAUUCAACGUUCUUUCUAUUUGCUACUUUACCACUUGGAAUAACAAAAGCAAUGAGCUGUAUUGGUGGCAUUCUCAUCACUUUUGGAUAUCAUUAUGUAAAUUGUCGUUUUAUGUUCAGAAUUUGUCAGGAUACAAUACACGGUCAUGUAACCAAAUUUUCCGAUGUAGAGCUCGAGCUCCUUGUCUGUUCAUAAAAGCUAGAAUUAUGAAUUUAUUACUUCCGAACACCAACAAUUCUUUAACAAUGUUUUAAUAGUUGCAAUUCAUUGCUACAACUCCCUUCAUUACAAGUUUUUGCAGUACUCUGCUUACGACUAUCCCAUAUCUUUCCUGAGUAAUCUGCUUUAGAACCUUUGAAAUUUUAUCCUAAUAUUUUUUAUUAAGUGAUGGGGAAACUAUUGGAUACAAUGAUGAAUCAGACCAUAUGCAACUUGGGAAACUAUGGUUAGAGUUGAUACAUUAUCGACAGCAGUAAAAGUUUAAGAUGAAGUAUGAGACAAAUUAAGGAGAGAAUAAGUGUGAAAGAUGAAAAUUCAUGCAAGCUAUGGUGUUAAUAAUUCUGACAAAGGCCUAUUGUUAAAAUCUCUGAAGCUCUGGUGGAAGAUUUGACUAAAAAUGAUUUGGUUCUUUGAAAUGUUGUAACUGAUUUUUCUUGAAAUAAUGAAACAUUUUCAGGUCAUAAAUUUCUCAUCACCCACAUCUGCUGGUGCUGAGUGUAUCGAUCCUGAUUGUACUUGGGUCGAACAAUGGUAAGUUUGCCUCUCAAUGAUUUAUUUUGAUCCUUAACGAUAUCCACGUGUUUUAAGCAUACGUGGGAUAUUUAUUUCCAAUAAUUAUCGGCAUUUUAGCUGUUGGUUAUGCUGAAAGACAAAAUAUUAGAUCUAAUCUCAUUUUAUCUAUUUACAGAAUUGUCAGUUAUUUUACACAUAUUCUUCUAUGUGUUUUAUGUUUUCACUGUUAAUUUUUAAUUUCAUAAUAAUAACUUAACACAAUGCAUUUGUAAAAUCUUCCUAGGGUUCAUCGUGCUGGGCCUCGGGAGGAAAUAUACUUCAAGCCGGAAGAAGUAAAAGCAGCAAUUGUUACUUGUGGUGGACUAUGUCCUGGUCUAAAUGAUGUGAUCAGACAUGUCAGUGUCAGCUCCUUAUAGUUUUCAUUAUAAACAAAAUUAGACUGUUCUCUGGAUGAAAUUAGAGAUUUUGUAUUCCCCUGUCUUGAGAUUUAUUUCAUCCUGCAUGCCUGAUUGGUGAUAAUUUUCUGCAGAUUGUCAUUACUCUUGAAAUAUAUGGUGUAAAAAAUAUAGUAGGGAUUCCAUUUGGUUAUCGUGGAUUUUGUGAUAAAGAAUUGACUGAAAUGCCGGUACGUUUCCUUUUUCUUUCAUGUACUGGUUUGUCGAAAAACUCUAUUGAUGUAUCUGAGCUCUGUUAUCUCAUAUGCUUGAUAAAAAACAAUAGAAGCAUUUCUUCUUUGCAAGAACAAUUUUGGUAUCUAGAUUAAUUUGUUUAGACUUGACUUUGAUUAUUAGCUGUCACGGAAAGUGGUUCAAAAUAUUCAUCUUUCUGGUGGAAGCUUAUUAGGAGUUUCACGUGGUGCACCCACUGUUAGUGAAAUUGUUGACAGUAUGGAGGUGCGCUAUCAAUAUUUUUUUCAAUACUUUUCACUCUGUCAUAGUUCUAUUAUCAGAAUUUGUACAGCUGAAAUGCUUGAUUACACCAGGCAUUGUGAGACCUGAUGCUUUUAUUUGGUUUUUUUAUGUCAGGAAAGAGGAAUUAACAUGCUUUUUGUGUUGGGUGGAAAUGGUACUCACGCUGGAGCCAAUGCAAUACAUAACGAGGUUAUUAUACAUGAAACCCCAUACUAACAGGUCACACUGUAAUAUAUCUUAUGAUUAAUAAUGCAAUUUUUUGUUGAUUUUAAUCUGAUGACUAAAGUAUUUAUGAACUUUAGUAAAUAAUUGUCCUUUCAUUUAUUCUCAAUUUGCCUGAUGUCGUGUUUAAAGUUUUUGUCUCCUAUAGGACUUGGGGAGGUCGUGGAUUCCAGGGUAGAUGAUAUUUACAUGUUAUUCCUUUUAUUGUGUUGUAUUUUACAUAUUGAUGUGAAAUUGGAUAUUCAAAUACUGCUAUAUCAUAGGUCAAGUUAGACAGUUAGAGGGUUCAUGCUGGAUCUCCACAAGUGACAACUUUCUAAAAUUGCCUCCAUGACUGAUGCAUGCUUGUUUUGAUGCUCUUCUUUCAAAAUAUAUGUUCAUAGUCUUUAAAUUUUUCCUAUAGUGUCGUAAAAGAAGGAUGAAGGUGGCUAUAGUUGGUGUGCCAAAAACCAUCGACAAUGAUAUUUUGCUGAUGGAUAAAACUUUCGGCUUUGACACUGCAGUUGAAGAAGCACAGCGAGCAAUAAAUUCUGCCUACAUUGAGGUACAAAUUAAAAUGCUAUUCAUAUAGCUCUCAGUAAGCAUAUUAUGCUCAUUUAUUGUUUUUCAUUUUUGUCUAAGAUUUGUGUAAUUAAUCUGUUUCCUAGUAUAAAAACUUGCGUACAAAGUUCAUUUCUUUCCCCUCUAACAUUAUUGUAGGCACAUAGUGCUUAUCAUGGCAUUGGAAUUGUGAAAUUGAUGGGUCGGAGCAGUGGAUAUAUAGCCAUGCAUGCAUCCCUGGCAAGUGGACAAAUUGAUAUAUGUUUGAUUCCAGAGGUAUUAGUGCUAAUUUCCAUUUGUGUUUGUAUAUUUGUGUGUGCAAGAAAGAGAGCUACACUAAUGCGAUCUACAUUUGUACUUUAAAGAGUCCUUUCAAUUUGCACGGGCCUAAUGGUGUUUUGAGACAUCUGAAAUAUUUAAUUGAGACAAAGGGAUCAGCUGUGGUCUGUGUAGCUGAGGGAGCUGGGCAGGUAUGAUUUUUCUCUUAUUAACAUGAUAUUUUGACAUCAGAAUUAGAUAGUUAAGUCUAUGUACUGGAUCUUUUUCCAGUUCGAUGAUGAUUCCAAUUCUUUACAAUCAAAGCCCCAGUCAUGUUCAUUGCAUUAGAUGGAUAAGUAUCUCUAGCAGUUGCUAAGAACUGAUGAAAGCCGCUUUGUGCACAAUUUUUUUUUAAUUUUUUCUGUUUUAAUACAGAUUGUGUUUUCCGAGUGUCUCGAUUAGGGCAUUUUGUUGGCAGAGGGACCAUUUUUUGUAAAUAUAACAGAACCACAUUUGGUAGGCGAGCUAUCCUAGACUUAUUGUCUACAUGCUGCUAACAUCUGGCAAGAAAUGUUGAACUUUAAAGCAGAAAAUUUUAUAUGCAAUGUGUUUAUAGAGGAACUCUGGUUUGGAAAAUAUUCCCCCUAUUUUUCAGUUGCCAUGCACCCAUCUCAUCCCAAACCCCCUCAAAUUGCACCAAUCCCCUGCUGAGGUUGGUGAGGUAGAUUCUCACCCUUGACCUCCUGGUUCCAUUAUUAGAGGCCAGAAUAAUUGGGCUGUUUAUUUAAUGAGUAGGUCUUAGCCUAUGCAUGAGUGGCCUUGUAUAUACAAAACACUGCUCUGAUUAGAAAAAAAGUUUUGUUUUCUUAUUUUGGUGUUAUAAUUGCUCUGUUUUCUCCUCCAUGCCUACCCUUGUUCCUCUCAUCCAACAGUCACCUUUGCUUGAGUGGUUCCAGCACGCCUUUCUCAAACCUAGAAUCUAAUAUUUCAAUUUAUCAGCAUUUUAUUCUGUCUUUCUUUAAGAGCAAGUGUUUUUUUUUCCCCCUGUACAUCUAGGAUGCAAGUGAACCUCUCAAUAAGAAUCAUUUCAGCGAGUAUUUCAAAUAAUUUUGCAUGCUAUCUGGUAAUGAGUUGAAGUGAUUUAUUCGAUUUAGAUUAAGUUUGUAGUAAGAGUAUAUUUUGUGUCUCUCUUUUUGAAUGUGAAAGUUCUGAAAUGAGUAGUUCCUUUGAAGCAGUUUUUAAUAAACCUUUUAUUUCUUGCCUUUCUUCAUCCUUUGGGCUAAAGUGCUUUGUGAUCUUUCUUAUGCAGAGUUUAAUUAAGAAAACUAAUGCUACAGAUGCAUCUGGAAACGUAGUACUUGGAGAUGUUGGUGUACUCAUUCAACAAGAGGUUUGUGAUUUCAUUUUCAUUUUCAUUUUUACCUAUUUCUGUUAAAGUAAAAGAUUCUUCGUUAACCAUAGGUGCUUUUGAGUAAUUUAUUGUCAGUGUUUUCUUUGAGCAGUGACAUGAGUUGAUUUUUAGCUUUUUCUAGUUUUUCUUUUAAGAAGGAAAAAAAUUUAUAAACUGAUGAUGACAACUCAGUGAAUCAGUGAACACUAAACGAGUCAUUUAUUUUAGAUAAACCGAUGAGUCAUUGGUAAUAACUUACUAUGUUUCUGUCAGACGAAGAAAUAUUUCAAGGAGAUUGGUGUUCCCAUCGAUGUGAAGUACAUUGAUCCCACAUACAUGAUCCGUGCAUGCCGUGCAAAUGCAUCAGAUGGAAUCCUAUGCACUGUUCUUGGACAAAAUGCUGUGAGUCUGCCUCCCUUCCCUUCUUCUUUUCUUUCAAAUAAGUAAACAUAGUAGAACAAAUAGGACAAGAAUUCUUUCAAAAAGUACCUAAGAUAAUUCGAUUUGGGCAGGUUCAUGGAGCAUUUGCUGGAUUUAGCGGCAUUACAGUAGGCUUAUGCAACACUCACUAUGCCUACUUUCCCAUUCCCGAAGUCAUUUCUUAUCCUAGAGCAGUGGAUCCUAACAGCCGUAUGUGGCAUCGUUGCUUAACAUCAACGGGCCAGCCUGACUUCAUCUAAUUAUCAAAGCCUUCUAAAUUAUCCCAAAUAGUUCAGUGAGUUUCAAAGUUACACACUUUCUGAGGAACAGAAAGCUAUGCUUGCCCUUAGCUUUCUAGUUAGCUUUCUCCUUGUAGGCUAGGCUGUUAAACAAAUAAUACCGCGGAUGAAAUUUUCACCAAACUAGAGAACUAAUUUUUAAAGUGUAUAGCAUUUGUGGCCGGGGUUCUCAACAGAGAGCGCCUCAGCCAAUUAAAUUUUAUACAAAUCACCCAAGCAUUUUGGGCCGGGUUUCUAUUGUUUGAUGUAACAUGUUUGUAUUCAUAGAAUCCUAUUUACCUGUUCAUGACAUUGUGAAAUAAGCCAUUUGUUUAUGCGAGUGGCAAGAUUUAUACAUAGAGAAUUCUCAAUUCUUGAAUGUAAGAAUAUUUUAUCAAUGUUAAUUCGUAUUUGAAUGAUGUUGCUGUUAUGUGAGUUCUUUAUUACUUAUGAAUUUAUUAAUGUUAAUUUGUAUUUGAAUGAUGUUGCUGUUAUGUGAGUUCUUUAUUACUCAUGAAUUUUCACAUCUAGUUGGUAACUAUCAUACUCUCUAAAUUAAAACAAUGGCAUGUCUUGUAUGAGCAUUGCUGAGAGAUGCUCAUUGGUCGGCUAUGACUGUGAGUGAGAGAGACAACAAUAAUCCUCACCAGCUUCAGAGCACAUGACGCCAUGAAUAAGUAUGACAAGAGCUCGUUAAACAAGGGUCACCGGAUAAUAUUACAAUUUUACAGCUUACAAGUUCAACUUGAAUGACCAUGACUGGUCAAAGAUGUGCCUCUCUUUAACAGUGAAUUUUCGUCAUCAUACUGUUGUAAAAUCAGACUUUGCAUAUAUAAUAAGAUGCUGUGCCUGAAAUCCUGAAAACCCUACUCAUUUAGUCUUUCCUUUCGGCCUUUUCUUUCAUGUGUGAAGCUGUAACUUCAGCACUUGUGGGGGGCCGAACAAAUUUGUAAUUGUCUAAAAAGAAAUAGUCAAAUAAAGGGCGAUUCUGAAUCUAUCUGGAAGUGCUCAGGUUCUGACCAACUGCCCUUUUACCCAUCUCCCAUUCUAUGUUCUCCACCACUUACCUUCAGAAUUAUAAAAGGCUUCCUUUCCUUGGUUAUCGAGUCGGUCUGUCUGUGUUUAAAAACACUCUGGUCACACCAAUUUCAUCUGCCGUCAAACAUUCAAUUUCUCGGUUCCGGUGAGCAUACUUAAGACACUCAGACACCUUUUCCAUUCUUAUCAUAAUACGAUAGAAUAGGAUAGAUUCAAAUUUUGGAAUAAAAAUGAUUGGUAGUAUUUAUUUGUUAAAAUAAAAGUGAGAAUAAAAAUGAAUUAUGUAAGAGCCGGUCCAUAUGUUUUUAAGAUUAAGAAAUUAAAUGGGAAUUAAGUUAUCAGUCUUUGAACUCUUAAUUUUACCUUCACUCAAAUCUCAUAAUCUUAUUUUUGUCCUCAAUUAAAAUAUUAUUAAAUUAUUGUUAUUGCUAUUAUUGUUAUUUUGUAAUUGUUAAUAUUAAUAAUUUUAAUUUUAAUUAAUACUACUAUUAAUUAAUGAUGAUAAUGAUUUUUAAAAAUAAUAUUAAUAUUAUUAAUUAAUGAUAACAACAAUCAUUAUCAUCAUUUUUAUGUUGUUGUUGUUGGUGUUGGUGUUGUUGUUGUUGUUGACUUGUUGUUAACAAUAUUUUUUUUGAAUAAUAAUAAUCACAAUUAUUAUAAUAAAUAAUAAAAAUAAUCAAUUAAAAUUAUUUUAGUCAUUAUAGCAAUAUAUUCAGGUUCUAAGAUAAAGUAAACAAAUUAAUAGCAAUACAACUCAUUUUUAUUCUCAAUUUUACAGUUAAAGUAAACAAUUUAUUAUGAUUCUCAUUCCUCAUUUUGAUUCUAAUCCAUUCUUAUUCGAGUCCAUUCCAAUUACCAAUUAAUAAACGCACCAUGAAAUCAAAAUGAGCUAUUCACUUUAGCUGUAGAAAUUGAAAUCAAAAUGAAUAAUUUGUUUAUUUCAUCUCUGAAUUGGAAUAUAUUGUUUUAAGUUAUUAAAAUAAUCUUAGUUGAUUAUUGUCAUUAUUUAUUAUAAUAAUUAUUGUUAAUAAGAAGAAAAAGAAGGCAAAGAAUUAUGAAAUUUUAGUGGAGUAAAAUGGAAAGAUUGAGGUUUCCAUUUCUUCAUCCAAAAAAUAUGUGAGCCCUUCAUAUUUCAUUCUCAUUUUGAUUCUUAUUUUAACAGAUAAAUACUAUCAAUUAUUUCCAUUUUCGAUCGAAUUCUGAUUUCCUAAUUCCAUAAAUAAACAUGCAAUAACCAACCAUCCCUAAAUUAUGAUUUAUGAGUUGCUGCUUCUUGGACGUAACGGCCCUUAUACCUCCACCAACCUAAGUCAGUUUUGCAAUGGCUGUGACCUUGCCUGUUGGGUCCCCCAUUCCACAGUACAAAUACGACAUCAUUAAUUUUUAUUUUAUUUUUUUGUUACUCGGUGUUAAAAAUAAAGUUAGCAUUUUUACAUAUUAAGCUACCGAAUGAUGCAACCGUAGUAUGAAUAUCUAUUUCUAGUGUACUUAAUCUUCUUUUUGUUAAGAAGACUGAAUUCUUUCAUAUGCAUUAUGAACGUUAAUUUUUAUUUCUAAAUACUUAAAAAUAAAUCUAACUUGUUAUAGAUCAAAACAUUUAGACUGUCACCAUCACUUUUUUUUUUUUUUUAAUUUUAAAACCACCAAGAUGGUGGGAGGAGGUGAGACCAGACCCCCUAUCAGUAAUAUAAAUCAAAGAUUAUCAUCAUCACAUAUUUUAUUUGGAAAGUCUUAACAAUUUUGAUCGUGAAUACUAAUAUAUUAUUUGUAAAUUUUUUAAAUCUCUUUUUUAAUAAAAAAAAAAUCUCUGUAAAAAUAAAGUACAAGUACAAUCAUAAUUCCUGAUACUUUUUUGUUGAUUAAGACAAAUAAGGUAAUGUUUAACAUUUUAAAAUGACAUGUCAGUAAACUGUGCUGGUUCGUCUCAUAUGUGAUGCCCAUAUAUAUAUGCCUGUAAUUUGUCUGAUAUUGGGAUCCUUGAUUGUACAACCGGUUAUGGCGGUUUAUUUUAAUAAACCCAAUUGACCGUGCUGAGCUGUUGCUAAUCAGUCAAGAUUACAAUAUUUUACUCUUCUUUUAAAGUUUUAAUCACAGUAAAGGCUGCAUCCACUGGAUGUAAACAUCAUAUUUUUCAGAGACUCAAAAGAGGAAUCUGGCAAUGGCAACUCUUAUGCCUUGUCUGGACUCUUUCUUUAUUUACUUUUUAACUUAUCUCUGUCUGUCUUGGUCUCCCCCCCCUCCCCCCCCAAAGCAAAUUUUGGUUUUGCUCAGGAAGAAAGCAAAUGGUCAACAAUGAAUGCGUAGAGCCUUGUUAAUCGGAAAAUUUAGCCAGAGCCAAGAGAACAUGUAAAGGGUGUGUUUGAUGUAUGACAAAUUUUUGUUAUCACUCACAGGAUGUAUACUUAUUCAUAAAUAAAAGGGAAAGUUUCAAAAGAUGUUACGGCAUAUUAUAAUUGAUGAUCAAAAAAAGAAAAAUAAAAAAUUAGUAACCAAAAGUAAAACUUGUGCAAUUGUAAUAUAUCCAUAUAUAGACACACACAUCGUUUUAUGGAGUAGCUAAUUUUGGAAUAGCUGCUAUCAAAUGGUUAUAUGAAGUUGAAUAAAAAUUAAAGUUCAUAGUCAAUUUCAAUGAUGUAAAUCGCAAGAGAAAAAAAAAAAAAAAAAAAAAAAAAAAAAAAAAAAAAAAAAAAAAAAAAAAAAAGGAACCAUGUUCAUCGAUGAUCAUGAUAUUAUGUUGGCUGUUCCCAAUGUUUCCUCGUCCUUGGAAAUUUUCAUUUAAGUGUGUAGUGGGACUCUGUGAUUGCAAAUACGGACAGAUGCCUUACUCUUACAUUAUGAUUAUAUUAACUGCAUUCCAUUGAUUUUCUUUUUCCAAAUUAUUGUGCAUAUAUACAUACACACAUAUUGAAUAUGAACAUUAUCGUUGAAAGAUUAAACUUUAGAGGGGAUCGCCCCUCCUACUGGGUUAUGACUUCUACAUAAUUGAAAAUCAGUCCAUCAUACGGAUUCAUUUACUAACUUGUCCCUUGAAAAUGAAAAUCUUGUUUCAAAGAAACAAAAAAAAGAAGAAGAAGAAGAUGAAGAGUGACACGAGUCAGCAAUUGAUGAAGAUUUGAUGUUGAAAUCGAUGAUGCAAUGUGCCCAUAAUCAAUAACUCUAAAUUCAGGCACCGUGGAUUCCCAAUGUUUCAUUUUUUAUUUGCUCAGAAGCAUUUUUCAUCCAUUAUUAUCAUUCACCAAGACCGCAACCAGAACAGAACAGGACAGAACCGAAGCAAGCCCAGAUGUUGACUCGUCUUCGCUCAGUUAGAAACAAACAUCAAUGGGCCAGCUCUCUCUUCCUGCGGGGCCCAGUUCCCAAAUCCCGAAAACUAACAGACACAUCAGUAAUUGCCACAACAAAGAAUACGACACCGGUUGGAGUUAUGUUGUCAGGUCGUACGACGUCGUUUAUUUAAGGACAUUAAAAAUAAAACAGAUUGAGGCAGACUACACACAUAUUUGCUUUUUGAGAAUUUUUUUUUUCUUUUUCUUUUCCAUUGAAAUAAAAAGAGAAAAUAAACACAAAACUUAAAAGAUGUUUCUCAUCCACAUUUCAUUCCUUCUCAUAUCUUUAACUGAAAGUUAAAAACACUCUUUAUUUAUUAAUUUUUUUUCCCCUUUGCUCUAACCACAACACAUUGCUGCAGCUCCACUUCUGAUAAUCUCAAUAGCUUUUGAGAACUCAAAUUAUAUUGACAGCUGGUGUUUUUUUUUUUAAAGUUAUCUUUCUCUGAUCAUGCUCUAGGCAUGAAACCAACUUGUUGAGUCUAUUUUCACUUUGAUUUAUUUAUUCAAAGUCUUUUUUUUUUUUUUUUUUGGGGGGGGGGGGGGAGGGAUGGGGGGCUGUGUCUACUAGAGACAGGCAGACAGCUUAAAAACACACCAAAGCUCCCAUUCAACCAAAUUGAUAGGACAUUGUGUGAGAACUGAGAAGGAGGAGAAGUAAAAACUCAUGACUUGUAGUCCUCCAAUUGUGGGGAUGAUGGUUCUGAUGUGUCUUGUUGUUUCCUCCUCUUAAUAACUGAUGACGGACUACUUGUGUUAUGAGAAGAACUUGCACAUGACCUAACUGUAAUAUCCUCAGUUUUAUUAUUAUAGCUCAAGUAUGCAGCAUCCAGUACCCCAUCUGGGCUAUGAGGCAACACAGAUGAAACUGCUGACAAUUCUUUAAUCAGUUCAACACAAUUCAACACUCUUUCCUGCAAGAAAAAUAAAACCCCACUGGAAUCAGUAGAAAUAAAUAUCAUUCGUUUUGUUACCGUGGAAUGAUCCAGCCAAAAUUUUAUUUUACCUUUUCAACAUGUAUGAAACAAGAUAUGGCUUUAUCAAUGUUUUGUGCUUGCUCAUCUUCUCUUGACACAGAAAUUGCCACAGCUGCAGCAAUUUCAGAAGGCUUGAACUCCAAGAAGUCAGUAGCUGCAUGCAAUUUGCCACCCACCUCACUCAUCAAAUCCAUUAAUCCUCAAGAACAAAAAUGGGCAUUCGCAGUGAGAAAGAUACCUUUAAUUGUGCUAAAUAAAAGCUGUACUGAUCUGAAGAUUGAAGUUGCCGAUGGAAGUUGAUCAUCGUUGACCUUAGUCAGAAAGUAAUCAAUGAAUGAGCAAGGAGUAAGACACUGCAUUCUCCACUUCAAUGUGCCCAACACCAAAAGCUCCAUUUUUUGUAUGGUUUUGGCUUCAAACACAUACUUUGGUUCUCCCACCUGCUCAUUAAUACACAACGACCAGGACAAAUCAGAUUGAAAUAAACAAAUAAACCAUCAUUAUCCCUUUUUAGUUAAAAAAAUAAAUUAUUUUGGUUAAUGAAAUGAUCUUAAUUAGCUUAUACCUGCAAUUCAACUAAAAGAGGCACUUCACUCUCCUCCAUUUUGGCUGCUAGAGAUAAACAGGCUACAGUCAGCAAUUGCACAGUCCAAUCUUUGCCUUUCUGUUUGUGCCAAAAGUAUGACCAAAAUAAAAUAACAAUGAGAAGAUUAGACCCAAAUACAAAAAAAAAUGUUAAAUGUAAAGAACGAAAGAAUCAAGCCCGGGAGCCUGAACUUACAGGUAAUUCAUAAACCGAUAGGAAUCGAUCCAAGUAGUUCAUAGAUAGACAAAAACUCAUUGGUCCAAAUCUGUAAUGUGCAUGAGCCUGUUGAUGACAGUACCUAAAACUCAGUCAAUAGCCCAUUACAAGAACCAACAAAGACACCACCUUUAUCAACACAAGGCUGAAUACCAGUCAAAGAAGAAACAUCAAGACUUCAACCCCAUACAAAACUACUAACAAGUUAUAAGAAUACCGAUUAGAAAGAGAAUGCGUGCACAUAAUAAACAAAGAAAAUGUUGUUGAGAAACAAUGAAAAAAUAAAUAAAUCUAAAACGUAGUCAUUGAAAACACUUUAAAAAAAAAAAGGGCAAACAAAGAUGAGGUAGUAAAACGCAAUGAUCCGUGGAUCAAAACAAGCAAAACAAAGGGGGACCCCAGUUGAAAGAAAAAAAAAAACAACCUUGAGAAUCCAAUCGAGAGCCUCUCUCCUUACUCUCGAGUCCAAAUCCCCACUGCGCAAUCUGUUGAGGUAAUCAUGUUUAGGCAAAAGCUCUCCCUCUUUGACAGCCAUUUCUCUGAGCAGCUCCUCACUAACAGUUUGGAAGGGAAAAAAACCCAUCGGGGAAAUGGAUCUCUUGUUGAUAAAGUUUGAGUCUUGACUGUGGUUUUGACUGUUUUGGUCAUCAUCAUCACCAUUUGUGGCAUUACAAUCAAAACCAUCAAAACAAGUGUUUGUGCUCUCUGUACAUGUAAGAUUUGAGGCUGUAAAGUCAGAAAGAUUUUCUGCCAUUUUUAGGCACUGUAAUAAAAAACCAAAUUUAUAAAACUAGUAAAAAACCAAGGAAAGAUUCAUGAGAUAAGUGCUAUAUCAAUGGGUCUGUUGUGGUGGGGGAUGAGCGUUAUUCUCCAUUUUUAUUUUUAUUUACACAAUAAAAGCCAAAAAGAGAGAAAAGACCAGAGCGAGAGCGGGGGAGUAGGGGCUGGGGCUCUGAUUGUGAUUGAAGAGAUGGUAUCGUUUGUGCAAACUGCGAAGAGAGAAGGUUUAUGUAGGAAAUGUACAUUUGUUUUCUAGGGUAACCAAGAGAGUAGUAGACUGAGGGAUCGUAGAUUACACUGCCGAAUAAGAAGGAAAUUAAAAUCUUGAGAAGAAAAUAUUUUUAACAAAAAUGGAAACAUAAAAUAAGAAAAUAAGGUAAAACGCAAGACUCUGAUGAAUAUUUUAUGUUUUUAUGUUUUUAUGUUAUUAUCCCAUUAUAAGUUAAUCAUACAAUUUUCUACUUCAUAUUUCGGAUAUUUAUCAUUUCACAAGUAGGCUAAUAGUAUCAGGAUCCCUGAAAUCAUAGAACUUCUCGAUUAAGGAUAUAAUUUUUCUAUUUGUACCAGAUAGGUCCUUGUCCAGUGCCCGGUGUCACUGCUGUAAGUUGAAACUUUUUUCAUUUCAGAUAUAAUAAUAUAGUUAUCUCUAAAAAGAAAAUAGAAUUAUUAAAACAAAAAAUAGAGUUUUUAGGAUUAACAAUAGACAGAGGAAUAAUAGAAUUACAACCACAUAUAGUUAGUAAAAUAUUAUAAUUUUCAGAUAAAAUAGAAUACACAAAAGAUGGAGCAAUAUAUGAAUUUCGGUUCAAUUAAGCUUAGACAGUUCCCAUCAGGAACAAAUUUAAGUUUUAAAAGCAAGUUUCAAUUAUUAGACAUAAAAUUAGAAAUAGAAAAUAUUAAUUUUACACAACGAGACUUACAAAUUCAAUUAAACGCUAUAAAAAUAAUUGUUAGUGAAUGAGUUAAUAGAAUCUUUAGCAGAAUUAAAAAGAGAAAUUCCACAUUUAAAUCCAGUAACUAAAUAAGGGUCGUCAAUCUUCAUGAACCUAUUUCGUACAAAAUGGACAAACUACGUCCUUAUUUUAAAAAUACAAGAACUUGGGGACUAGCAUAGUAAUAAGGUUUUUGUUUCUAUUGUAUAAGUUUUCUUCUAAAUGUACAAAUAAUACUAUAUAAAACACUAGCAUAGUAAUAUGGGUAUCCCAUGUCAUUGUUAUGAUAAUAUAUUAUUAUUAUUAUUAUUAUUUUAACUUUUAUCGUCCAAUUGCUGCCUAAAAAGUGAUAAUUAUUGGUAAAUUAAAAAAAUAUAGUUAAUAUAUUGAAAAUAUUGAAGUAGCACGCAUCAUGUAUGGUCAAAUAAUGAAGGAUAAAUUUUAGACUACUCCAUGUGGAUUAAAUCAUUCUUUUACUUAUUGAAAAUUUUAAAUUAUCUUUUUUUUUUAUUCAAAAGAUACAGAAAAAAUUACGGAUGGGUUUGACGAAAUUUUUAUCUUUUUCACAAAAUAAAAAAUAAAUUGAGAUUCCAAUAAAUAAAUGACAUCAUUAAAAGAUAAUCAAUUUAUAAAAAAAAAUCUAAAAUUAGUUCAAUAAAAUUUACACCACUGCGUGUGGUUUAAGAGUUAUAACUGUGAAAAUUGGGUUAAAAAAAAAAAACAUGUACCUAACUAAUCAAAUUUAAUAGGUGAUGGCAUAUUUCGAUUGGUUUGGUGAGGGCUUAAUUUGUGUGAUGAAUUCAUAUGAUAGGGGAUGACAUGUUUGUGAUUCUGUUUUAUUAAAUCGAGAUUACAUAAUUAAUUUAACAAGCACCGUACAAAAACGUGAUCUGGUGGGUCCAUGGAUUUUACAUUAUUUAUACAUCUGCCCUUAUACUUGCAGUAUUUCUAACAAGACGAUAGCAUCUAGUAAAAUUUUUACCGGCUUUAUUAGAACAAAACAUUAGGUAAUUUUUAUGAAUUUGGAUCUCCCACUAAGCUGAUGUCGGGGUAGCAAAAUUGAUUCAGUGAUGAAUUUGGUUUAGGGACCAAGGACAGGAUGGGUUUCUAGAGAAACUUAAAUCUUAAGCUAUUAGCUUGAUAAUAUAAUUUUCGAAUUUUGCCUACUUGAACUUAUUGCUUCCUAUCAUGUUUUAUCAAUUAUUAUAUAAUAAGGGUGUAGAGCACAAAAUAUAUGAUUUUAUUUUCAGAAGUUAUUAAAAAAAAAGGAAAUACGAGUUUGCCAUUUGAUAAAAUAAAAUAAAAUAAAAUAAAAUUCUCUCAACACUUAUUAUCAUAUUUAACCAUUCUUAUACAAAAGAAUAUAUAUAUAUAUAUAUAUAACUUGAUGAUAAGUGUCGAGAGAAUCCUAUAUAGUUAGGAAAAAGAGGAAAAUAAUGGGUGAUGAUGAAACGAGAAAUUGUUGAGUACCUUUAUUGUAUUACAUCCACUUGAUAUAUGUAUAAUAUGAGUACAGGAAGAAUUAAAUAAAACUAUCAAUUACGUGAUAAUUUUUUAAAACAAAAUGUACACAUAUCAUACAUAUAUUAAGUGGGUCUAGUGCAAAAGAGAUAUUCUAAAAUUCCUCGGAAGAAGGAUUUUUUUUCUUUUGCGGGAUUGUUUUCCCUGACACCAACGAGAGAUAAGCAGAUGAUUAAAAGAGCCAGCGAAGAUUAAUGUCUAAUAGAGGUUAAAAUGGGAAGCUAGACUGGAUAGAGGAGGCACGAAGGGCAAUGAGGAUCGAUUGAUCAGGGUCAUUUCGUAAUUUCAUUAGACUCUUCGCCCCGGUCAACCGAGAUGAAAGAGAGAACGAGAGAUGGGAGGUUUAACUGAGGAAGUGUGAUUGAUGCAUGAAAUUAAGCCAACGAGGACGAGUUGAAUGAUAUUUUCUUUCAUGGAGUUCCAGACCUCCACCAACCAAACAUUGAGCAGUGAAUUAAUGGAGGUUCAAAAUGAGAAUAAGGAGGAUAGCUCUGGACUACACUGUUAUUUUACUUAUAUUUUUAUUAUAAUUUGUGUCAAAUAGUUUAAUCUAAAACGAUAGCUUAAGGGUGCGUUUGGGAUUAAGGUGCUGUAGCUUUUAAGCUAUAGCUGUUGUGAAAAAAAAGCUGUAAUUAUGAAAUAAAAGUUAAUAAUAUAUAAUAAAUAUAAAUUUUAAAUAAUAAUUUUAUCAAAAUUUUUAAAGAUAUAAUAAAUUUUAUAUUAUACAAGUGAAAAAUUAUAUCAACAUAACUUAAAAGUUACAGCAGCUAGUGUUUACCAAACACUUUAGUGCUGUAGCUUUUAAGCUAUAGCUGCCCAACCUCAAUCCCAAACACACCCUAAAUAAUCUCUAAGCUUCGACUAAGCACAAUAACAUAAAUGAAAUGAAAUAUCAUUUUCUAAAUAUCUACACUUUUGUCACCCAAAUAAUCAAGCUUUGUCCUUGAAAAUAUUUAACCGGAAGAGAAUAUUUGUUCAAAGUUUAAAAUUAGAUAAUUAGAAAAUCACGAUUACCUAAUUUUUAUUUUUUCUCCAAAAAAAAUUUCAAUUCGCUUUUUGUAUCCUAAGCUUACACCAAUCCUUUUUUUUUUUUUGAGUAAUUAUCUUUCACAGAAUCACACUUGCACUUAUUUUUUAGGAUUAAAAUCCUCUCAUGAUCUGAGCACUCAUGAUAUUUUACGAAUCUUGUGCUACUUGUGUUUUAGUGUUAGUGGAUGAUUAAAAUUUAAAUACUUUUUCUUUUUAAUUUAUUAAUCACCAAUCAUAUUAAUAGAAUUUACUCAGACGAAUAUCAGAUCAAGAGAGAAUCUUGAUCUUGUUUUUUAACCCUUUAACCUGCAUGCAGUUCUACGGAAUUGGGUCAGUGUCCAUUCCUUAUGGAAGAAGUGUGAUUCAUGGAAAGUAAAUUUGAAAAAGGAAAAGCAUAAAUAUGUAGCUCCGUUUGCAACCAAUAAAUUACUCUAAGAAGGAUGUACCAUUAGCUGUAUCAUAAAAAUAUUAAUUGAAAUGGGGUGCCAGAAAAAAGCCAGUUGAGUGCAUUGUCUACCGUUUACAUAUUUGAAGAGUGUGAAAUGUGAACUCAAUCCAAUGGGAUGAACAAUGCUUAAUAUGUUUUUCCACUAUUCUUAUUUAUUUAUUUCAAUCCCAUUGACUUGAGUGGAAGUUUGGAACCGGGCCAUAAUUGUAAAUCGUCCUUUAAUCGAGACUCAUAUUUUGAGUUGGCUGGCCUACAUGCUAAAUUCACUUCCCAACCUCUCAUUCCUUACUAUAUUGUACAGUCAAAAAGGAAGCACAUUGAGAGUUGUAAACUACGUGCACCGGCAUUAAUUGACAAAUCAUGUAAUAAACCCCUCUUGCAUCCAUGGAAGAAACACUUAAAAAAUUUAAAAUUUAAGAUAAAAAAAAAAUCAAAUCACCUUCUUUUAAGACACAAAAUUUUCAGAGUGGUGGGCUGCUGCCCUCACAAGUAUUGUGAGGGCAGCGGUUCAAGCAUCCCUCUUUUAAUAUUUCAAGAUAGAAACACGUGCUUAUUUGUUUAAUAUUUCAAAAAUUUCUUCUCCCUCGUGCAAUACGAGUGGAGUAUGGACAUCCCUCUUCUGUAAGGGAUUAUUUGUCUGGGCAUGUACUUCACAGAAUUCAAUGUAAUAAUAUAAGUCCCAAUCAUGUAUUUCUGAUUGUAAAUAUCAGUGUAAUAUAUCUGCUAUAAUAGCAGUUGUAAAUAUCUGUGUAAUGCAGUAAUAUGAUGAUUAAUCAGUAUUCAAAAAAAAAAAAUUGUCUUUGACGGCUAAUGUGGACUCUUACUAGAGAUGCUCUCUUUUUACCAUCUCUUUUAAGUGGUUCUAUCCCAAAUAUUCUCGUGGACAAAAAUAAAGAAGCACUUUUCACCACCAUAAAUUUUAAUUUGCAAAUCACGUGUAUGCUGCAAAACCCAGCAGCAGCCUUAACUUGACUUGUUUACUUGUAAGUGCUUCUUAAUACAGAGAUCAGCAAAGCUCAGAUCAUAUACAACAUGCAAACAAUGGGUGGGGGUUGUGGUGGUCCAAAGGAAACUCUUUUAAGAUUUAGUCUUAUAUUGUGGUUGAGAUUCGAGCUCUCGAAAGUCGGAAGAGCUUCUUCACAAUCCCUCCAUAUUCUCUCUAUAAAAUGCCGUGCCAUCAAAAGCAUGCAUCCAGAACAUCAGCCAUGGCUUCUGCUGCUGCUCCACGAUAAGCGCUGAUUGCAAAUUCAAUUUCUUACAUAAAAAAUGACUUGUUACGCAUCUAAUUGUUUGCCCCCCUUUUGCCAUCUAACCCACUUGCUAUUUAUUUAUUAAAUCUUUCCCAAUAUCUUAACGAUAUUUUAUUACUAUUUUUAUUAUUUUAUUAAUUUUUUUCUUCUUUUUUAAUGUUAGGAGUUUAACUAACAUUAAUUAGCGAUUCAACUCUGAACAAACUGAGAACCUCUCAUUGCAUAAUCAAGAAAAGUUAGUGAUUAGGUGUGCCACUCAUCUGAUAUUCUCAGUUCUACUUCAAUGUUGACCGCGUCUCAUCAUCGUCUAUCAUGGGUUGAUAAAAGAAAACCCACUCUGAACAUCCCAGUCAGCCUCUCAAUAUUUCAUAGUAUGAUAGAAUUAUCAAAUGGACUAUAGAGGAUAUGUGUAGAGAUCAAAUCUUCACUUUUUCUUUUUUUAAAUUAAAUGAGACUAUUACUUAAGAUAUAACAUAUUACAUGAUACUAUAAUUGCUAUUUACAAUCACAUAAUAAUUGAGAUUAAUUUACAUCAUAACUAAUAUUUACAAUCACAUUAUAACUUAAACUAAUUUACAUCAUAACUGAUAUUUACAAUCAUAUAAUAAUUAAAAUUAAUUCACAUCAACUCUUAUAUAUAACAACUUAAAUUUUAAUCAUUUUUAAUAGUCGAGGGACUUCAACCUUCACUCAAGAGAUGAGAAAAUAAAUUUAAAUAAACCCCCACAAUGCUUCUGUAGGAAUUCGAACUGCUUCUGUAGGAAUUCGAACCACUUUCCUCACAAGCUCUAGUCACGGGCUCAGGCCCAGUGGUUGAUCAAAUCUUCACUUGAAACCGAGAUUUAAACCAUGUUUUAAUCUCAGUUUUACUUAACUAUCAAAAAUUCAAAAUAAAGUUUGAUAUAGACGGUUUCGGGUUUGGGGUGGGGAGGUUAAAAAUAUAUAACUUUAUCAAAUGUGUCUCUUCAUGCACAUUGAUACCUCUAUAUAUAAACAUCUAUGAAGCAAAUAGCGUGUCCAUAAAAUAUGGCUAUAUUAUCACUCAUCAGUUACAAUAGAUACAAAUAUGUAUAUCUUUGUAUGUCUUCAAAGAUUUAAAAAUGAAAUUCAUCACCUAUUCAUCUCUCUCUCUCUAGGCAUUGUCCCACACAAGCAACAUAACAAAUCAAGGGAACACACAAUGCGACCUAGACAACCUGUGUACAAGCACAUCAAUUAAUCACGAAAUAAACUAGAGUAACCAUUAAGCUCAUACCCAAUAACUUCUACGUUUGUGUAUUAUACUUGAUUAAAGGGAUUAAGAGUCCAUUUAAUCUUUGAGGAUUUGUAAUAGGUUGCCAGAAUUGGUAUGUAGUUCUAUAUCCACUGGCUAAUAAAAUUGCUGCAGGCUGAAGAAUUUCAAAGCCAUAUAGAAGCUACAUACUUAGCACAUCAUAUACUGACCUACUCGUCCCACUUGCAUAAAGUUUGUCAGAUAUUGUAACGAAAUCCAAAAGGAAGACAACACAAGUUUACAACUGAUACAUAGUCAACUAAAAUCACACUUGCUUUACAAUUCAUGACAUUCAAAAGCCCACCUCCCCAGAGGAGCAAACGAUCCAUACCCUUAUGCCUCAUCUAUCUGCUCCUGCACAAAGCCCAGUAUCACAUCACUAAAAUAUUGGCUAAAAUUUAGUAAAAAAAGACAAUAAUGACCGACAUCGAAGGUACAAUUACCCUGUUACCUAAUAUACAGACUCGUAAUCACUAUUUAUUGCAGACAAAGACCGUGCUAGAAAAAAUUAAUAGUUGAGUGCAUUUGUAUGCAUAGAUUAACAUUAUUUAGUUUCUCAUUGAGUUUGAAGCAAUAUCUAGGAUUUACAAGAUGAGGUCAUCUGGAUACAUGCUACAGACACACUGUUCACUGUUUUGUUCCUCUAAAAAAUGACUCCAAAUUCUUGCUUUUACUUUUGAAAUAUUGAGAAAAUUCAAAAGUUUCUUGUUUAUCUCUUAUUUAUCUCUGCAUGUGCACCUGUAGCACAAGAUAAAUAAAUACCCCUGAACUGAAAAUUGCACUGACCUGCAUAUCUGAGGUCCACAGAGUGAGGUUGUCUCUUAGCAAUUGCAUGAUAAGAGUGCUAUCCUUGUAGGAUUCUUCACCCAAAGUGUCCAGCUCAGCAAUGGCCUCCUCAAAGGCCUGAAAAACUCAAAAGUAAUUAUUUGAAAAGUUCCACAUACAUGAACUGAUUUAGUAAAACAAAGAACUUCAUGCUUGUGUACCACACAUACAGACCAAGAAAAGGAACAAGCAAAAGAUGUUUGUCGUGAUCAGCCAUUAUUAACCAUCAUGGUAUUUAGAAUGCACUUUAGUACUAGGUGAAGUGAUAACAAUUAAACAAUGUUUUAACUAGCUAGGCAUCAAAGACUAGACUCCACACAUAUUAUUGUUUUUGCAUAUCAGCAAUUCUCUCAAUUCCUAAUGAGCUGAGUUGUCUCAAUUCUUUUUACUGAUACGCAUAAUCAACAUUGUUCUGUCUCCAUUUUGGAAAUUUAAAUGGCUACAGCUUCACUAUAGCUUCAUUAUCAGAACUUAUGUUUUAAUCUUCUGAAAACAUGAUCCCUGGGGCUGACAAGUACAGGUGACUUAUUUUUCACAUUUGCCUAUGGAUCUACGCAGGAGCCAGGACAAUGUCAUUCAGAAUUCAAGUCAGCCUUUGGAAUUAUGCGCCUUCCAUAAACCAUUAUUUCUCUACCUUGCAUAACACACUCAGGGAAUUAUCAGCAUACCACUCAAAUACAUUUCCUAAAAAAUAAUGCUUAAUCCUUACCUCCGUAAUGAUAGGAUUUGUUUAAAAUAACACAAUUAACAAAUGGAGAAAAUUCCCUAACUGCAAUCUAGCCCAUAACAUGCAUGCUGCACUAGUAAUAUUCAAUAUACACUCACUUGAGGAAGAUUUAACCAGGUUAGAUCUCAUCAGUCAUCUCAGACACAACCAGCUUAGAAACCAAGAAAAGGAGAAACUAACCUUGUCAAUGUCUUCUCCUGUAAGAAGUGAAAAUGAUGCUUAACUAUUUUCUUAACUUAAAACUCGGUAUUAACAAAAUUGACUUAUAUAGGCAGCAGAGUUACUUCUUUGUGAAAUUGGCUUUCUUCAAAGUAAUAUUUCCAAGACAUAUUUGCAAUUCAAUAACAUGGAGGAAUUUCCAAUACUCUUUUCUUUUGUUCAAAGCCUCUUUAUUGUGAUAAUUGCAUUCUUUAUGAAUACUGAACAUGCAACAUGAUAACAUUAAAUGAUUGUCACAGAAGAAUCAAGAGGCACAACUGGAAAAGCAGUUACGAAAGAAGAGGUAAUUGUGACCAGUAUGAUCAAAUAGAUUUAAAAUCAAGAGUCCUAAAAAGAGGCAUAACUGAAAAUACAACAUGAAUGUACCAGCUAUAAAAUCAAGAGUCUUAAAAGGAGGCAUAACUGAAAAUACAACAUGAAUAACCAGCUAAAUACAAACAGAAUGAUCAACCAGAUAUAAGAUGUUUGUAUUCUCCAAUGCUAUUCUAGUAGAAGCAAGAAGCAGCCAUGAAGAUAUAAAGGCCCAAUUCUAACAGAAAUAAAGUGAGAAUUAAAUUGACAAGUUUAAUGGAUACACAUGAAGAAAGUUAGAACAACUCGUGACAACUCAAUAAGUUAGCAGCCAUCAACAUUAAUUAUAUAUACAAAGGAAUUAUGUUUAGAUAUGAAUUCCGGUGUUAGUGAUAUUUAAUCAAUAAACUCGGCAGGGCAAGCAACUCUGAUACAAAACACUAUAGUAGUUAUAGAUUUACUAAUUAAAAUAAUAAUAUAAUUAUUAUAAGCCUCUGGCAACCAUGAGGAAUGAAGCAUACCUGUUUGGCCAUGGUACAAGCUUUCUCUGAUGAAUUGAGAAUCUCAUAGUAAAACACUGAGAAGUUGAGUGCCAGCCCCAACCUUAUAGGGUGUGUUGGCGCCAGAUCAGUCAGUGCAAUAUCCUUCAAACAAGGGAAUUAAUUCGAAAUUAUUUAAUAACUUGAUGAAAUUUGUUUAAACGGAGGGAAAAAAAAAGGAUUAUAUAGUAAAUCUAAAUUCGAAAUUACCUGAGCCGCCUUAUAAGACAACAUAGUGUUUUCAGCGGCGGCCUUCCUCUCAUCACCAACUUUAAACUCCGCCAAGUAACGGUAAUAAUCUCCCUUCAUCUUCAAAUAGAAGACUUUGGACUCACCAGCAGUAGCCGAAGGCACAAGGUGCGAGUCCAGCAACUUCAAUAUGCUCCCGCACACGUCAGAUAACUCAGACUCUACCUUUGACCGAUAGUCUUUGACCAGCGAGACGUGUUCCUCGUUCUUGCGGCCUUCCUCUUUCUGCUCGAUCGAGGAGAUAAUACGCCACGCGGCGCGAAGAGAGCCGAUGACGUUCUUGUAAGCAACGGAGAGGAGGUUGCGCUCCUCGACGGUGAGUUCAGUCGCCGGAGUGGAGGAAGUGACGAGGCUGUCCAUGAACUUAACCAUCUCUUCAUAGCGCUCGGCUUGCUCGGCGAGUUUCGCCAGGUAAACGUAUUGCUCUCUCGUCGGGGUUCCCAUAGCAGAAUUGCAGAAACUGUAAAGUUAACUGGAGGGGAAUUGGAUCUUCUUCAAAGAAAAAUAUUCAAGUGAUUGAGAUUUGAUUUGAGCGUGGCUUAUAUUACGAGGAAUUUAGUUGGCUCCAAAUGACUGUCAGGAGGACUUACGCGCGAGAGUGAGUAGCUCUUAUUACUCGCUACCAACUAGCAAAGCCAGACAGGCAGUUGCAGUUGCAGUUGUUUUGUUUAUGGAGGGAUACGGCGGCGUUUUUACCGAGGUGCGAGGUUAAGCUGAUUUUGAGCGCGUGUGGAUGGUUUUCUAGGACCAAUAAUGCUGAUAGGAGAUAAGAGUGGGAAUGACAGAGAUGAUAUUGGAUUAUUUGACCAGAAUCCUAUUCUAUCCUACUGGGCCGUUAAGUCAAAGAGUUGUUCUUUCGAUUUGGACUAACAAUUUUCUUAAGUAAAGAGUUUUUUCAAUUCAUUUUUCUACAUCAAGAGUUUUUUACGUGCGAACGUUUGAAUUCUUUUUCAUGAUCCUGACACGGGGAAAAUAUCAUUCACUAAGAAAUUGUAAAAUAGAAAAUGCGUUUAUUAUUCGUUAAUAUAUUAAAAGAAGUGGAUGUGCCAUUUUUCAUGAAAUAAAGUGGAUGUUCUUAGCAAAGGAUGCGGGUGUAUUGAACAGGUUCCAAUAAAUGGGGCGAUCCUUAUCCUGAUUCGUAAACAUAAUGGUUCUGGCUCAAGACAUAUUGCGAGUGCAUAUUAACAAGGUCGGAUUCUCGGAAAGGGUAGGGGUGUAUUUAAUAAUGUGGCCCAAAUGGAGCAAAAUGGCACUGCCAUUGCCGCCCACUUUACUAUUAUUGCUUUAUUCUUCGUCUGAGUUGACUAUUAUUUCGAUAGUAUCAUUCUGCCACUUAAAAAUGAAAAAACUUGGUCAUAUGUUGUUAACGAUAAAAUAGCUUCGCCCAUGGCCUAGUAGUGGCCCUCGGCAUACAAUUGGGUUCGCACCAUGGCUCCUUAGGAAUUGGGAUGGCUUGCUUGUCGUUAAAUUUUGAAAAAAUGAAAAUAUUUGCAAGUUAAUUUGUUGAAGAAGCAUGUAAUUAGUAAGAGUUCCAUGUCUGGUGGUCGUUCAACAGCAAAGCUAUAAACAAAUAAAAUGACUUGUACUGUCGGUGAUACCAGUAUGUUACAAUCAUAGCACUAGAUCACAGUGCAAUCAUCCAAUUAUGUUUUACUAUUGUCACGUACACAUGUGAUGUAUUUAUGGUGACUUAAACUUAGCAAUUAGAGUGUUGUAUGAGUGCACGCAAUGGAUGAAAUUGAAUGACAGCAUGAUGGCAUAGCCAUAUCCACUUCAUCCUCUAAAAAUGAAAUAUGUAGAGGAGCAUCAUCAAUAUUUAGAUAAAAAGAAAAAUUAAUUAGUGUUGCAAUUGCACAAUUACAUAACAUUUAAAUUCAUCAAGAAAACUUACGAUAGAGAGAAAAAUCGAGAUGUUGCAUUCAUCACUUGUUAGUUAAUUUGAGAAAGCUUACACUACAUCAUUACCUCAAUAUUUAUCGUCAUUAUCACUUAGAAAGCUCACAUUACAUCGUCACUACAAUAUUUAUCAUCAUUAUCACAUAUCAUCAGUAAAAGCUAAUGAAUCAACCUCAGUCAAAGUGGAGCAGAAGGUGCGUGCUCUAAGCCAAUGAAUCAACCUCAGUCAAUAUUUUUUACACCGCAUAUGAAUUAAUUAAUUUAGUUAUCAUCAUUUACAAGUUAAUUACAAAGAAAACUGAGAACAAGAAUAAAAUGCAAUUAAUUAACAGAGAAGUUGAGUUUUACCAAUGGUGUUGAGCAUGUGAUGAUCAGAAACCCAGGAUUGAAUGGCCUUCCCAUCUUCUUUUGUUUUCUGCUAUUCAAAUUAAUGUUUACAGAGAACUUGAGUGAAAAAGACUAGAGUGAGAGUGGAGACGGGCACCGACUUUGCUAUUCAUAGAUAAAGACAAUGGUGUUGAGGUAAGUGCUUCUGCCUUUUUGUGGCCGCUGGAUUUGGUUUUUACUCUUUUGGAACACUGGUAACUUCGAGGAAACUUGAGGCCCCCCUUGUGGACAAACAAAAAUUUUGUGAAGGUAACAAGUUUGUCGUUUAUAGUUUUAUGACAAAAUAAAUUAAAUCGUUUGUCGUUUGUCACUGAAAAAUUACUUUUUUUUGUGACUAAACAUUAUGUCUCAAAAAAUAAACUUUUUAAUGUCUUAAUCAAGAGUGGUAACGGUGAUGGAAAGGUCAGUCAUCAAGAUUGAACGUCAAGCGCAUUAAAGUUCAAAUGCAAAUACUCAAAUUAAGUAAAUUUUAGUUUGAAAAAAGAAGCUAAUGAAUGAGAGAAGUCGAUAUAAAGAUUAAAACAAUACCCCAAUACUGAAGUUUGAUUCAGAUGGGCUGCGCUCAACGGUAACUGCUGUGGAGCUGGCGCAGUGGCACGUGGUUGGUGAGGCUGUUAGUGGUUGCUGUGUUUCACGAUUUUAAUUAAUGAGCGGCUAUGUCAUGCUUUGUGAUUUUCAGGUUUUGUUUUUAUUCAAUAAUUAUCUAACAAAGGAUGCCCACUUUAACUAAAGUGGAGGGUACAAUUUGGACCGCUCUAUUUAGAUCCAAUAUCCUUUUUUAAACAAUUUAAAAUUUGAGCCACUCCGCCUUUGGCCGAGUGGUGAGAGCUGCUGCUCUCUAAGUUGGAGAGCAGCAGUUCGAACCCCCACAAUAUAUGUAAGGGUGUUUCUUUUCUUAAAUAAAAUUGAGUGAAGGCAGUCUGCUUCCUUGCCCCAGUGCGAGGAGUAAACAUCUUUCGAAUAUUUGAGAGGGUUAAAAUUUGGGCAGCGCUCCAUUAGAUUUAAUGUAUGUUGGUUCCAGUUAUAGUCUGAUUUGUACAUAUCAGUUAUAUUUUCAUAUAAUAUGAGUUGUAAUCUGAGCAAUAGUCUCAUGUAAUAAAAAAAAAAAACAAUUUAAAAUUUGCAUGUGAUAGGGUCCACCAAAUUCAACGGCUUUAAUUGGUUACGUAAUAAUUUUUGUUAUAUCGAUCAUGAUUCAUGCAUCAUUUUAUUUUGUUUUAAAAAACAUAACGACAAAAAUGCACAGCAGGGCAUAAAGGAAUUAGUUGAAAAGUUAGUCAAUCCCAUCAAACCAUAUCAAUGUACACAUAAAUUUUUGGAAAUUAUUUAUGGCUCAACUGCAAUUACUGUAACAAAAUAAAUUGUUCAUAAAAAUACAACAUUAGUCAAGCCAAAACUUUCAAUUGCCUUUUUUUUUUUUUUUAGUUAUUGAAAAUAAUUAUCUAAGACCAAAAAACAAGGUCUUAAGAUAUCAAAAAAGCAUAAUAGCUUUGAAAUCAAAUUAUCUGUCGUAGAUGGUUUGGCCAAAUCAUAAUAUUAUUCUGUGACUAAAUUUGAAAUUAUUGUAAAAAGAAAAAAUAUAUAUAUAUCGUCUUUCAAAUUCUAAAUUAUUGUAGUGACUAGGAAGUGUCUGCUGCUUGUUUCAGAAUUCAUACUCUCAACUUCGCGCAAAAACAUGUGCUCACAGGCUUACCAUUGAACCCAUUGCAUUUUUAUCCUGGAUCUUGUUCCUAAUCCAGGAACCAUAAAAUGUUCAGAAAUACAGAGAGUAUUUUAAUUCCAGCAUGAAGUCAAUCCAAUCCGUCAGACAUUUAUAUUUUGCAUUAAAAUAUUUUUAACUUGAUUAUAAUUAAGUUAAUUUCUUGCUGACAAAACCAUGGAAACCAUUGAUUAUUGUACGCAGAUACGUGAACUUCACUGAUUAGCCAUUAUUGUAAUUAUAAAUUGAGUUCUACUAAGUUAUAUUUUAACUCUAUUUAUAAAUUGGGAUUAGAAAUUAUGAUUAUCUCAUGAUCUGAUUUUCUCCUAAGUAAAAAUAUACAUGAGUGAUUGAUAGUUAAUAAAUAAAGAAAAUGAUGAAAUUAAAUCUUACCCAUACACUAUUACUUAAAUACACAUGACACAAGAUCAUUAAAAAUUCGUGAGAGCUCAGAUAAAGAGAGUGAUUUUUAUCCUAUAAAUUGAGUCCUGUUAAGUUAUAUUUAUUAUAAAUAAUAGUCCAAUUGAAAAAAAAAAUGUAAAAAUCACACAAUGGCACUUGCCCUAUCUGUCAUGUUACUAAUGUUUAUAUGUUUUGGUUGGAUUGUAGAUUGCAACAAAUAUAACUUAGAAAAACCCUUAUAAAUUUUAUCUUUUCAAUUUAGAUAACUGUCGGGAGCCAGUAGUUUUCUGAAAGUAAAAGCUACAGGGAUCAUCCUUGAAAACGCUAUAAUUUCGCCUAAGUUUGGGACCAAAACGAUGUACACGUUGUUACCUGGACCUACAUACAAGAAGAAUGGCUAUUCACAAAUCACGCGAUAUGGGUUGGUUUGUUUGGAAUGCGAAAGGCGGACAACUUUGAUAAAUGGAAACUGGGUUUGAUCUUGUAAAAUCCUUUUCAUAUCUAUAAAUGAAUGCUGCAAUUUCAGUUUGCCUCUGUAAUUGGACAUCUGAUACUUUUUGCGUCUGAAGCGUUCUGGUUUUGGCAAAUUAACUUUUAAUCAGAUAUAACGAUUGGCUGCUGCAAUCAUUAAUAAUCUGUUUACGUACAACGCCACACAUGUUCAUAUUAGAAAUAUUGUAGCUUAUUACAAGAUGCAGAUAAUUUUUCAAUUGAUUUUUCUGCAAUUGAUCCUGAUCUGUCCAGCACUUCCUGUAAGAGGUUUGAUGUUGCCCAUCUUGAUCAUACCCCUGGCGAAGUCUUUAAAAAAAACAGAGAUGCUAGCAGCGUAUCUUUUGACCAGAAAAUCAGCAGAAUUGCCAUUAAAGAGCUGUUGGUCAGAAUGAAGAAGCCCCUUCUUGUUCAACAGAUUCUUGUAAUAUAAAUUGUCAAAGCACGUUGGAGUUUGACGGUCAAGGUUUGCCAGAACAUUGUCAUUUCCUCUUCUUGGGCAUCUCUGCUGCAAGGACCUGGCGAAGCUGGUGUCAAUAUUGGAAUCGUUGUAAAUGUGUCCUCGAAAUGAUGUGCACCUUGCCUUGCCUACCGUGUGUCCACCUGCCAAUGGCCAUAUACAUAAGAUGAGCUCUGUCAAUUAAUUGGUCUGCUGAGAGUUGCAGUAUGUGAUUAAGGGCGUGUUUGAGAUUGAUAUACUGUAAUUUUUAAGUUACAGCUGCUGUAGAAAAAAAAAUAUAACUAUAAAAUAAAAGUUAGUAAUAUAUAAUAAAUGUAAAUUUUAAAUAAUAAUUUUCAUAAAAUUAUUAAAAAUAUAAUAAAUUUUUCAUUAUACAAAUGAAAAAUCAUAUCAACAAAGUUUAUAAAUUAUAGCAGUUAGUGUUUACUAAACACUUUAGUGUUGUAACUUUUAAGCUAGAGCUGACCAACCUCAAUCUCAAACACACCCUCAGUUAGAUGAUUCACUGAAUUUAAUUUGUAGCAUAUUAGUGUAGACCAAGUAAUAACUACAGUUGAAUUACCAGCAAGAGCCACCAUGUUCUUUAAUGAGAGACCCUGUGCCGAGAAGCUUGAUAUGAGAGCACUCAAAUUAGAAGUGGGUGGAGGGAUGGAGGUAUUUGCAGCUGCCCUGCUAGCAGUGGUAGAAUCUCUUCUUCCCAAUCUAACUUUCCAUGAAGGACCUCCGAACUGCAAUUGUGCCAAAGAAACGUUGCCCCACCCAAAAAAAAUAAUAAUAAUAAUUGAAGCAAGUGGAUAAAUUAGUACAUGCAGGAGACUUGAUGAUAGUCAAGAUUAGAGAUUUCAAGAUCUUCAUCAAUGUAAUUAACAUGGAGACUAGCGGGAGCUUACAACAACAACUGAAUCGCGUGCGGCAAUGGCAAGAAUAUCUGCACACGAAACAACACGGGGGCAUGCUUUCUCCAGAUUAGCUUUAAUCUGAUCCACCACGUUGAACCCUCUGGCCGAGUUAUUGUUAGGAACUGCUGUUUUCUCUCCUAUGAAAUUGGCCGUAUCAUCCAACAGUACCGAUCCAUCGCAGCCCUGAUUGUCAUCAUUCAGUUGAAAUAGCUUUAGACUAAUUAUAACACAGAACAGACAAACGACCCAAAACAAACAAAGCAUACAUUGACAAAGCAGUCGUGGAAAUGAAGUCGAAGUAAAGACGCCCCUACGCGUGUUUCAUUUUUUAUAGCAGCUAUAAUCCCUGCCCGAACAAUAGACAAUGCUUUUGGGCAUGUGGAUUUGUAGUAGUUUGUUGAGAGUUGGGAGUUGGCUUGAUCAAGAGUUGCAGUGACAAAAGUAAGUAUAAGAAGGAGAAAGUAGUAACUCGUUGCUGCCAUAUCUAGCACUUCUGCAGUCGUCAAGAGAGAUUUUUGCCUUUAUAAAUACGUAUAUAUUCGCUAAACAGUGACUUUAAUACUAAGCCCAAGCAACACAGCCCCAAUAAUUCUGCUGAGAUGGCGUACGAUUUUUGUUUUAGUUUGCCGACACUACUCUAUAUUGAGACCAUUGUGGCUUGAUAAAUUUGAAGGAUAGGGAAUAAUGCUUCUAUAACUGGAUGAAAUUUUGCCCUGCGCAAGACCAGUGGGCUUAAUCAAGCUGGUUACGACAUCAUAUUCAUGUGGCCCAGAGCUUACUUUUUUAUUGGUGAAAGAAAAACAACAUGUGAAAGUUGAUAAAGUUUGCUUUCUCCAUGCAAAUGCCGAACAGGUGUCAUGGCAUAAUCACUGCUCAUCUCAAGCUGGAACUGGGGAUACGAGCGACGAGGUUUUGGAAUGCCUAAUUGGAAUUAAUAAUCAAAUUUAUUUCGAUUUGUUUUUAGCUAUUAAUUCGCUUUCAACACCGUCAUCAUAUUUAUUCGAUACGUGCUCCCAACAAUUUUCCAACAAGAUUAUUUGACGAAGGCGCAUGCAAUAAUGAAGUUGUUAAUCGAUGAUAUUGACAUUGGUGUUUUUAUUAUUAUUAUCUUUCUUUUUGUCAAUCAGGGAAAUUUGUGGAGUCGGAGGCGAAAUGAUUAGCAGCGAUUAGCAUACCAUGAAAAAAUUGAAUUUUUUUACGAAAAAGUUAUUUGUCCUGACAUUAACUCCGAAUUACACCCUGAAUUGAAACGCACCGUUUUAAUUAAAUAGAAAACGCAUUGUUUAACCUUUCCUUUUGACGAGAAAUACGAGCAAAAUCUCUCUCUUAGGUGGCGUUUAUUUUUUUGUCUGAAAUCUGAAUAGAUCUGAAUUAGUCUGAAUUCUGAAUAGGUCUGAAUGUCUGAAUCUGAAUAAUAUGUUUGUUUUUUUGUCUGAAUUUCAAAAAAUAAGUAUUAAGUUGUUUGUUUUUUUCAACUUAAAAAGCUGAAAAUAUGUACUUUUACAUUUGUAUCCUUAUUAAAUUUGAAUGUCAAAUAAAUAAUAUAUUAAAUACCACAAUAUUUUAACAUUUAUAAAUAAAACUAUAUUCAAGUGAAUACAUAAUUAUUUUAGAAUUUUAAUAUAUAAAAUACCAUAAAUUUCAAAUUUUAUCGUAUAUAAUAUAAGAAAGAAAAAACAGGGAUAUUGUUAUGUGGGGUAAAUAUCUAUGGGUGAGUUUUGGGAUAGAAAAAGUUAUUUGCCCCAAUUUUAAUCCUGAAUUGCACCCCGAAUUGAAACGAACAGUUUUAAUUAAAUAGAAAAUACACCGUUUAACUUUUCCUUUUGACGAAAAACGCGAGCAAAAUCUCUCUCUCAGUCUCUCUUUAUUCUCAGUCUCUCACACCCGCAAAAAUCUACAAUCACUGAUGGGACAACCGACACAGACGACGGACGAGCCCCAGACGACGAACCACCGCCAUCACUUGGUUGAUGUCUCUGUUGCCAUCACGACAGUCACGCGACAACUGGCACUCACAAAGCUAACACGCAACAGCCGGCAGCACUCCCUCCCGACAGCCGGCUCCCCUUGGCCAGGUCUCCAUUGCCAUCACCGAUAUUUCUGCAUCUGAGGUAAUGGAAUAAUUCUUUUAGAGUUGAUUGAGAUUUUUGGUUGAUUCGAAAUUCCUGGUGAUUUGAUAAUGUGUUUGUGUGUUACUGGUUAACGCAACUGAAGAUGAUGUUUGAUUCAUGGUAGAUAUCUUGCAUAAUUUAACAAAUUAUAAUUUAAUUUAACAAUUUGUGAAUUUGCCAUUUGGAAAACUCGAAUUUGCCAAUUCGGCUAAAGAAGAUGUGUUAUUAGUUGACAAUUUGCCAUUUGGGAAACUCGAGCUGCACCGAGUGUUGAGUGUUUUUUUUUUUAUUACAUGAGACUAUUGCUCAUAUUACAACUCAUACUACAUGAGACUAUAACUGAUAUUUACAAAUCAGACAAUUACUGGGACCAACUUACAUCAAUGCUAAUGGAGCUCUGUCCAGAUUUUAACCCUCACAAAUAUUCGAGGGAUGUCUACUCCUCACUAAUGGGUAAGGGAAAAGACUACAUUUACUUAAAUUAAUUGAGAAAGAAAAUACCUCCACAAUAUUUUUGUGGGAGUUCGAACUGCUGCCCUCCAACUUGGAGGGCAGCAGCCCUGGCCACUCGGGCUGAGCCGAGUGGUUGGGUGUUGGGUUGAAACGAAAGCAAAUAGAAGGACAAACACGUGCUGCACAGCUGCAAUGAAUUAAAGAAGCGGCGUCGUUUGGUUUAAUCAGCAAUGCUCACACACACGUGCUGCAUAGCUGCAAUUAAAAAGGAAAAACGACCGUUUUAAAACGCAGCGUUUUGGUAAAAUUUGGGGCGCAAAUUUGGGGUUCAGUUCGGGUAAUAUAGCAGCGCUGAAUUUUUUAAACCGUAACGAGGGGGAGAGAGGGAGAAGGGUGGCGGCGAAAUUUUCGGCCCAGCCUUUAUAAGUAAAUGGACUGGCCCAGUUAUCUUUCUAAUAAGUUAGGCCGACUCAGAAAUUUUCGACCCAGCCUUUAUUUGAGCGGGGGACUUCUAUAAUUUGUAUGAAACUUCUGUUUUCACAUUUAUAACUUUUUCUUUGCUGAAAAUUACAAUACAAUUUUAAACAAACUAGAAUAGAUUAAUUAAAUUCUAAAUGUACAUUUUUUUAUAAUAAAGUUCUUAUUAUUAAAUAGUUUAUUUCUUCGUUGUCUUUUUUUUUUAAUUUCCUAAAAAAAUUUAAUUAUAUCAUAUAUUAGAUUUAGAGAUAUCUAGGGUUUAUAAUUUGUAAGGACAUUUUAGUUUAAUUAAAUUCAUAUAUUUGUUCUUUAAUGGUUAAAUAUAAAGUUUUAUAACAAUAUUAAAGGGGUAUGAAAAGCAUUAUUCUUGUUAUCACUGUUAUUACUAUUAUCGUUUAGGGUUUGGUUGAUUUCAAAUGAAAAUUCAGUAAACAUUAAACCAAUUGUCAUUUCAACAAUUUCGUUUGAAUUAUUUAUCUAAUGAUUAACUGACUGGAUAGGAAAAUUGUAGUGGAUCUGGUAAUUUCAAAUAUCCUAUGGGUUCAAAUUAUAAUUAUUUCAGAUUUCUUUUUUGCCCUUUUGGACACAAGACCAUGCGAUCAGGAUCUAGUGUCUACAAUAAUAUUAUCCUCAAAUUAAAACGGUUUUUUUUUAUUAAAAAAAAAGGGAAAUUUUUUUGAUAAUGCAUUUUGCUUGUACGUGAAACGAGGGAACCCUAAAAAAUUGAAGCACAGUCCUAUAAGAGUGUCAAAAGCAUUUCCUUUUCCACCAGGGUAAGCCGUGGAAGCUAAUCUGUGCCUUAAACGAGCUCACUUCACGCUCACGUCUUAAACGCUGAGGAGGCUACUGAAAAUGGAGCUCUGUACAGCCAUACAAACACAGUCAGCCAUCUCCAAUCACCACCACCCAUUCCUCACCGCCACUACAGCCCCUGCUCUCGCCCGCACCAAGUCCGCUCUCUCACUCAAGCAAACCACAGUCUCCCGCUCCGGUUAUGGCCUACGCUCCCGUACGAUACAAAACCCUAGGUCUACUUUAUCAUUUUCCGUCUCUUCUUUUUUUAUUUACUGCUGAUGACUUAACAAAUGUUGGUUUUUAAAACCUCCAGCUACGUGGAUGGUUCAGAUUUUUUGCUCAAUUAAAUGUUAUAUAUAGUUCUGAUAUAUUUGUGUUUGGCUAAUAGUCUAUUGCUUGUGAUUCGAUUUUUAUUUUUUUUUCAUUUGGACUUGAAGUGUACAUUUGAAUGAGUCCGGGGCCUUAUUCGUUUAGGCUGUGUUUCGUUGAUUUCUUUAUAUCACUAUUUCAUUUCGUUUUUAAAUGAAAAUGAUUUAAAAAGAUAAAAAGAAAUGAACAAAUUUCUGUAAAAGAACACAUUUUAAAAGUGUUAAGUAGUCUAGAGAAACGCGACAAGAUUAUGAGCAUUUGUUAUACAUUCAAUAUUCUGUGAAUCUUGUGUCGUUUUGAGCAUACUGCCCAAGGCUGAUCAUUAAGAUUUCUACAUGGUUGGUUUCUGGUAGAAUCUAAGAAAUGCAUUGAGAAGAAACACGUUUUUAAUACUUGGAGUGAUAUUACUUAUUUCAGGAAUUCUCUAUUAUACCAACCCAUUGCCAAAAGCAACCUCUGAAGAAACUUCAAGUGGAACAGAUCAGUAUGUUGUGGAUAAACGAGAUGGUGCGACGGCAGCUGAAGAUGUUCCGGCAGUUGAAAAGAAUGUGAACAAUGAAAGUGCGGCUGCGGCAGUACCUAAAGAGGAAUCACCUGUGGAUGGGCUGACUAAUGAACUUUUGGACAACCUUAAAAUAAAGGUUUGUUUAAAUCUCAAGAGUUCGUGUUAUGGUAUUUAGAAGCCUUAUUAUGUAUAUAUAUAUGCUUGUGAGUAUGGAUAUUACACAUUACACAUAACUAUUUUCGCUACAAAGUGAUGAAAGUUAUAUCUUCCAUAACAGAUUUUUUGUUGUCUAAGCAACUUUCCUUCUAGCCCUCAGAUAAAUACUUUAAAACUGCAUUAUUGGGUGCCCUUUAAGGCAUAGAUAGCUCUCACUUGGUUUUAUUCGAUCUAUUGGUGUAAUUUUUUUAGUUACUGCAUAAAGAAGCAAAAGCUUUUGCUGUGAUGAUGCAGUCAACUGGUUGAAAGUAUUUUUAUAAUGCUUGAUGUGACCAUUAUGUCCAUCCUGAGUGGUUACCCGAGCAAUGGUAGAUUUUGAAGCAUUGGUAUGCAAUGGUGCCCCCUUUAUGUUCGUUGUAUGUUGUUUUUAUUCUGAUUUCCUGAUGACCACGCUUACACACCUCUCUCUCCCUUUGUUAUCCCCCUUUUUUUCUUGGGGGAAAAAAUGGUCAUCAAUGGUGAAGCUGAGACAUUUUUUGUUUCAAUUUUUUUUUUCCCUUUGGUGGUUUCAUUUUUGGGGUUUAGAUUUUUUUAUCUCUCAUUUAAAUGCAAAAUGGUUGCUAUGAUGAUAACUUUAUUCUUUUUGAAAGUGUUCUUGAUGAAACGUCGACAAUCAUGUCGAUCUGAGCGGUUACCUGAGCAACAUGUUUUACCAGUUGUUUAAUUUGUUCCUUCAAUAAAAGUAUUACCUUCCUUUCUUUUGUAGUUCCAUUUUUCCGCUUCUUUUUUGUUUCUAAUGGCCUCUAAUGGUCUCUGUUAGUUUUAUCCUGUUGAGUUUUAUUUCUGAAAUUUCUAUGCUGGAUCCCUUCUUGAAAUGCAAAUCAGUUGCUAUGAUGAUUACUAGAAGUUAUAGAAAGUCUUGUUGAAUUCUUAAUGAAAUGUCGACAAAAAUUGUCGAUCUGAGCGGUUACCUGAGCAACAUAUUCUGUUAAUUUUCCCCUUAUGCCUUCAAAAAGGUUACUUUCAUAAAAAUAAUUUUUUUUUGAUAACUGUGUUGAAGACUUUGUCGAUAGCAUGUUUCUCUCAUGCCGGUGGCUUUAACUUCACUAGGUUAGAUGAUAUUUUUCCUCUGUUUUAAGAGGUGCUGAUGUCGUAAAGAUUAAGAAAGUAACCACACGACGCCUUGAGUAUCUCAACUUGGAUUUACAAUUUGACAACUUUGUUUUGAUGAACGUAGUAAGUUAAUUUGUAAAUACAGAAGGGCUGGAUGGAGCACUUUGGUUUAUGGUUUUGAUAGGCUGCAUUAUUCUUUCUGUUGUGUAUCUACCAGUUUGUUGAAUUGCAUUUAUUUUGUUUUAACAUACUUUUGGCUUGAUAUAUUUUUUACUGUAUUGAGGACUUCUUGAAUAUUUGCAGUUUGACUCUGAAGAUAAAUAUUCACUUGUUCUAUAUGGAACCGGUGCUUUGCUUGCUCUGUGGUUAACAACAGUGGUGGUUGGUGCAAUAGAUUCUAUUCCAUUGGUGUGUAUAAACACAUCUUCUACUUGUUGACCAUGAAUAAUUCUCACUUUCCUUUCUUUUGGAAUUUUCUGAUGAUUAACUUUAUGAAUCAGUUUCCUAAGUUGAUGGAAGUAGUGGGUCUUGGAUACACAUUGUGGUUCAGCUGGCGUUAUCUGUUAUUCAAGGUAGCUAUUUUGAGAGAAAUUUGGGCUUUUAUCUUCCAUAGACAUGAUGAUCACAGUGUCCUUAUUGGUUUGCUGCUUGCACUUUACAGAAAAAUAGAGAUGAGCUGGCCACUAAAAUUGAAGAACUCAAGCAACAGGUCCUUGGCUCAAAUGAUGAUUGAUAUGAAAGAAACAAUUGGUUUUGCACAGCCUUAUUUGCAAAAGAUGAACGUAGAUCAGAAAGUUAUAGCUAGACAUUUUGGCAGUUCUUAUAGAAUGGUGUCUAUCAGUGUACAAGGCUCUACCUGUUGUUUUUACAGUUUUCCCCUUGUGUUGUAACUUGUAAGAAUGUCAUCACUGAGUAAAGCUGUUUGGAAUUUUUUGCCCUCUGAUUGGUCAGAUGCACACAUGGUUUUGAUCGUGCAAGUAGAGCAUGGGGAAUUUUUAAGUGCGUUUCCUUGAAUUGGAUUGUUACGGUUGAAUGUAUGAAUCAAGAUUGUAAAGCUUGCUAACGACUGACUGCAUCUCCCUGAAAAAUAGGACAUCUAUAGAUAAGCAAAUAUCAUAACGAGGCUGGUGAUGUUUCAUACAAAUUGCAGGCUCUAAUUCCAAGAGUGAGUUCAAUUGCUGACAAAGCAUAUCCCAGCAAGGAUACCAUAACAUUUACAGCACUCUUUAUGGUAAAGACAUAAACAGCAAAAUAGCAUAACCAUGAUGUUAAUUAUCAGCAAAGUAAACCAAAAGCCUAUUGAAUGACAACAUGGGAUCGGGAGGAGUGGGCUGUGGAUGAAUAAUGUAAGAAAGCUUGAGUGGCUCAUUGAGAAAGAUGUUGCCGGUUUACAAUUUUCUUACUCUCCACGUCUAAAAGGUAUACAACGAAAUUUUAAUGCUCAGCUGUGGAAGAUCAAUCCCCACUAAAAAGAUAUUAUCAAAGAGAACUGUAAAUCGAAUAACAUUACUCACAACGAAGCACUUCAGAUGAUUCACAUGCAACCCCUCUCAUAUGUCAUCAUUCGCUAUAUUUUCGGUGAACUUGCUAAGGACAUGAUGUUUUGCUUGACGCAAGCCAUAGAAGGUUCUAACGGUUUUGAAUAAUUGCUUUUCUACAACAUUAGUUAAGGUUGGUGAUGAUUUCUGAAAUUUUUGGACGAUUUUGAUCUGAAGUGUUGUGCUGCUCUAGGUGACGGUCGCCAUUGGUUACGGGUGGGCUAUUAGCCUUGGGGGGUGAGGCUGGCCAAGUUCGUCCGCCGGACUCGGAAUGCGGCGAGACUUUGCGAGGGCCUUCCGUGUGCCAAAAGUAGGCCGCGGGCACAGCCGCGGGGGGCUGGCCAAGUUCGUCCGCCGGACUCGGAAUGGGGCAGACUUUGCGAGGGGCCUCCGUGUGGCAAAAUUAGGCCGCGGGCACUGCCGCGCCCAAAUUCUAAGGUUAAAACGAAGGAUUAUGCCAAACCACAAACUCUUUGUACAAACUAAUUCUGUAUGAACAUUGAGAGCAGAUCCUUAAACUUGCUUGCGUUUGUUAAAAUAAAACAUCCAUCAAAUCUAAUAAUUGGGACAAAAUGCCCCCUUUGAAUCCAAUAUCCAAAUUAUAUGAUAUUGGAACAGUUAUUUUGCAGUCAAUAUUUUCCAUUAGAUUCAUCAUCACCCGGUAAAAGAAGGAAGGGACAUGGGGCAUUGAGCAAGAAUUGGAUUACCGCUUCUGAAAUGAAAUAGAAACAGUUGUGCUGCAACCAGUAACCAUUAGCAUUAACACCUAACACAGCUGAGCACCUCUAUUUGAAAUUAAAACAUAAUAGUUACAACAAAGAAAGUAAACAAACGCAAUAUAUUGUAUUAUUAUUAUUAUUCAAUCUCUUCUUGCACAGCAAAACAACAUUAUGAGAAUGCCAAGUUAAUCCUUAGCAAAUACAACAAACAACCUAUUGAAUGACAAUAUGGGAGGGGUGGGUUGUAUAAGAAUAAUGUAAUCAAAGAAGCAAGAGGAUUCGUUGGGGGUAUGUAACCUGCUUACAGUUUCCUGCAAGGAAUUUGUCAGGUGAGGUUCGGCCUUUCACAGUUAAUAUUCAAAUUGUGAUAAAGCUUUUGAAAGUGAAAUGGCCAGACCCAGUAGCUGAAGAAAUGAGAUUGCAAGCCCGUGUUGUUAUACAUGAUCUUUAAGGAGCUUCGAUUGCAGCUUUUGACAAAUUUAAAGUACAGCGACGGCCAAUGCAUGAUCUUUUCCUUUUACGGAAUAGAAAAUCCAACCCUUUUUUUUUUCUGACUGCAAAGACAUUACUAAAAAAGGUUAAAAUCUAACGUUAUAAUCUUUUUGCUCAGAUCUAAAAAGAAGAUAAAACUCUUUCUUUUUUGUUUGUGUUGUAUGAAGGCAAUCCAAAUUACUUACCCAUAUCACGUCCAAAAACGAAACCACGAAAUUGAAUACGGCGCUGUCAAAGACCGAACCUCACUUGACAAAUUACUUGAAGAAAGCUGUAAAUCAGGUAACAUCACUCCCAACAAAUCAAUUGACUUCUUUGAUUACAUGAUUCAUAUGCGACCCACUCCUCCUAUGCUGCCAUUCAAUAUUUUUUCGGUGCACUUGCUAAGAACAUGCUGUUUUGCUUCACAAGAAAUUGAAUUGAAAGUGCAGCAUACUGAACGAUUCAAUUGUCAUGGAAACGGAGCAACUAGAUGAUGAUGAUUUUGAGGAGGCGGCCCUGUGGGUCGCUUAUGAUAUGAUAAUGGCUCACUAGGGUUGUGCACGUGAGCAUUAUAUAGUUGACGAAUUAACGAUAAUCUCGUAUUUGAAUUACCUAGUAGUGUAAAUUUGGCUUUUGUUAUUUUUAGUAGGACUCAACUAUGAAAUAUCUCUAAAUUUUUAGGAUCCGGUUGUUGUGCAACUGUGGUAUCGUGCCACAGGUGCAUCCAGCCGUUGAAUCCAUUUGGAUGGAUGGAGUCUAUUAAGAUCCAACAGCUGGAAGCAACUGUGACACAAUACCACAAUUACACCACAGUUUUUCCUAAAUUUUUAACUACUAAUUAAUGAAUAUUAUACUAUUUUAGAUAAUUUUUUAAAAUAAAAAUUUUAAAUUAUAUAUAACACUACUCUUUUUUAAGAGAAAUUAAUAUGAAAGUGGUAGGUGGUUGAUACUUUUUUAUUAUUCUUCUUUUAGAUUAAUACUCCAGACAAGACUUGAAGUUUCCAACUCUUCUGAGUGGAGAGAAAAUUGGAUUCAUUUUCACACCAUGCUUAACAUAUAUAUAUAUAUUUAAAAAAAAAAAAGAGUAAUGUUCUAAUGUUAUCUGAUUGAUGAUGACCAAAUUUUGAUCUCAUAUAUAGUUUGCACAAAACUCGAGUGCAAAGUAUAUGUAUUUCCGAAAAUUUAAAAAAAAAAAAUCAAGCAUAUGUAUUUUCUUUUAUUAUCUAGUAACAUUUAUAUAACAAAACACACUUUGUCAAAAUUUAAAUUUCCUUUUUUUUUCUUUUUAUAUAUUGCAUUGUGUACAGUACAACUAUGAGGGUAAGUAUAAAUCACAACUAAAAUUUAAUGCAAAAGUCCACAACUUGAAACCGGUGCGUGUGUGUGUAAAAAUUUCGAACUUUGAAAUGGAAAUAAAGGUUAAUGAAAGAUAUUCAUGAUUUUUCAGCAGAAAUUAAAGGCCAUACGUAAAUAUUACUUCAUUUCUAUGCUAAAAUGUAAAUUAAUUUCUUGAAACAAAGUUAGUAUUAGGCUUGGGCCAGCUUUGUGAUGGAUAAUGCAUGUGCUGGCCCAAUUUAAGUUGUCCGCCCCAUUUUGUUUGUCCACCUACUACCGUCGGCCUAACCGGACCAAAAAUUCCAUUUUUACCUCGUCAAUCCCACCGUUAUCCCUUGUACGUCAAUUAUAAAUUUAUGCUCAAGUAAACUUUAUAGUUGAAAUAGAUUGGAAAUUUUUCUAGUUACUUCCGGACAGAAUAAUGGUUCAAUCUUUAAUGUUCGGUCACAUUUUGUUCUCAAAGGAAAAAAAAAGUACACUAAAAUAAUUAAUUCACAAUUCAUUAAUUGAGUUGAUUGAUAUCUCAUCUCAUUCCUCUUAUUUUUAAGUGGUGGUUUCAACAAUAUUUCAAAGAUUGUGAGAAUAAAAUUUAAAAUUGAAAACAUAAAUCAAAAUAAUAAAGGUUGUGUGGUACAAUUGUCUAUUGUUGUCAAUCUUCUUCAGCUGACGAUCUUUGAUAAUAGUUGCAAGCCACAUGCAAAAUAAUUAAAAUGGGAAAAUGAGAUGUAGACAAACUUAUUUUUUUUAACAUUGAUAAGGACAAAGAGUCCAGCCAUAUUCCAUAAUCACCGAUCCCCUCGAUAAUGCGCAACAUAUACACAAUGCAGUGCCAGCUAAUUAAUAUAGGCCCCCCUCCUCAUUCUUGUCCAACGAGUCACAUGGCCUGAAAUUGACUAUUGUGAAUUAAUUUUGAGAGAGCUGUUUUAUACAUAAUUAGUCAAACAAUCGUCUCGUUCUUCUCAAAUGGCUUAUGAGAAAUCUAAUUUUGCAUCAGCAGUGAUAUUCUUACAAUAUUUAGCACCACACUUAGCACCAAACGGUGCGUUUUGAGCUAAAUAUUAAUUGUCCACACAUAUUACACACAACACGCGCUGCUCACAGAACACAGCUCAGAAAUUGACUUGUAGCCUGAAUCACCAUAAGUCGAUUCUCCCUCUCUCUCCCCUUCGUCGAUUGCAUCUCCCACAUCACUAAAAUAUAUCUCAAAUAUAUUUUGGUUGUAAUUUUGGUUUUGGUAACAAUCAGCAAAAGAUCAAGCUGUUCGUAUGCAACAUAUCAUGUGCCAUGUUAAGUGUUAAUCUUAAACGAUUGUUCAAGGACGGAAUCCACGAAAUGUAUAAAAUCUUUAUAUUAACUGCUUCACUGGUACAAGAGCACUCUUCUUUUACUUCACUCAAAAUCAAUCUCAAUGCAAUUACUAAUCAAUUUAAACUCACUUGACAACACAAAUCUGCUGUACGGCCAAGGCGGAUGUAUAGAGACCCACGCCAGCUGUGAAGAGACCCACAAAAAGAGAGAGAAAGCCGACGAUGAGUGUUGUGUGGGUUUUGCUCGUUUGCUAUGGGAGUUGUGUGCGUGAGAGAGAGAGAGAGCCAACGGCCAUAUGUGGAGACACCCACGGCGAGAGAGAUGGAGAAAUUUGAUGGAGAGAGCACAGAGCAGGGGAGGAGGAAAAUGAAACUGCUGCGUUUUGGUGUGGGUUUUGCUUGCUCGUUUGCUGUGUGAGUUGUGUGUGAGUCUUGCGCGUGUGUGUCAAUUAAGCUGCCACAGUAACAUUUUUAUGGUUAACACAAAACACACCGUUUUGUGUUAACUUUUGUUCUAAAUGUAGUAAGAGUCUCAUUUUCCAUUUUGCAUUGAAAUUGAUAUUUAGACAGACGUGCCUUUUUUCAGUUACCAGUUUCCUUUUCGUUAAAGUCCCAUGGGCAGCGGGCAUCAUACUUCUUUUUUUGUAAAUAAUGUUAGCACGACGAAUAUAAUUAUCAAAAAGACACACGAUCAAGAAUUCAAGAUCUCGAUGCAGGUGGAAAAAGAAAAAAAAAACAAGAACACAAUAUUUAUAAAUCAUAAAGUCCACCACUGUCACUGGAUCUUUAUACAUGCAAACUGUAAUGGUCGGUGCGUAAAGCCAAGCCUAGUCCGACUACGAGCUUGAAGAACCUUUUGACCACUGCGCGUUCAAUCAAUCCCCAGUGCUCACCAGCUAAGUUGUACAAAUAUUAAUUAAGCAUAUCAACUUCUGCUUGCCUCGUUAUUCUAUCAAUUAUUAUUAUUAUUAUACGUAACACAAGAUAAUACGUGCACGGACUUGUGUUAAUUUCCAUUAUUAUUAUUAUUUUUUUCAUUUUACAUUGAUUACAGAAUCUCUUCAAUAAGUUUCUCUAAUUGGUAGGGUAUGAUACCAAAAUCACGCCGCACGCGUAGAUCAAUGGAAAUGGAUUUUAAUUUAUGCUCUAAUUUUUCCAGUCAACAAAACAUUAUGAAAAUUGAAUUAUUGUUAAUUAAACAUCCCAAAUCCCAUUACUUCGUCAUUAAGAAUCCCAACUUCCCCCGACUUUUCCGCCCAUAAGAUCAGAUUUAGAUUACACAUCUACACUGAGAAUAUCUGGAUACAGCACGCGCACACACACACACUCGCCUACUGAGCAAAGCAAGUGUGUGCGCGAUUGCCCGGGGGUCGCAGCCAUAAUUAUGAAUUCUUUUAAUGUAAUCUCACCUGAAGAAGCACGCAAAUCAUGCGUGCACUCCGACUCUGGGAGCACAAAUUUAAAAGCACCAAUUGUAUGUAUUACCGAACCCGUCUUAAGAACAACAACAAAACCACGAAACACAAACCUUAAACAUUCUUUUGUUUUGUUUUUUUUUUUGUUUGUCGAAAGAAAAAUAAAAACAAGACAUCGACUGAACUGAUCAAAAAGCAAGCACGCAAACAACAUUCGACCGUUACAAAAGAGCGCGGAUUCACCCGCCACGUCAGCUUCACGUUACUCUCACGUCUCCGUUUCCGUUAGUUCUCCUAUAUCCUCUGUGUUUUCGUGCUCUUUUUAAUUUUUAAAUUACGUAGUACAUUGUUGAUUAUCUCUCCUUUUUAUAAAUGCCGCUAUUAUAUUUUAAUUAUACUUUCUUCUCAAAAUCAUUAGCAUUUUUUUAAGCAGUGGCCAGUGGGAAUUUUUAGCAGUGGAGAAAAGGAAAGCUUUAUGUAAAGAGAGAGGCCAAAAAAAAGAAAGAAAGAAAAAAAAUUCACUAAAUUUGAUGAGUCUAUUAGACUUCUAGUUUCUGUUUCCCUGUUGGUUUCAUUUCUCAUUAAUUUGAUUCCUUUUCUUUAUUACUUUUUUCACUUUUGAUGUGUACUUAAUGGCGGUUUAGUGUAGGCAAGUGAAUUUUGGCGAUGUUAUGUGAUAUUAUUCUUAAAUCUUUUCCUUUUCGGGUCUUUCGGAACUCACAUUUUCAUCCUCUAGCGUUCUUUUAUCAUAGGCAAGUGAAUUUCGUGAUUAUUUGAUAUUAUUUUUAUUGCUUUUUGUAUUUUCGUAUAUCCUUUUAGCAUAGACUUCUGGAUGCGAGAUCAGUGUUUUGUUCCACUUUACUGUUGCUUACUCAUCACCCUUUACAUUAAUUGAGUUCAAUUCUGAGUUUUCCAUUUUCUGUUUGGUUCCCAGGAAAAUUUUAAGAAAAGCGACAAGUAGACAAAAAGUAAAGUUCCAAGAUUAUUAUAGCUACUUUUAGCACUACACAUAUCAUCAUAAGUUUUUUUUUUUUUAAUCUUUUUUCAUGAUGGUUCUUAGAUAAUCUUUUUUCAUGAUGGUUCUUAGAUGCACUACACAUAUCAUCAUAAGUUUUUUUUUUUUUAAUCUUUUUUCAUGAUGGUUCUUAGAUGAUUCGAUAGCCCAUUAGAUGUAGUCCUAUAUAUAUAUAAAUCUUGGUUCUGGUAUUAACGUUCUCUCAUUCAUCACAAUUUCAAACACACCAUUUCGUAAGAUUCAGUUUUUUAAUAAUAUGCCUUAAGUUUCUCUCCUUGUUGUUGGUUUAGGUGAAAAAGCUUUAAGACAAUGUUCACUGAAGGUCUCGAUAGUAAUGCCCUUAAAUGGGUCCGACAGGUACGCAAUAAAGAAUUCUAUUUGUUUCUUAAAAAUGUCUUUUAUAUUGUUGUUUUUAGAUUUUCAGGUGUAGUGUUAGUUGUCGGAUGGAAUUGAUAAUAUGUUGUCUGAUUUUGUGCAAGAAGGGUGGUGCAAAGAAAGAUAUAUUUGGUUCUCUUUUAACUCAGAGAUCAAAACAUGAUACUACUACUAAUUUGAGAAAUGGUGGACGAGACAUUGGAUUGGCUCAAGCAUCCAAAUUUCGAAGUGGACAUUCGUCAUCAGGUGUGGUUCCCGUGUCGCAAACAGUACAUGUGAGGGAAAAUGAUAGUGGCUCUGGAUCAGACAUGGACAUAUCGCCUGAUUCAGAUGAUGAGGUCUACCGCGGGAAGUAUUCAGUAAAGUCGCCUCGACAAGAUCACAAGAUUGGCAAUGAUGCAGCUACCAAACCAGGGCACAAACAGGCAGAUUAUGGCAAAGUUGGAAAUCAUUCCAUAUCUAGUUUAUCUAGGAAGGAAGCUAUGCAGAGACAAAUGAAUAGUGCAGUGAGAGUGGAAAGGGGUCGUGGUGGGAUUUUGUUGGGGAAGCCUGGCACUGCAGAAGAAGAAUUGCCAUAUUCGGCUACUCGUACUGAAGUCGUUUUUGCGCAUUCCGGGAGCAACAAUGGCUGUGAUUCUCUGAGAGGAACGUACACUUCAGAUAGUUAUUCUUGUGUCACUUCAGGGUCAAACCUUGAAACAACAGCUAAACAGGUUUCCUAUCCUUGACUGUCAAUCAAAUUUUCUUACUCAUUUAUAAGUGCGUUCUAUUCAUUAAAAUUUUUCUUCAUUAGUCAUCUAUUAUUUAGAUAUGCCUUCAUGCACUUCUCAGACGGAUAAGUACUUGCAGGAUAUUCCCAGUGCACCUCCCUUUGUUAGUUCUGGGUCAGCGAUGGAACAGGUUGUUGGGCAAAGUUCAGCUUUUAGUGCAACCACUUAUGUUCCAAAAGCAACAGGAAGCAUCCCCUCUACUGCCCCUGGCAAGGGGUGCACUGGCUACAAGGUUUCUGAUGUAUCUAACAGGUUGGGCGCAUGCGAUAAUUGCUUCUUCUCUUUAAUUCUUUGACAAGAAUUGUUGGAAUUCUGUUAUUAAACAUAUACCAUGCUGCAGGACUGCAGCUGGCAUACAAAGGGAUACUUCUGCAAGUUCCUUACCUGCUCGUCUCCCCACAUUUCAUGCAAGGUUGAUGAAAUGUUAUCAGACUCAUCAUUUGCUCGCUCUUGAUUCUUGUGCUUUUGACAGACAUUUUACUUACUAAAUGUGUCAAGUAUGCCAUUGCUAUUACUUUGCUCAUCAUUUUCUCUCUCUUUGUGGACUGGAUUCAGUGGACUAGGUCCUUGGUGUGCUGUGAUAUCUUAUGAUGCGUGUGUGCGUCUCUGUCUUCACUCAUGGGCGAAGGGUUGUGAGGAACAAGCUCCCUACUUCUUGAAUAAUGAAUGUGCCGUGUUGCGAGACGCAUUUGGGUGGGUGCCAGUUUCCUAUUGUUUAUUCUCCUGUACUCUGUUUUUACAUUCAAGUAUUUCUGAUUUAGGUUGAUAUAGGAUGAACUAUACCAGAACAACUUUUGAAAUAUGGACUAGAGCUAAUGUCUGGGAAACUACUUAGUUUUUCAAUUUCCAUAUUAGCCGUUUCCUUAGUUUUACAACUUCCAAACAAGUCAUUCCCUUAGCCGCUGGAAUAAUCUUGAACAUGUCAUGCAUAUAUACUUUCUUAAAUGUAGCAAGAAGCAAGUAUUAUGAAAGUGGAAGCAUGACAAUAAAACAUGGGUAUCAGCCAUAUGGUAGGACUUCUAUAAGGAGUUUCUGCCUUCUAUCUACAUAUGAACCAAGAAAUAAUGACUAGUAGUCUGAAUACUUUUUCUUCGCUGGAGAGGGUCAGAAAGGAAUUUGCUUGUAAAUGAUUAAAUAAUUAAAUUGACCAAUGAUGUAGGGUACAAUUUAUUAUCUAUAUUCAGCUCUGCAUUGCGUUCAGGAGAUGGAGGUAUUGAAAUCAGAUUGUAGAGUGUAAAUAUAUGCUAAACAAUAUUAUAGGAACUUACAACCUAAAUUGGUUUAAAUAUUGUGGGUGAAAGUUCGGUUGGUAAAUCUCCUGUGUAGAUAAACAAGUGGUUUGGGUUCGAUUGCCACUCACAUGGGUGGGGAGGGGAUUUGGUUGCCAUUAGCUGAACAAAAUAAAAAAUUACAUUAACUGAAAAAAAUAAAGAAUUAUAGGAACUUAAUCAUGCUUUCCAUUUUUCUCCUGAAUUGUACUCUUUCUUUGCAUUCAAAUGCUGGUAUCAUUUUAGGGUAUAUUAUGUUUAGUACAUGUUUGUAUUUGCCCAUGAAAUGCCCUUUUUUAAUCAUGAUUCAUUACUUCUUAACAUCAUAGUUUACGGCAAGUAUUAUUGCAAUCUGAAGAAGAACUAUUGGCAAAACAAUCUUCAGAGUUGAUCAGUGAGGGAGCUGCUCUGAAAUCCAAGAAGACUUGUGGUAAACUGAAAGUACAAGGUAGUCUUAUUAUUUCCUAAGUAUUUCGUAAUGAUUUCAUGAUAUCUUUUCCACUAAAGGCUGCUAAAAUCGUUUUAAAAUUGUGGUCAUCGUAAAGUGCGCAAAGUCAAAAUAGGUUUAGACCUGCCUCCUGGCUGCAGUUUUUCAUCUUUGAAUCUGUCAAUGAUAAAAGUAGAACUGAUUCGUCAACAUUUCUCCAAUCUGAACUCAAUGGUAAUCUCUGGGUGGGAUGAAAUAAGGAAAGUUCGCAUAACUCCUCGUAUUCCUGCAAAUGGUUCAUUCUCACAACAAAGUUUAGCGUAUGUGCAUGCAAGUACCAAGUAUGUAAAAGAGGUUUCCAGGGUCUUGAGAAACAGGGUCACUACGUCGCAUAAAACCUCAUCAUCCUAUGAAUCAGUACAAGGUAUGCAAAAUCUCUGUAAAAUUUACAACUCAGUAUUCUUAGAUUCUACUUUUUAAAUGUUUAACUAUUCCACUUGUCCAUUAUAUUAUAUGAGCUGAUAUUGCUCUUCCAAGUUGCUACUGUUCAUAUGGAGUUCAAUGGGGGCAAGCUUGAAUUAUCUGUGAAUUAGCUUUCAUGAAUUAUUAAGAAUGAAUGUAAGGGAAAGUAAAGCAUCAAAAUCAAAAAGUAUCAUAAUUCCGAGUCAUCCUUAUACUUGGCUUAGGUCCAAUAUUACUUUAAAAUUCUCAUAUAUAGGCUUGUUGAAGAGCUUCAGUCUAAGACUAAGAUCACAUAGGGGCAUAAUGAUUAAUUAUUUUCCAGUUUCUUAUUUCCUUGAGGCUGCUAGUGUUGAUAUCAUCUCAUUAUAUCUUCUAAUUUAAGCUGAUUUUCUGUUAUCAGAAACAUAUUCUUGUCAGUUGAGGUUGAAAAGUAUAUCCGAAGAAGAUGCGAUUCGGUUGCAAGCAGGAUCUGGCGAAACCCAUAUGUUGUAUGCAUUCUUUCUUUGGCUGUGUUCCCUCUUGUUUUUACUUUUUAGUUUGUCAAAGGUGUUUAUCUGUUUUUACAACUUACUGUAACGCAGCUUUCCAGAUAGCGUUGGUGAUGAUUUGAUUGUUGAAGUUCACGGUUCCAAGGGAGAAUAUUAUGGUCGUGUUCUAGCUCAAGUUGCUGCUAUUGCUGAUGACCCAGUAAGAUUUCCAGGAAUGCUUUUCUGACAUUUAAGGUUCUGGAAAAUUGAUGGAUCUCCCUGAUGGUUUAAGAAUUGCUGUGAAUGCAGAGUGACAAGCUUCGGUGGUGGCCCAUAUACAGUGAGCCAGAGCACGAACUUGUGGGCAGAAUCCAACUAUAUAUAAACUAUUCAACUAGUGAAGUUGAGAAUAAUAAUCUUAAGGUACAGUGCAAUCAUAUCCUCCAAUAAUUUUCUAAAACUUACAUUUUUAAGAUGAGUCCACCGAAAUCCUUUUGUUUGUAUGCAUUUAUAAAUGAAGCAGUAGUGAGGAUGGGAUUAUGCACUUAUGCAGUUCAUAAAACUAAGCUCACUCACUUCUGUCUGUAGGGUGGCUGUGUCGCUGAAACUGUGGCAUAUGACCUGGUGCUCGAAGUUGCAAUGAAAGCUCAAAAGUUUCAGCAAAGAAAUUUGUUGCUAAAUGGCCCAUGGAAGUGGUUAUUGGAUAACUUUGCAUCAUAUUAUGGGGUAUCAGAUGCCUACACCAAGUUAAGGUAUAGCAAUGAAGUAGAAUGGACACUGUUAUGUUUGAACCAUUCAUCAAUGAAGAUUUGUAAUGUUUUUUACAGGAAAACUAUGAGUAUUUAUAUUAAUAUAUAAUGGGCAUAUUACACUUGAGUAGUGCACCAGUUAUCCACACAAGAUCAAUCAAAGCUAUGCAAAACAGUAUCAGUCCUGUCUUCUGUUGUGUAAUAUUUAUGCUUCUUGCAGAUAUCUGUCUUAUGUCAUGGAUGUGGCCACACCCACUCAUGAUUGUCUUGCGCUGGUAUAUGAUUUGCUUUUACCGGUUUUCAUGAAGGGAGACAGCAAGAAAGUGUUAAGUCAUCAAGAGGUAAGGGUUAAAGUCUUCAUAUAGAAGUUUGCACUUUGCAUAAGUAAUAGUUCUGGCACAACACAUGCUGACUUUAAGCAAGGGCUUUGCUAUUAGUUGGAAUGACUAUGCAUCUGUCUUUGGAAUUGAUUAGACCUUUGACAUCUUUUCACCACUUGUGACAUCCUUUUAAUAGAUGCAACAUUGAGUCGGUACUUUGAGCAAUUACUGUUCCUUUAAAAAAGCUCAUGUAGGAAACAUGUAUGGCAUAUGUGAGUAUAUAGUGGAACUUAAUUCUGUUAAUGAUAUAUGAAUGUCAACCAGAAUCGCAUCCUAGGGGAGAUUGACGAUCAAGUUCAGCAGAUACUAGCCCUACUUUUUGAGAAUUACAAGUCACUGGAUGAAUUAUCACCAUCUGGAUUGAUAGAUGUUUUUGGGCCUCCCACUGGCCUUUCUGCUCCUGCUUUAGCAUCUGCUGUCAAGCUAUAUACUCUUCUUCACGAUAUAUUAGCUUCUGAGUCACAGUUGAAGUUAACCAGAUAUUUUCAGGUACUACCAACAUUUUCUGGGCUUGUAGUUUCUUUUAAUCUUUAGAAUUCUUCUUACAGCAAAUGGUGAUACAGGCUGCCGUGAAGAAGAGAUCGAGAAGGCACUUGGCAGAAACAGAUGAAUAUGUUGUGAGCAAGAAUGAGGGCACCUUAGUGAACCCCGAGGGUCUUUCAACUGCUUAUCAGAAGAUGAAAUCUCUAAUUUUAAGUGUUAGAAAUGAAAUCUGCACUGACAUUGAGAUCCAUAACCAACGUGUGCUGCUUAGGUAAAAUACUCCCUAUUUCAUUCUGUAGGAUUCUUUUUUCUUUUUUUUUCCCUUUCUUAAUGGAAAAAUAUAUGCCAUCGCCUUUAUUCUAGAAUUGCAUCUGUUUCUGUUUUCAUUUCUCCUUUCUUGGACCAGUACAGAUGUGAUGAUUCUUUUGUUUUAAGGUUUUCAAACAUUAUAAACAGUAUGUUUGACUUGGGCCUAUUGUAGCCCUUGCUUAAUUGUAAUUUUAUUUGCAAAUACACCUGUCACUUUUUGCUGGUUAUUUGUCACAUGAUUACCUUUACCUAGAUUCUUUAAUAAAUAUUUUCCUGUCUUUUGUUCUCACAAGUAUAAUGUUUGGAUAGCCUUGCCUCCUGAUUGGAAGAUUUAUAUGAACUGCUGUAAGGUUGAGGAGUAGAUUAUGUUGUUGGCAGAUUCAUGCUGUUUUUUCCUAGUAAUUAUUUGAUCAAUCUGUUAUUCUUUUAAUACAGCUUCAUAGAUCUUCCAAAUCUUUCUGCAUCCAUAUAUAGUGUGGAUCUCUGCAAUAGAUUGCAGGCAUUCCUUGCUGCAUGUCCUCCUUCUGGACCCUCACCUCCUGUUGCAGAACUUGUUAUUGCAACAGCAGACUUUCAACGGGAUCUCUCAUGCUGGAAUAUCAAGUAACAGUUUUUCUUCUCUUUUCUCCAUAUUCAUUAACUUGUUUUUUUUUUUUUUAUCUGUACUGACUACAUAAUAUCUCACAGCCAUGUCAAAGGUGGAAUUGAGGCAAAGGAGUUGUUUCACUCAUAUAUAACUCACUGGAUUUAUGACAAACGCCGUGCUUUACUUGACAUCUCCAAGCUAGAUAAGGUAUAAAUUUUCAGUUAACGAUGUCUUUAACACUGUACUGAAUUAAUCAAACUGCUUUUGAUGGCUAGGAUGCAGAAUAAUGUUAUGCUAUUUAAAUAUAUAAGCAAAAGAUCACAGUGCUUUUGCUGUUGCUUACAAUUUGCUCGACUCUUAUAUCUGAAUAUUAGUUGCAAUUUGUACCACUUGGCUAAUUAUUGGUCUAAUUGAAAUGAAUAAUGGCAGUAUUGCAUAAUUCAAUUGAUAUAUACAACACUCACAUAUCUAAGCAUGUGACAUCAUUUUUAUGACAAUUUAUAUGAAACUGAUUACUUUCAGGUAAAGUGGGCUGGUGUUAAAACACAAAACUCAACAACUCCUUACGUCGAUGAAAUGGAUGAUCAGCUGAAAGCUAUGCUGAAUGAAUAUGAGGUUAUUAUUCGCCGUUGGCCAGAGUACGCUGUUGUCUUGGAGAAUGUACGUUUUGACCGACUCUUUUUCAUAUGUAUAAAGUUAAAAUGACAUCUCAUUCUCUUAAGGGUAGUCAUUCUUUACAUAAUUUCACUUAGACAUUGCCAAUUACCCUGAAGUUUUCUAGUUUGACCAUUACAUUGACCAUGCCAUAUCAUAAAUUAAAAUUUAGCCUAUAUCAACCAUAAAUUUAGUCUAUUCCAACCACCUAUUAAACUUUAGCCUACACCAAGAUGUUAUCAUUAUGAUAGUUUGAAACCAUAAAUGUUAAGAGAUUAUUCAAUCGGUAAGCCCUCAAUGAUAACUUGACCAAGGAAUUCAAACUAGGUUAUACAAGUAAUUUUGUAUGAUUUUAAUCAUUUACACAGUUAAAGAUAACAGUUUGUUCUUUAAAAGCGGGUAAGUGAAUAAUCUAGAAAGCUCAAAGCUCAGUGUAGGUUGGUGCAAUUUUGAAACUUCUGAUUGUUAAGUGGACAAUUUCAAGACCUCGUGGAGGUUAUUGAAGUAUAACUAUUUGGUAAACAAUCAACAGUGUUUGAUUUUGUUAAAAGUCUGUUGUUUUUAAUUUUGGGUUUGCUGGUUUUCAACAUGUAAACCUUCAUUUUAGCUUGAUGCUAUGAGUUUUCUAUUUUGUUUCAUCUUUCCUAGAAAUGCGUACUCUUUUUUAUUUUUUUAUUCUCUCACUUUUGGGUUGGAUAUUUGUCAAAAGGCUGUGGCAGAUAUUGAAAGGGCAAUUGCAGAAGCUUUGGAUAAGCAAUAUGCUGAUGUUUUAUCACCACUGAAGGACAACCUUACGGCCAAGGUAUUCGGCCUCAAAUAUGUUCAGAAAAUUGCAAAACGAACUGUGAAUGUCUAUUUUGUCCCAGAUGAGGUAAACUUCUAUUCUUAUUUAUGCAGUUUUUGCAGAAUUAGUUUCUAUAUUUCCCAGAUAGAACUUAAAUUUUUGAGUUUUUCUUUUCUUUUUUCAGCUAGGAAUUCUUUUAAAUUCCAUGAAAAGGAUGUUGGACGUGCUGUGGCCCAAAAUAGAAAGCCAGUUUAAAUCUUGGUCUUCUUGUAUUGCUGAUGGUGGAAAUGCUGUCGUAGGGGAGCAUCUCAGUGAAAUAACAGUCAUGAUGAGAGCCAAAUUCAGAAAUUAUUUGCUAGCUGUUGUUGAGAAAUUUGUAGAGAAUGUGAGUAUCUAUUGCAAUCUGUCAACUUCAUUUAUAUCUUUUGAUGUAGAUUUUUUUUUUUAAAUACUGUCGGAAUAUGUUGAAUAAAUUACCUUUUCAAAAUGGAAGUCAAGUAAUUAGCCUGUUUAGGAUACCUCAAAGUUGAAAAUGCUGAUUUUGCAUCAUUAGAGAUGUAUGUUUGAAACAAAUGUAAAAGCAAAUAGUUGACAGAACCUUAGAUUUCAGAGCUCCAUAUAUUAGAUAAAAACACACCUUAUUAAUGUGAUUGGACCAUUACAGUUGUUUGUUUGAUUGAUGUUUACCGGACAUUGGUGUAAAAUUUGUGAUGCCGCCAUUCAUUUGUUGGACUAAGUAACUUUCCUUGCAAGCAAUUGCUUCCGUUGACAACUCCUUCAUGUUUGGGUCCAGGGUGAUGAUUGUUCAUCCGGAUUAUGGUCUGUGUAGUUGCAAAUUUUGGUUUGGAAAUUGCAAACUUGAUUUAAUAUUUCUCUUUUAGGUUUCUUGGCGAACCCUGUGCUAUGCUUAUUAAGCUAGCAUUGAUAAUGCAGUAACUAGUUCUCAGAUAUAUUUCCUUCACCGCUUUUAUUACUUUUUAAAAUAAUAUCUAAUCUAGUUCUACAAGCACCAAUUUGUCUAUACUGACGGAUUGGGGCAUUCACUAUUGGUUCUUUGUCUUGUAGACAAAGAUGCAGAGUACGACAAAGUUAAAGAAGAUAAUCCAGGACUCGGAGGAAACCUGUGCAGAAUCAGAUGUACGAAGUAGAAUGCAGCCUUUGAAAGAUCUUCUGAUCAAGACAAUGGACCGUCUCCAUACAGUUGUUGAGCCUCAUGUAUUCAUACUCAUUUGCCGAAUUUUCUGGGACCAGAUGGGAAAGGUAGGUUUACAUCUAAAUCAUGUGCUUCUCUGUGAUUGUAAAUAUUAAAAAUAUAUUUAUCUUGAUCUCUUCCUUUCUGGUUACAGGAUGUACUCAAUUUUCUAGAAAACAAGAGAGAGCACAGGUCCUGGUAUAAAAGCUCAAGAUUUGCUGUUUCAGUAAGUUGCACUGUAGCCUCUGUGCUUCCUAAUAAAAAAUGGAUCCCUUUCUUGUACUAGCCAAAUAAGCUUAACAAAGUUAAAGUGCAGAUAUUUGCUCUUACUAUUUGGUUUUGAAGGAGUCAUAAAACUUUCAUGAAAAGGAAAGGAACAUAAGAUUGACAUGAGACACGUCUAUGAAGUUAAAGAAUGCCAGUCUCAAAUUUUAUUUCUCAAACUCUUUUACAACAACUGGUUCUUUCAUCACUCGCUUAUCAUCGUCAUUGAAUUUGCAGAUUUUGGAUGACAUAUUUGCAUCACAGAUGCAGCAAUUGCUUGGCAAUGCUCUGCAAGAGAAAGACUUGGAGCCACCAAGGUCUGUAAUGGAAGUGCGUUCCAUGCUCUGUAAGGAUUCCGCCAAUUACAAGGAUAAUAACUACUAUUAUUAGACUUUACAUAUCUGUAAAUAAAAAAUCAAAAGAGGAGCCAAUUUUGGUAGUAGACGGGAUGACAAACAGCACAAAUUAAAGGGACUACACCGGAACACAAGUUUUGCAUGUUCGAUUUUUUCUGGAUGUAAAGAGUUCUAUCAAUUUUGUUACAAUUUUUGGCAUUUUUUUCUGUACAGUUGUCCCACCAUGGCCUUUUUGGUGGUGAUCAUUUAUAUUCAACUUUUGUUGCAAAAAAUGUAAAAGAUAAUGAGAAAGUAAUGGAACCGCUAUUUUACCCUUUUCUCCUUUCUUGUCUCAAGUGUGAAACACACAACUCAAAUAUGUUUACCUUUCCUACAUUGCUCUUCAUUAUACCCGAGAGUUGAUUCCAUUUCUUUCUUUCCACGACAACUUUUAUUUUUUCUAUUGGUUUGAAAUGAAAGAUGAAGAACUUGUUUGAUCUUUUAUAUGGAAAAGAAGGUUAUAUUCGGUCCACAAUGAAUCUGCUUACUUUUAAAUCAUGUCAGGCACCUUUAUGAUUUUGUUUCUUUUCUCUAGAUUGGUUUGCUUUAUUUUCAUUUUUUCUCUGCUUAACAUUAGUAGUUGUUGGAAUCGUUUUAGUUAGCUUUUGUAAUGACAUUUUGGCAUGUGGACAUGGACUUUAGCUGCCAUGGGGAGUCAGUACUAUUUGAUGAUCGCUAUUACUUUUAUUGUGCACUUCCGCACUACUUAUUGAUAUCUGAGUAAGCUUCAUCUUUAUUCAAGGAAGGGAUAGAAUUUUCUCACAGGAAUUAUGUAAUCUGAUCUGUUUGAGAGACAUUUGUGCUAUUUUCAUGUCCCUUUCAUCCUCUGGUGCAUCCCACUGUGAAAAUAAAUGUUGGAACGUCGAAAAGCAUUAAUUCAUUUGAUUUAAGCUGUCAUAUAAGGGUAAUACGGAAGUUGAUUUACCUGUCGGUGACUUGUCCUCGUAUAAUAUAUAUGUAUGUAUGUGUGUAUAUGUAUGUGGGGAACCUUAUGCAUAAAACUCGGCUGUCACAAUCACAUUGUGGGGCCGUAAAGAUACUGCUGGAUGAUACGGUUCAUGCAUAAACCAUACAUUCUCGUUAAUGGUAGGUAUUCUGCGAUCUCAUCUUGCGACAGAAACCCACUUCAAUUCGGGAUCUUCUUGACAGCCAUGUUCACAAUCCCCGCGCCACUUGGCUUGUGGGCUGAAAGUAUCGGCAUCUUUUUAAUUGUGGUGUGGGAUAAAUUUUUUUCUUUUAUACGGGGUUAAUUUCAGGUUAUUCUAGUGAAUUAAUUAUUUUUAAUUUAAAAAAAAAUAAUUUACCCUCAACUUUUAUUAAAAAAACGGGAAAAAAAACUCAUCUCAUUUUUGUUUUUUGUUUUUUGAACAUUUUUGUUUUAUUAUCUUUUGAACAAAAACUAAGCUAAUUUAAAAGUUUUUAAAAAUGAGGAUAAUAAUCCCAAAUUUACUCUUCGAAUGGACCAUACUGUACCUGAGCCCAUGUCUUACCACGCGUAGGACAUUUUUGUUUUUUUUUUAGGUCGAAAUUUUGUGUGAUUUGACUGAUCAGACAGCUUAGGACCACCCUUUCUCAUAUCACGACGUAUAAAAAUGUUAUUUGCACGUGAUAUUUAUAAACAAAAUACAGUAACAUAUAUUUUAUGUGUGCGAAUAUAUAUAUAUAUAUAUAUAUAUAUAUAUAUAUAGUUUCAUCCAUGUGCGCGCGCGUGUGUGUGUAUCUCAAGGUAAAUAAGUAUUUGGCCUGAAUAAUUGGAUCCAGUCCAGCAUUCUCUCUCGUGAAAACAGCUCAGGCAGGCGCGGAAGAGUCAAAAGGACUCACUUUUAUGGUGGGGUUAAAAUAGGACAGCGUGAUAAUAAAGAGGACCCCAAGAUCCAAAUAGCAACGAGCCUCUCUAAGAACAAGAAUAAAAAUCUUCAAGUUAAAAAAGUUAGCUUGAUCGAUGUCUUUCCAGGAAAUUUAAGCAGCGUGUUGUACAAACCACAAUGCAAUCAAUUAUUGGGCUACUGGAGACAGACAUACGAGCAAGCGGAUAUUAUUUAUUGUAUCAAACAGAUACAAAUGAGUCUAGCCACUAAUUUUCCCACCUAAAGAUGGAGAGUACAGAAGAGAACCCAUUAGCCUGAGCGGAAUCACUGAUAUAUUAAUUAAUCAAAAUCGAGGGUGUGUAAUGGCCGGGGUCCCACUUCACUAAAUUAUUAAGACCGGAAGUUGCAGACUGGAUAUUUCAGAAAAAAAUCAGAACCAAAAGCACCUUCCGAAUCUUGGCGCUCUUAGAUUUUGGUGCUUUCUGAAGAAAGUUCUUAUUCCUCGUUCUGGUUCCACAUACAUACAUACAUACAUACAUACAUACAUACAUACAUAUAUAUAUACAUACAUACAUACAUAAAUGUAUGUAUGCGUGCAUUAGAACAAAAAGAAACGAAUGAAUGAAUAUGAUGCUUGCUUGUUUCUCAUAAUGUUAUUAUAUAGAAGUUAGAGAAGGAUGAACCUUGGUGCCACAGAAAGAGCUGAACCAGUUGGAGACUGAAGAAUAAAUUAAUAAGGCUUUGAUGCAAAGCCUAUAAUUGCCUAGUGUUUUAAGCUAAGAACAAACUUUUUGAUUUGGAAUGUUCCGUGUCCACACACACACACAUAUAAAUAUAUAUGCAAUGUUCCAGAUGUGCGGUAUCUGGAUAUGUUCAUGUGCUUGCCACGUCCUUGAUAUAUAUAUAGAUAUAUAUAUAUAUAUAUAUAUAUCUAUAUAUAUGUGUGUGUGUGUGUGUGUGUGUGUGUGUGUGUGUGUGUGUGUGUGUGUGUGUGUGUGUGUGUGUGUGUGUGUGUGUGUGUGUGUGUGUGUGUGUGUGUGUGUGUGUGUGUGUGUGUGUGUGUGUGUGUGUGUGUGUGUGUGUGUGUGUGUGUGUGUGUGUGUGUGUGUGUGUGUGUGGGGUGUUGUUUAAAGAGAAUAUGUUAAAAGCAAAUACAUAUGCAAGAGAAAAUGUUAAAAGCAAAUACAUAUGCAUGUUCCAAUCUCACCGGUCGAGCCAAAGACAUUAAUUUCUCGUUACAGUGACUUUUGGAGAGUUUUGUUUGUUUCAAGUCCAAGUCCGCAGAAUGGCUGUUCAAAAGAAAUUAAGUUAUAGUUGCGACAACGGCAAGAUACAUAUACAAUUGACUAUUUCAAUGACUUUGCAUGCCCGCAAAAGCUGAAUCACACAUCCGAAGAAAAUUCUAGUCUCUCUUCUCUGCCUCUCAAGUCUCAACUCAUAAUUUCCGCGUAAACAAAACCAUUUAGACAUGCGAACAAACACACCCAGAAGCAAAAUUUGUAUGGGCUAUGGGUCAAUUUUUGUAGCAAUACGCCAACUCAAUUCUUUUGUCUGAUCAGUUUGCUUGCCCUCAAGUAUGGGAAACCGUUAAAGCCUAAACAUUUCAGCAUUUUGGACUUUCCAAGAUCCUGGCCGCAGUUGACUUUCAAAUUUAAUUUAUACUUUGGUUUGUGUCUCUAAAAAAAAUGAGAAUAAAAAAAUUAAUUAUGCAACAAACAUCAAAAUUUUCGUAUCUUAAUUCCAGAACGCGUAUAUGAUAAAUCACAUGCUGCGAAGCAAACACACGAAUCACUAGUACAAGCAUUCUGAAUUGAAUCACAUGUUUAUUUUCUUCCUUGUGAAUUAAACUGCGAAUAAUUAAUAAUAAAUCCACAUCAAAACAUAUCUAAUUUUGAUCGUCGUUGUCGUCAUCAUCCUCAGAAAUCCUUCAUCAACUUCCUGACCUGUUCAAGCGUAACAAACAGGACAACAGUAAACGGCCCUUGUCUGGAAAUCGUAGGGAUAAAACCCUUAUACAGAGCCAUCGGCCCCUCGCUCCGAACCGUCUUCAGGGCACAAUCCAGCGCCCCUUUGUACGGCGGCUCUUUCCCGGCCUCGACCUUCAUGUUCAUAACCCUAGUCUUUAUCACGUCCACAGGAUUCGACGCCACCGCCGCCACAAACCCCGCAGAAAAACUCGCCGUCACGUGGGUCCCGAGGCCGUCGCGCAUCCACCCUUUUGACAGUAUAUUUUCUUUGAUCUGAUCGUAGGACGCCAGCUGCGACGCGGUGACCAGCAUGGCCCGGUUCACAGUAAGGGACGAUCCUCGCCACAGGCUGGUCACGCCUUCUUGUUUGGCCAUGCUGGUUAUAGCGUCGACGACGCUCUUGUAGUUGCGACGCUGCGCGGGAGGGAGCCUUCCGUCAGCCUGCAUGCGGACCAUUGCCACGUCAGCGGGAUUGCCGACGGCGGCUCCUAUUCCACCAGCAAUUAACCCGGCGGCUAUCUUACGCACGAGCGGCAUGUUCCGGGUUUCCGGGUCAGUCCACUUUUGCUUGAGAACGUCGUAGAGACCCAUCCGUGUGGUGGAGUACAAGGUCUGGCGGAGCACCGUUGCGGAGACCCCGGAAAAGAGAGCCGAAACUCCUUCUUGUUGAAUAAUACGGACGCCGACGCCGACGGGACCCAGGCGGGGUGGCGCAGACACGUGGACGGCGGAGGAGUUGGCAUGGAAAGCGAGAGCGGGACGCAUAGACGGAACCUGGUUUUCGCCCUGGAGUUGCAUGCGGACCUUGAUUAGGUCAAGGGGAUGCGUUGAACAUCCAGCAACAAUAGAAGCAAUGCCGCCUUCAACAAAGCCUUUCACACCCAUUUUAACUCUUUUUUUUUUGUUUUCAGAAAACGAAUCAAGAAGAAAUGAUCAAUUUAAUGAAAAAGAAUUUUAGAUCGAAUUAAUUUGUGGGUCAGUGAAAAUUGUAAGUUGCGUUGUUGUUACCAGUUGGAAUUGGAGCUCAUCUCACUGGAGACCAGGAGAUGAGAAUGAAGGCCAAAAGCUAUGGAGGAAGAAUGAGGGACGAUGGGUCUAUGAGACAUACGCCGGGUACAAUGUGAUAAUAAGAAAGAAGAAGAAGGGGCCUUUUCUUUCUUUUCUUUUUUUAGAGAGAGAGAGAGGAUGACUUGGCAAGACUAGGAGAAGUGAAUUUAUAGGCAGAGAUGGGAGGUUGGUGUUUAAUUUGUUAAUUAAUUCGCGAAAAAGAUAAAGCAGCUGGAAAUUAGGUUCUUUCUUAAUUUUCUGCACGCUGUGAAAGGAAAUUGUGUGUACGAAUUGGGCAACUGUGGCUCGUUUAUGAUUUCGCGUUUGUGGGGUCUCUUAUGCUCUCCCUAACGUCUAUAUUGAUCUUUUCUUUAUUAAUUUUUGUCGGCUCCAGUUCUCGCUGCUUUCUAGUCGCUUUGGUUGGCUGGCUCAUUAGCUGUGGCUUCAGCCCCAGCCCCCAAGCACGAUUGGGUCAAACCCUUGAAUUUGAUUUGAUUUGAUUUAAUCGUGUGCAUUCAAAUGCGCGGAUUCAUCUUGUGUCUUGCAUGUAGAUUGUAGAAUAGUAAUCACCUUUUUAUAUUUUGGUAUUCAAUUACGAAAAAUUACUGUGUGCUAAAGUAAUUAUUUUGAGCGGAAGUGACCAAAUCCCCCUUCCCUCCUUUGCAUCAAGAUGAUUUUUUUUUUCGUAAGUUUUAAAAUAAUAAAUCAAAUAGUAAGUGCCUAUUUGGAAUUAUAUUGAGGGGCUCAAAAGUAAUUUUAAAAAAUAAAAAACUAUUUUUUGGUAUUUGGUAAAAAAAAUUUACAAAUCACUUUUGAUAAAAUCACUCAUCGUAGGGCAGAUUUUGAAAAACAGGAAAAAAGUUUUAUACGUGUUUAUUUAUUUAAUAUUAUAUCCAAUUCAGUUAUUUAUAUUCUUACAACAAUUUAAUAGUAACACCAACGAAACACAUAUGAUUACUUUUAAAAUUCACAACAUUUUGAAAAAUAAAUUUUGCCAAAUGUUUAAUUAAUUCUCUUCACAAGUAAUUAUUUUUACAGUACAACUAACAAUAAUUAUUUUAAAGUUACAGUAUUACCAAAUUAGCUCUAAGUCUGUUUAUACUCUAAAAUUAACUUUGAACACUCAUGUUUUUAUUAAAAAAUUUAACACAAAAAUACCCAUCGUGUAAUUUUUAAUUAAGGGCGAUACAAAUGGGUAGAAGGAACUAUUAUUCUUAACACUUGAGUAGCAUACCAUUACAACUUACAAUGAUUCUAUUAUUCUAUUUGAAAUCGUUAAUAUAUAUAUAUAUAAAUGUUCCAGUCAGAAAUUUUAAAGUGCGGGAAACCUUUAAAACCGCAUGGUUUUAAAGGCUUAAAACUGUAAGCUUUUAAAGUCGUGUGGUUUUAAAGUUUUCUCGGACUUUCCCGCACUUUAAAAUCCCUGACCAGAAAACUACUCAUAUAUAUAUAUAUAAACUCAUUUAUGAAGAAAAAAAAUAAAUAGUUAGAAUGAUUCGAACUUCAUAAAAAUAAUAGUAAUAGAUGUGGUGAUAUGUAAAUGUUGAUUUCAAAACAUUCUCUCCAAAAGUCCAUAAAUAAUUGACACGAAACUUAUCGGCUUCACUUGCUUUUAGUAUUUUAAUUCUUGCACCACAAUUUCCUCUUUGAUAUUUGUUUCUUCGUUUUUAAUAAUUUUGUUUUUAGAAAUUGCUGUUGUUGCAUAUAUGAUGACGUUUUAAUGUUCUAAACUGUUGUUCGUCUAUGUCUUUUCAGCAGCAACAAUUGGAUUUAUAGAAACAUGAUUAUAGAGUUGAAGAACUGUAUAGAGAGCAUGCAUGGUAGAAAAUAAAUAUCCUUAAUAAGAGAUCUUGUUAGGGAUUAUUCUGAUAUUUGAAAGAUCGUGUACAAUAUAAUUAAUUUUUAUAAUUUAUUAAAAUAGUGUUAAAAAUAAAAAAGUGUUUAAAUAAAUUUUCAGAGUAUAAAUAAUUUAACCUAAAACAAACUAAAAUUCAAUUGAUAACUGAAUAUAGUCCACCAUUGGGAUGUUUUGUGAUGAAUUGUCCUCUCCCAUUUUCCCAAGAGAAGACUGAAUCUUCGAUCAGAUGAUCCCAUGGGAACUGAACCAUGUGAUCACAAAAUUUUAAAUUUCCCGAAUAUGUCGUUGUUGCAGCAGCUUACAAGUAGCUGGGAAAUUUAAAGCCGUGUCGGCUGCUACUUGAGCUGCUAAAAGUAAAACUUCAGAGGAAAUUACUAGUUUAACAAAAGGUCAAAAGGGGCACAUUUAGGAAUCAAGAAAAUUAACAAUAGAAUUUUAAUGGCUACAACCUUUUGAAGUUUCAAAAGAGACCCGUCCAUUUGUUAGGGCCAAAUUACAUUCUUGACCGGUGUUCCUUUCCUUUCCCACUUGAAAGUUCAAGUUGGCCUUUUGAUUUGCGGUCAUAUAAAUGGCAUCCACGUGUCAUGGUUCGAGUGAGUGACUGAGUCGACGGUGAACGAGGGAGUUUCGAUCUCAUCCGAGGCAGGCGAAAUGAGCGGCUUCGUGUGGGUUCCAUUGGCAUUAGAAAAUUCCUCCUUUUGGUGCAAUCGCGACCGCUGAUUCCAACUUUCACGGAACCGCAGCUAGAAGAAGAAGGGAAAAAAAAAAACAAAAAAUCCCUUAAAUAAGAGGACUCAAUGUUGUCAAUUCGUCAGUAUUCAUCAUCCAUCAACAGUCAACACAUACCGUAUUGUGUUCACUUUUUAUUUUUCCCUCACUAUGCAUGAUAAUGAUUGGCUGCUCUCAAAACUCAUUUAACAAUGCCCAUGUUUUAGUGCAUAGGUCACGGAUGCUGCGUUAUGACGCGUAUCUACCUGAAAUUUUAUUUAAAAAAAAAAAAACCCGAAAAGUUUACUAGUAGGGCGAGUCCAAUAUUUUAAUUUUCGAUAAUUUAAUGCAACGAAUCCAUAAUUAGUUUGUUUCUUUAUAUGUCGAUGCUUUAUAUGGAACCAAACAAUAGAAAUAUUCACUGAACCUAUAUUUGAAUCGAUAUAGAAUUAGUCCAUAUGUAUAUAUGUGAUAUUAGAAAAUCAAUUAGUUAAAUUUGGGAUGCAUUUGAUUGAUUGCACUUAAAUACUCUCGGUGUAAUUAUUUUGUAUUUAAAUUGUACUCUGAUCCUGAGAUUUUCAGUUUUUUUAGAGCUUUAAUUUUUCAAUUUCAUCUAAUACUUGUGCUAUGAAUUCGGUUAACGAUCAAUGGAAUAAUUGAGGAAUUCUAUUACUAAAAUAUUAUUUGAUAGAUCUUAGUUUCAAAAACAACCCAAAACUUUGGUUCACUUUCCUUUAUGGGCAUGAUUAAUUAGUUGAACCUUACUGAAAGAAAACACCGAGCUAUGAUGUUGUAUAGUGGAUAAAAUAGUAUAUGUAAAGUCGAGAAGUGCAAGAAAGGCUGAGAUUAUGUUUAUUGGACAUAAGGAAAUUACCAAAAUACUGAAAUUAAAAAAAAAAAAAAAAGAUUUUUCCAUCAGCUGAAAACUUUUGGACGAGGAAGGUAGUUCAGGAGCCAGUUUGCCAGGUAUGUAAAAAUGGUUGGGAGACUGUUUUUCAUUCAUUAGUGGGCUGUAAGGCUGCAAAGAAAAUCUGGAAAAUUACUCGGUUUGAAGAUGAUCUCAAGGGGAGUGUUGAACAAGAUUUGUUGAGCUUGCUGCUUGGUUUGAAUUUGUGAAGGAGCAAAGCUGAUAUUGAACUGCUGGCUACAAUCUUUUGGGCGACGUGGAGUGCAAGAAACAACUGCUUAUUUAAAGGAAAAAAAAAAGAGAGUCCUCAGCUGCUAGUUGCCAAGGCUGAAGCUAUGAUUGAGGCCUAUAAAAGAACUCAAUUAUCAGCACCAGCAUCCAUUGGCAACCAAAGGCCCUAGAACCCACCCCAAAGUGGUUUCUUCAAAGUUAAUGUUGAUGCUGUCACUAAUUCAAAAAAGCAACUUUCAGGCAGUGGCGAAGCUACCACCAUAUUUUUUGGUGGGCUAUUAAGUUUAUUUUUAUAUUUUUUAUAAGUAUUAAUAAAAAUAAAUUCAUAAAUUUUAAUUUAUUAUUAUUUUUUUUCAAAAAGCUAACUCGGGUUAGCCAACCCUUAGCUUUGCCACUGCUUUCAGGGCUAGGGGCUGUCAUUAGAGACGAGUCUGGGAAUGUGAUUGCAGUUGCAAUUAAGAUCUCAAAAUUCUAUGGUGAAGUAUCGUUUGCAAAGGCAGAAGCAAUGGAAUGUGGAUUCUAGAUUACAGAACGUGCUCGGUUAAGGUUCUUGGUAGUGGAAUCAGACUCUCAAGAGGUAGUUAAGCUGGUGAACAACAGGCAGGGCUGUAGAUCCGAGAUCUUCUGGGUUAUAUCAGAAGUGCAUAGCCUAAUGAAGAAAUUUGAACAUACUUCUAUCCAUUAUGCUCAUAGAUCUUGUAAUGGUUUAGCACACUCUUUAGUUAAGCUAGCUUUAGAGAGAUGCGAAACUGUUGUAUGGAUGGGUUCAUACCCUUCACAAUUAUUGUAUCUGUUUUCUUCUUUUCAAUCAAGAUAUUUUCCAUAAAAAAAAAAAAAAAGAUUUUUCUAAGUAAAAUUUUGUUAUCACCUUGAUGAUCCACGUCUCGUGGGUGAACAUAAUUUUGAUGUUAAAUACUCUCCCAAGUUUUGUAAUGUAGAAGCUUGUAUGCAAAAUUAGUGGAGUCAUUAAGAUUGUGCUACAUUGUUUAAAUUGCAUACAAAAUUAGCCAGCAUCGAAUCCCAGCUCUCCGUCCGGCGAUGAAAUCGAAAAAAACAAAUGGUGGUUUUUGGAUUUCUGUUGAGAGGAAUAUAUUACAAAUGCGAGUAUACGCAUACCAUUUCAAGGAAAAAAUCCCAUGCCCUUUGCUCAAUAACUUUUUAUUUUAUCAAUUCAGUCUUCGCCAUUGAAAGGUAGCUAGAUCUACACAAAUGAAUUAUUGUGAUGUUGAAAAAUGUACAUAAAAUUUCACACACCAUUGAUAGCUGUAAUUUUCUAAAAUUUUAGUCGCAAUUGCGUGAUAAACUUGAGAACUUGAGAGAAACCUACUUUGGUGUUGCUUUCAAUUUCCAAACCAAAAUUAGUUCCAACUUUUGCAUCACAUAUUCUAAGAAAUCUGUAUUGUAUAUCAUCCGCUUUUUUUUUUUUUAAUUACAUGAGAUUAAUGCUCAGAUUACAACUGAUAUUAUGUCCAAAUUUUACUCUCUGUAAUAUUUGAGGGGUGUCACAUGAGAUUAAUGCUCAGAUUACAACUCAUAUUAUGCUCAGAUUUUACCUUCUCUAAUAUUAAAAUAAUGUCUACUCCACUCACAUUUCGAAAGAAAAAAGACUGUCUUCACUUAAUUAUAUAUUAUAAUUAAGGAAUGAAAUAAGUCCCUACAUGUGUCGCAGGGGUUCGAACCGCUACCUUUACAAUUGUGAGUGCAGAGUCUACCCACUGGGCUAAAGGCCCAAUUAUUUAUAUUACUAGAAAAUAGACCCGCGUUUCACGCGGCUUUGAAAAAAGAAUUUAGUAUUAUCAUUUUUUCUUACUUUACACUUGAUGAAACUGAUAAAAAAUAAGAAUUGAUUUUUUUUUUUAAGAUGAGGCAGCCUUAUAAAAAAUAAAAAAAAANNNNNNNNNNNNNNNNNNNNNNNNNNNNNNNNNNNNNNNNNNNNNNNNNNNNNNNNNNNNNNNNNNNNNNNNNNNNNNNNNNNNNNNNNNNNNNNNNNNNNNNNNNNNNNNNNNNNNNNNNNNNNNNNNNNNNNNNNNNNNNNNNNNNNNNNNNNNNNNNNNNNNNNNNNNNNNNNNNNNNNNNNNNNNNNNNNNNNNNNNNNNNNNNNNNNNNNNNNNNNNNNNNNNNNNNNNNNNNNNNNNNNNNNNNNNNNNNNNNNNNNNNNNNNNNNNNNNNNNNNNNNNNNNNNNNNNNNNNNNNNNNNNNNNNNNNNNNNNNNNNNNNNNNNNNNNNNNNNNNNNNNNNNNNNNNNNNNNNNNNNNNNNNNNNNNNNNNNNNNNNNNNNNNNNNNNNNNNNNNNNNNNNNNNNNNNNNNNNNNNNNNNNNNNNNNNNNNNNNNNNNNNNNNNNNNNNNNNNNNNNNNNNNNNNNNNNNNNNNNNNNNNNNNNNNNNNNNNNNNNNNNNNNNNNNNNNNNNNNNNNNNNNNNNNNNNNNNNNNNNNNNNNNNNNNNNNNNNNNNNNNNNNNNNNNNNNNNNNNNNNNNNNNNNNNNNNNNNNNNNNNNNNNNNNNNNNNNNNNNNNNNNNNNNNNNNNNNNNNNNNNNNNNNNNNNNNNNNNNNNNNNNNNNNNNNNNNNNNNNNNNNNNNNNNNNNNNNNNNNNNNNNNNNNNNNNNNNNNNNNNNNNNNNNNNNNNNNNNNNNNNNNNNNNNNNNNNNNNNNNNNNNNNNNNNNNNNNNNNNNNNNNNNNNNNNNNNNNNNNNNNNNNNNNNNNNNNNNNNNNNNNNNNNNNNNNNNNNNNNNNNNNNNNNNNNNNNNNNNNNNNNNNNNNNNNNNNNNNNNNNNNNNNNNNNNNNNNNNNNNNNNNNNNNNNNNNNNNNNNNNNNNNNNNNNNNNNNNNNNNNNNNNNNNNNNNNNNNNNNNNNNNNNNNNNNNNNNNNNNNNNNNNNNNNNNNNNNNNNNNNNNNNNNNNNNNNNNNNNNNNNNNNNNNNNNNNNNNNNNNNNNNNNNNNNNNNNNNNNNNNNNNNNNNNNNNNNNNNNNNNNNNNNNNNNNNNNNNNNNNNNNNNNNNNNNNNNNNNNNNNNNNNNNNNNNNNNNNNNNNNNNNNNNNNNNNNNNNNNNNNNNNNNNNNNNNNNNNNNNNNNNNNNNNNNNNNNNNNNNNNNNNNAAUAUAUUAUAGAGUGAUUUUAUUCAUUCCAAUUGUGUGUGUACAAAACAAAAAGAUGAGCUCUCCUUUUAUAGUUACAUAAUCACUCUAUGAAAUUAAUGAAAAAUUAUGGAUCAUAAUUUCUUGUGAGAUAGUGGGAGUUAUAGGGAAGCUAAAUGUUGCUAAUGAGAGAUAGUGGGGAGACUAAAAGAUAUAUGUUAUGAACAUUUACAUUUAUUUUAAUAAAUUCAUAACACUCCCCCUUUGAUAUUCAUUACAAAGAAUAUGCCUCAUUAAAAUCUUUACAUAAUUGUUAUUGUAUAAUAACAAUCAAAUUAAUUAUGAGAAGAUAAAAAACCAAAUCUAAAAGAAAAAUUCUCUAUUUAUUAGAUAAUAGAGAAUAUACAAAGAAGAGAAAUGGUGAUGCCACAUCACCUCCUCAAGUCCCAACUUUAUAUAGAUAUAUAGAUUGGCUUUUGAAUUUGCUGAAGUUACUUAUGAUGUAAUUUAAUAAGACCUAAUAUAAUAUAUUUAUUUCCAAAGUCUUUCUUUAAUUCUCAUUUUUUAAGUCGAUUACCUAAUUAGUCCAUAUAACUUAAAAAAUAUCUAAAUAUCGCUAUAGUCACUUUCGUAGCUAUAUGAUCUAAUCUUUUCAAGGAUAAAAUAAUAAUUACGUGUGAUAUAACAUAAAAUCAAACAACUAUAGCAUACAAAUAUUGAAAUAUAAAGAAUAAUUAAGUAGAUUUUAAAUGAAACAAAUAAAUAAGGAUUUUUUUUGUUAUUCUUGGAAAUUUAAAGACUAAGAAAGUAAUGAACUCAAAUUAUAAGACAAAAGGAGUGGUUGCUUUAAAUAAAUAAUUUAAAUUUAAGAAAACAAUCAACAAUACACAGUGGACAUUUAAAAAAGAAAAAGAAAAAUUAAACAUGUUAUACUCAUGGGACCAGAUAUAUUGGAAAUUACUUAACAAAUUUAUUAAUAAAACAAAACAUACUUUCUUUCUUAUGCUUAUUUAGUCAUGGUUUAAGCUAACUACCUAAUUAAUCCUAAUAUUUUUUAAAUCAUACAAAAAUUUAUAUUGUAUAUAUGUCCUAGUGAAUUUAUAUUGUAUAUAUGUUCUAGUGAAAUUUUAUCUCAUUCUUCUUCAUUUUUUUAACUGUUGCAUGUUUGACUCUUUAGAAUUUUAGCUUAUACAAUAACAAUACUAUUUUGCUUUUUGAAAACACAAAAAUUAAUUGAGUAACUAUUUCAAAUAAUAGAGACAAAGGGAAUAUUUAUCUAUUUGACUAUUUUUAAUAUUUUCAGGUUUAAAAAUAAUAAAUUUGAAGACAUGCCAUUUUUUUGUAUGACGCAUGAACAGAAUUUUGUGUCAGUUUUUCCAGUGAGUAACAGUUAUCGGACAAAAUGGGGGAAAAAAAAAAAAGCAGCUUGUAUUUACUUAGUUCGUACCACACAACAAGACAAAGAUUAGAAAACGGAAAAGAAGGAAAAAAAAAAGAUUCUUGCUCAUCAAUCUUCAUCCCAUUUCCAUUUUGCUUUUCUCAAAUUCAGAUGCUUCAUAAAUUAUCUAAUCAAUUCAGCGGCCUCUGUUAUUGCCCCACUAGCCACCGCUCCAAUCGUCCUCCGCCGCCGUCACCGCCACCACCCUUACCACUGUUGAAUCUAUGUAUAUCUAUACUAAAGCCAUUGCAAUCCUAGGGUUCCUCUUUUGUUCGGCUCUCAUUCUUGGCGCCGGUUAACGUUAUUUUUAUUUGUAAAAUAAAAAAUUUAAAUGCCGGUACCCGGGUUUCUAGGGUUUCACGGGUUGCUGGUUGUGGUUCUAUUGGUGUUUUACUCUCUAAUUCGGCAGAAAUGCAAGAAUGCGGUGGCGAGGAAAGAGGAGGUUACGAAACUCAUGGCUGUGGCGGCCGAGGAGUCGCUCAUGGAAGAGUUCCAAGCUGCCAAUCAGCACAGCUUCCUGCCGAGCUCUCCACCGCGGUUAUACCAAUGUGCUGUCUGCUUUCGUUCCACCACUACUCGUUGCUCUCGGUGCAAAGCUGUUCGUUACUGGUUAGUUAGCCGGUUCGCUUUGUUGCAUUUUGAAUCAAAAUCAAAUUUUUUUUUUUUUUUUAAAUAAUUUAUGUCAGUGCUUUGAAGUUUGAAGUUUGGAAAUUUUUAAAAUGAGGAGAAUUAUCUUUCUUCGUUACUUACUGGUUACUUCACUGCUUGCCUUAUGGUCUCAGCAGUAAGACCUCUAACAUUUUUAGUCAUCUGAUAAAUAUUUAUUCAUUGCGACACUUUCCAUGCCAGUCAUGGUGUCUCACUCUAUGUAUAUCCAUAUAUGAAAAUGUCUCUGCAGAAAACACUAAUUUAUUUAUAUUGUGCUUUUCAUGUUGGUUGAGAGAGGAGCUGGAGUAGGUUUUCAUAGGUUUACCAAGUAAAGGCUAUCUACAUAAUACUUGCAACUUGUCAUGUCUUUUAAUAUGUUACUGAGUAUAGACCUCCAAGUAAUUUCUGACUGUGUCUUUUGCUUGUUCCGUCAAUAAUGUUUCAGCAGUUGCAUGACUUAUCUAAUUACAUUAGAGCUAGUUAAGCUGGACCUCAAUCAUUGUGAAAACUAUUAGCUUCACUUGGCACAUGUCAUGAAAGUUUUGAUAGAGGGAUAAACUACAACACCUAUAGAGAUGAGUGUGUUUUAUUUUGCCUACAUAUUAAGGUGUCCGUUAAUCUUUUUGCUGACUAUCUGCAGUAGUUUCUUUUGAAUGUGCCCAGUUGUUCUUCUUCAGUGUCUCAUUAUGGUAUUUACUUUUUUUUUUUUACUUGUAGUUCUGGCAAGUGUCAAAUUUUUCACUGGAGGCAAGGUCAUAAGGACGAAUGUCGUCCCCAAAGAAUCAUUACGCCAUCAAGGGAGGAUGGUGACUCUGUAACAGUAGCAGGACCAGAAAAGCAAUUUGAAAUUUGUGGUAAUCAGGCUCUUGGAUCUAGCACAAUUGACAGAGUGGAGAGUCCUAUUUGUGAUUCUAUUACUCCUGAUGUGCCUGAAACAAGGAGUAGAAUUAAGAAGUCUAAACAGACCAUGUCACCAUCUGCGGACUCUGCUAAUAUGGUCAUUGAUGUAGAUGGCACAUCUCGUGCCAGUAAAUUAGAUAAAAUGAAAUUGAGUCAUAAUGAUGAAGAGGUUAACAUUAGACCGCAGAUCUCCACAGCCAAGACAACCCUGCCUGAUGAUGUCCAACCUGCAAAAUUGGGUGACAAGAAGUCCAAUGGGGGAGCUGCUUCACCUGAUUUCUUAGUUAAAGAUUCUUCCACGUUUAAGAGCAGGACAUCUGUGGGCUGUUCAAGGUUUGAUCCAGUAACUAAAGUUGGUGAAGAUGAUUCACAGAGUUUUACAGGGAAACAUGUGUCAUCAAGCACUCCUCGUUCAUCCUUAACUAUUGGAAGGCAUUCUCUAAGCAAUUCUAAGUCUGAAUUGCCUGCAAAAAUUAGUAGUAUCCCAAGCUUGCCUCAGAAUGCUUGUCAUGGGCUGAAAUCAUCUAUGCAGAAGGUUGUGCAGCAAUUUAGAGUCUCCAAACCAUUGAAGUCUUACUCGUUAGGUUCUGAGGACGAGGUUGUUGGAAAAUCCAAUGAAAAGGUCAUCUUGCUGUCAUGAUUUGCUUUCUUGAGAGCCCCGUUGGUUUCUUUGGUAUUUCUUAUUCACUGAUUGACUAUUUCUUGGCAGCCAUUAUUUCCAUAUGAUUUGUUCAUGAAACUCUACUCUUAUGAUAAGGUGGAACUAUACCCGUUUGGCCUUAUAAAUUGUGGGAACAGGUAAAAUUUUUUGCCUUCUUUUUUGCUAACAUGUAGAUGUAUUGUUAUUAAGUUUUUUAAUGUCUACACUCUCAGCAUUGUGUUAUGAUGGAUUAUUGUAUGAGAUUUAUGAUUUAAACAAUGUUGCGGUUUUGUGGAUUUGUAGUCCUCCUAAUCCUUGUACAUAUUUCUAAUAGUUUUAUUUAAUCUUUUGCUUCUUAGCAAAGAAAACAUUGUUGCUGUUUUGGACACGCUUCAUACAUUAUAAAUAAUGUAAUAUUGGACUACGAAAUAUGGGUUACAUCAAAAUUCAGUUUCUUAUCUUUAAUACAACAUAAUUUUCCUUGAAAUUUUUGCAGUUGUUAUGCUAAUGCCGUGCUCCAAUGCCUGGCCUUCACUCGACCUUUGACGUCAUAUCUUGUGCAAGGGCUCCAUUCUAAAGCAUGUAAGUUGUCUUAUUGAGUUAUAGCUUCAUAUGAGUUCAUUAUUGGGACCCUUUUGUUGAUUGCCUUUUCAAUUUUGAAUUUUUUUCACCUUGUCCAGGUCAAAAGAAGGGGUGGUGUUUUAUUUGUGAGUUUGAGUGCUUAAUUCUGAAUGCAAAGGAUGGGAGCUACCCUGUGUCUCCAAUCGGCAUACUGUCCAAGAUUCAAAAAAUUGGAAGUCAUCUUGGUCAUGGGAGGGAAGAAGAUGCUCAUGAAUUUUUGAGGUGAAAACAGGAUUACUUUUAUAUAUGCUUCUGUUCAUUACAUUUUGAAUCUUUGCAAGUGUGACUUACAGCAUUACUUUGUAAGGUGGCAGGUGUGCUGUUGAUACAAUGCAAUCUGUUUGUCUUAAGGAGUUUGGGGCUAAAGGCAAAAUUGCAGAAGAAACAACUUUAAUAGGCUUGACUUUCGGGGGUUAUCUUCGAUCUAAGGUUGUUCAUUAUUUUGAUGGUACAUCGAUCAUCACAUUCCUGUGUGAUUUAGUUUUGCUUUAUUGAAGUACUAUUCAUUCCUUUUGUUAUCGGAAUUCAAUUACUGGGAUUUUCAGAUUAAGUGCUUGAAGUGCCUCGGUAAAUCUGAGCUGUAUGAGCGGAUGAUGGAUCUAACCGUUGAGAUAGAUGGGGAUAUUGGAACUCUUGAAGAAGCUCUUGCACAAUUUACAGCUAGUGAAAUCUUGGUUGGGGAGAACAAGUAUUAUUGCAGCAGGUUUUGAUUAAUUUGCUUGUUUCUCUCAAUUCAUGCCUGAGCUUCUAGAUAUCAAGUUAUUUUGCAUGUGCCUUUGCUUUUUUCUCCCAUAUUUGCAUUUCUAAAUGUAAACAAGCAGGCUUAUCUCAGCUAAUUUUUGUACAUUUUGCCUCUUUGUUGUUGUUAAACUGCUUACUCUGCAAAUAAAGCAGUUUUAUUUUCACAAUUCCUACUUUUCUUAGAAUGUAAUUAUCAAAUAAAACUUGAGGUGAAAUUAGUUGUUUGAAAUUUUAGUGAUGCAAAUUGAAAUUUAUGUCUUACUGUAUUAUUCAGGUGCAAAUCAUAUGAGAAGGCUAAAAAGAAAUUGACGGUAUUGGAGGAACCAAAUAUACUUACUAUUGUCUUAAAAAGAUUUGAGGUAGUUUUAUUUUUAUUUUUCAAUUUUAAGUUUAAUUUCGUGCUCUUAAUGUGUUUUUGCUCUACAACCUGUGCUUGUAGUCUGGGAACUUUGGGAAGUUGAAUAAGUCAGUUUGGUUCCCUGAGGUCCUCAACAUGGCCCCAUAUAUGAGUCGAACUGGUGAUGGAUCUCCUAUGUACAGCCUAUAUGCAGUGGUUGUUCACUUGGAUGUUACAAAUGCUACAUUUUCAGGUCAUUAUGUGUGCUAUGUGAAGAAUUCCCAUGAGGAGUGGUUCAGAAUUGAUGACAGCACUGUAUGUCCCUUGAUCUCUGAUAUGUUUAUUUUAUCAUUAUUAAGAGCUUCUAGCCUCAUAUUUAUAUUUGGACCCUAAAAUAUCCCUUUUAAUUGAUUACAAACCCCCAUAUAUAUAUAUAUAUAUAUAUAUAGUCGUUUAUGUGUAUUUUACCCCUCUCUGUGGCAGAUACCAAAUGCUUAAGGUGGUGAACUGUCAAUUUAAUUUUGCAUCCUUGAUUGUUUGAUGCUCACCUAUUUGAAAUCCUGAUUUAUUCCUGCAUCUUAUAGGCUGGAAUUUCAUCGUACAGACACUUCUAAUUUUUUCCUUUUCUCCUGCUUCAAAUUUAUGAAAGAGACUUGAUAGAAUGCAUUAGAAAACAAUAUAAUUGGUGUGCAUGAGUGGGUGUGCAGAUCUGAAGGACUAUGGCUGCUGAUUGGGGCUGUUUUCUUGAUUCCUAGCUUUGAAAGUUUAUUUUUGUUUGUUCACAAUUUCUGGAUAAUUUCCACAGUAAUUAGCUUGAGAGGUUUUUUUUUUUUUUUUUCAAAUUUAUAAAUCUGAUGGUUGGAUGUUGGUUUUGUGUAGGUAAUACCGGUCAAAUUGGAGAGGGUCUUAUCAGAGGAGGCAUACAUGCUUCUUUAUGCGAGGUAAUGUUGUUGUGCAGCAUGAUUGGUAUAAAAUCAGGAUUUUCUGGUUUGCUGGGGUGUAAAUAGAUUUAGAUUUUUCAUUCAGGCAUUCUCCGCGACCACCAGCUUUGAUAAGAAAUAAUGUAUCUCAUGGUGUGAAGUCCAAGAAAAAGAGCUUGGAAGCUGUUGGCCUUAAUAAUACAUCCAAAAUAAGAUCGAACUCAUAUAUUCCUAGUUUGGAUUCCAAGGCACAGCAGAAGCCUUGUACAGACAGCAAUCAAUUAUUUGAUAGAGAUGAAUGGAAAUUCCGUUCAAUGCAAAGAUCUCCUGCUGUGGAUUCAUUAAGUGAGAGCUCCUCCAUUUUCAGCUGGUCUGAUGUGAGUUCUUGCAGCACUGCAAGUACAAAGGAGUCUUCUAGGAGUGAAGACUUGUCUGAUUUAAUAUUUGGCGAUACACCUAGUUGGUACAGAAGUUAUGGGAUUACAUCAGACUCAAUUGCAUCUUCCUCUUAUCAAAACUCAAACGUAGGAUCAGAAGGGGAAAAUGAUGCUUGGCAGCAUGGCUGGAGAGAAGGCUUGGGACGGGAUGGAAACCCAGCAAUUUUGUUUACCGAGUCAACUAAGCAAUAUAGAAACUUAGGCCACCAGUAUGUUAGUAAUGGUAGUAGUAGGGACAUUGAUUCUGAUCGUGUAGGGUGGGCUCACCCUUCUGAUGUAAGAUUAAGGAGAGCAAAUGGGGACUACAGAUCAGCUCAACCGUUUUAUUGAGGUUUGAGUUGAGAUUAAAUUAAGUUCGAAAAUUAAUUAAUCUAUGGGAAAGUGCUCUCUCUAUAUUUAUGCUCUGUGAGUCACCGUAGUUUGCUAGAAAAUCAAAAACAUUUUACCGUAGAUCGGUGUUUGUUUGAUCUUAAAUAGUGUUGGAAGUUGAGUACUGGUCAAAUAUUAAAAUCUCACAAAAGCUUGCCUCAUUGUUUUGUUUGGCCCAACUUCCGACAAUAGCUAGUAUUUUGGAAAGCAAAACGGUGUCGUAUGAGUGGCCAGGAAAAAAUAAAUAAAAAUGAUUUAAAGGAAGCCGCCGAAAAGCGAGAACCCACCAGCAGCAGCAUUUGAGAAUCUCCUAGAAAACGAAACCAAAGAAACGACAGGCAAAUGCCUGUGGCAUUAACAAUACCAAGCUGCCACCAUUGCUGCCAGAAGCUAAACAAUCGCAUUUCUCCCUCACUAUUUCUUUUCAGCCGCUGCAGUAAAACAAUGGUGACCUCCGGCAGCAGCAGUAACAAUAAUGCAGGCGCUUUCACGACAAUCAAAGAGACAGUCACAUUCGAGAAAGAAAUUAAAAAGAGCAAAUUCAUCGCCAUAGCCGGCCCCAUCUCCAACGAACAAUCUGCCCAAUCCUUCCUUUCGCAGGUAACACUAAUUUAUAAUUAAUCUUCUUCCACAGCUCUCCAACUUGAUUAUCAUAUUUCAAAUUAAUAUCUGGUGAACGUUUCUUUUUUUUUUUAAUAUUUAUUAUAGGUCAGUGAUCCUCGUGCUACUCACAAUUGCUGGGCAUAUAAGGUAUUAGGCGCUUACAUGAUCGUUAAUCUUGAGUUUUCAAUCUAAUAUUUUCAGGAAUUGGUUUGAUUGUUUAUUAUUUUAUGUUAAUUUUAUAGGUUGGAAAUCAAUACCGGUCUAAUGAUGAUGGUGAACCAUCGGGAACAGCUGGCAAACCUAUUCAUUCUGCAAUUGUUUCUUCAGGUUUAGAUAGAAUCAUGGUUGUAGUCACAAGGUAUUUUUAUUAUUAUUAUUUUUUAAUCUCGCGCGUUCAUCCUUUCAAGUUCCGUUCUUUUAUACAUGUGCAUUAUUACAUGUUGAAUGAAUUGACAAUCUGCAGGUAUUUUGGAGGUAUAAAACUGGGUACUGGGGGACUAGUUAGGGCUUAUGGUGGAGUGGCAUCCGAAUGCUUAAGAAAUGCUCCUACAAUUCUUGUGAAAUCUAGGGUAAUUCAGUCCUUUCUCAGGCUUUUUUUUUUUUUUCAUAGAACUAAUUUAUGCUUAUGCCAUACAUUAUGGUUAAUUUUCUACUAAUUUGAUUUCAUGAUUUUUAAUCUUGGAAUUUUGUUUCUAUUUUGUAGGUUCCAAUGGGUGUGGAGGUUCCAUUUGAACUUCUUGGAAUUUUAUACCAUCAGGUAAAUUUGGACUUGUAGUGAUGCUUUGGUGUAAUUUGGAUUUUGCAUUCCACAUGAUUGGAGUGUAAGAAAGAACUUCUAAUUUUUAUUCUCUUUGUUAGACCGUCAUGUUAUGUUAAGUUCAAAUUUUACAGGAUUAUUUGAUUGUAUUUCACAUUUUUUAUGUCCCAUUUACUUCACCUACCUGCUAAGGCUUUUUUUUUUUUUUUUUUAAAUUUAUUCCCUCAAAAGAUCAUAACCUUUGUGAUGUUAAGUGUUAAAAGACCUUCAUGGAAUAGAAUUCUAACUACUUAUGCAGUCUGUAGUCAUUGUGGAUUACUUUUUUGACAAAUGCUAAUUGUUGCCUUAUGUGACCUUUUCUGGCUCUAAAAAAUGGAACCUGUGACCUUCAUGUGGUAAUUUCAGUAUUUUAACUUAUUUCUUAUCUUUGAUGCUCACAGCUGCAAUUGUUUCAAGUUGAGGACAUCAACCAAGAUUAUGACACUGGUAAAGAUGGAAUCACCAUGGUAACUUUCAAAGUUGAUUUUGAUCGGGCUGAGAAUUUGGAGGAUGCUAUCAAAAACAAUUGUAGGCGAGAUCUUGUGUUCUAUAAACACUGAGAACGACUUGGCUAGUUAUCAUAUUUCAGUUUAGAGAUUGCCAACACUUCAGAUUCAAUUGGGGAUUAGUAUGUACAUCUUUUUCCGUGCUUUAAAACAAUUUCUUGUGCUACAUAUGGGAUUUUUUUUUUUUUUUUUGAUUACAUGAGACUAUUGCUCAGAUUACAACUCAUAUACAUGAGACUAUUACUGAUAUUUACAAAUCAGACUAUUACUGGGACCAACUGACAUCAAUGCUAAUGGAGCUCUGCCCAGAUUUUAACCCUCACAAAUAUUCGAGGGAUGUCUACUCCUCACUCAUGGGUAAGGGAGAAGACUACCUUCACUCAAAUUAAUUGAAGAAGGAAAUACCCCCACAAUACUUUUGUGGGGGUUCGAACUGUUGCCCUCCAAGUUGGAGGGCAGCAGCCCUGGCCACUCAGGCUACUGCCCGAGUGGUUGCUACAUAUGGGAUUGAAUAUACUAUUAACUGCACAUUUGCAUAAAAUUAGCUUUGAGAGGUAUUAUCGGUACAGUUAAAUACUGGUGGCUAGUAUUACAUUAUUUUUGGAAAGUCUUGGCUCGCCUGAUAUGUUAAUAUUGUAUAUACAAUUUCAGGUUAAUACUAAUUCUGUUAUUUGUUAUUCAUAUUUGCUUUGUUCAUUAAUGCAUAGCUUUUACUUUCCUUCCUGCAUCAAAUUCAGAUAAGUGAACCCCAAAGAUAUUAUUAAGCCUACUCAGAUUUGCAUUAAAGGAAAGAUGAAGAAAGUCAAGAUCAUCAACCCUUACCUUAAGCUGAGACGUGCUUUAUGGUUAGUCUUGAAAGAUGAAAACUAGUGAAAUGUGUAAAACAAGUAUAUAUGAACCAAAGAAGAUUGAAAAAAAAAACAUGGGAAGGCAGAGACACAAGCAUAAGCACCAUGGCAGGCUCUGCAGGUAUCUGACUUCAAGCUCUUCCAGCAGCAGUAAUAUUGCAUGUCAAGGGCUAGCAGUCAUUUUGACAAGGGUGGGGAGAGGAAUGGAAUGAUUGGUAUUCGUGUUGGGGUAUUGGGGGUUGAAGGGAUUGUUGUUGGGAUAGGAGGCAGAGGAGUAGCUGGCAAUGGGGGUAGUGUAAAAACCUUUUGGGCUGUAGGCAAGGUAGGCAAUGUUGGAUUUGGCAAAGAUGGGUCUUGGGUGCUUGGCAAAGGGGAAGUGUAGGCUUUAGUAGAAUUGGUUGCGUUGGUAAUGUGGGCAAGGGAUAGAGGGAAGUGGCGGCAAUGUGUUUUUUGGGGAGUUCGGAAUGGGGGUAAUGGACGCGAUGUGGCCUUGGGCAAAUAUGGUAUUGUAGGCAGUGUUAAUGCUGGGGAUGUAGUCUCAAUAUAGAUACCGGCAAGCCCAGGCCUGAUUGAGCAUUCUCAUUCAUGGAUCAUCUGGCCUUUUUGCCAUAUACUUUGAAGUUCGAACUCUUUCAACUUUAAUGAGGUUUUGCUUCUAUACAUGUAUCAGUUCUGUUAUUUCUCACCAAUUUUGCUUGGUUAGUUUUAAAAUAUGUUGACUUAGACAGGGAAACAAGUCACAGAAAAUCAUUGAGGAACAUUUCGUGAUUUUAAUUUUUUUUCUUUGUUUUUUAUUUAUCUUUUUUUCACUUGAAGAUAUGGGUCCGGUUAUAUUGAAAGGCCAAUAACAAUGCUCACCAUGAGACUUGCAAUACUUGGUAAGCUAUAAUAUUCGUGAGUUAUUAUAGCCGAUCCUAAGUUAGAGCUAUCUGGUACCAUACAUAUUCUUUGUGAGGAUAUCAGAGCUAAUUACAUGCCGCUUUCAUUUGUGCCAUUUUUUUUUUUUAAAGAUACUUCAAAUUUUUGGUGAAUUCGUUUGAAUUGUCACUUGUGGGUUUCCGGCUGUUGUUAAAGAUACUUCAAAUUUUUGGUGAAUUCGAGGAUAUCAGAGCUAAUUACAUGCCGCUUUCAUUUGUGCCAUUUUUUUUUUUUAAAGAUACUUCAAAUUUUUGGUGAAUUCGUUUGAAUUGUCACUUGUGGGUUUCCGGCUGUUGUUAAUAAGGAGUUGAUCAUACUAAGCUUCAGGAAAACACAGCAGUCAAGGCUGUAUGGACAUUAAUGCUUUUGAUGGUUAAUUUAUAGAUAUUCAAAAAUAUUUGAAUCUCCCAAAUAUUGACAGGUGCAAGAUGGUGCUUUGUUUCCUUUUUGCCUUAACUUCAAGUAAGGACUUGAAUUAAAAAAAAAAAAAAAAAAAAAAAAAAAAAAAAAAAAAAAAAAAAAAAAAAAAAAAAAAAAAAAAAAAAAAAAAAAAAAAAAAAAAAAAAAAAAAAAAAAAAAAAAAAAAAAAAAAAAAAAAAAAAAAAAAAAAAAAAAAAAAAAAAAAAAAAAAAAAAAAAAAAAAAAAAAAAAAAAAAAAAAAAAAAAAAAAAAAAAAAAAAAAAAAAAAAAAAAAAAAAAAAAAAAAAAAAAAAAAAAAAAAAAAAAAAAAAAAAAAAAAAAAAAAAAAAAAAAAAAAAAAAAAAAAAAAAAAAAAAAAAAAAAAAAAAAAAAAAAAAAAAAAAAAAAAAAAAAAAAAAAAAAAAAAAAAAAAAAAAAAAAAAAAAAAAAAAAAAAAAAAAAAAAAAAAAAAAAAAAAAAAAAAAAAAAAAAAAAAAAAAAAAAAAAAAAAAAAAAAAAAAAAAAAAAAAAAAAAAAAAAAAAAAAAAAAAAAAAAAAAAAAAAAAAAAAAAAAAAAAAAAAAAAAAAAAAAAAAAAAAAAAAAAAAAAAAAAAAAAAAAAAAAAAAAAAAAAAAAAAAAAAAAAAAAAAAAAAAAAAAAAAAAAAAAAAAACAAACUUCAUAUAAGAACAAAAGAGUAGCAGCAGCAAUAACACAGACCCAAUCAUGAGACAGAGGAAUCUGCCACUCCCAACGGCAAGAAUGUUUUAGUCAAUUUUUAGUGAGUUAGAACAUUAGAGGAAAAUGGUCUUUUGGGGGAAGGAAUGACAGAAAAGUUUUUCUUUGGAAAUAUGUGACGGUGUAGGCGUUUUUAAGAUUUAUAAAAGAGAAUACCAUUAGAAGUUGGCGCCUGAGUGAUCGAUGACGACACUUCAACGUCAAAUUGGGCUGGUUUGAGAGUAAAGAAUGAUCAAAGAGCAAUAAUGCAAAGAAGAUGAGUUAUGAGGAAGAAGACGUCUUUUACAUAUGAAGUUAAUCUUUUUUACAGGUUGCCCCUAAGGGUGUCUUUGAGUCGGUAUAGACACAUGGGAGAGACUUAUUGGUCCAACCCCUCCCCAAGUGGGGGCAUGAUGGUAUAUUUGCUUUACAAUCAAAUGUUGGAGCCCUCGGGAUAUUUCUCAUGGUUGUACACGUGUUUUUUUUUUUAAUUAGUUGCUUCUUUAGGUUUAUUGGGGUUGAAAAUACCUUAUAGGUAGUAGGUCAUUUUUAGAUCUUAAUUACCUUAAAGAAGUCAAGGCCUUUCUGAUUCUUGGGGGGCAGAUCAUGUUUAUUAGUCUCCUUAAGACCUCUAAUUAAGUUGAUGUCCAUUUCAUCAGUAGGGAGACGUUUGGCUUGUUUAGUGAAGAAGAUAAUUAGUUAGAGCGAGCCUUUUGGUCUAUGGAAUGGGUUGUAUUGAAGGUCUUAUCAUGUCAAGACUACGAAGGAAUUUAAAGGGAGAAAGAUAAAUUCUAAAAUUCUAAUAUCAUUUCCAUUCUCCUUCCUUUACUGUUUGGUAUUUCUUUGGGCAUUCUCCAUAUUCUUGGGGCUUCAAGACCCCCAAAAAAUAAAUAUAGUGAAUUCCGUCUAAUAAUUAACUAUCAACAAAUAAAACUAAAUAAAAAAUCCAAAGAAAAUGACUCCACAAUAAAAGAAAAGUCAAGUCCUUAAAUCCUUGAAACAAAUAAAAAUAUGGACAACUCAGGUCUAUAAAGAAGAAAAACAAAAGUAUGAAAACCUUGGUAGGUUUUAUGAUAUCCCAAAUUGAAAAACAUGAAAGGAAAGCAUCUCGUUGUGGUACACCAAGAAGCCUUUAAUGUAUAUAUGGCGGCAUCCUGAUGACUAGGUGCAUGGUUUAGCUUGAUGGUGGUGGAGAAAGGAAGGGAAUUGUUGGUAUGGUUGGAAUCGAAGGGAUUGUCGUGGGAAUUGACGGUAAUGGAGCUGUGGGCAAUGGAGGCAGUGUCACCUUCGGUGCUGCAGGCAACGCUGGAUUAGGCGGAGAUGGGAUUUGGGUGCUUGGCGAUUAAGGUGGGUUUUGGCAGCGUUGGCAACGGAGUAGUAGAAGGUAAUGGUGGCAGAGUGGUUAUUGACGGCAUUGGAGGCAAUGUGGCCUUUGGCAGAGGUGGUGCCGGAGGUGGCGCCACUGCUGUCUGCAGAAGGUGGCGAGCUGCCAUGCUUAUUUCAAUGCUUGACCAAGACAAUGUUAUACUCAUAAUUAACAAUAUCAUGAAACAUAGCUUAAGAGAAGCCCUGGUUUAUAGAAGGAGCUAGCUUGUUUAGAUUUGCCUGUAGUGCAUUGAGGAAAAUUCUAAUAAGUGCGUGUUGAAUAGCAGAGCAGUCCUUGUUCAAUAAGUUUUUUUUAUAGAGAACAAAUAUUGAAGGUCUGUGCAUAUUUGGACAAAUCGACCAUAAGUUUGAUGAGUUGUGGUUGGAAAAAACUGUAAAGUAACAUCGGUUAGUUGACCUCCCUAGCCACACUUUUUUCAAAUUCAAAUAAAAAAUCUAACCGAAAGAAACCAUGUUUCUUUCUCUGUCUUUUCUUCUUAGCAGAAGUGUAAAGUAACCAGUGAAAGCAAUUCAGUGGCUUUGAAACGACGUGAGAAUAAUGUGUUUUGGUGUUUAAAUACAGAGCUAACUAAAACGGCAUCUAUGACUGUCGUUUAAGUUAGUGAAACACAUGAUGCGCACGUGAAUGGAUUCUAAUAAUCUAAGCUGUUAAAGUCGUUAGUGAAGCAUGGCUUGCACGUGAGCAUCUGGAAUUGUUUCCAGGAAGUUACCAGCAACUGGAAGGAGCUGAUUCUGUUGCAAAUAAGCUGGCUACGAGUCAUGAGUAUAAAGGGGGGUUUAUCUCUCAUAAUACAAGAGUGGAAUUCCAUGAGAUACAAUCUGUAAUUCUCUGUAAUCUUGAGUUCAUUCAAUAAAAGCUGAAGUCUUGUUCCUCCGUGGAUGUAAGCUAAGUGAUUUAGCUGAACCGCGUUAAAACCUCUUCUGUUCUUUAUUCUUUAGUUUGUUUUUCAAUUCUUUGAUUCUUAAAACCAUUGAUUGUUCAGUUUAGUCGCAGUUCUUGGUUAAACCUUUUUCAAGUCAUCUAUAGUCAAGCAUCUAGAAAUCUGAUCUUGGAUCUUGGGCAGAAGCUGAAGGUGUUAGAGCAAUUGAGUGCCCUUCAGUUUCUACAAAGGAAACAGGAAGAAACUAUUUUAGCUUUAUCUCACCCUAGCGACAUAAUCACCUGGUUAUGAAUCGUUACUCCCCACUGGGCAAUUGAACUGAUCAGAAUGCCAAUGAAAUUAUAUCUUUAAUAAUUUUGUCAAAAUUAAAAUUUAUAUUUACUAUAAAUUAUUAAUUUUUGUUUUAUAGUUACAAUUUUUUUUUUCACAGUAGUUGUAAUUUUUUUAAGAUAUAACAUCUCAAUCCUAAAUAGGACCAUAACCAAGCAGAAAAAUCAUUUCUUCAUAAGAUAAGAGCAUAUUUGGUGCCCAAAUGCAAUCUGUAAUCUAUAUAAUUAAAUAGAAGUAUAUGCCGAAGCAUACAUAUAAACGUUUUAAAAUCUUGGGUUGAAUUGUUUCGUAUGGUGUACAUUAGUCUUCCUUGUGACCAUGAGUGAAUUCAAAUGAAUUAAAUAGGACACUUUCGUUGGUAAUGCACGCCAUACAGUGAUUUGAUUGUGAAAUAUGUACAUUCAAAGGAAUAAACUUGUGUGAGCGGAAACAUUCGCAAACAAUUUUCCAAGUCUCGUUGUUUAUAGUUUCUUGGAAAUAUGAAGUACAUACACAACUUCUGUGUUUUGUUAUCAUUAAUUCCUGACAUAUUUGGUCUAAUGUCCGUUUUUAUGUUGGAGAACUGUAUAUCUAAUCCAUUUUCGCUUAGACUGAGUGGAACAAUCAGUUGUCACUGAUAUUUUGUCAACUUCAAUCGUUAUACUCAUCAUGAUGUGAUGGAAUCUUUUGGAAGUUUAUAUUUUUUUUUCACUUGAGUCAAGCUGGUUUUCUGCAGCCAUUUUUUUUUUUUUUUAGGUUCCUGAUGAAAGGAGCUUACAUAUACCAGAAUAGCAAAAGAAAUGAUAUACUGUAUUCAUUAUUGUAAAAAUACAAGUGACAACUACAUAUCUAGAGUAGCGCACUGCAAUGAAACAGAAACGAGUAUAGAAUGGCGGCGCCACACAUAAAAUAGAAUUGAAAUACCAGUAACUCAAUACAAAGUAAGGUACACAAUAUUCACUGAAUCCAGUAUAUAACUAAAAAUUGAAGCAGAACAAAUAAACGGCACUGAGGAACCCAUGGAACUGCAGCAUCCGAAGAAUAGAUUAAUUAGUUAGACGGAGGUGGAGAGAGGAAAGGAAUGGUUGGGAUUGUGGAGGGAAUGUUUGGAAUGGAAGGGAAUGUAGUGGGAAUUGUUGGAAGUGGAUUUGAGGGCAAUGGAGGCAAUGUCACCUUUGGUGCUGCUGGCAUAGGUGGCAGAGUUGGCAGCUUUGGAAGUGUUGGUUGAUUUGGUAGAGUUGGCAGAGGUGGUAGUGUGGCUUGAGGCAAUGUUGGGAUUGAUGGCAUUGGAGGCAACGCCACCUUUGGCAUUGGUGGAAGUGUUUGCAAAAGGUGGCGAGCCGCCAUGCUCAUUUCAAAACUUGACAAUGAUAAUGCUAUAAUUAUGGAGAGCAGGAAGCAAUGCUUAAGAGCAGCCAUGUUUUUAGAAGGAAAUAUUGGAGAAAGCAGCAAGUUUUUUUAAUUUUUAAGGAGAAGUUCUGUCUGCGCUCUGAGUUGGAGAAAGCAGCUUGUGAUGGCUAGCUACUUAAUAGAGCAAGGAAUGCUGAAGGAUUCAUGGAGUUUGAUGAGAUGUAGGUGGCCGAGUUUUGAGAAAUAGUAUUGGUUAGUUGACCUUCUCAUCUAGACUUGUUGCGUCUUGAACUCUUUCUUUGAAAUUUGAAUGGAUGACGCAGCCAUUGAUAUCAGUUAUCAAUGCGUCUGAUUCAUGAACAUGCCAGAUGAGGAAUUUUUCUCAACCGUCAUACUUCGUUCAAACAACUUAGCCACGUCAUGGAGUUUAGAAUUUGAAUUCAUGGAAGUACGAGUGGAGAUGUGAAAUAGCAAAUAGCAAUCAAUCAAAGCGUGCGAUGGCAGUGUCCUUAAGAUUAAAUCUUAAACCUUAAGAAUUGAUAUUUUAGUGUAAGGAUUAAAAAAGCAGUUUAAUCUUAAGGAUACAAUAACUACUGUCGUGAUGCUAACUUCUAGCACGAUAAACUUGAAUAGCUAAAAGUAUAUAAAUGAUGAAGAGAAUAGAAGAAACAGAGAGAAAAAUUUUUAAAUACAGAUCGUGUGAUAUAAAUAAUUCCUUCCUCAAUAUAAUUCAAAUAAAAAUAAAUAAAAAUAAAUCAAAGGGUAUAAACAUAAAUAGAGGCCAAACCUAUGUAUGUUAAUAGGUUUUUAGUAUGAGCUCCUUUGUUGAGAUUGAUUUCGUGUGCAUGAGCCUCCUCUUAACGGGUUUGUUACCAUAUUAUAUUUGCUUUCUAUACAUAAAUCAAUUUGUACUCUCUUCUUUUAGUAAUGCGAAAUAUUAGUAUUUUGAAAUAUUAACCCAAAUCUCUAACAUUAACUUGAAUGACACUAGUUAAAUAUUUUAAGCUAUAAUUUUCUUUAAAAGGUAGAACUCUUAAACAUGUUUUUUUUUUUUUUGGGACCAAUAAACAAAGUACUUGUAGAUAGCUAUAAGCUCAAAAUGAUCUGAAGACUUGCUAUUAGAAGAUAAAUCAAAGCAUGGCAUAUCCCACCUCUCUACCUUUUUUUUUUGGGUUUUUGUAUUUUUUUGGGGGGAUAUUCUCCUUUUUUUAAAGUUGGAAUAGUAUUUUUUUUAUUCUAUCUCAUUAAUUAUUAUUAGUAUUUUUUUUUUUGAAAAGAGAUUUCUAUUAAUACAAAGCGGAAAAAAGAUACAUCACUUGUGGAGGGUAUGAACCCUUCCAUACAACAAUUUUGCAUUUCUCUAAAGCUAACUUAGCUAAAGAGUGGGCAAUAGCAUUACAAGAUCUAUGCGUAUACUUAAUACUAACAUGCUCGAAGUUUUUCAUUAACUUCUGAAUUUACGAAACUAUCCAAAAGAUCUCGGAUCUAUUGCCCUGCCUGUUGUUUACUAAGCUGACCACUCAUGAAUUAUUAUUUUUAAUUAAUUGUCGAGAGGUAAAAAGUUUACUAUCGGCUAGAAUUUAUCAUUCAAUGAUCUUCAAUUUUUUACCGUCAGGAACAGUUGGCAAACUGAUACAUUCUGCAAUUAUUUCUUCAGGUUUAGAUCGAAUCUUUUUCAUAGUCACAAGGUAUUUAUUUAUCUAUUUUUCUUGCUUUCAUUAUCCAAAUUGUUUUAUUUUAGUAUAAUCUGUGUUUUAGGGAAAAUUCAAAAUUGUGUUUUGUUAUUUAAUUAUGUACUGCAUUAAACUAUGUUUGAAUGAUUUUUUAGAUAUUACUCAGUUUUAUCUUUAUGGAUAUAAGGUAGGAGCAUUAUCCAUUAAUUAUUAGUCUCAAAAUAAGCAAAAGCUUGCAUAAGCAUGGUUUGGAUUCAGUUCUAAUUUGAGUUUAUGGUGUGCUUAAUUUUUACAAGAUUGUGAUCGUGUUUAUUGUCUAAAUCCAAAAUCUUAAGCAUAAGUUUUAUUAAUGAUUAUUUAACUCUUGUUAUUUAUUUUGAGAAUGUACACAAUUUUUUAAUAAGAAAUUAAUUUGGGCCCAAGGGAACUCUAUUUCUAAUUCCCAUUUUUGUGUCAGGCUGUGUUUUGAUAAUCAAAUUUCAACUACGAAUGUCAACUUCAAAUCGUUAUGAACAUCAUAAUUUGAUGGGAACAUAUGGAAGUUCAUGAAUAUUUAUCAUCGUUAAGCUAGUUUACUGCUGCAUAUUAUUUUCCUGAUGCAAAUAAUGUUUCUCAUUUUCUGCGGGGAGGAGGACUAAGGAGUAUAUAUACAGAGACACACAACACACCAGCAUAGCAAAAUAAAUGACGUAUAGUAUAAAUCAUUAUUAAAAUACAAGUGACAAAUACAUCUGCAAUCAAACAGAAACGAGCGAAGACUGAUGCUAUAAUGCACAAAAGAGAAAUGAAAGAUCAGCAACUCAGGCACUAACAGUACACAAGACUAGCUCAACCCUGUAAGCAAACCCGGCUAUAACUAUAAAUUGAAGCAAAAGCAAUACCAAGGCUACGAGAAACACAUGGAACUGUAGCAUCCGAAGAAAAAAUAAGUGGGUUUAAUUAGUUAGAUGGGGGUGGAGAGAGGAAAGGAAUAGUUGGGAUUGUGGAGGGAAUGUUUGGAAUUGAAGGGAUUGUGGUGGGAAUUGGAUUUGAGGGUAACGGAGGAAAUGUCAACUUUGGUGCUGCUGGCAUGGGAGGCAGAGUUGGCAGCUUUGGAAGAGUUGGUUGAUUUGGCAGAGUUGGCAAUGGUGGAAGUGUGGCUUGCGGCAGAGUUGGGAUCGAUGGCAUUGGAGGCAAUGCUACCUUAGGCAUUGGUGGAAGCGUUGGCAGAGGCCCCGCUGGUGCUUGCAAAAGAUUGCGAGCUGCAAUGCUCAUUUCAAAACUUGACAAUGAUAAUGCUACAAGCAUAGAUAACAGAAAGCAAUGCUUAAGAGCUGCCAUUUUAUGUUUUACCAAUAUUGGAAAAAGCAGGAAGCAAGCUUUUGAUCUAUGUGGAAUAUGGACGCAAGUUCUGAUUGUGUUUUGAGUAAGUCAAAGCAGCUUCUUAUGGCUAUUUAUAGAGAAAAUGUUACUGGAUUCAGAGAGUUUGAUGAGAUGUAGGUGGGGGAAGUGUUGAGAAAGUACAUACAUUGGUUAGUUUACCUUCUCAUAUCUAGAUUAUGUUGCUUGUUGUUGAACUCAUUCUUUGAAUUUAAAUUUUAAGUGGAUGACACAGCCCACUUAUCGUGGAAAACAUAUGCCAGAAGUGGAUAUGUCUCGUUAAAAUGCCAGUUGAGGAAUUUUAUACUUUCUUCUACAAGAAUUAAUCUCCGAGAAUAGAGAUGGAGUGAGAGACAUUGGGAUAUGUUUCAUAAACUUCAUGUCUCUAAGGUGGAAGUUGAACCCAUUAAGUCGAGCCGAUUCCAGAGGAGUUCAAGUACGUAUCUCUCAAGUCUGGACCUAACACAGAUCCAUAUCGUUUGGCAACGACCCAAAUAUGGGUCUGUCGAGUUUACUUGGGCCUGACCCAUUUAACUGUUCUGAUGAUCAAUGAAGUAAUUAUAUUUGAUCCCUCUAUUUAUCUCAUUAAAUUGAUUUAUUUUCUUGAUUAUCUUUUAUAUAUAUAUAUAUAUAUGUGUGUGUGUGUGUGUGUGUGUGUGUGUGUGUGUGUGUGUGUGUGAAUAUAUUCAAUUCUUUCUCAUUUGCUAUUUCUCUCGUCUCUUGGGUUAUUAAUUUUGAUCAAAGAAAGGAGAGUAGCUGGUGCCAUUAGUCCUCAUUAUUGUGUCCGACUCCUGUUGUGCAAUGGAGAGAACUCCUGGAAGACUGAAAAAGCAGGUAGUCUUCUUCUAAUUAGAAGAAAAUGAUUACCCCCCCGCCGCGAAAAAAAAGGAAUAUAAUCAGAUUUUUGCAUAAAGUUGUCAGCAAAUGGCUUAAUUCCUCUGAGGGUUACUUGCCAAUUGCUGUCAGCAACUAGGGGACAAAAGCAAGGUGACGAAGGUAAUGUAGUCAAGCCGUCAAAACUAUAAGUGAGAGGUUUCCCCAUGCUAUUCAUUGAAAAUCCAAGAAAUUGAGAAGAGAGCAAUUGAGAAUAUAUACAUAUAAACAUUAUUUUUCAUAAGGGUAAUUAGGAGAUAAAUAAAAUUAAUUGAAAUGUGAGAUGUAGUGAGAUAAAGAGGGAGGGUCAAAUAUUAUUGCUCUUACUAAUGUAACCUAUCUAAAGGGAUUGCUACAAUCUUAUUCUCUCAUUGUUAAUAUGAGAAGUAUAUAAUGAGACAAUAACAAUAAUAUAUAAUAGACAUUUCAAAUUGUAUUAUGUGACAUAUCAUUUACAUAAGUACUUAAUAUUUUUAAAAAUAUAUAUAAAUUAAUUAAUUAUAUUAUUUUAUAAUUCAAUUAAUGAAUCACGUAUUAUUUAUAAAAAAAAAAUAGAAUACUUAGCACUUCUUUUUUUUAAAAAAAAAAUUUACUUACAUGUACUUUAUCUUUUGCAUUUAAUGUGUCAUUUGACUUAAAUAUUACUCAAUUCUUUUCAAGGUUAUUGCAUCCAUACCACCAUGUCCAUGUGUUAACUCUACUUUAGUCUUACAAUAUUAUCUUUUAAAAUACUUCAAAAACAAUUUUUUUCUGUCAAUAUUCUUUGGACCAAAUAAAUUUAUUAUUUAUUAUUAGUUGUUAAAAACUUAAUUGGAUUUUAGUCUUACAAUAUUUUUUGGACCAAAUAUUCUUUAUGUUAUCUUGUCGCAUAACCAUGCUCUAUGAGCCAUUUUGGUCAUGACCUAUAUUAGAUAUUUUGCUUCAAUAUUACUUUCCAAGUAAUUUAAAAGCCUCAAGUAAUAUAUACACUUUUUCUUUAAGAUUUAAAUGCAUCAAGCAUUUAUAUUGCAAUGGUCUAAUUAUGGUGUUGGGUCCAUGAGUCCAUCUCAUUUGGGAGCCCAAAAGCUAAAAGUCUAAAAUGACUUUCUUGAUGUGCAAUUAAUAUAAAAGUUUAGAGUUGGAUGAAAAUUGCCAUGAAAUUUACCUGUAAAUGCAAGCGGCAGCUCUAAUUUACAUAAUCGUAAAAAAGACGAGUGGGAAAAGGGAGAAGAACCCAGUGGCUGGGAGCAAGAUUUUCAAUCUUUAAUUGGAUGAUCAGAAGGUAAAUUAAUUUUGAUUUUUCUUAAUUUUUGUGGGUAAAUUUUUGACAUCGUCUUUUAUAAUUAUAUUAGUCUUGAUUUUUAUUUACCUUCUCAUUGACUAUUAUUUGAGAUAUUAUUUGUUAUAGAGAUAAUUAUUAGGAUGUUAUUGUAAGCUAAAAAUAUUGAAAUUUUUUAUGUUGAUAGCUUUUAAUAUUAUUCAGAGAAAAAUUUGUGCAAUAAUUCUAUUAAAAUAGUGGAAGAUUUUAUCGAAUUACGGUACUAUGAUUUUUUCUGCUUUGAGUUUUCUACAUAAAAGACAUAAAACACGAAGGGCAAAAAGCAACCAAUCACACAAAACACAAUCGCCAGGGCCAAAUUGUUUGACAACACUACAUACAAACCUGUCACAAAUGCUAGUGUCAUGGAUAUGAGCGCAAUCUAAGUGAAGCCAAUGGCCAACGAAAGUGCGUCCAUAAAAGAUUCACUUUUGAUCAAAAUACGGUAACGGCUGCAGUCAUGGCUGAAGUCACGAUUAUGGUAUCUAGGGUGUUCGCGGAUCGGAUUUUAUGGAUUAGAUAUUAAUUUAUAUCCGAUCCACAAUUUUACGGAUUAUAAUGUUUCAAUCCAAUCCAAUCCACGGAUUGAUUAAACUCAAUCCAAAUUCAAUUCAUACAUCUGCGAAUCGGAUGCGGAUUUGACUCAAUCCAUAUCCAAUCCAUACGUCUGCGGAUCGGAUGCAGAUUUAACUUAAUCCAUAUCUAAUCCACCAUUUUGCGCAUUAGUUUCCGAAUUAAAAAUUUUUAGUUCUCCCCAAUCCAUGAACUAAUGAAAUUAAAAAAAAAAAUCUAAUAUAAAAAUAAUUUUACUACCGAUUAAAUUUAAAAUUGAAUAAAAUUUAAACAAAUUCAUUGUUUAAAUAAAACUAAAAUAAUAUAUUCAAAGUUUCAAAAUAUAGCACAUCGAGAUUAAUUGUUCAAAUAAAACUACAAUAAUACGUUUAAAGUUUCAAAAUAUAAUAUACUAAGAUUAAUUGUUCAAAUAAAGUUACAAUAAUACAUUAAUAUAACACUGAAAUUAAUUGGUCAAAUAAAGCCACAAUUAAUUGAAAUGACAAAGUUUCUGAAACCAAGCACAGACUGAUCCUUCACCAGGGCUAUUGUACUUGUCGAAAAGUGGUGAUUAUGGAGCCGUCAACGAUGGGAACCAGGAGAAGUAUGGGUGGCGAUCUUGAAGGUUAUGAUAGUGCAAUUGUUUGGCUGGAACCAAUGAUUGUGAAGUGGCUCGAUGGAUUCGGGGAAGAAGAUGGUUUGCUCUCCCUGGAAUCACGGGCCGACGUCCUUCAAAUCGGUGUCGAGAGUGUAUCGAACCAGUAGUGGGUGUUGCAAGUGCGUGUGACAACGGAGAAGCUUAGGGUUUUUUGUUUACAAAUUGUUGGUGACUUGACGUUAUGUUAUUUUGCUUUUGGGUGACUUUACAAAUUGUUGGUAACUUAACGUUAUGUUACUUUGCUUUUGCUAGUGCGUGUGACUUUGCUUUUAUUUUGUUUUACAAUUUUUACAAGUUAUAUUUGUAUAUUUGAUUAUUUAAUUAUUUUUUAUUUAAUAUUAUUAUUGGGUAAUGGCUAAAAUAUGUUAUAGUGCUUAUGUAAAUAUAUAAUGUCACAUUUAUAAUAUUCUUUAAUUAAAUUUAUAAUAAUUUUGUAACUAAAUAUAUAUAUAUAUAUAUAUUGGCGGAUUCACGGAUUUACAUAAAUAAAUCCAUAUCCAAUCCAUCGACUGCGGAUUUUUAAAUUUUCAAUCCAUAUCCAAUCCACAGAUCUACGGAUCGGAUUUAUACGGAUAAGACGGAUUAAGCGGAUCGAUUGGAUUCUGAACACCCCUAAUGGUAUCUAUGAUGACAAAUGCAUGGAAACUUGCUCUUCCAAGCAGAGUUGCCAUGCCUGCAUCAAGAUCAUCACUUUUGAAAGACCCUGGAAUUGUGAAGGUUGCUGUGAACGUGAAUGUGGCAAUAAGUGUCGCCAUCACUGAGAGUGUUUGAGCCAUUUAUGUGUCUCAUGUGGUUAAUUUUUUGUUUGGAUUUUAUUGGUUUAUUUUUCUGCCUAUUUAUUUGUGGUGCACACCUUAUUUUUAUCACAUAAAGAGGGAAAAAGUUUUGUUUCCGCUUAAUUUGCAGCUACUUGUGGUUGUCUCUUUCCCAACAUAUGGCUAGAAAAAUAGUUUCUAAUGAUGUUUAAUAAUAUUCAUAAUUGCUUUUAUAAAAGGUGCACUUAAUUUCUAACCUAGAUUGUAUAAGGAAACAAGUGUACAUGGUUGCUACAAAACUUUAUGAUAACAAACAUAUAUUGAAUGCAUAAAAAUAAGUAAAUUUAUAGUCCCUUCACUCAUUAUUGCUCAAGUUAAAAAAAAACAAGAAAAGGAAAGAAAAAGAAACACUCUAAUAUACUAUGAGUUCUCUAAACAAUUUCCUCUCGGUAGUCUCAUUUGACUAGAAAACAUAAGCACAAUCUCUGAAUUGGUUUCAGUUUCAGCCUAUUCAUAAGCUUUAUGUGUAUGGAAGGGAUCAAAGGCAUUGAUGCAGAGACCCUCAUGAACUAUUCCAUUUAGCUUGGCCCUUGCACAAUUGAUUGUAAAUGGUCAAAUAUAUGUUAAAGCUCUCUUUCUUAUUUUAAUUUAUGUCUGUCUAAGAUGAUGCUUGCAUUUUUUUUUUUUCAGUAUGUCAUGUGCCUAUAUAUUUCUUUUGAUAAUCAUCAUUACAACAGUAAAGGAUUUUGGAAAAUUGAUUUGUAGUUCUUUUUUUUUUCAAAUUUAAAUUAUUAUUUAUUAAAAUAAAAAAAUCUCAAGAUUUUUGAAUUAUGGUCGGGCUUGGCAUUUUUUCGAGCCCGACCCGUCUCUCAAAGGACUGGACUUUUUAUUUCCGUUAUAGGGUUGGGCCCGGGCUUUCCCGAGUCCAACCUGACCCGUUGACAUUCCUACGGGCAGGAUGAUAAUGUGAAUUAACCCUAUUAAUUAUGUCAUUUCCGAUUACGUGCACGUGAGCUGUAAAAAAAUUUUGAUACAUGGAAGACAUCUAGAAAAAGAUCCCAAGAAAAAUGAGUUCCUAUGUUAUUCCAAUCACGCAAUUGAACCGUUGUAAUAGUGCAAAUGAUUAAAAUAAAUAUAAUGUUAAAUAAAAUUUAUUUACAUAUUCAUGAAUAUAUAUAAAAAAUAUUUUUAUUGUGUAUAUUAAUCACUGAUAACUAAAAUAAAUUUUUAUUUUAUUUAUUUUUUUAUCUCAAUACAAUUGAUAUUUAGCAAUAAUAAUAAUAAUUUCUCUAACUUUAAUAAUUUUAUGGUAUAUGUGAUCAUAUAUACGAAAUUGUAUUAACUAUGAAAUUGAUUCUCAAAAUCAGAUUUUAAAAUGUUAUUUUUUUCAUACUUUUUAAAAUCUCCCGUACGAUAAAGGACCCGUUUGAGAUUUUUUUUUAGAGACUUAAACGUGAUUUUAAAAAGAUAAAAUCUAAUUUUGGUGUUUGGUUAAUUUUUUUUUUAAAAUCAAUUUUGAUAAAAUCACCCUAUCUUACCACAAUGUUUGAAAAAUGUGGAAGGAUUAACUUUUUAAAAUCUAAUUUUGAGAAUCACUUUUAUAUUUAAUACAAUUAUAUAUAUAUAUAAAUUUAAAAUUAUCUUUAUUAAUUAGGAAAUGAAAUCACUAACUUUAAAGAGAUUGUUAUUUUUACCAUUUAUAUUGAGAUGACAAAAUAAAAAAUAAAAUUAAUAGUAUAAAAUAUUUAUUUUAGCUAUAAAUAUUAUAUAUACACAGUAAAUUUUGUUUAACAAUAUAUGCUAAUUGAAUUAUUUUAAUAUUCUUAUAACAAUUUAACAAUAAUAUUUACUAAGCACAUUAUACUACUUUUAAAACUUACAAUACUUUUAAAAAUAAAUUUGAUUAAACGUUUAGUUAAUUAUCUUUACAGUUGAUUAUUUAUACUAUACAACUAACAAUAAUUACUUUAAAAACUACAGUAUUACCAAACUAACAUGAAGUAAUUUUAUAAGAAAGUGAUUAUUUAAAAACUUUACUAAACACUAAAAUUAAUUUUUAUCUUUUUAAAAUUACUUUUAAUUUCUCAAAAUUAAUCGCAAGACAUCCCUGAAGCUGGCUGAGUUGCUUGCGGCACAAGUAAUGCAUACCAGCUGAGUCCCGUGCCUUUUCUGGCCCCAUUUCCCCAAAUGAACAAAACACUCUGUUUAGCGGAAACCCCGCCAUCAGAAACACUGUCAGCCCGUCACUCACCAUCUGUCAACACAAAGCCACCACGUAGUCAUUCACCUUCAAUCCUACGGCUCUGAUUUACCAAAUGCAUUCGACACACUGUCAUUUUCCUCAAAACAUCCAGCACUCUUUUAUCUCUGCACUGAGUUUUUCUUUCAAUUUUUUUUUUUUUAUUAUUAUAGAAAAUUCAGUGCUUUCUCUCUGCACUGAUUUUUUUUUUUUUUUUAAAUUUCAAUUGCAAACAAAGCUGUGAUUUUUGUUUCACUUUUUCUUUGACUACCGGUCUGGAAGGAAAAAAGGAAAAAAGGAAAAAAGGUAAUUGAGCAAUUGAAAGUGAAGCAAGAAAGCACCAGAGCCGAACCCGGAAUGGAGUCUCGACCCGAACUCGCUAGUCAUUGCAAGAAGGAGGAUAAGGGAAAGAAUGUUUAUAAUGAAAUUAAACCAAAGAAAACCCAUUUGAGUGGGAACAACGAUGGGUGCAAAAAUAACGAAAAGGGGGCGCAAGAAAAUGCUGAAAAUAAGGAAAAGAAUGAUAAAAAUGGAACCUUUUGGACGGUGUGUCCGUACUGUUACUACAUGUAUGAGUAUGAGAAGGCGUUUGAAGAGUUUUGCUUGAGAUGCCAGAACUGUAGGAGGGCGUUUCAUGGGGUGGCGGUGGUGGAGCCAAACAAGAAUAUGUUGGUUGAGGGUAGAGAUGAGUACUACUCUGGGUUAGGGUAUUUUGUUUUGAAGUAUUCGUUGAAGCGUAGUAAGAAGAAAAAAGAGAGUGGUGAUGAAGGGAAGACUUAUAAUGUUGGUGAAGUUGUGGAGAUUUCUGAUGACAGUGAUGAGGAUGAUGGUGGCGGUGUGAAUGUGAAGAGUGGUAAUGGGGCUAAAGAAGAUGUUUUGAAGGGAAAUGUGAAGGGUGUGAUGCAGGAAAGUGGAAAUACAGAGGUGAUAAAUGAAGAGAAGAGAGUGGUGGCAAGGAAGAACGUGAAAUCAGUGCCGAGGAAUUCCAAGAAGGUGAUGGGGAGAGGUAUGAAGAUUAGGAAGAUUGACGGAGGAAGUGUUAGGGGGAGUGGAACUGGAGAGACUGAUUUGGAGUUCAUUGAGAAAGAUGGUGAUGUUUAUGUAGGUGUUAAGUCUAUUUUUGAUGGGUAAAUUUGGAGAAUAUGCGUAGGCUCUUGCGAUUUGCUGAUGGGAAUUACUCUUUUUUCUUCUGUUUGUUUAUUUGGUUCUGACAGUUGAUGGUUAUAACAGUGGGGGGCCAUGGUUUUGGGAUUAGUAUGUUGCUUGAUAGACAUAGUUGAAAAGAAUAGUGAAAUCAGGUUGUUAUCUGACAGAUGAAAGUAAUGGAAAAUUAUUGUUUUUGAGCUUUUAUUUGACUUUCUACUAUUUGAAUUCUUAGGGGGUGGCAGGAUUGAUUGAAUUUUUGGAAUGAUUUUGUGAUAAUCAUGUUGCUUCACAAUUGUGGAACAACGGUGAAGUAUAUAGAAUGUUGAGAAGAAAUCUCUCAUAUUUCAGUAGAACUAUUCAAUCCUUUCAAUAGAUAUACAAUUAAUAAAAAAAUAAAUUUGUUUGUGGAUUCUUCUCAGAGAAGAUAUCAACCCAUAUCAAGCAUUUCAGACUACAGAAUCUUAAAAGUUAUGAUGAAAUCGGCACUUGUAUUACUCAUAAAUUGCUAUUUAUUAGGUUUUUUUUUUGAAAUGGCUAUUUAUUAGGUUGAUGUCGCUUAAUCCACCUCACCUCAAUGCCAACUUAUUUAUUUGAUUUACUGGCAAUAACAGCAUUUGGCACUCCUAUUCCCUUUAUUGUUUUACAUCAUUGGAAAGGAACUGUUUUUGUAGAGGCAAAUUGGUGUUGCCACCAUGGUUUUACUGCAACAGGUAUCAUUUGUAAUCAUUUGCUCUGUCUCUCUCUUUCUUUGCUUGUUAUUUUAAUAUUUGUUCUGCUAUUUGUUUAAAAAGUGCUGUUACCUUUUCUGAUUCUGCACAUUCAGUUAGAACGAGGAGUAAAACCCGUUCAAAGUUACUAUAAUUCAAUGGCUUACUUGAAGCAACUUAGCUUAACACAAGGAUCAAUCUCCAGCAACAUUUUUUGCUAUCCAAGUUUAAUCUCGAAACCUAUAUCCAAAGUUGAAGCCAAAGAACUGGCCGCCAAGAAACAUAGUGAGGCUGAGAGGAGACGAAGACUGCGAAUAAAUGACCAGUAUGAUAAUCUCCGGAAAAUCCUACCAAACUUGGUUAAAGUAAGUGAUGGAUGCACAUUUAUUUAAGAGCAGAACUAUGCGACUAAUGUUUAUGCUACUUUUGAUGCAUAUUCUGAUUGUAAAAGGUUAAUAAAUGCAUCAACAAAAUUGCUCGUCAUUGUAAAACAACAGGUAGACAAGGCAUCAGUGCUGGCGAAGACAAUUAAAACUGUGAGGGAGCUACAGAGGACAGUAAGAGAACAGAAAGCCCUUUGCCAGGUUCAUGAGGAAUGUGUAUUCCCCAGUGAGGCAAAUGAACUAAGUUUGCGCAACUGUAACAGAGAUAGGGGGAUGUUGAAAGUGACACUGAGUUGUGAGGAUCAGCCGGAACUAAUGUCAGAUCUAUCAAGAGCACUGAGAUCAGUGAAAGGGAGGCUGGUGAGGGCAGAGAUGGUGCCAGUGGGUGGAAGGAUCAAGUGUGUACUGUGGGUUCAAGGUUUCAAAGGAAAUGAAGGAAUGGUGAUGCUUAAGAGAGCCUUGAAUUUAGUCAUAGAUCGGCCUGUUUCGCCAGGAAACAGUAGCAAACUUCGUUUUUAUCACUGACUAUUUGAGCUUAUGGAAACUGAUAUGAUAUAAUGGUAAUACAGGUAAUAAUAGGAUGAAGGAUAUGCUUUUUGGGGCAGGGGGUUUUGUAGGGGUUGCUGUCUCAGUCAUCCAGUGAUGUAAUAAGGUAAAUAAAUAACAAAGAAUGUAAAGCAAGGAAUCUGCAGAUUUUGGUGACCAAUAAUCUCAACAACUAUACCAGUAGCUUAGAAUACAGAUUAUUGGCUGACGCUGGAAUUGUAAGGUUGGCUAAAUCCUCGUUAUAAGUUGUAGUAGUAGCUCAGUUCAAAUCUAAUGCAAGCAUAAAAGCUUUAAGGUUAUUGUGAAAUGAAAACAUUACAAGUGUAACAGUUGAUGUUGUAAGUUGACAUUCCUUGAAUUUGUAUAAUUUGUGAUGACGCAUGCUGGUUCAGUUCAAAUCUAAUGUCUAGUCUACCCUAAACUUUUCAAUGUUAAGUUGCCUGUAAUAUUUCUUUCCAUAGAGGAUGCGUUACAUAACUAGCAACAAAGCUAGCUAGGUGAGAAGGUCAACUAACCAAUGCACUUCUCAGGACUUUCCCCACCUACAUCUCAUCAAACUCUCUGAAUCCUGCAGCAUUUCUUCUCUAUAAAUAGCCAUAAGAAGCUGCUUUCCCCAACUCAAGCGACAAACAGAACUUCUCUAUAUAGAUAAAAGAUCUUGCUGCCCCAGCUGCCUUCUCAAAUAUUCCUUAAAAAACAUGGCUUCUUUUAAGCAAUGCUUCCUUCUCUCUAUAAUUAUAGCAUCAUCAUUGGCAAGCUUUGAAAUGAGCAUGGCGGCUCGCCAUCUUUUGCAAGCACCAGCGGCGCCACUGCCGACACUACCACCAAUGCCAAAGGUGGCGUUGCCUCCAAUGCCCUCAAUCCCAACUUUGCCACAAGCCACACUACCACCUCUGCCAACUCUACCAAAUCAACCAACACUUCCAAAGCUGCCAACUCUGCCACCUAUGCCAGCAGUACCGAAGGUGACAUUGCCUCCAUUGCCCUCAAACCCACUUCCAACAAUUCCCACUACAAUCCCUUCAAUUCCAAACAUUCCCUCCACAAUCCCAACUAUUCCUUUCCCCUCUCCACCUCCAUCCAAUUAAACCACUAAUCCUUCAGAUGCCACAGUUGCAUUUGUUCCACGCAGCCUUGUCAUCGGAUUCUUCAUAUAUCUACAUAUGUUUGCUUGAUGGGUUGAGCUAGUCUUCUGUCUGCGUACAUUAAUUUGAUUCCGAGAUUCGAGGUUCCUGAGUCAUUGUUUGUCUGCUAGCUAAUAGUACCUAUUCUUUCAUUGGAGUUCUCGUAUUAUAUUAUUGUUUUAUGUUUGUCUGUUGUUUUAUAUUGUAAUAAUGAAUGUGAUCAUUACUUUUGCUACUUCGCUAUAAGUUGCCUUCUCUUUUGAUUUUUCAAUACGGCAUUGAACAGAUCUAGACUUCCUUGAAAUGAGCUACCGAUAACAGGAUAACGACUAACAAAUGUUUUUGCUUGCAUAAGCAUGUGCUUAAUAUUCAACAAGUUUUUUUUUUUUUAUUAAAAUUGAUUUAAUAACAAUGGUCAUUGUCGAUGCAACAAGUGUUUAGAAGAGAUGUAAAAUAUAUAUGUUAAAUUUACAAUCUGUCAAGUUUGAUUUAUAACCCAAUUUGUUAUUUUACAAAAAAAAAAAGAAGGUAAAAAUUAGAAAUAAAUGUUGUUUGAUAUUUAGAGCUGGAUUUGGUGGUGAUGAAGAUGGGUGCGGCAGUGAUCCUUGGAAAAGAGAGAGAAAGAGAGUGCAAAUGCGAAAGAAAAGAAAGGUUGAAAAAUAAACAUUAAUUUUGAGUUUUUAAUGAGGAUAAUUCUAAAAAUAAAUGAGAUUAAUUGAAAAUUGUGGGCUGCUGACAUGUAUUAAUGGAUCAAAUAUCAACACUUGGCAAACAUCUUUGUUAACCUAGCCCAAACAUCGGGCCUAAGCCCACCAGCACAUAUCCGCCCGGUGCAAUUUUUGCCAUCCCCUAGUUUGUUUAUUUGUUCAUUUUGCCGUGCUGUAACAAUGUGAUUGGUUAUAGCACGAGAAGCAGGUGUGGGAUUACUUACCUCUACUCAGUAACCAGCAGUUAAAAGUAUUAACAAUAAAUAAAUAAAUAAUAUGCAUGCUCUUUAUUUAAUCCAAGAAUCUAACAUUUAUAAACAUGCUAUCAUAAAUCCUAGAUGUGUCAUAUCCCAUUAGCUGAAUUUUCAUUUAAAUGCCAAGAUACUAGUAAUUUCAAUCCUCAGUUAUUACGAAAGAAAUAGCCCCAAGUGGUCUCGUUCGUGAUUAUCGUUUCACUACUUCAAUGAUUUAUUACAUUAAUCAUUGUGGUGAUAUCUUGACAUAUGGAAGUAAAAUAAAAGUAUUAUUAUCUUAUUUUUUAUAGUUAAUAUAAUAAAUGUUGUACUCCAAUAAUUCGUGUAACGGUUUGUUAUUUUGCUAAAGUAGUGAAAGAAUAAUAACCCUAAAUUAUUCUUAGUUGAGUGAGAAAAGGUUUAGAGUUGAUUUUGCAGUUGAUUACUUUUAUAAAAAUCGUAUGACAUAUUUUCUACAUUUUGAAAAUAACAACGACAAUUCAUGGCGCAUGUUUUGAGCCUAAACCAAGUUUGGGAGCUCUGAGGUUGAAUUACAAGUUGGUUUUUUACAUGCAAGUAGGUAUUAGUAAAACUAAAGCCUAGGAGAAAAUGAAAGCCGAUUCCGAGGCCCGAAAUAAUUUUUAAAAAUUUUUAAAAAAUAAACGAACUUGCUGAAAUUUUGGCGGAGGCCUUCUUAUGCCCCAAAUAGGAUUUUAAUGGAAAAACCCUAAGAAAAUAAAAGCCGAAGCUCUAGGGCCUAAUGUAGGCCUAGAAUCGAAAGCUUAUAGCACAAGGUCCAAAUUGGGCUUGGGAGCUUUACAGUUAAAUUUCGAGCUGGUUAUUUGCAUGCAAAUAGGUACUUACGGAACUAAAUGAUAGGAGAAAACCAUAAGUCAACUCUAAUGCCCGAAAUAAUUUUUAUUAAUUGUAAAAUUUUCUCGAAAAUAAAAAUUUUUCAAAAAAUUAAUAGAACUUUUCGAAUUGAUGUAAACUCUGAGAGAUGUCUUCUAAUGACUCAAAUAGGAUUUUGAUGGAAAAGGCCCUUGGAAAAUAAAGCCGAAGCUCUUGAUCCAAGUUUAGGCCCAGAACGGAAGGUUUAUAGGAGAUGGUUGGCCCUGAACGAGGCUCGGGAGCUUUGUGGUUGAAUUUUGAGCUGGUUAUUUGCAUAGGUGCAGGUAUUGGUGAAACCGAAGUAUAGGGAAAAACAGAAAUCGAUUUUGAUAUCUGAAAUAUUUUUCACGUAUUUUCAAAUAUUAAAAAAAAAAAAAAGUUAGGAGAACUUACCAGAUUCAAUGUGAAAUUAUGGAUAGGCUUUCUUAUGACUCAAAUAAGGUUUUUGUGGAAAAUACCUUAGGAAAAUAAAGUCCAAGCUCCUAGGCUCAUUUUAGGCUUAGAACCAAAGCCUAUAAGGCCAAAAUCAGGCUUGAAAUCUUUAUAGGUGAAUUUUGAGCUACUUUUUUGCACGCACAUAGGUAUUAGUGAAACUAAAGCAUAAGAAAAAAAAAAGAAGAAGUCAAUUUCAAGGCCUGAAAUAAUUUUACGUAUUUUGAAAAAAUUUCAACAAUAAAAAAAUCCCGUAAAAUUAAUAGAUCUUGCCGGAUUCAUGUGAAACUCUAGGAAGCUCUUAUUAUGCCAAAAAAAAAAAAAGAGUAAAAUAAAGCAGAAGCUCCUGGGCCUAAUUUAGGCCAAGAAUGGAGGCGAUAGAAUAAAGUUUUGGGCCUGAAUCAGGUCUAGGAGCUUUGUGAUUGAAUUUCGAAUUAAUAUUUUGCAUGCACAUAGGUGUUGGUGAAAUUAAAGCAUAAGAAAAAUAAAAGUCGAUUUUGAAGCCCGAAAUAAUUUUUAUGAAUUUCUAAAAAAUUAUCCAAAAAUAAAAAGAAUCUCGGAAAAUUAGGAGAACUUACCUUGAAACAUUGUGGUAGACCUUUUUAUGCCACAUAUGAAGUUUUAAUUGGAAAAAAAAACUUAGGAAAAUAAAGCAGAAGCUUCCAAUCCCUGGUUAGGCCCAUAACCAAAUGUUAUAGCACAUAAUUUUGGCCCUAAACUGGGCAUGGAUCUUUGCGGUUGAAUUUUGAGUUGGUUUUUUCACAUGCACAUAGGUAUUGGUGAAAUUAAAGUAAAGGAAAAAAAAACAUAAAAGUCGAUUCUAAGGUCCAAAAUAAUUUUUUUUUUUUUUUACAAAUUUUCAAAUUUCUUUAAAAAAAAAAAACUCCCAGUUUUUAUAAUAUUUUCUAUAUGUCAUUUUUGUAGUAAAUUUAUAACUACAUUUAGGGCUGGGCAUUAUUCGAUUUGGUUCACACUUUUUGAACCAUUUGUUUCUUACUACUUGAACCAAGCUGAACCAAAUUGAAUGUCCACCCCUUGAUAUAGCAUACAUUAACUUUUAAUAAAUUUACUAUUAUCAAUAAAAUAUUUUUAGUUAUCUAAUAAUUAAUAAAUUAAAAUUAGUAUAUUAAAAUUUUCUUCUAAAUUAAUUCCAUUACUUGAGUUUAAUCUUGUAUCACAUAAAAUACAUAACGAACUAUAUAAUUAAAUUGAAUUCUAUGACGUCCAGUUCAACCUAAUCUAAUCUAAUCCUCUUUAGCUCGAUAUACUAUCUUGUACUAUGAGAUAUUAAGCCUCCCAAACUACUGUAUUUUGGUUAUUGAUGAUAUAUUUAAGAAAAAAAAACCAUAGCUGAUGAUGCUUUUGAUGAUUGUAGGACGUGUAUUUAGUCAAAUAACAUGAGACUUGAAUAGAAUUAAAAAAAUGCUCCCUUUUCAGAUGGGGAAAAAAAAUGUCGUAUAUAAUAUUCAUUGAUCAUUUUAUUGCUGCUAAAAGAAAAAGCUACAUUUUCUUUUUCCUUUUUCUCGUUAUUUUGUUGAGCGAUGUGAUGAAGACGUAAGUUUGAGGAAAUAAUCCGGAAAGGACCUCAUGGGUCAUGACCAAAAUAGGCGAAUGAAAUGAUCAUAUAUCUAUCAUAGCAAUAAUACAAUAAAAAAAUUACACUACAUAUAACAACUCACUCCGAAGAGUGAAGUAUGAGAAUUAAAAAAAUACAUUAUGGCAAUAUAAAACUCAGAAUCUCGGAGACAAACUAAUGUAUAUAAGACAAUCCAUCAAUCGAACAAACUCAUGUAUGUAGAAAUAACAGAAGUAUAAUCAGUAGCAAGCAAGACUAGGAGAAACACAUGGAACUACAGUCCGCAGAAUAAAAAAGUGGGUUUAAUUAGGUAGAUGGGGGUGGAGAGAGGAAAGGAAUAGUUGGGAUUGUGGAGGGAAUGUUUGGAAUUGAAGGGAUUGUAGUGGGAAUUGGAUUUGAGGGCAAUGGAGGAAGUGUCACCUUUGGUGCUGCUGGCAUGGGAGGCAGAGUUGGGAGCUUUGGAAGAGUUGGUUGAUUUGGCAGAGUUGGCAAUGGUGGAAGUGUGGCUUGCGGCAGAGUUGGGAUCGAUGGCAUUGGAGGCAAUGCCACCUUAGGCAUUGGUGGAAGUGUUGGCAGCGGCCCCGCUGGUGCUUGCAAAAGGUUGCGAGCUGCCAUGCUCAUUUGAAAACUUGACAAUGAAAAUGCUACAAUCAUAGAUAACAGAAAGCAAUGCUUAAGAGCUGCCAUGUUUUUGAAGGAAAUACGAUGGAAAGCAGCUGGGACAACAAGUUCUUGAUUUUUCUGGAGAAGCUCUAUGUACUGAGUGGGGGAAAGCAGCAGAAUUAUGGCUAUUUAUAGAGGCAAAGAAAUGCUUCAUGGCGUUUGAUGAGAUGUAGGUGGCCAAGUGUUGAGAAGUGCCACUGGUUAGUUAACCUUCUCAUCUAGACUUGUUGCUUGUUAAAUUUAGUUUUUGAUUAUAUCUCUUUUGGUGUCGGUGAAAUUUCUUAGCAACACAACUAAACGUCCCUGUUCGCUUUACCAUCCCUUCAUUUCUUCUAAAGCUCAAACACAGUCAACACACCACAUUAAGAAAUUACUAUCCUCCACAUUGUUUAGCUAAGAAUUAUUCCCUCCAAAUCUGAGCAGCUUCCUUGAACUACGCCACAGUUAAUAUAACAACGUUUCUAUGGACAAUAUAUUAACGUUUCUAUGCACAAUCUCUCUCAAACAAAUUAACGGCGCCAAGUCCGCUGCCCAUUGUAAGGUUGUUACCACUCCGUAAAGUUAACUGCAAUCAGAGUUACAUUGAGUAUGAUGACUUUUGUGCCCACUUGCAUUUAACGAAAUAAAAGAAUCCGUUAUAAUUCUCAAAUCUCUAUUGCAGGUCAUUCCCAAUGAAGCAUGACCAAAGAACAAUAACUUUUUUACAUUAGAAUGAAAUUAUACAAAAGCGACUCAAAAUUGUCAGCACUCAGCACUACAUUCUCUAGUGUAUUAGCAUUGGCAGAAUCUCAUAAAAUCAAAUGAAGCAAAGGGGCAACAAAAGAAUGAUUAGUAUGAGUUGGUUUAAAAGUCUCCAAACUUGAGUUCGCGUAGCUCCAAGCAAUGAAAGUCCGGUUUUAUAGAAUUAGUGCUCCAAGCACUAUCUUCUGUCAUUGGUGAUUGAAACUUGCAUAAUUUUUCGCUUGCCCAGCACAAGGUAAGUGUAUGUCCCAGUUGCGGCCACAACAAAGAUCCCAAUGUAGAUGCAAACUGAAGUAGCACAUACAUAUAGGUACCUAAAGGAAGAAUGCGAGACCGAGACUGUUAGUUUUAAACUAAAGCACAUACAUAUAGGUACCUAAAGGAAGAAUGUGAGACCAAGACUGUUAUUAGUUUUAAACUAAAAAAUCUUUCCAACCGCAUAUCAGGAACUACAUGGUUUUUCAAGUAGUUUUUCUAUUAUCAUUUUGUUAUCAGAGAGCAGAAUUCCAUGCCCUCUGGAAAAAGGUCAAAUUUUGGUUUCAGUACUUUUUUGUGACACUGGCCCCUUUGGUUAUAUGACUAGAGGUAAAUGCAACAUAUGUUAUACAAUGCUUCAAUUAUUUAUGAAUAAGUCAACACCAGUUGAGUGCAGUGAGACUUACUUCGGAGAAAAUACACUCCAAACAAAUAAAUGAUUCCUCAUUAACAGCAAUACAAUUGUGUAUGCUGUCAAUAGAAUUGAAUUUAAGGUCAGCGGAACCAGACAAGGAAAGCCCAGCAUUGUCUGGAGAAGAUGUCCUGAAUUGACAUUCUGAGUAACAAGACAGCCCUUCACAGACAUGUAGACCACCAAUGCAAAAAGAACCAGCAAGGGAGAUGCAUAGGUGAUUAUGAGCAUUAAAACGCCAGAAAGAAGAGUUGAGUGACUAGAGAUGCCCUGAAAAAGUGUUGAUCGAUGUCCAGACAUAUUAGAUAACCAUGUUGGCAAAUUAAAAGGUUUGGUGAAAUGAAAAUAGUAUUGGAAAAAAAGACCCUGAUGAAGAGCACCACGUACAAUAAAAGCUCCAGCAACAUCAAUAGUGGCUAGACUGUUGCUGUUCCCCAAAGCAAAGUGGCCAGCCAUUCCCAGAAAAUACAGUGUAGAAAUCUGAGAGAAUGAAAAAAAGUAUCCGGCAUUAUAAUUGGACAUUCUUAGUGUAAAUAAAAUUUGUUGUAAAAGUAUACAGCAUAUUUGUUGUAAAUUAUAAAAGCACAUAAUACAAUUAAUACCUCCUAACUUUGACUUCCAGAAUAGAUUAUUUCCAAUACAGGUAAAUUGAAAAAAAAAAGGAACAAAACAAAACAAAAAGAAUGCAAUAAUUAACCAUUAAGCAAGGCCCUUUUAUUUACUAGAAGUUCUUUCCUCUCACUUCCUAGUCAAGCAUAGUCAAGCAUGAUAGCAACAUAGAAAGGGCUACUCCCGUCUCAUAACAUCAAAGAUUGUUGCUUUCAGAAAAAUAAAGAAGAUAAAACCAGUGGCUGGACAUAACAAGAUGAUGCGACCUACCUCAACCCACUCCUUAUGAUGCAGUCCGCUGUAAGAAAAAUGUAGCAAGCUAGUCAAGAUUUGCACAAGAAGCAACAAUAUAGGCAUUGCAUUAAUCGGUUGUUGAAGCAAAAGCUGCAGAAGACACCAGGAAAAUAUGUAUGCCCAACCAAUCACAUAUAAAGAAUCCUUUAGUGCCAUCAGUAGAGAUUUGUCUUUUACAUCACUGGGAACCGAAAUUGAUGAAUAGAUAUCACGACUUGAGCCCACUUUAGAUAUCUGAAUAGGCAUAAACCAAGGUGACAAUACAGCAGUGCCAACAGUAGUGCUGCCCAGAACUGCAUAGAUCAUUUGUGCCGAUAUAGUGGCACCAUAACUAGAUCUUGCAAAUGCGUUCUCUUGAUAUUUCACUAUAUGUACCAAAACCAACAACCCAGAAACUAAGAAAUUGAAUCCAACCACUAGAAUGACAUUUUUCUUCGAAGAAAGCAAAGAUAGAAAACAGAAGCCUAAGAUCACAACUGACACACCUGAGACUAGCUGAACUGUUUUUACAUGAACACCCCCAGAAUUCUCAAGCCACUUAGAUAUGUCAGGAAGAUGAGUCCAAUUCACACCACCUUGAUGGCAGCCUCUUAAUAUUCUUCCAGAGAUAAGCAGCACAAAGACAGAACACAUUUGAAACUUAAAAUUUUUGGUUCCCUUGGACAAGCUAUUUUGUGCCGGAAGCAACUGCACUGUUUUACGAAGUAAUAUAAGAAACAAGGUGGAUGACAUAAAAUGCCAGAUAUAAUGCUCUUCCUCCACCAUAGAACUAGAUGCCAUACUUAUAACAAGGAUCAAGAUAACACCCAAAACAAAAAUCUCAUCCAAAAAACACAUUUGCAUAUCAUUGUUUGAGUGAUAAUGGUGUAGCUUCUCAAUAAGGUUAAUUUCUCUACCCAUAUGAAGUGUAAGGCUCAAUAAUACCAGACAUGAUAGCAGCAUUGCUGUCACUCCAAAAGCAAGUAGGUCAACAGGUUUCUGCAGGAUAAUAGAAGAAAUGACAUUAAUCAGCCAAAAGUACUUCUCUAGCUAACCAACCCCAUAAAAAAAACACCAGCUACAGCUCAUCUCUUCAACGAAAAAGGGUUCUUUGUCAAUUCAGAAACCAUUAGAAAGAGGAAAUACAUACAUCAGUGGCUCUGCUUGAUAACCACUCACUAGCAGUUUUCAGGAACUUGUGGUAUGCUAUAACAGUGCUGUUGUAGUCCUCCCAACUGCUAGACCUACAUGAAUAAAUUAAAAUGAAAUGAACAUUAGAGCAUCAGAAAUGAUCGAAAAAGAGAUUUAAGUAAGUACUAUCAAUUACUAAUAUUAUAUAAGAAACACUCACUGUGAGACUUUCUUAGACUUCCAGGUACUGUGAAGAACUGCAGCAUUCAUAUAUAGGCAACAGAACAUCUUCUCUAAACUAUCGUUACACUCAGUGGUUACAGAUGGUUGACCAUCACUGAAAUCAUUCAGUGAAAUAUUUGCACAUGAUAAACAUGAAAUCUGUGCGUCCAGCAAUCUGAAUAACUGCCAGGAAUUCAACUCCAGUGCCCUCAGCUGAUGAUCAUCUGAGUUCAUCAAGAACAAGAACAAUGAAUGAGAUCAAAUCAUCUACACUGUACAGGAAACAUAAAGGGCAUAAAAUAUUAUCAGCAAACCAAUACUUUUUCUUUGUGUUCUUUCUGAAGCAAGAAAGAAAAUUCAUCUUAAUAAUAACCAUGGAUGGGGAAAUGCUAAUGAAAGUAACAAAACAAUGCCGAUAAUUCUACCUAUACUUAACGUAGUAAACUGGAUACCUGGAACUCCAAAACACAGGUACUCAGAAAACCUAUGUUACAUAUAUUAUUUUGCAAAGCAGAAAAAUAGAAAACAGCAGAGCUUUGUAUUAUUUUGGUUGCUCUCUUUGGAUUAUGAUCUUGACACAAACACUUGAAAUAGCAUUCGAAUCUGAAAAAAAGUUUCAUGCAUCUCUCUCUAAAUUAAUAUGGUUUUGGAAUAGAUCCUACUUCAAAUUCAAUCAAAAAGGUUGAAGGUAAAAAUCCAUCACUCCUUUAAAGUUAAAAAUGAAGAAGAAAUCUCAAAUCAUGCUUCUAUCCUCAUCUUUUUCAUUUUUCCCUCUUUCCUUGAUUUUAUUUUUUUUCCCCUUUCUCUUUUAUGAUGCUUUCAUGGCAAACCAAGAGAGAAAGAGGGGGAUAACCUUUCAAUUGAUCAAAAGUUUCAGCAAUCAAGACGCCAACAUUGUUUUUUGGAAUUGGCACACCAAGCAGAAGAGCCAAAGUCGGUGCAAUGUCAACCUGAAUCACAAGAAUCAGAGGCAAGUUUUUGAAAGAUUACUACCUCAAGUAUCAGUUCGAGUAAUUAGCUAAACAAACGUCUGCCAAAUAAGAAUAGACCAAAAAGAAAGAAAGAAACAAUAUGGUUUUGUCUAGAAUGUUUCUAGCUCUAAAGAUGACUCCAUUUAUGCAUGUGACACUUUUGAUCGUCUGAGUGUCGAAGUUUUGACUCUGCCUACAUUGUGUUAUGUACAAGUAUAACCAGUUCACAAAUCAGCAACAAAUGGGAGAAGCUUCUUCUAGGAUGGCAAGAACAAUUAAAGAUGUUUGGACCUCCUGCCUUUUUUGGGCUAGACAAUGUUUAAAUAUCAAUUGGUGAGCCCAGGCAUCUUGUGCCAGGCUUAUGAUGACUGGAACUAUGCUGGGAGUGGCAGGUGUCUUUAAUAAAUAUAGAAAUUGCAAGAUGAAGGUACCAUCAAUGUUGCCUCCAAUAUUAUACCAUGGAGUUAGCUAACCAAAAUACUAAAAUUGGGAUUGCAAACGAACUUCAGAUAGCCAUCUAUUUAGGACCAUAAAGUAGGCGAGAUGUCAAAAAAUCAUUAUGUGAUUUAGGAAUCAGAUAAGCUUGAAACCAAUCAUACCUCUUACAUUGUUAUCAAGUUUAGUACAGUUAAGUUAAUCCUUUAAUCUAAACAAUCAUUCAUGUUUAAAGCUCAAAUGCCACAGCACUGGCAUACAGGACACAUACAAGAGAAGCGCCUACCUACCUGCUCAAAAUAUUCACAAAUUGCUGGGGAAAAAAAUUGAAAAAUCAAAGGCAGGAUAAAAUGAUAGCCAACUUAAGGGUCUUUAUGGUAAAAAAUAUUUAUUUGAAAACUAAAGGAAAUUAUCUCAACUGCAUAUACAUGUGAAUACUUUAGAAUGAAAAAUGAAUAUAAAAAUGUUCAAAGUUGAUAAAAGUGAGAAACGGAAUAAAGCAGAAGGAAUACCUUAAAAAACUACUGAAAAAUACAAAGGCCAUUAAAUACCCUUUAUGCACUUUCAUAGGAAAUGAAGAAUCAUGUUCUUUUCUCUUAGUCAUAUCCAUCGCAAAUAUGGUUUAAAUUUUGAUUUAUAAAAUGAGGGAAAAUAUCAUGUGACUGUAUAUACUCAAUGCUAAUGCAUUUCAGGCCAGCAAGUCGAAAGGAAUUUCUGGUACAAUGGUGAAAAAGGAAAAAGCUUCAUCUUUCAAUUAAUUAUGGCCAUAUAUAAUAGUCUAUACUUUGAAUACCUGCUGAGCUGUGUUCUGUGUGGCUGAUUUGUAAUCAGAUACAUGACCUCUCAGGCCAACAAAAAGGGCUAGAGAGUCGGCUUCUUCAAAUGAAGACCCCCCAUGAUUUCCAUUCUCAGUCAUGCCAUGAUCGCUUACUACCACCUACAUAUGGAGUUCAAAACAGAAAUAAAUAAAUCAUAAGAUUCCAAUUCUUGAAAAUGGACCCUAUCCUGAUAAAUACGAUAACUUUGAGGGUUUAAUAUACCUUCAAUACUUAGCCUGCCCCCAAAAUGAAAGGCUUUCAAUAUUGUAAGUAUAACUGACAUAGACUUCAUUUGCAAUGAAGAGUAAGGAAAGGGUUGAAGCACUAACCAAAAGUGUCCAUCCCUGGUCAUUUUCUCGAGUCAGAAUACUAGUAUGAAUCAUCUUCACUACUUCAUCCAUCUCAGCAAGUUUUGGUGCCAUCAAGAGACUACAGUAGUUGAACAAACACAAAAUAUGAAGCUUAAAAGAAAGAAUAGGGUUGAUAAUUGUCAGCACAACUGGUUUGAGGCAAUACCUGCUGCGCCCACCAAUAUGUCCAACAUGAUCCAGGCCUAAAUAAUGAAGAAUCUGAAAUUAUGGUUCAGAAGAAUUUAAACCGUAGAAGAUAUGAACUAUGGAUCUGAUGAAAACUAAAUUCAUUUUCAAAGUCCCAAAUUCACUUUUUGUCAAAAUAACUACAAAGUAACAGUAGGUUUGGAUAGAAUUAUUAGCAGGAAAAUACUAACCAAGAGAUUCCAGUCAUCUCUGCUAAGCUCAUCUACUAAAUGUCGAGAAACAUUUUGAUCAACUUGUAUGGUAUCUUUAACCUAAGAAAAAAGAAACUUUCAGGGCAUUGCAAAAUAGCAUAUAAACAGAAAAAAUUCAAGAGAAACUCAACUCUUGCGUAUAAAUUCCAAAAACAUGGACAAUGAAUCACAAGGAAAACAACUGUAGUUCACCUAUUGGCCCAGAAACACUAUGCCACAAGAUAUUAAUGGCAUGAAGAUACCUCGAUAAGACAACUAAGCCUGCAUAGUUGGGCAGUGUAGAGCAUAUGAGUACUAUCAGCAGGUAAAACAUAUUUCCUAGAAUAGGUUUCAUAAUUGUCAUAAGCAAGCUUUCACCGAGCCGACAAGGAGAAAAAGAGAUAGAAAGUAUAAAAGAUUGCCAGCGACCUGAUAGCAUAAGAAUUGCAUAUAUAUAUAUAUAUGCCUCUAAAGAAGGCAUCCUCCUUAACAAAACGAGGAUGCCAUUAACAGACCCAAAAAAAAAAAAAAAAAAACACAGUAAUGUAUUGAAAUCUUUUUUUUUUUUUUUUGUAUUUUAGUGGCAUCCCCCACUUUAACAAAAUGAGGAUGUCCUAAUUAGAGGAGAACUCUCUCUCGCUAUAUAUAUAUAUAUCGUCUCUCAAAUGAGGAUGCUGCUAACAGACAAAAAAAUUACAGUUUCCUAUGUGUGUGUGUGUGUGUGAGUGAUAACUCUUGUGUAGCCAUUCAAAAGGAAAAAGGAAAAAGUAACUGAAACAAGAAAAUCAAAGUAGUUGACAGAAAAAAGGGAAAAUAUUCAUAUCCUGAUAGAAAGUUAUACUUACAAAGAAACUGCUAACACCAUCAUGCCUUGUAAAUAGCCCAGGAAACAACUUCAGCCACGUGUCAUCACCAUGCAUCACCAUUUUCCAACCAAUACUUGAAAACUGGCCUGAAAUUAAAAUUAAAAAAAAAAUGAAAGACUGAUACAGUUUGCCAGCUUCUAAUAAGCAAACUUAAAAUGAUUGCAUCAACGAACCAAGAAGAUUAUCAUCUGCCAUAGCUUGUGUGUUAAAAUUGAAAGCCACAUCCAAGAAUCCUCCAAUCGCCCCAGAAACCAUAGCCUAGAAUGAUAUGCUCAUAGAAUAUUAGGAAAAGUGUAUAAGCAUAAUUCCUCAAGAAAUAUGGGAAAUGACCCUCACCUUCAAACGAGGCAUGGUAACAGUUGGAGGGGCAGCCUUUGCAUGAUACCCAAUUGCCAUUCCAUUUGCUAAAAGUGACUGAGUAUAUGGCAUUGCCUCCAUAAAAGCCUUUCUUGGAGGAUUACCAUCCUUGCCAAGCACAAACUCUGCUGGAAGGCCAUCAAUAACCUAAACUAACAUUAGUUCCAAAAUAUAAAAAUAAAAAUCUAUCGCCGGUUCACCCAACACCAGCAAAUCGAAAAUUAACAAAUUGGCGCGGUUGUGUAUCAAAAAGUUUGAAAUUGUUAUCAUACCAGUAAAAUUAGCCGAUCAAAUGAUGGAGGAAUCCCCGAUAGAUCCUACAGUAAGAACACACAUUUCUAGUAACUAAAGUAUUGCAAACUUGAAAAAAAAAAAAAGAUGUACGGUACAGCAGAAUAACUUUUUUACAUUAGAAUGAAAUUAUACAAAAGCGACUCAAAAUUGUCAGCACUCAGCACUACAUUCUCUAGUGUAUUAGCAUUGGCAGAAUCUCAUAAAAUCAAAUGAAGCAAAGGGGCAACAAAAGAAUGAUUAGUAUGAGUUGGUUUAAAAGUCUCCAAACUUGAGUUCGCGUAUAGAGUGAUCUAAGUUGAUGAGGAGGUAGAGAAAUGUUACCGUAAUUCUCAUCGGAGUCAAACGCGGGUGCACGAUAACUCUCUGGACCGCUAGCAAAGAAUAACAAAAAUAAAAAUACAAAUAAAGCAAGAGGAAUUCAUAAAUGAAUGUAUUAAACUGAAGAAAAGUUGUACCUGACGCCGGUGAGAGCUGGUUUGACGGGGAAAAAGCCCCAGACGAAGAGUGAGAGACCAAUCAUUUGAAUGAUGACUCCAGCUAGGGUUAUUAUUGUCAAACUCUUGCAAGUCAUUUGAGACAUUUUUGUGGUACUGAACUGAAUCGGGAGAGAAGAUCUGGGAGUGGACGGGACUGUCAAAGUACCGAACAACUUAAUUAGUAGAUGAAAUUAAAUUUGGAGGUCCCCUAGUUCCAUUCCAACUUCCAAGGAAACAGCAUUCUUUUAUUUUUAUUUUUUUCCUGGGCAGAUUUUUCAUAAUUUGAACUUGAUUUCUAGAGUUCUACAUUGCAUCAUCUUCUUUUUUUUAACACCUGUCUGUGAUGCAUACAAAUUAGGAUUAAAAAAACAUUGGGACCCUAACAUUAUUUUAUUAUUAUUUAGUGGCCGGGUUUAUUUACGAUGAUUCACUAGUUGAUCAGUGUACCAUUCACCGUUGCUCAAUUCGAUAAUGCAAGAAAAAUCUAGUUUUGCAUCACAAAGUGUCCCGUACUUCCUCAAUUACAAUUUCAGUCAAAGGAACAAAAAUAAAGAAUAAAAAUACCUCAUCCUCGGCUCUCGCCCUCUAGCCAUUGUAAUUUACAUUUUAGUAAAAGGAAAAACAAUCCUCGGCCUUAGCUUUAGCCAUUAUAAUUUAAUUGGGGUAAAAUUUGUUUAGUUGUUAUAUUUUGAGGUUAGUACUUCAGUCCUUAUAUUUUUAAAAAUACCUCAAAAUAUUCCCGAUAUUAAAUUAUUAGCACAUUUCUAAUAUUAACCUCUUACAAUAUAUUUUUGGACAUUAGUAAAAAGAACAAAAAUUAAUUAUCAAUUUAAUCUAAAAAAAUAAAAUAAAAAUAAAAUUAAUAUAUGUUACUUUUUUGAGGAAUUAAUAUAUUAAUUUUUUUAUUACUAAUGUCCAAAAAAAUAGGUAAUUUAAUUAUUUUUACAAUAAUUUUUUUUUGGACACAUGUAAACUUUCACAAAAAUUAAUAUAUAUUCUUUUUAUUUUUAUUUUAUUUUUAAAGUUAAAUUGAUAAUUUAAUUUUUGUUCUUUAUAUUAAUUUUAUAAAAAGAAACAUUAUUGUAAGAGAGUAGUAUUAUAAAAGCAAAUCAAAAGAACAAAAAGUGAUGUCAAUAAUUUAAGAGUAUGGAUGUUUUGAGACAUUUUUAAAAAUACAAGGAUUAAAUGAACACUAAUCUUAAAAUAUAGGGAUGAAACGAACUUUUACCUUUAAUUGGAGAGAAAUGGGAGCAAUUUAAUCCCCUUGAAAAAAAAAACAAUUAUAACUUAGUCUUCGCCGUUAACUUUUCAUACAAGUUUAUUGGGAAAAAAUAAUUGGAUAAAUCAAUUUCAAAAACCAUCACGAGCUCCAGCAAACAAUUAAAUAAUAUAUUAAUGAUCGAUGUGUUGCACAAAAUUGCUAUUAGUGUCAGCAAUGAUCAUUGCGUGUAAAUACAAUGCACAAUAGAUUACAUUACAAGUUUGGUGUGCAGAGCUUCCUUUUCCAGAAGCAAAGCAAAAUCCAUUACAUUUUGCCGCACCAAUUGCAAUGGAACCGUCCGCGCAAAUACAAACACAGAUGAGCGAGCAUACAAUAUCCAUCUAAGGCAAACGACAUUCUCUCUACACCACCCAUUUUCACGACUUCACAUCUUUUAGUACUCCACCCUUUUCAAGCUCACCAACUAAGUCUCUCAAUGAUGGAACUUUCAUGGCCAAAGUCCUGUACAGUCUAGAAUAUCGUGCGCGGGUUCCGUCUGCCGUUCUUGCAAGUGCAAGCAAGCUAAGUGCCUCGGGAAGCUGGGAGAAUACUUGUUUCAUCUCCUCCAGGGUCAUAUUUUCCAGAACAGAUGGUCUUGGCACAACCCGGACAAUUUCACCACCUUUUGGUUCCUGAACCCGGGCAUCUGCUUUAAUGACCAGUUCAGAAUUUGAGUUUGCACCGCAUUUGAUAAUAAAUGGGGUUGUUGUGCCUGUGUUAAACUGCAAAACAUUCCAUUGGGCCACAUCAGUUUCAGUACCAGACACCAAAUCUGCCGAUUGUGUUCUAACAUGUGAUGUUUCCAGAACAUGGUCAUCUUCUUCACGAAUUGUCUGCAGCAAACAUAUGAUGAUGCCAAUUAGUUGAGGGAAAGAAACUAAUUACAACCAAGUACAAAUUCAGAUAGAAUGGGGAUGCAUUAAAAAUAUAAAAACAUUCAGUCUCUAACCCCACAAACUCCUUUUGCCUUUGUUGUAAUGUCACAGAUAAAUGCAUACAUGGUAAAAUUUAUAUCUAUUUCCUCUAAAUAUAGCACAUAUUUAGGCCAUUCCGAUAUUUUACCUUAUUUUAUUUUUCUUGAAAAUAUUCCUAUUUUAUUUUAUUUUUCUUGCAAAUAUUCCAAUAUUCAGAACACAAACUCCUUUUAUUUAUUUAUUUUUUGGGGAAAUAAGCCCAAGUCUUGAUAAUUAUGAAGAGGAACAAAUUUGUGACAUGGGACCAAGUGAUGUCCUAGCUUACUGACAGGGUUAGCACCACCCACGUAGAGAGGAUCUGUUUGUGAUAUAAAGCCAACCCCCAUUAACUGCAAGAACCUCCUCUGAUACAUACCAAAAACAGGAAAUGAAAAAAAAAUGUUCAAACAUCAAAUUGAAAAUAAAAUAAAAAUCUGUGUACCUCAACCAUACGACGAGCAUCAGCAAUUUGCCUUUGGGCGCAAGGAUGAUCAAUAUCAAGAAGGGAAGGCAUCCGUUCUGCAAGUUCAUCUAGAGAAGUAAGCAUCGCCUUCUUUUUACUUCUACUCAAGGUGUUUACAGAGGACUGUCUCACAGCAUCCUGUGAAAAAUAUGCAAUGCUGUUUCUUUAUUUCUCUAUGGGAUGAACAGCAGAAAGAGAAUAUUUCUCAUAGAGAAGUAAAAACCUUGACUUGAUUCAAUAUGCCAUCCAGAGAAAUGAGAGAUGCUAAUCGUGCAUCUUCAGCUGCAGUAGAGGGAUUCCGAAUAGGGGAACCACCCUCUUCCAAUGUUAGCAAGGCUACAUCACUCCUCAUCUGUUGCAAAACCUGGUUACAAGAAACAAUUAGUUCUAAGAUCUGCACUUGCAAAAUGGACAAUUUCUAGAGAUAAAACACACGAUCAUAUGGUACCAGAAAACAUUGUCACUAUAAAUGUAUUUAUAUGCGUGAUACUGCAAUAUAUCUAAACAUUACAAUCCUAUCCAAGUAAGGAAUAGAAAAGAAGCUGAAAAGACAAAUACAGUGGCUAAAUGAAAGUGACCAACCUUUCUUCUUCUGUGAUCGACAGACUCAAGAGCUGAACGCAGCUUAGAGACUUGUGAUGCAUCUUCUGCAUCUUCUGUUGCUAAGGUGCCAGCAAUAUCCUGAUACAGAAAACAUAAUAUUAGCAAAAUUUUGAAUGAUCCAUUGAACUAGAGAAUUAAAAUGAAACAAUAUAAGUGUGAACAACUAGACAUGUUCAAAGUAUUCAAAAGGAAAAAGGAAAAUAUCCAUCCUUAUUACAGAGUAUUUAAAGAAAAUUUAAAGAGAAUGCUAAACCUCAUUCCACAUAGCAAGAACACAAAGAAAAUGUUUAGGUGAUCUCCACCUAUAUAAAGUAUCUUAUCUCUUCCUAUCGAUGGGAAUCAGAGUUAUCAGAUCAGGUAAAAUCAUCCUUAAAAGUUAAGGAAGCACUUUGGAAACCCAAGAGAAUUCAAAGCUGAAGAACAAUGAACAGACAAAUAAUACUGUAGCUCCUUGAACGCCAAACAUUAAGAACCCUAGAGCCGUGUGAUUUAUGGGAAUGUGUCGUAGGCGUGUUCCCAGGCGAACCAAUAACAUAAUAAAAUUCGGAUCUGUAAGGAGUAAAUGCCUUCCUUCUUAAAAAGGAAAAAUAAAUUCUGAAAGGAAUAAUCCCUAAAGAAAGCAAUGCAUCCAUUAAGAGACGAGCAGUGACCUAAUAGAAUCAAGAUACUGAAAAGUUGUCAAUAGAAAUUCGUGCCAGCAACUAUUCAGCAGGAAUAAAAAGAACACAAAAAGACUGAAUCAGUCCCGGCCUACUUAUCCAAGAACUUUUAGCAGCCAAAAAUUUGUAGUAGGGCAGAUAUGAAGGGAAUUUACUCUGCAGAGAUUUAAAAUCGAAGGGAAAAGGCAGAUCCAGCUGCUAUGGAACUGAAUCACACAUUUAACUCCAAUAUGUCAAAAUGAUAUUGCUGGGACCAAUUAUACUGAGGGUCAAACCAAGAAAGCUCCAGCCAGUGCUUAAGACAUACCUUUAAGUGCUGCAACUGAGAAUUAUAGACCCGCUUUGCAUACUCCGACAGAAGCUGGCCAAGGGCAUCAGUACUUGGAGGCACAGCACCACCAAGUCCAGCCAUCCAACCAUCCAUAAUUGCAGUUGAAAGAAGUUCUAACUGACCAGUGGUCCCUCCUGAUGCAUCAUCUCCUGUGACAGAAAGAAAUUCAAAGUUUUCUGCAAGCCAGGACCUAAUUUGCCGCUGCAGCUCACCAGCUGGGGUAUGAACAAAAAGAGCAGCAAGAGCCUUGUUUCCUGUGGCAAAACUCUUGGCUUCCUCUUGAAUUUCCCUUAGCUUUCCACCGGUGACCUGAUGCCUCCAUGUAUCCUGUAGAUUUGAGUUCAUAGUCUCACAUAAGAAGUUUUUCAGGUCACUACAAGUGAAAUACCUAAAGAAGAUAAGAUCCCAUUCAUUUGUGGAAAGGCAGGUUAUGCUAGGCAGUCAAGAUAAGAGACACCGAUAAACAAAAUGAAAAAAAUGGGAAGGAGAAUACACACUGCUCUAAUUUUACAUCAAACCCACGUUUAUACGUAUAUACCAAAGAAGAAAAGCAGAGGGGAGUGGGAGGGAGGAGCAAAAAUGCCAUGAUAAAAAGUAACCUGAUCAAUUCCUCGCAUUCUCAAAACAACUGAUGAUAACUUGGACUUCUUUUCUGGCUUUAAGUUUAUUUUAAAUCCUUGGAUCUUCUCAUCGACAUAAUGCACAGGAGAUCUUGCAGGGCUGCUACCUCGACUGGAGCUUCUACUACGCCCAGUAUUAGACUUUUCUAGAAAGCACUCUACAGGAGAGACCUACAAAUUUGAAUCAAAUACAUAUUGAUCUUAACAUGAAAAAAAAAAUAAUGGAUGCUCAAUGAAAGAAACUGACAGAUAUGCUAGCAUCUCAAGUCAAAUUACCAUGAUGGACUGCAAUUCAGGUGAUCUUGCAAGCAAGGAUCUUAUAUACAAAAUUCUGACGCGGGAAACCAGCAUAGUGUCCAUCACCCUAGUUGGUUCCAUUUUACGGAUAAAAGCGAAUACAGCAUCUCUAAUUUCAGCAAGUAUUUCAUGCUCUCUAGAAGCACCUGCUUUAAUAACUGCUGCCAAAACCUGCAAUAAUUGGACAACUAUUUAUUUAUUUUUUAUUAUCUCUUUCUUUUUGCUGGUGUUUAUGGUGGCCAAAAGGGGUGCGGGGAAGAGAAUUAAUGACUUGUCGUUAUUCAUGGCAUAAAAGCUACCAAAUUUUUACUAAGUUAAAAUUUUGAACAAACAAAUGCAAUUAAAUCAUACAACACAAAAUCACCAACACUUAGCAAUCAGUCAUCCAUCAGCAUAAUAGCCAUAAAUACAAAUACUCCAUCCAUGGAACAAAAAGGCACUAAAACAAAUCCUAAAUAAACAUUGCCUGGAUCCAAAAACUUUAAUACGGUAACAAAAUGUCAAAACCUGUUCUAAAAAUAUCGUUGAGGAUCAAGAAAAAUAGUUUUGGAAGAAUCUCUAAGUUUGCAAUCCUCAAAGUUUUAAAGCAUGCGCCUGUUGAUAAUUUCCUAUGACUAAAGAAACUAAUCACUAAUGGAAGAUUAAGAAACUUGAAUAUGUAUGUUCUUUGUUACAGGAAACACCAAUGUCGAUAUAAUUCUCUAUAAUUCCAUCCACAAUAGUAGACUUGAAGGACUGUGUACAGUGAUCCUAAAGUAGAGCACACACAAUGAUACCAUUGCAGAUCUUCCCAACAACACAGAACAUAACAUGACAGUAGGAUUGCAAUCUGAAAGACGUAGCUGAUAUUGAAACAUACCAGCAUCAGAAGCUUGUUUGCUCCAUCUGAAAUGACAGCAAGAUUGUCAUAUUGUUCUGGAUUAAAGUCAUUAAGAGCAGCAGUAAGAUACUCCCCUGCAGGUGUAGUUUUAAUUUUCUCGGAACUUGAUUUAACCAAAGCGACUGUGCCCUCAGUCUUGUCUGCAGAUAAUGGCAAGGGAGCAACAUCUACAGGAAGUCCCUUGUUGUUAAUAUCAUUCCUGUGUAAAAAAAAUCACAGAAUUCAAAAAACAACUAUUGAGGAACCAAGAAAAGAAAGCCACAAAAAAAUAAUAACUAUCAAACUCUAUUUAAAUACACACCUUGCCAUGUCCCGUGGCUGAACAUUCACUGAUCCUUUAGAUAAUGGACUUGACAGCUAAAAAGAAAGACAAAAAAUUAAAAUCUGGAACAAUUUUUAGACAAACAAUAUAAGUACCUGUUACACCGACGUAAGGAAGAAAAAACCACCUGGGGGGAACUAACCGAAGAAGCUUUCUCUGUUAAUCUAUCAAACAAUUUUUCAUUUUCUUCAUGCAACCUCUGCAGAAGCAACAAAUCAAAUAGUCCAUUACGAUGAAGCCAUAUUGAAGGAACGAGUGUGUGUUAACUUUGCAAGGGAUUGAAUCAUUCGACAGAUGGACUGAGGAUCUAAUCAGUUAAAUCUGGGAUAGAAUUGAAGGUCUUGAAGUUUGUGAAAUAUUCUUGGUGCAUAUUUCUAUACUCUUUUCCCCCUCAGAAUCUAUAUUCAGAAUUAUUCAAAACAAAAUUUGUUUCUCAGUUACCAUUACAAGUACUCAGGGAUCCAAUCCAAAGAAACAGCAUUUUAUAGGUCUCACUGAUUCAACUACUAUUAGCAAUAGCUUCCAACAAGGAGGAUAAGGAACUAUAAAUUUUGCAUUGCCAGAAACGAAAAUGUAAAAAUAAGACAGAUUCAAGUUGAACGCAACUCAGACAACAGCAAGGUCAAAACAAAAGAUUCCAACGGCUAAAUGCCUAAAAAAGAAUAACAAUAAUGUGGCAGACCUCAAUCAGGGCAUCACGUUUUUUGAGUUCUUCCUCAAGUUUCUUGCUUACUGCUGAAGAAUCCAUACCAUCCCCAGUUGUCCUCAAGACUGAUGAAACAGCAGGCAUUGGUUCUGAGCGAAUUGUUGACCUUACUUCACUAGAAUGGAGAGCUUCAUUGAGUUGAGAUUCAAUGCUGUUAAUCUUGGCCUAGAUAAGAAUUUCAAAACAGAAAUAUCACCAUUACAAUGAAAGUAUGUGCAAAAUAAAUUCUUUUAUCAGAAUAAACAGAAGUGUGAACUGCAGAAAUUUGAUGUUGAUGAAAGUUCAUCCUAGUCCAACUCAUAUUUUUGUCAUUAAAAGUCAAAAUUAAAUUUUCUGCAAUAUUUACAGUUACACUUAGGCACUAAGCAACAGAAGUUUAGAAAUUAUUAUUAUGGACAUUAUUGUCUUUGAUCAGAUUGACUAUUGAUAACAAAUUCUCCUUUAGUUCUGAAACAUAUAAAAGAAUAUUUUAGAAAUAAAGAAAAAAUGGUUGUAGGUAAGUUAUCACCAACAGAUUUAAUUUCGAGAGAAUACUAUGAAACAAGGCAUUUUCUCCCAUGACAUUUAAGUGGCUGUGUAUGACAUCCAAUCACCCUUGUACUUAAGGAAAUAAGUUGAAAAUCAUUAUAGAGAUAUCAUUGCAAAAUGCAUCUACAGCAAGGCCAAUCAAUGCACCAGAACUACUCCUUUUUCAGUAUUAUAAAAUUAAAAAAAAAUGUUAAUAGGAAAACGAACCUGCAAUGUCUUAAUUGUGGAAUCUCUCUGUUGAAUCUGCAUUUUCUGUUCCUGUUCCAAUUGUAACAAUUGAGCUACCUGAUUUCUGAGCUGGGCAUUUUGUUCCUUCUCUAUCUUAUGCUUGUCGGCAAGCAUAUAAUUUUCUGACUGCAUCGAACAAAAUUAAUGAAACAGAUUAGCAACAUAAUUACUGGAAAUGAUAAAAAUAGGAAGCAAUGCACAGUAUGAACGUCAAAAUUAAAAAUUAAAAAAAAUGAAAAUUAAGACAUAGUACUGGAUGAUGUAUCAAACUCGGACCUUUUAAUAAAACAAUGAAAAAUUUAAUUGUGACAGAGAAGAAAAUGUAACUGUGUAAGAGAAGGGCAGAAACUUGAAACCAUCUUUUCCUUCACUGUUUUGUGGCUUCAAAGUUAUGGUACAAGUUGUGCAAAGAAGCUAAUUUUUUGUGGGUCAUUCCGGGGUGUUGCGAUUCCCUUCUUAUGGAGAAUCCCUUUGCUUUUGGUAGAGGAACCAAGGCUAAAACUCUGUAGAAAUGUGCAGUGGCAGCUUUGGGUUGGGUAAUAUGGGAGGAAAGAAAUGUUCGCAUUUUUAAGGGCAAAAGUGUGGAUAAUGUUGAAGAGAUGUGGGAUAGAGUUCGUUUUCUUACUUCACUGUGGGCUUCAGUUUCUAAGGAGUUUCAAGAUUCAUCUUUUUCUUCACACACCUAAAUUGGGUUGGGGUUUUGAAAUAGGAAGUUAUAUCUGGUUCUAACCUUGUUUAGGGGUGUUUGGGUAUACUUUUGUAUAACGCAAAUAGUGAUAGUCUUUGUUCUUUGUUUUUUGGGUGGACUGCUGGUCCACUCUGUUUUUUCAUCUUCUUUAUUAAUACACUUUUCAGUUUCUUAUCAAAAAAAAAAAAACCAAGAAAAUGUUCACUGUAUGAUAUAAUAUGGAAGACUAUCAUAAGAUAAUAAAAAUCUCAAGCCAAAAAGGGAAGUAAGAUAUAAGAAUGCUAAAACUAUCAAGUAAGAUGUUGCAGAAUGCUAAAACUAUACCAAACCAUGAAAUUACAGAACCUUUAAAUCUGACUGUAAUGUGAAAGACACUUUCCAAGCUUUCUGAACUUCGUUGUAGAGUAGGACACAUUGAUCAUUUGCUUCUUUAAGUGCUUGUCUAAGUCCCAAAAUCUCUUGUUUAAGAUCUUGGAUUUCCUUUUCCCUUUCAUACAACUCCUUACGUGCAUCAUUUGCCUACAAAAACCAUCACAAAAAUAGAAAAUUAUAGAAUUGGUGAUUGCAUCGGUACAUUACCAACACAACUAGCAAAGCAUGAACUAGGAGCACAAGUUACAGUUGAUGUAAAGUUAUAGUGAAAAUAAAAUAAAUUUUAGAAAAGGAAACUCAAUCCUUGAUUGUAUGCUAAAUAAGUGCUACACUACUUAUUUGUGCUUUUCUGAUUUCCUUGAAGCUUUUUGGUUUCUCAUCAUCAAUGUAAGGUCCUUGCCAAUUACCAUUUGCACGAUAUAAACAUUCUAGUAAUUCAAGAUAAUAUAGUAGUUAUCAGAUGAGAUUCCUUCAGACCUAGGUAUUGAACUACUGGAGGGUGCGUGCAGUUAGCUCACCAGAAACAAGUUAAUUACUACUGAAGAAAUCACAGCUUCAUAAAAUCAAUAUGGACACAAGUUGAAAGAACAAAAUAUCCACUAUAGCAGCACGUAAAGGAACUCACAAUAUCUCUCCAUUUCUUAAUUGUAUCUCGAUUUCCAAGGCUCAGAACAGUACUACGAGCUCUAGAAGAGAAAUUGAGAGAUGACAGCGUCUCAGACAUAUUCGCAGCAUUUGGACAUAUAUUAACGAUCAUCAAAGUUUUAGAGCUUUCCCCUACAGAAAAUAUGAAAGUAGUAAAAUACAUUGUAAAUAGUUUGAAAUUAACCAAUUUCAGCAAUAAUUAAUCUUCAAUUGCUCUUGACAUUCUGCCAAUCACAAAGUCCGACCAAAACUAGCUAACAAGUAGAAUAUAAUACCUAGAGAGUCUGCAAGCACUUUGGUCAGCAUUGAAUUUUCAUAAGGCACAAUAUCCUUUCUUGAAGUCAAAGAAGACAAAACAUCUCCCAAUCUGAAAAAUUUACAUAUACUGCAAUUAGAACAUAGCAGAGGAUCACAGAUAUAAUUCAGAAAACAUGACAAUAUUACUACGCGAUCAACCUAUAACCUAUAUGAAUAAAUCACAAAUGCAGUGAAAUCCCCACAAACCAAUACAGUGAAUUAAUGUGUUUAUACUAAUCAAUUUUUUCCCCUGAAAAGCAGAUAAAUGAAUAACGUAUUUAAUUAACCAAGAGACAGCAACACAACAUUGAGCGACAUAACACUCAAAGAGGUGGGGAAAAAAAGCUUCAGAAUUACAAUGUAUGAAUGUAUUCCCACAACAAGAAGCAAGCAGGGACCAUAUGUGCCCACACAUUGCAACUUGAGAGGAACAGUAAAUAAAUCAAAGGAAGAAAAGGAAAAAAUGGGCAUACGCUGAAAGUGAUUUCAUGACAUGCAGCACAUCUGUAAUACGCUCCCCGCUAUCAUCCUCUGCAAUCAAACCUUCACUUCCAGCCAAGUCAACAAGAGAAAGCUUACUAUACAAGUUUUCUCCAGUGAUCAAAUUAUUAUAGUAUAUGUGUAUCAUAAUGAUCCUGACAACCACAAAAGAAAUCCACACAAAUGAAUUAGAUAAUGGCACUUACUAUCAGGACGAUUAUCUGUGCACGACAACAAUAAAUAUAUUAGUUCAAUAGAAUGAAAGGAAAACUUUGAUUCAGUACAUACAAAUGAGAAACAUUGAAUUUAGAAACAUCAUUUCCUCGGCUCUGAAAAGCAGAUUUCAAGACUUUAGAAAACUCCAACGGGUUAUCAACUUUUUCCUGCACAAGUUCUAUAGAAGACUCUAGAGAUUGCAAGCGAAUUUUAGCUAAACCAUUCCCUGUUUGUGGGAGCAACUCCCUUAGCUACAAGAACAAGAAAAGGGUCUUCAUCAGAACAUUUCAAAGAUGCAAUACUUGAAGCAUUAUUCAACAAAAAUAAAGCCAAAACAUAAAAAAUUGUGAAAAACAGACAAAGGUGGGGAAUAAUCAGUAAGUGAAAAGCAUGAACAAACCUGCUCGUUGUAAAGCUCAAAAACUGUAACAGCAAAAUUGAAUCGAGCAGUUGCAGUUGUAUCAGAAUUCGAUAAAUCAAAAAGCUCCUCAAAACAACGAGCAUAUAGACCACGAUCAUGGCUAGAUCCUUCCUGGGCAAAUGAAAAGCAUGUCAAAUAAUGCAAUCAUUAGAAGAUUAUCAUGAAUUCAGUUAAGAAGUAUGUUUAACCACUAUCAAGUUACGAUUUAUCAUCAAUAUUGUUUACACCAGGGCACAACAAAAAAAAAAAAAAUACAAACUAGGCUAUACUAAACCCUGCAAUGGAAUGGAAAUUAGAAUCCCUUGAAAUUUAACCUAAAAAGUAAGAAAACUUAUCAAGAGAGAGAGAGAGAGAGAGGCCACCAUGGUGUGUGUCUUUCCUGAGUGAGUUUGUCCAUAGGCAAAUAUAGAAACGUUAUAUCCAUCCAAAGCUGAUUGUACGAAUGGCUGAACGUCACUGAACAGUUCGGCUGCACAAAAGUGGUGCACUUCAUUAAGCCUCUUUCUUAUGGCAUUUCAAACCUGUAGAAUAAUGAAUGACUAGGGAAAAGUAAAAGGAAAAAAUUCCACACUGGAAAAUGAUAGAGAAAGGAAAUUAAACAAAGAAUUAAACGCUUGCCUUGUCCAACAUGCGGUCCAUAAACUCGAUCAAAUUCAAAAUCCUUCUUGGGGUUGGAGAUGGUAUCAUCACCAGUGUUAACACGGAUGGUGCAAUCAUCAGUAAAUUCAACAACAGAAGGUCCUUCAUCUUCAAAUAAUGGUCUUGUACGACAAAAUACCUUUAUGUUUCCUGAAAUUUACAAUCUCGUUUCUUCAAACAAGAAGAGUGGCAGAAAUCGCUUUGAGAAGUACAUGUUUAAAUAAGUACUGAAAGAACAGGGAAAAGAGAGCUUUUACAUGAAAUGAGAAUGUGUAUGCGCAUAUGUGCAUGUCUGAGAGAAAGAAUGAUCGAGGUCAGGGUUGGAAAGGGCAAACGAUGAGUACCUUUGGCUGUCAAUAAGUCAUUAAACAAUCUUUUCUUCUCAUUGAUCAGUGGAGAAAUUCUAGCUUCAGCUUCAAGGGCAACUUGAUCUAACAUUUAAAUUUACAUAACAUUUAAAAAUCGAUAACAGAACCCAAUAGCAAUCUAAGCUAGAGAAGCAGAAUAUAGCUUUGGCAUUUGAGAUGCAAAGUCCUUAAAAUUGGAAAGAUUCAUAAUUAUACUAUCUCCGGACAGAAUUAUGCGCACAAUAACCCUAAUAUAACACAAACCAUAAAUAUUACGAGUCCUGUUACAUUCUUUGGAAAGUGAAUUCUAGUAAGCAUGUCAAAUAUAUUACGUAUAAACAAGAGCUUGGGCAUAUACUCAAUCAAAUAAAAAGCAGAAAAACUAAAAACUUAGAAAACAUCAUAAUUUUUUCUUUUAGACCAAACAACUCAGUUACUUACCUAGUUUACGAGUUUUAUCAGCAAGAACACCUAGAUAUCGCGUAACUCGGUCAAUCUUUGCAUUAGAGUAUUCUUGCAGAUCAGUUGCUUCUUGUCUCAAUUCCAAGUAAUCUUCUUUCACAAACUGCCCAAAAAAAAGUAAUACAAGUAUCAUAAAACUGAAUAAACUACAUGAUCAACAUCAUAUCAACAGUGAUGUUAACCAUAUGAAAGCAUAUCAUCUUACAGAAAGACAAAAAUGACUUAAGGCUCAAAAUUGUCUUCAUUAGACACUUGUAGUUCUUAAUCUAUCUAAUGAUAAACCGAAUUUUCAGUACUGAUAUUGCUGCUCAAAAUAUCUUUUUGCCCACUUUAGCUAUGAAAUAUUUUACUCACUUAGCCACAUAUCUUGUCCAGAAGAUAGCAAACCUUGUCUAAAAUAUAGUGAAAAAAAGAAACAAUAUAAAGGAGCUUAUCCACACAUUACAGGUUCUUGGAUCCUCAGAAAAUGAUUCCUAUUCUUCUCUUUUUCAAAAAAUAAUUAAAAAAUUGUCCCAUGAUCAAUAUUUAUUCCAGACAAUUGAAUACUCAAAUAUUAAUUGCUAACCUUGGUAAUUUUUAGAACCAAAAAUAUUGCCAAGAAGAGUUUUUGCACGAAUUAGAGUCCAAACCAUUGUUAGUAUUUCUUCAACCUUGCUAUGAACUAGUAGACUUGUGAAAAAAAGAAAAAAAAGAACCACUAUUCUAUCCCAUCCAAUAGCCUACUCGAAUAUUGCAAUUUCCUCGGUAUAGUAAUGAGCACUAAAUGAAAACAGUGCAGAAACUCAUAAUAAACCAAUACCACAAGUUUCAACAAUCAAGGUCCUGCAUCAUUAAGUGACAAUUUUACACGACCUUAAAGAAUAAAUUCAUAUAUCAACAAUUCAUUACAAGACCUCAACUAGUCCACUCAUUCACAACCGAGUCUCCCGUUCUACUAUGCCAAGGCCAAUGCCACAAUCUAAUGAUGCAUCAUGUCUAGAGAAUCACAUAACAGUGCCAACAAGCGGUGCUAGACCUAGGACCCCCAUUCACUGCGAAAAGAAAGGUCACUCCUAAUCAUAAUUAUAAUUGGAAAGUUUAAAUUCAAGUCAGUUGCCAACAACACAAUGAACUUUCGUUUUUCAAACAUGCCAAAUAAAACAGCAACAAUUUUAUAACAAUUAAUACAUAAAUCUAAGUAAACCAAAUAGAAAUUCUAAAAUCACUUUUUUAUCGGUUAAAUAAAUUUUGCAUGUCGCUAAUCCGUUCAAAUUGUAUUAAAAAGAAUCGAAAUUAUUUUAACUCCUGCAUUGUAUUCUUCACCAACACAACUGCCUAACUCUCCCGUAACUUUCAAUGCCACAAAUCAUUUCACACAUUGUAAUUAAUUCAUCUGGUCAUCACUCAAAACCAUCAGUAGAAUAACUCAACAAAACACAUUACCUUUAUUUCGUCCUUCAACCGCUGGACCUUCGUAGAUAGCGCCUGCUUCGAAAUCUCCGACGAAUGCGGCAAAGCAGAGGCAGCGGAGAUCGCGUAGCGGCGAACCACCGGAGCAUCAGGCCUCCGGUCCUCGCGCUCGAACUGCAACGACGACGACGACGAAUUCCUCGGCUCAAAACCACUCACCUCCCAGUUCCACCUGUUCUUGUUCUCCGCCAUUACAAACAAACAAAACCCUAGCUCACUCACCCACUCACAACACUCUUUUAUCUUCUUUCAAAAUUUCAGUGCAAAUUGCAAAACAGUUUCGGCAAGAGACGUUCAUCUAUCUGAUCCUUUUUCGUUUUUGCGCAUUUCCCAUCAUUUCCCCCCGGCCUCGGAUAAAAAUGAAAGGUGGAGGGUACACGUACACUGAGGUGAUACGACGUCGUUUGAUAAUAGAUGAUUAAUAUAAGGACACUCUACGACCUUUUAGAGCACAAGUAAACUUGUGCUUGGCAUUGGUUCACGAUUCGCUUUCUUAAAAGUGUUUAUUAUUUUUUCCUAAUAUUGGACAUCUUUGCUUAUUGAGUGAGCCUGAGGUGAGAGAGACAGAAUGAACGAAUUAAUUUUAUUUAAUUAUAAGAAAGAAGCAUGUUGCAAUAUGAGAGAAGGGAGCGCGUGGAGAGUUCAACGCCAUGAUGGCAGACGGGUUUUGUCGGGUUGGCAUGUUUUGAUUGGAUCCAGUAAUAUUACCCGCCUUAUUUAUUCAAAUUUCAACCAUUUUGAUCACGGCCAUAGUGGAUCCUUUUGGCCCAUCAAUGGAUUAGUACGUUACACUUCAAAUGAUGAAUUCUUCUUCUUCGUUCACUUUAUCUCUGCAGAAAUUUUAAAUUUUUCUGAAGUGAUAUUCGUAGCUCAUCAUAUUUCAAUCCCAUGUUAAAAAAAAAAUGAAAUUAGCGAUUCAAUUUUUUUUUAAUUUAGCUAUUUAAAUAAUUAAUAUAAAGAAACCCUCCUCUAUCACGUUAGUCCAAAAACUACAAGAGGUGUGGUGUUCGAAGAUUUUUUUUCUUUUUUCUUUUUUAGUAUUAUCAUUAUUUACCAAAUACACAUUUGACUCAACUUACAUCAAGUGGGCUGCCCAAAAAUGAUGGCAUCUACCUUGAAACAUGAUAGAAUUCUAUUCUUGAUUACUUAAAAAUAUUUAAAUCUCUAUCUAAAUUGUAAAGACCACCUAAUCAAGCGGUGGAUUUCGACUUUAAGAUUUUUAAAAACCAAUUAACAUCGUAUUAGGUAAUUUGUGUCUACCUUCCCGAAACCAACAAAUAUUAGUUAACAUUGUAUUGCUCACUUCUAACGAAAUCGUUUGAUGAAAACGAUAAAUGUUAUGUAUAUUUUAAGUAAUACUUUUGUCCGAGAAAGAAGCAAACUUCCACCACAAAAAUAAUUAAUGCAAUAAAAUUUAGCAACGGGAGCAGUUGACUGUUUUAGUGGGAAUUGAUUUCAAUCGUAAUAGCUUAUAUUUUAGGAUUAUGCUAAUUUCAUAGUAGUAUUGUUAUACAAUUAAGAGCCAUUUCUUAAAUUAAUUUCAAAUUCCAUAUUGUUGGGCAUUCCCUAGCAUGGCGAUAAAGAGGUUUAAGAAAUGAGAGUUUGAAAAUGUUGAUUUCCAAGACUUUUCAACUUACCCCGGUGAAAAAGCAAAAUUUGUUGUAAUUUGUUUUUUUUUUCCCGCUUUAAUUGGGUUACAAAAUCCAUAAUUUGAUUAGUUAUUUUAAUAUUAUAAAAAUGAAUUACCCGCCCCAAAUAAUUGUUAACUCACAAAAUAAUAAUUUAAACUAAAAGAAUGUGAAUUUUUAAGUGCUAUUCUUAAUAAUGAUAAUAACAAUAAUAAUAAUAAUCAACUAACAUGAGCAAACCCUAGAUUUAUUAGAAAAAAUAAAGAAAUGAACAAAACCAAGACACCGAUCUUCUUAAGUUCUUCAUUUUAAAAACCCAAUUACCCAGCCCCUAAUCUCACAUGGCAUUUAUUUAUCAUUUUCAUUGUUAACUUGUUAAGACACAUUUUACAAAUCAGGUAUUGACAAUGAAACUUUCAUAAAUCCAAAAAUGAUAGUUCAAAAUAAGAAUAGGUUUAAUCAUUGAAGAUUACAGUUACGGAAUUAUAAACUGUUAUAUUUCUAAAUUUUUUAAAGUGCUAAGUUAGGCAAAAUUUUCAAAUACUCUCUAGAUGUUAUAUAAGAUAUUAUGGAACGGCUCCAAUUUUAUUUUACAACAUUAAGUUAAGGUUUAAUAGUAUAUAAUUACAGACUUAUGGACUCUGUCUAUGCCUCUCUCAUUUUAAAGUAAUCUUUAGAGAAUAAUAAUAAUAAUAAUUAUUAUUAUUAUACCCAAAUGAGCUGGAUAACAGACAGCAACUCUCUCUCACUUUUUCCUUUUUUUCGAUUUAAAAAAAAAAAAAAAACCCAAAAUUUGUUUAACUCUUCUAAUUUUCAAGUCUGCACUUUUCAAUUUGCUCCCUGCGCAAGAGAGAUUUGAUGUACGGAAGAAUCCAUAACAGUAACAAUAAAGACAAUAAAACAUUUAAUUUAAAGCUGGAUGACUAUUGAUAAGUGGCGUGGAGAGGCAGACAUGCUUGGCCAUGUCAAGCACCUGUUUACCUUUGCCUGACUCGAGAUUCUGAAUUGUCAAACCAAAAUCUUUUGCGUUUUCUGAUUCAAAGUCCCCAUUACGGAACGAAAUACGUCUUAUCUUAUCCAUCAGUCAAGCCUUUUGGUUUCAUUGUUUAACAACACAACAAAACGAACACUUACUUCAUCAAUCCUGCCGCUGACGCCUGGUGAUCUGUGCUUUCACGUACAGUUACUGUUUUCCAUUAUUAUUAAAUUACCCAGAACUGCACGCAAUGAAACGACGACACUUGGAAGUCCCGCAAAAUAGGUCUCUAUUAUUUUUCUCGGUCCUAAGAGAAAGCAGGUUAAAUUUCUUUUUCUUUUUCUUUUUCUUUUUUAAUACAAGGGAGCCUAGUAUUGAUUACGAGCAAAACAAUACGAGAAACAGAAAUCUUAUACGUAUCAUUGUAUUACCAAUAAUCAAGCACAUAUGUCGUGAAGGCUGAGAGGUAAGGAACCUGUAAGUUUGCCCGUAGAAUCAACAGGAUCACCUCCAGCUUAAUGCGUAAGUUUGGCCACAUAUAUCACUUUAUGGUGAUUUGCCAUUCUGUGUUCAUCAACUCCUUGAUGCAGUGAUUAGAAAAAAUGGGCAUUAGGCAUCAAUCUUGUGGAAGAAAUAAGUUGAGAGUCAUAUUAGCUAUUCACCUCUGCAAUCAAGUAAAGAAUACCGCGAUCCCAAGCAAGGUGAAGACCUUGAAAACGACCCCAUAGUUCUGCAGUAGUCACUGAACAAAGCGAUGUUCAUGCCAAAACCGAACUGCCAGUUGCCAGAGCAAUCCCUCACCGAGCCUCCAGCACUAAGCCAAAUCGUUCUUUAAACGAGAGCCAUCCGUAUUCAAUUGUCAAAUCAAAAUUGAGGGCUGGUUUCGCAUUGUGAAUGUCACGGACCCAAGAUGGCAAUUCCAAACCAGCAAGCCCACUCAUUCACAAUCGCAUUUGUUGUUCAACUCAUUUGAAAUUUCUUCUGUAAUAUGAUUAGCAAUGAUAAGUUCUUCCGAAACACAGCACUAAUGCCAGUAAUAAUUAAUUUUAAGUUACAAUACUGAAGUAUUUGAUAAAUACUAACUGCAGUAGUUUAAAAAUUAUUUUAAUAUAAUUUUUUACUAAUAUAAUAAAAAAUUUAUUAUAUCUUUAAUAAUUUUAUCAAAAUUAUUAUUUAAAAUUUAUAUUCUGCUGUACGGCCAAGGCGGAUGUACGGUACAGCAGGAAUUGAAUGAAACGUUAACUUGGGCUGAGGAAUGCACACCCUUGGCUAAUUUGAUUCGAUAGAGAGAUAAACCAGUGGCCCUUUUGAUAAUGUAAGUAGUGAGAAUCGCUACGAUCAAUGUUGUCUGUUUCCACCAGGUCUCCAGUUAAGAUCAGUCACUGCAACAAAAAAUACUAUAGAUUUAAUUAAGGCUUAAGUAGUACAAUUCAUAUUAUUAAUUUUUAUUUUAUAAUCAUAAUUUUUUUUUUCAUAAUAGCUGUAAUUUAAAAGUUAUAGAAUAUCAAUUCUAAACGCACUCUUAAUCUAUUUUCAAUCGACCAUCUCAUGCCCUACAUCACAUAAGUUCAGAUUCUGCAUAUGCUUUUGCUAAGAUAGGAGCUGCGCUUAUUCUCGAAAGUGAGAGGAACAAAGUCUGAAGCAACCUCAUAUUUAAAACUCAGAACCCAAAUCCAUAAGUAGUGAGGAGAGAGACCAGCAUAUUUCACCCAAUUUUAAUUAGAAGAGCAUUAUUCAUAUCCGUAAGAUUCUUUAACCCAUGAUCACCUCCGGCUUUCAGCGUACAGUUCCUUUCCCAAUUAAUCAAGCUGAGUUUAAGCCUUAACUCUUUCUCUCCAAAUGAACUUCCGAGAAAUUCAAUCAAUCCGGAACUCCCUCAGGGAUCCUUGUCGUUUGCAUGGCAAAAAUAGAUAGGGACCGCUUAAAUUACUAAUUGAGCUAGAGUAAAUUCUUUGAGCUAAGGAGAGCUGCAUUGCUUUCCACCGGACAGAAUCUGUUGUUGUCAAAUCAGAGCUCAAUUCACCCAGCAAAUCGUGUGUUCACGUAUAUAAAUGUUUCAUAUGAAUAAGAGUGAUAAAAGAGAAAUUCGAAACGAGAUAUUGGUAUCAUACGUAUCGUGUAUGUCAAAAUUUGUAUUUACACGCAAUUUCUCUCUACUUUUUAGUGGGUCAUCCUGUCAGUGGCUCACUCUCAGGCGAAUGGCCAUUCUGGUACGGAAAUUCAUCAUUUCCAAUAUCUUAAAAUUAAAAUUAUAGUCAAAAUAAAAAGGACUAUUCUCUUGCAAUCUUUUUUAUUAUUGCUAAGGUACCCUUAGAUUCCCUCAUAUUUCAAUUUUUUUAUUUUAUUUCAUAUUAGGAGGGUUAGCAUUUUUUUAAGCACAAUAUUUUUUACUAUUGUUGUCCUAUUAUUGUCCUAUUAUUAUUAUUCUUAAAUUUAUGAUGUCCGAUGAGAUGCAUUCAACUUCCAAACUUGUAUGUAUGUGUAUGUCUGUGGGAAUCAAAAUGCUUUAUCUUAAAGCAAUAAUCAUAGUUUUAAAAUCAUUCACUUCCUCGAUAACAACAAAGGUUUAUGAACAGAAAUCGGUCAUAAUUUCAUCCUUCUCGUAAGUUCCUUUAAUAGGUACAUGUCACUAUUAUUGUGAAUAAUAAUCUUUGCACAUAAAAUUACAUAUCAAUUGCACGCGACACCUAGGAUACCGAACAUAGAGACAAUUAGACAAAUAAUCAAAUAAAUAAGUUUGACUGUAAAUGUUUCUUAUCUUUUAGUAAUAUUUAUUGGGCAUUUAUCUUUUGUUUGAUAAACAUUUGUAACUGUCAUUUGAAAAUAAAAUUAAUUUUAUCUCGGAUUUACAUAAUAAAAAUUUUAUAAUAUUUUUUAUUAAAGUUAUUAUCUGCUGUACCGUACAUGAUCCUCCCCACACUUGAGUAAAGCCACAGAAAAGUAAGGGACUAUGAACUGACGACGCUUGGCUACUAUAAAAUACAAAAUCUUUUCCAAUAUCCACGAACACAUUAACUUACUCAAUUUUUUUUUUGUUUUUUUUUAAUCUCUUUUCCUUCUCCCAUAUUCUCUCGUCUCUCUCUAUCGCUCAUUGGUGGCAUUUUCAAAGUCUCCAUUCCGAAGUUUUAAACUCUCCCACAAAACCAAACCACAUUACCAGCCGAUCUCCAUAAGCCAAAUUGGGUAAGAGUGCUAAUAUCAAUAGUAAUAAAAACGCAAUUAUUAUUAUUAUUAUUUUCAAAGAUCUCGAAAACAAAAUCCUACACCAAUCGCCAUGACUUAUUUUCUUCUUCUUUCGGCAUUUUUUUAAGGAAAAAAAACUGUAAUUUGUUCAGUUUUUGGAUCUCAAAAAGCAUACGUGUUUAUGUGUGUGUCCUUCUGUCUCUCUUUAGUUGAACUAGGGUUUGGUCUCAGAUUCUAUCUCUAAAUUUAGCAAAAUGGCGCCACUUUUAUCUGAGAGCUGUCCCUCUCUUCCCUUAAACAACCUCUAAAUAUAGAAACUUUUGCCUUCGCUUUUUGUUGUGGGUGCGUUUGAUUACAUGCUGGUUUAUUCCCUGCUCAUCAAAACUUACAAAGUCAAUAUACAAACUCGAGAGCUUUUUAUUUCAUAUAGUUAUUCUUUUUCAGGAAGAUCACAGCAGUAACAGCUAGCAAGCAAGGGCAAAGAGAUGGCGAGAGAAAAGAUUCAGAUCAAGAAAAUUGACAACGCAACGGCGAGGCAAGUCACUUUCUCUAAGAGACGAAGAGGGAUUUUCAAGAAAGCUGAAGAGCUUUCUGUUCUUUGCGAUGCCGAUGUUGCUCUGAUCAUCUUCUCCGCCACAGGCAAGCUCUUCGAAUAUUCCAGCUCAAGGUCUCUCUCUCUUUCUCUACCUAUCCAUUUCUUUAUCAUCUUCAUAAUAUUAUUAUAGUUCCCGUUAAGAUCACUGAUAGGAAGAGGAAAGAUUUGAAGAGAAGAGACGCACCAUAGUGGUCUCACUAGAAGUUGAUGCUUAAUCGAAUUUAUUUGUAAGUUAUAAAAUAUUGAUGAAAUAUUAAUAAGGACAUCUGCAAGUUUAUAUGUAUGAGUUUGGCAGACAGUGUUGGAUUUCUAGCUAAAUGAAGUUUAAAAAGUAAUAUAUUCUUUAUUAGAUCAACUUUGUUUCUGUGUAGUUUCUUCUGUAUUCUCCAUUUUGGUACUGUAUGUUAUAUUAUUAUUUUAUUGAUUAUAUAAUAGUUUUUCACAAGUUUCCUUGAUGUGAGUGUGAAUUUGUUUCAUGGAAGAUUGCUAAGAAUAUGGUUUACUUGAAUAUUGGUUUGUAUUUUCUCUUCCUCUUGUUAUCUCUGUAAAUUACUCUUUUUUUUUUUCACUUGUUAUUAAGUUUAUUGUGAGUUGCAGUUAUGGUCUCAUGUGUAAUCUACGUUAGUACAGUGAGGAAUAAGGUAUUUGAGGACUUAGAUUCCAUCUUCUUCUUUCUGAUAAGAAAUUAAUUCUUCAUCAAUAUCUUUUGAGUAUAACACAUUGCACAUGGUUAGAUAACAAAAAUAUGUUUGGAUAACCAUUGCUAUGGAUUAUGCCCAGUUGAUACUAGAGAAAACGAAAUUAAACUAAAAUCUGAAGCCUUAUCACCAGCAAUAAGGUCACGAGUCUCAUAGGAAAUUGCUCUUUCUUGCUUCUUUUUCGAAACAGCCAUAUCAAUCAUCAGCAUUUGCAGUUAAAGACACAGCUUUAGUAACUUGCUUUUUGUUGAUUGUUUAUCUUCCCUAUCUUGUUCUCUUUUGGCUUUAUUUUCUUUUUCUUGUGGUCCAAGCAGCUAAAGUAGAAAAUAAUGAUUAAUGAAUUGAAUGUGUGGAAAGUUUCCCUUCAUUUAGGGAUUGACACCUAGCAACUUGCAGGCAAAUGGAUUCUCAGUGCUUGAGGAAGUUAUACUGCUGAUUAUCAUGACCAGCAAAGCAUAAUUGUGACAAAAUAGUACUGGAAUGUCCAAUUUUGAGUCCCGAAACGUUUUCUUUUUGUGAUUACCAAGCAACAUAUUAUAAUGUUUUUGUUAUUUCAAAUUGUUGCUUUCUGAGAAUGACCGAUCAUGUGAUCAGCCAUGUCAUGGUUAUUGAAAAUUUUGGUUAAUAUGCAACCAAUAUCCAAUAGGACCGGAGGGGGAAAAAAUAUUCUUUCAGCUCUUGCUUGUUAUCGUUAAGAAAUUCUUCUAAUAGUGGGCUGUUAAUGGUUUCACAAUCCUUAAAUGUGAUGGAGACCUUAGAUUCUCUCUUGCGUUAGUCUAAAAUGUCAUGAAUUGUUAACAGGGUGAUUCAUCUCCCAAUUCCCAAAUCAAGCUUGAAGAGAGAUUUAAAUUUAAUAUUGUGUUUAAUAAGUGGUUUGGGAUAAAGGAUUUGAUUUUGAAAAUUCAAUUUAUUUUAUCUAUCUUGCCGUAAUGCCAUCUACAAUUGCUUCACACUCACUGUAAGUUGACUUAUUUAAACUUUAUACCUUUAACUUCUGGAGGUAUUUACUACGCUAGUUGGUUUAAAUUGAUUAACAAUAUUUGAACGGUUGAUAUUUGAUAACUUCAUAGAAGCAUGUAAGUAGUAGAAGAUGAAACUUCAGAGUUCUUAACUGGAGCUGCAGAUUGUUAUUUGCAAGGAACAUGUUGGCCCUUUUACGUGAAGUGGUAGAAUAAAAAGAUGAGUAAAUUGCUUUAAAAGUGCCUGAGAGGGAAUAUGGUGUAGUUAAUGAAAGGGAAUCAAAAUGGGAAACAAGAAUAGAGCUCAUCAUACUGGUUGGCAGUAAAAAACGAGAAAUGGUGCUACCAGAUACAUUGAAAUCAUGUUGCCAUAGUUUAGAUUUUAAGAUUAGUUAUACUGAGAUUGUAUAUCUGGUUGUGAUGAAAGUUUGUAUGGAAAACACAUUGGCUUGCUGAGGUCCGGAAUAAAGUAAAGAAAACCAAGGUCUAAUAUUAGAUUCUUCUCAUAACUAAUAGGAAUGUGCUCAUAAAUUGUAUCUAUUGACAGAUUGGUAUUCUUAGAGGAUUUUAUUACUUAAAUCCAUAGUCAGGAAUUAAACCUCUUAGAAUUGUGGGUUCCUUUUGAACUUGCACGCCUUAAUGAAUUGGCUAACUAAUUUGCUUUUGUAUAAUCACUGCAUUUCCUUUAUUGUCCAGAAUACAUGUGGAAUAUGCGUGAAAACUUGAUAGCUUUUAAGCAGAAGGGUUGCGUGUCUGUUGAGUGUUGAUGUUAACUCUAUCAUGUAUUUUAUGGAAAUCAAUCCUUUGUCUUAUCUAAAUUAAUAUAAAGAUGAGAAACUGAUGAUACUGGUGAAUAUACAUACAUAUAUAUAUAUAUCAUACGUUCAUUCUAUUCUUGACAAAUACUGAAGAAAUGUCAAAUAAUAGUGGCCUUACAAAUUUAAGAAUAUACUUCACUAAAUAGAAAGAGUCUGUAAUCUGAUCAAAUUAUUUCCAUCAUUUUCUCUUAGAGCAAGUCUGUCUUCAGGCCUCCAUCUUUGACGCCAUUAUUUUUAUUGGGGUGGGAAUAUUGUUAAAAUAUUGCCAAUUUAUUUGAAUUUGCCAUGUAUAAUAUUCAAGCUUUAGGGUGGUCCUGCCUAGUUCUUUUCCCAUUUAUUUGCGCAUACUUUAUUAGAAGUUUUUUUUUUUCUUUUCAUUUGCAUUAUUGUGAGGUUUUAAAAAUUAGCCUAUAAAGUGAAGCAAAAUAAUAAUAAUAACUGCUGUACCGUACAUCCGCCUUGGCCGUACAGCAGGUAAUCCUUAACAGCAAAAAAGAAACUAGCGCAAACUCACCUCAAACCAAAAACAAAAUUACGAAAAAAUAAAGGUCUCAAUUGAAAUUUCACCACAUUUACAUCAUUUAGUACUACUUCUAUAGAAUUUCAUUUCAAGCUGUGAUUUUUGUUGAAACAUCUUAUUUUCAUUCAUAAUGAUGCUUUUUAGAAUUUAUAAACCAAAAUAAGACGGUUGGUAGUUUUGUUUUGGUAGACACAAGUGACUUUAAGUUACUUUUGUUUUCUGAAGCAUGAAGGAAAUCUUAGAAAAGCACCGUGUGCACUCAAAGAACCUUGAGAGGGUGGAUCAACCAUCUGUUGAGUUGCAGGUUAGUGGCCUUGGUUUCGCAUAUUUUUAAUGUUUUCAUCAUUUUUUCCCGUGCAUCUAUAAUUAUGUUGACAGUAAUUUUGUAUGACAGCUUCCAUAAAAAAAAUUAUGAUUAAAGUACUUUAGAUGCAUUAUAUCGAAGUCUUGAUGGCACAGACAAACCCUAAUCAACUAACAACUUCUGGAAGUGAUCCUUCUUUGGGCUUAGUUCUUUUUCUCCCUUGCUUUUCUUGUUCUUCUGUAUUUUCUUCUUGUUGAAAAAUCCAUAUUUCUAUAAAUCUUUGAUGAAAAUGCGUGUUCUUUUCAACUUAUGUCUUUUUUAUUUGCUCGUGCUCUUACAAUUUGUUUUGGCCAUAGAAAAUUUGCAAGUUCUGUAUUAUCAUACUGUAGCAUUAGGGUUGGUAACGGGAUAGGACGGGUUGAGAUUUGUCGAUCGUGAUCUUGUUCCAAACAGUAAAUUAGGACAAAAAAAUAUCUCGAUUUCGUCUUGAUCGGGAUCUCGAAUUUUCCUUAGCAUGAGUUUUCUGACAUAAGUUGCAGAUUUUGUCAUAAACUACAUGUCAUAUGAUUAUAACCGACGAGUCAUUUGUAUAUUGUAUUUUAUUAACUAAAAUGACUUGUUAUACACGUUGACCGACAUGUUAUAUUUAUGUAAUUUAUUAAAAUGACUUGUUAUACAUUUUUAGAAACCCAGAUUUUAGGACAUUUGGGACCUCGAUUGAGAUUUUCAAAUGUCCCGAAUCUCGAUUUAAAUAGUAAAUCAGUGUAAAAUUUUAUCAGGAUUUGGAGAAUUUUGCCAAUCUUAAGUACCAUUAAUGUAUCUCAAAACAACCCCAUCAUUUUGAUAUUGAAUUUGCGUUAAAUCUUUGAUGACAAUGCAUGUUCUUUUCAACUUAUGUUGUUUUCAUUUGCUGACAUUCUUGCAAUUUGUUUUUGCCGUAGAAGACUUGCAAGUUUCUGGAUUAUCAUAUGGUACCAUUAAUAUAUCUCAAAACAACCCCAUCAUUUUAAUAUGAAAUUUGCAUUUAUAAUGUUCAAUGUCAGUUGUCGCACCUUAUUCUUCCUUGUUUACUAAUAUGGUAUCCAUGUUAAUUAAUGUAGCUGUUGGAGAACAACAACUACUCCAUGUUGUUCAAGGAAGCUGCUGAAAAAAGCCAUCUGCUGAGGUAUGUGUCAAUUUAAUGUUAGGCUGUUUUCUGCAUUGAUUGAUUUGUUGUAAUGUGCCCAUCGAGGUAUAAUGCCCCAUAUAAAAACAGGCAAAUGAGAGGUGAGGAGAUCCAUGGAUUAAGUUUAGAAGAAUUGCAGAAGCUUGAAAGGUCUCUUGAAGUUGGAUUGGGACGAGUGAUAGAAAAGAAGGUUUGAAGUUUGAACUAGAAAUGCAGUGUUGGUCUCUAAUUUCAUCAUUUGGUCAUGAAUCUUAAUGUAGUCAUGUUUUAUACUUUUCAGGAAGAAAAGAUUACAAAGGAGAUUAAUGAACUCCAAAGAAGGGUUAGAAAUAUUUCGUAUUUUACAAAAUUCUUUUGUUCAUUGAGCUUCUUUUGGUCAUGAUUGCUUGAACUAUUCUUUGAUUCAGAAUUGAUGAAAUAUAUAUGCAGGGAAAGUUAUUGAUGGAGGAGAAUGAGCGAUUAAGACAGCAAGUAUGCAGACACUCAUCUUCUCUUUCACUCUUAUUGUUUGUUGCAUGUUUCUACUUUUGUUAAUAAUGAGAAUUUUAACUGAAGGUGGCGGAGGUAUCAAAUGCAUACGGUGAAGAAGGCCAGUCCUCAGAGUCUGUUAAUAAUAUAUGCAAUUCAUCAAACGCUCCUCCACCUGAAUCUGAAAGCUCAGACACCUCCCUCAAGCUGGGGUGAGUGAAAUUCGCUCAUAGUUUUCUGAAAAAGUACUUGAUCAUUUGUUUCAGCUUUACUUCAAAAACUCAUCGUGCAAGUAGUUGAAAUUGUUUGUUGAGCUUAAGUUUUGCAUUUCUUUGCAGCUUACCAUAUGCUGGCUAAUAAGUAGACCCCAGGUGUUCGCUUCAUCAACUAAAGAUGAAUUUAUAUGGUCUUUUAUUUUGGUAAGUAUUAAUUGUAGUAAUGGAAUCUGAAUCUAACCUCGGCUUUACUCUGUACUCACGGUUAAUUAAAAAUAUGCACCUCAGACUAAUGCGAUGUAAUGUGACAUCUACAUUUGUUCAAGUAUGGUAUUAGUAAUGAUAAUUAAUCCCUUGAGCUUGACACUAUGUUACUGUUGAUGAUAACCUCUUUCAUUAAGUAAAAAACAGUCCGCUGACAUUGUUCAUAAAAUGAAAUCGUAAUUUUGCGUACUCAAUGAAAGACUUGAAAGUAAAUUGGAACGGUAAAAUCACAACGUGAUAUAAAAGAGAAUUUUUUUUUUUUUAUUACAUGAGACUAAUGUUUAAAUUAUAACUCAUAUUACAUUAUUACAUGAGACUAAUGUUUAAAUUAUAAAAUUUUUUUUUUUUUAUUACAUGAGACUAAUGUUUAAAUUAUAACUCAUAUUACAUGAGAUUAUAAUUAAUAUUUAUAAAUUAGACUAUUAUUGGGAUUAAUUUACAUCAAUGUUAAUAGAGUUCUACUUAGAUUUUAACCCUCACAAAUAUUCGAGGAAUGUUUAUUUUUCACUCUUGGGUAAGGAAAUAGAUUAUUUUUAUUUAAUUUUUAAUUGAGGAAGAAAAUAACUCCAUAAUGCAUUUGUGAGGGUUCGAACUACUCUGACCACACGGCUCAAGUGGCUUAAAAAGAGAGAAUAUUUUAAAUCGCUAAUAAGACGUGUCUUUUAACACUACUAGAGCGGAAGGAAAUAGCUCUUUUUUUUGUGGUUUUUGUAUUAUCAAAAUUUAAUUGAUUGAUUGAUCUCCUUUUAUUUGAAAACGCACUCACGGAGCUCACUUUCGAAUUCAAAAAUCAUUAACAGCUUUCAUUUUUUCGAAAGUAAAUAAGUUUAACGUUUAUAAAUCGUACAAGAUAACGGCACUUCCCGAGUUAUUAACGUCAGCAAGAAACAACGGACUUGUACCACUAGUAUUUUUCUGUGUUUUUCGAAAUUAUACUUUUUUUCCCCCCUUCUUUGAAGACAAUCGUUUAGUGGACUCGACUAGCUUACAGAAUCUGUAAGGUACAGACUGCAGCAUCAGCCGUUGGAUGUGGUUGGAUGUGGAGUGAGAAACUAAACAAUAGAAAAUCGGAUGGUGGGAUGACGGGAGAUGUUUGUUACAGAAUCUGUACCAUAGACAGGUCCUCGUUUAGUUGAAGGAUAUGAUUGGACAGAGUAUUUUUAAUUUGCUUUUCUUUACCUCUUAAACCCGUAUGAAUUGCACAAAGCCGUACAAGGCUUUGCUUUGCAGAGAAAAAAUUGUAGGAAGUCCACUAAAAUUGCACGUCCAAAGUUUGGAGGAAAUGGUUAGGUUAAUUAUUAUAAACAAACAAAAGUUCUAUCAAGAUCUUUGAUAGGAUACACUGAUAGACAUUGCAGUUAAAAAACCAUUUUACUCUUUUUUCGAUUUCGAAAGGGCUUUCUUCCUCUGCCCAAGCAUAUAUGUAUACAUAUGAGGACUACCUGCAUAUGAUAAUGCCAUGAAAAUCGAUUAGGAAAAAUGCAUAUCAAUGAGAGGAAAUUGACUAAAUAAAUUACACAGAAGAAGAAUGUCGAGUUCAUGCCUGGCACAUAGAAUCCAAGCACAAGAAUUGCAGCGUAGAAGUAGUCAAAAGAGAAAUUCCAUUUGUUUGGCAUUCUAAGACAAUACGUCUCGGAUUCCUGCAAAACUUGGUUUAUAAGAUCAUAUUGCAAGCAUAUGAAAAAGUGGCACAACUUUAUCAAGAUGAAAUACUUUUAUAGGAUACAUUAGCAAGAUGGGUCACUUCAAAACAGGAAAUAUAGGAUACAUUAGCAAGAUGGAAAGAUGCAUUUUUCUGUCUACCUGUUGUAGGAUUAACAAGGACAAGCAACAAAAAGCCUAAGAGAGAAGAAUUUCCAUAAAUUUCACCAUUGAAAGACAGACAUGCCAUCUAAUCAACAAUGUUUUAAGUGAAAACUCAGCUAACAACAUUUUUGCUACAUUCCACACUGAUUGAUCUAUAAUUUUUAGGAAAGCAAACAACUUCAUGGCAGUUAGACAGAGGCAAUAAGUACAUAAAGAACUAUAAUUCUGGUAUGAAAAAAAUUAGUAGAGAAGAAAUCUUUACUUUUAUGUAUGGAAGGGCAGUGUAAAUAAGACCAACUUCACUCGUAAUGCCAGAUGGAUACAACAGCAAAAAUGUGCUAUACCUGCAUAGCAUUAUUAACUAUUUAAUCACAUAAUCACAAAUGACUCAAUCACUUCCAUAGCCAUCCUGAGAACAGAAACUCAGCUUAUACCUCAGCCACAAGAGCCAUGAAGGUGCAAAACCAAGUGCCUCCUUCAUGCCAAAGAAAGAGUAGCGAAUAAUCUGAAAUUAAAAGCAAUUAAAAAUCAGUUCCCACUCUAAUCUGGUCCAUAAAACUUAACACAGAAACCAACAUGAACAAUCAUAAAAUCAACAAAUACCAAUAAACAUAGGAUCCAAUCCCCCAACGAAAACAUGUGUCGUGAAUAUUACAGUUCUGACUUUUUAUACACAACUUCGCAAAAAAGCUAAGUUGCUUCGACCGGUGGUUCUCAAUAUUACAAGUUGUUUUGAUUGAGCUGCACACAUCUUCAAUUGUCAAGCAAAUUAAGAAUAAACAUAACAUAAGAUUUUGCCUACCUGCUAAAGCGUAAAAAGUACUUCAUUAACAAAGAAAGGGCACGAUAACAAGCUUUUCUCAAAAGAAACGAUUCUCCAAAAACAGAAGAAAUAUAAAUCCAGUAUAAAAAAGAUGAAAGAGAACUUCACAUAUCAAAGAAAGUCAUAUAAAAAAUUAAAAAUAGUAUACUAUAUAAUUUAUAACACCCACAAACUUCCCAAAAAUUAUUAAGAAUUUUAGAUAUCUCACGUCAAGAAAUUUAUUGCACUGAGGAGACUCCAACAGCCAUAACAACCAAAACUAAUGGUUGAAGCAGAUUCCCUAAAGAUAAGGAUAACUGCCUGAUAACAAAUUACUCUGUUUUCUGCUUCACAUUAAAUCAAUAUAAAUAUAUUCCUUCUAAAUCCAACCAAUACAUAUAAUACAUACCCUACUUACAUGAACGGUAAAAUUUUCAAAGAUUUGGUGUUCAUGCAGUGGGUAGCUAGUAAUUAAAUGUCCAACAAGGAAAAGUACAUAAAUCAACGGGUAAACAGAUUAAAAUGACAAAUUGAGAAUCACUAACCUCAGUUAAGGACCAGCUGAUCACCAAUGAACUAACAAGUAUAUGAUUCUGAGUCUGCCAAACCAAAAGAUUGAUCAUUUAAUUAGUUAAUUUAACUGUUUCGAUCAUUUUUAGUAAAAUAAAAUUUCAUAACAUAAUAAAAGCUUAUACAAUUUAAAAUAAACCUGAGGAAAACUCCAUAAAAUGCCCCAUGUAACAUACAAUCUAGAGCUAAUUUGUGGCAGUGUAGCUGUUAUUGGAGAUCUCACCAAGCCUUUGCAAUAAACAAAAGAAGAAUGCCAAAUUUAAAAUUGAGUUAUUAUGUUUGGAAAAAACAAAUUAAUGGCAGGUAAAUAAUAAAUAAUUAAUAAACCACAUCAGUGGUAAUUGGUUUAGAGAAAAAGGGAAGUGGAGAGAGAACAGACCUAGAAGACCAUGAAGAAUCUCCAAAACGGCGGCGGUUUGGGCGAGCUGGAGAGGCCUUUCGACGGCUUUGUAGACAUUUUCGUGGCCGGACUCGUUUAAAGUCUUCAAAGCAAGGUACAAAACCUGGGCCCUGUUAAGUGCAAAACUAAUUUAUUAGUGAAACAACAAAACGCGGAUGCGUGAAACGUAAAACGCAAAGAGGGAGGGAACUUGCCAUCCGGCAAAGACGGUCCAGUUGUAGGCAGUGAGGUACAGGCGUCUGAGAAGCGACAAACAACCCGCCAUCUGUUUUGUAUUGAAAAUUGAAAGAUUGUAAACUGGGAAGCAAUUAAAAGAGAAAAUUUAGACCAUUUAAAACGACAGCAAUUAAGGGAGAUGGGGAUGGGUGCGAAGUGAGAAGAGACAGGUAAGCUGCUCAACCACUUUCGAUCUAACCGCCUAAUUUAUUUAAUUUAUUUACUACUUGAUCAGCAGUAGCCAUUCCCAUUUCCAUGUGCCGAUCAGCUAUCAGACUCAUCAGUAAUUGCCAACAUUUAUUGAUUAAUUUUUCAACAAAUGAUUCCAUAGGUAUUAAAGGGAGUGAUAAGUUCAAAAAAAUAUUUAUAUGUGUUUUAGCAUAUUAUAGAAUAAAAUAUAUUAUAUUUAAAAAUAUGUUUUAGUUGCCUUUUAGUUUAUUAUGUAUUUUAAUAACUUAAAACGAUCUAUUAUUAGAUAUUACAAAAAGAAUCUUUUAUUAGAUAAUAACUCUUAUUUAUUAUAUUAGAAAUAUUAUUUUUUAACUACUUUAAAAAUAUUAAAAGUGUACGAAGACACUCUAAAUUCGAAUCAUCCUAAGUUUUAGUUUUAUAUCACACUUUUCUAUCAACUUUAUUAGCUAAUGUUAAAAAAUAUAAGAUAAAAGAUUAUUUUGUCCUUAGAAUCUAUCAAAAUAUUGCUCUACCUUUUGGAUGAAUCUAAAGGUAAUUUAGUCUUUUAUCUUAAAUUAUUUAAUGGUGUCUAAUGGAGUUAAGAGAGUAAGUAGUUGGUUCAUAUAAAACUAAAAAUUGAGAUGAUUCUAAGACAUAAUUAUAAACUCCUGACAAUUAUUUAUACUUUUGAUAUAUAGUUGUGGAUAAUUUUCUAAUAUCUUAUUAUUACUUACUGUACACACGCACACCCUGUUUUAAUAACCUCACAGUGAGUAAAUAAAAGUGGGCCAAAAUAACAUUAACGGUGGUACCAUGGUAGCCAUAAUAGGUGAGUGUUUAGGGGAAAAUCUAAUUGCUGACAUGGGCUAAUAGCUUAAUGACAUGUGGUAAAAAAAGUCAAGUAACGUAUGGAUAACUCACAUAGAUUAUAAGAUAAGCUCCCUCAUAAAAAAAGACAGUUUCGAUAAAUAUGCCCCAACAUUUGAUUGUUAGAUCCAACAUAUGAACAAUAUCAACAUGUGAACAAUAUAUAAUUAUAUAUCAUCAUGAAAACGAGUAAAAUAUCCCUUUUUUUGAGAUAAAAAGUAGGAGCCAAUAGGAAUAAAGAUUCUUUAAGCGAAGUUGCAAAGUAAUAAGAGAGGCUCACGUCAGUUGUCCUUUACUGCUCUGUAAAAAGUAGCAGGAUCACACUACUGAGAGCCUAUCACAUGCCCAACUAUAGAAGCAAAAGGAGAUCGGAGGUUUUCUUACCUCCAAAGCUUAUGGAUGUCACUAUUAAAAGAUCCCAAAAAACUAAAAUAACUUCACCUAAGGACGUCUGCCAAUAAAUAAACACCAUAUGUCCAAAUAGACAAAAUAACCUUAAGACACGCUCUAAUAUAAAGCUCAAGGUUUAUUUGAAAAGAUAACUUCUUCCUCGUCUAAAAAUAGAUUCAUCUUUUUCAACAUAAAAGCAAGAACGUUAUUAUUAAAGUUUCAAGGUUCUUUGGAACUUGAGAUCACAACUUUAUUGUAUAAAAUCUUACUUGAGAUACAGAGUAUAGUUGUCGGGCACCAUCGACUUCACCUCUAACCUCAGUUUACUUAAUUUUGCAGACUACUAAAGAUCAAAGGCCUUUCGAAACAUUCUUUUCACUGAAUUGUUUUCCCAAAGCAUCUCAUUAUUAUAGAGUAGUAUAUUAGGGCGUGGGUUAUUGCAAAUACACAAAGAGUGGAGCCUUUAGCACCCACAAAAAAUUCUUACAACACCCCUUUUUUAUUUUAUUCUUUUAAAUAUCCCAACUUAAUUUAUAAAAUACUAACUCAUAAAUUAAAAUUAAUUAUUUUGUCAUUAAAUUUCUUUCCAAAAUAUUAAAAUAAUUUUCUUCUUGUUAUUUAUAAAUGCAUACAAAUCUUAAAAUAUUAAAUAAUUUUCUUCUUGUUAUAUAAUUUUAUAUCUCCAUAAUUCUUAAUUCUUAAAAUUUUAUUAAAAAAAUACUUUCAAUUAAAAUCUAAAAUAUAAAUAUAAAUUAUGAAAUGGGGUGGGUAUAAGAAAUUGUUAAAAGAAUAUUUUAAUUAAUUAUUUAAUUAAAUUUUCGUUUAAAGUAAAAAAGAGUAUAUUUAUAUUUUUUUAUUUAAAUAAUUCAAAUUAAAAAAGAAUUUUAUAAGAAAUUUAGUACCUAUUGAGUAUGUCUUAUCUAAUGACAAUAAAUACUUAUUUAAUUUCAUAAACUCUUUUCAAAAUUUUUUGUUGUUUUUAUAGUAGAGCUUUUGCAGAUAAAGGAAGCUAUUUUGCCUCUACUAAUAAAAAUUCAAAUUUCGGGAUUUUAGAAGUAGAGGUUGAAUAUUUAAAAUAUUAAAAUAUUUAAAAUAUUAUUUACUUAUUUGACAAUUUUAUUUUAUUCUUUUUAUAAUAUUAGCCCAACAAGAACUCUUGGUGGGCCUAAAUGGUUUAUCUAGUUCUUGUUUAACCCAGUUUUAAGUGAGCCUAUCAUUUCGGACAGGUUGACGUUUUCCCCUACUCUGUGGCCCAUCGGUUUGCUUUUCAUGAGUUUCUGAAGAAAAAAUCUAGACAAGGAAUCAAAUUUAUAAUCAGUUUUGCUAUAACUUCUUUUUAUUAUUAUUAUUAUUAUUAUUAUUCUUUUAAUAUUAUAUCUACAAAUGGAUUAGGAGCCAUCCGAAAAUAUGAAUCCAAAAUUAAUCAACGUAUGUGUGUGGGUCUCUCUCUCUCUCUUUAUAUCUAUAUAUAUUUUCCGAAUGGAUAAUCAACUGAUAGCAAACUUUCUAAAUAUGGAAAAAAAAUUCUUAUCCAUCAAUGCAAAUAUUGUUUUUGAAUGGUUUAGUUAUUUCUAUUUGUAUAUCUCAUUAUUAUUUUUUCAAUUGGAUUAUUACCUCUGACUUCAACUCAACCUAUUAAGGGUGUGUUUGGAAGUGAUGUGCUGUAACUUUUAAGCUGCAACUGCUGUGGAAUAAAAUCUAUAGCUCUGGAGUAGAGGUUGGAAAAAAAAAAUGCUAAGCUAACAAAGCCUAACUAAAAGUGUUAUCAAACACCUUAAUAGUUGGGUUUUGGCAGCCCAACUACCUCACCACACUCUCAAACAGACUCUAAAUCAAUACAAGAAAUAUUUAGAUUAAUUGCAUGUCAAACAAACUUUAAAAAAUUUAGAAAAUGAAGAGAACAGAGUUUCACCUAAAUCAGCCCGAAGAGGAAAAAAAAAGCAUAAAAUUUUUGAAUAAGAAUAUUUAUCCAUAAAUGGCCACGGAUUUGUUUAACUAACAUCAUUUAUCCAUAAACCAACAAGAAGAUGCCGACGCACGUGACCAAUAUAGAAUCAGAAAACAUGACGUGCCGUGAAGACAAAUGCAAAGGCACUUGCUUUUUCGUUGAUCAAUUAUCGAGCAAAUAAUGAAAUUAUCUCCAUUAUAAGCAUCACAAUGUCUCAAUCAAUUUCUUUUUUUUUUUUUUUUUUUUGGGAUAAGAUGUCUCAAGCAAUUUUGAUUUCAGUAUUCAUCACAAAGUUAGAAGCAUUUAAAAAAGAGGAAAAGAAAAAAAAAAAAAGAUAUUUCUUCUUUUUGGUGUCACGCAAUUACUGUUUUGCAGGAAUCAUGCAUCAACAUCUUUAUCCCUCGAGCAAAGCAGAUUCUUCAAUGCUAUUUUUCGGUUUCAAUCGAGGGCCCACAAAAUACUUGCAACAACAUCACCACCAUUCUCAUAUAAUUUUUCGAGGUGUCGGUGCAGGACCAAAGUGAAAAAAGUAUGAACUUUAUCGAAAAAAGUAACACAGAACCCAAACAGUCCAAUUCCGUUCCCUCAACGGCUUGACAUUAAAAGCUGAAACCAGCCACUGGGUUAAAGCUAAUGAUUAUAAUCCAAGCCCCUACAAAUAUAUUGUGAAUUUUUUUUCUUAAUUUAAGUAGAGAUAAUUUUUUUUUAAAAAAAAAUAAGUGGAAUAAAUUUUUCUCAAAUAUUAAAAAGGGUUAAAUAUUUUUUUAAAAAAUAUAAGUAGAAUAAAAUUUCCUUCAAUACUAGAUUGGAUUAAAAUCUGAGGUAAGCAUUAGGUUCACUAACUAAAAAAAACAUUAAGCUGAAACCUGGAAAAUAGGCAAAUACAAAGAAAAAAAAAUUGAUAAAACUGUAGUAAGUGACCCCAAGUUUAACGGUACAAAAUCUUUAAACUUAGUUUGUCCCACUUGGGUCCCAUGAAAAUGACGGAAACCAAAGUCGAGGUUCACAGGUGUCCAUAUGAAGAUGCCUUAGAGCAUUGACAGAAAGAUAGAUGGAGGGAGUGAUGAUACAUGUGAUAAUGGCCGCUGCUUUUUGCUGUUGCCAUUGAUUGUCUUUUUUUUUUUUUUUUUCUUAUUUCUUGGUUAUUGGUUUGGUUUUCGCUAUCACUCAUAUAUAGGGCGACGAAGUUAUUUUGAUCUGGGAGGCCUUGAGCUUUCAGAAAAUGAAGUUUCAGUACAAGAGUAAUGAUUACCACCAGCCUCAAAGAAAUGGAGCUCUUGCUGGGCUGUUGGUGCUUCUUUUUCCAGUUUUAUUGCCUAGUUUGUUCAGCCCAUUAAGCCAUGCCUCGCCUUCUAUGUUCUCGGUAUGUUCAUUCUUUCAAAAUUAUUGUUAUUUUUUUCAUGAGAAAUUUUUUUUUCUUUUUUUCAUCAUUAUUUGAAUGUUCCCGAUCAAGGUUUUAUUUCAUUUUAUUUUUUCUUUUUUGUUCUCCCGUUGUUGGAGUUUCGGAAAUAAUGUUCCUAUUGAUGUUUGCGUCUUUAUUGCAAGAUUACAGUCUAAUUAGUUUCUAGUGAAGUGAUACGAGGAAAAAAUGGAGGAGUAGUGAAAGUUACUAAAAAUAAGCAAAUGUCAAGACAAAUGGCGGGGGAAUUGGUGCAUUUUUGUAGUUAAAUUUCAAAUUAGUCAGAAAAUGUGGCGAGUUAAGUUUUGGUGAUUAUUAUGUCUGCUGUGAAUCUGGUUCAUGUGGGGGAUUUAUGAGUUGUAUGCUUGACUCAGAGCUCUUAAUACUAUUCUCUAUGAAGUGGUGCUUGGCAUGUGUGGCUCAAUGUUAUCUGGAAGACUGCCUAAGUGACCUUAGCUGGAGGAAUUUUUUUUUUUUUUUCCAAACCCUGUAGUUGCCGUAGAUUUAUUCUCCAUAUCUGGAAACUAAGAUGAUAAGAAGUGACUGCUGUUAGCUUAAAUGGUCGGUGAUGCAACCUUAUUUGUCAUCAAAUUGAUUAAUUAUGUGAAUACCAAAUUAGGCGCUUGUUUAUUGUUAGGUCCAGUCUCAGCUUACUGAGAUCAAGAUGACCAAGAUAGCAAUAAUGACACCCAUUACUUCAUCACUUUGGAAACUGUUUUCCCUCAGAAAAUCCUGUAGGCAUCUGGAUUCUGGAACUCCCUCGAUAACACUGAGUUAUAUUGGUCCCUGUCCUCAUGGGAUGGAAAAGACAAUAAGGUCAUUUGGGUAAAACUCAGCAUUGAUUGAAAACAAUUGCUUCUUAUUCCUUGUAAAACAUCUUUGCAUAUAGACCUUAAUAAGGUAAAUCUGUUGUGGGAUAUUGAUAGCUUAUUAUGCGUAAAGCUAUAUGCACAUUCCCAUGGAUUGCUUUCCAUUCACUUAAGUCACAUGCCACUUUUAGACUGAGAUGAGUUCAUAUGCAGCAAUACAUGCUUACGGAUAUGCUGUAUUUAAUCUGGUACAGUGAGUGUAUAAUCGAACCUUUGUGGAAAGUACUUUUAUUUAGUUAUUGAUUUGUUUACUGCAGGAAUGGAAUGGUCCAAAACCUAGGCACCUGCCUCUGCUCAAGAGUGCUUUGCAACACCAGAAAGUGAGUAUCGUUAUAUUGAGCAGAUGUGCCUCAAACUUUUGUAUGCAAAUGUUGUAUAUUUUGUCUUUCUAUACUGUUGACUUCUUCAUGCUAUGCUAGUUUAAGGGUUUUGUUUAUGAAUAAAUCAGAACUUAUUGUAGACAGCUAUAAACAUGGACAAAGAUAACUUGCAUGAUGGUAACAAUGGCAGUCAACAUUGAAUCACACUGGAAGCUAGUUUUCCUUCUCAAAACCAAUUGACGUCUGGGAGUCUCUGCAUAUAAGUGGGUUAGAUUGAAGGUGGAACCUUGCUUCGUGGGUGCAAAACAAGGCAAGGUUAUAUGGGGUAGUAUUUUUGCUCUUAAAAUUUGCAAUAUGAACAUUUCACUUCAUACUUGUUGGAAAUCAUAUGGACAUACAGAAGUUCACAUGCUUGUACUUUUUGCUGGUAAUGCUAUUUGGAUAACCUCCAAAGUAGAACGCAAUGUUUGAGAUGGGGAAAUUGGUAUGCAUCGGAAAGUACCUGUAAUCAUGCUAUAAUUUGUGCUUUUCGUUGUUUUUCUUUGUUAUGCAGGAACCAAAUGCUCCUAAGCCUAGGCACUUACCUCUGUUCAAGAGUGCUUUACAGCGCCCAAGUGUAAGCAGCAAUCUGUCACUACAAUCCAUGUUUUCUUUGUAACUUUCUGUUUCGCAAGUUGUAAAACCCCAGUUUGAUUUCCUUUGUAUUUUAUUCAGGCAAAUGCCAAGCAGUCUGAUCUCUGGCUACCUUUGGCCAACCAAGGAUGGAGAUCAUGUGCUCAAUCUGCAAAUAAUCCUUGUAAGUGCAAGAAAUAAUAUUACGCAUAAGUUGUUUCUUCUGUAAUUUUCAAUAGAUGCCAUGCAGAGUAUGGAACUUAAAAGUUUCUAUUUUCUCUUGCUUAAGUAUCUUCUACCUUCUUACUUUUCUCCCAAGGUUAUUCUUGUUCAUGCUUCUAAUUUUUGUUGGAUGGACUCAUCCAUUGUUUGAAGCAGCAUUACCUCAGAAAUCUCAAGGAUACAUUCAGGUAUUUCUUGAUGGAGGGUUAAACCAGCAGAGAAUGGGGGUAGGUACUUUAAGAUUAUAGUUUAAAAUUUGCCUAAAUAUCUAGUGGUGCCAAGAUGCUAGAUCAUGAAAUUUCUACUAUUCUUUUUGAACAAAUUUUGCCGUCACUCAAACGCUGAUUCUUCUUUUCUUCAUAACAAGUGAUGAUUUUCAAGUUCUUUUCUUUGUAGAUAUGUGAUGCAGUUGCUGUUACAAAAAUUCUGAAUGCAACACUUGUGAUCCCAUAUCUUGAAGUAAAUCCUGUUUGGCAGGAUUCAAGGUAAUUCUUUGCAGAAGUAACCUUUACCUUCUUUUUUCUUAUCUAUUUGUGUAUAAAUCUCCUUGGAUCUUGAGGAAGAGAUUUUUCUGAUGUUCCUUUAUUUUCCCUUGCAGUUCCUUCAUGGAUAUAUAUGAUGUCGAUCACUUUAUUAAUGUAUUAAAAGAUGAUAUUUCUAUUGUCAAAGAACUUCCUAAUGAGUUUUCUUGGAGCACAAGGGAGUAUUAUGCCACUGCUAUUCGUGCCACCAGAAUCAAGACAGCACCAGUUCAUGCUUCAGCUAACUGGUACCUAGAGAAUGUCUUGCCUGUACUCCAGAGGUUGGUUACCUGAAACUGUUGAUUUCAAUAUGGAGUAAUUGCAGUACCAAGUUCUCUACUGAUCCUUUCUGUUUGCCUUACAUUUAUUUCAAGAUUUAAAAAAUGUACUAGUUCUGAUAAUUCUUCUUUUGGAUAGUUAAAUUAAGCUGAGCAUUAUGGGGUUGAAACCAUAUUUGAAAGAUUUGAUAUUCGCAUUACUUUAGUUCCAUAAUGCUAAACCUUUUCAAUUUUUGAGAUGAGCUUAGUUCUGGGGUUAUUUUGAAAUUUAGCUGGUUAGCUUAAGAAUUCCUGAUAUUUUAAUUACUUUUACAUGGUCCAGUUAUGGGGUUGCUGCAAUUUCCCCAUUCUCUCACCGUCUGACGUUUGACAACUUGCCGAUGGACAUUCAACGGUUACGUUGUAAAGCAAACUUCCAAGCAUUGAUUUUUGUACCUCAUAUCAGAGCACUUGGAGAUGCCCUUGUCAGUCGCCUAAGGUAUCCUUCAAUAAAAAAUAGAGGACUUGAUGGUGUCCACCUGGAGGAAACCGCUUAUACAAAUAAAAUACAAGAGCCGCUGAAAUUUGUUGUGCUACACCUUCGGUUUGAUAAGGUAUGACCCAAAGCUAUUAGUGUUUCAGAGAAUCCAAUUCUUGUUGGUUUGGGUUGGGUUAAAUUUGAGGUGUUUUACCAUGUAGUAUUUAAGCUCAUUAAAAGUCAGAAAAACCAGUGAUUCAGAUUCUUUAGAAAAUGCUUCUUUUAAGUUUUAAUUUUGCAUCUUUGCUUUGUGCUCGAUUCAAGAAUCGGAGUGCUGAAAACUCAGGGAUGGAAGUUUGACAUCGAUUAUAAAUUUAUUUGCUUACAUUGUAACGUUAUCUGUCCUUAAAAUAGUUUUUGGGCCUGCCUAGUUCUUUAGAUAAUUGUUAGAGUCCAUUCCAAGUAAUGAAUUGUUCUCUUCAUAUAUAUGACAUCCAUCAGACUAAGUGGAUGUAAUUGAUUAUUCUCAUGGAGAAAAAAAUUCACUUAAUGUAAUUGGCUAACAUGUAAUUCGCUCAUCAGGUUGUAAGAUAUAUCUGACCCUAUGCUCUUUACAUGUGAUUAUGCAGGACAUGGCGGCUCAUUCUGCUUGUGAUUUUGGUGGGGGCAAAGCUGAAAAACUAGCUCUGGCCAAGUACCGGCAAAUGAUUUGGCAGGGAAGGGUUUUGAAUUCCCAGUUCACUGACGAAGAGCUGAGGAGUCAGGGGCGUUGCCCAUUGACCCCAGAAGAGAUUGGUUUGCUACUUGCAGCAUUGGGGUUUGACAAGAGUACUCGUCUUUAUCUUGCCUCCCACAAGGUCAAUUUCCUAUUAACAUCGGCUGUUAGAGAAGUGUUUUGCUUCCAAGAUUUGAUUCAUUAAGAUCACUAUUUUCAGGUAUAUGGUGGAGAAGCUAGGAUUUCUGCUUUACGAAGAUUGUUUCCACUAAUGGAAGAUAAAAAGAGCCUUGCUUCUUCUGAAGAAAGAGCAGGGGUUAAGGGAAAGGCUUCAUUGUUAGCUGCACUGGAUUACUAUGUUAGCAUGCACAGCAACAUUUUCAUCUCUGCUUCCCCAGGAAAUAUGCACAAUGCAUUGGUGAGUAAUAUUUCCAAUUUUUAAGAGAACUUUUUAAUGCAUCUUAAUUUGGCAUCACAAAAUCAAAUGCUAUGUUCAGUCUGGGAAAAGCUGUGCUUUGCUCUGCAAAUAUAUUGUGGUUAUUGCCCAUCCAAAUCCAUUCAGGUUAAAGAAAAUAACUUUGAAUACUGUAUUUUAUAAUGAGCCAAAGCAAUGGUUGAUUUUUGAUGCAGCUCAAGUGAAAAAUUGGGAUUUAGUCAUUAAUUAGUGGUGACAGAGAUGGGAAAUGUGAAGUUAGAACUUUUGAGAAUCAUUAACCAUAUAUUUAUACUUCGAAUUAUUGUUAACUAUAUUUGGAAUAAUAUUUAAUGAUUCUUAUGCUUUUUAAGGACUAUUAUCUGAUGUCAAACUUGUAUGUGAAAACUAGGCUGCAUAAGCCCAAAUUAUUAUUAAAAGGACUUUGUUAUUGCCUAAAUCAAAAUUCAUUUAAAAAAUAAUAAGAAAUAUUUUUAAUAGUAAAUGUAAUACAUUCAUAAACUGUAGUUUGCUUAGGAUUCCCCAGAGAAAUAAAAUGAAUUUGUGAUGAUAACAGAUGGGACACCGAACUUAUGAGAACUUGAAGACUAUAAAGCCGAACAUGGCAUUGCUGGGCCAACUCUUCUUGAACAAAAGCCUUAGUUGGUCAGAGUUUCAGCAGGCGGUGGUUGAAGGACACGAAAACAGACAAGGGCAGAUUAGAAUAAGAAAACCAAAACAGUCUAUAUACACGUAUCCUGCUCCUGACUGCAUGUGUCACGGUUAAGGUGCUGAGGGAUAAGAGUGGCUUUUUUUAUGAGCCUAUUUAGUUCCACAUUUAUUUAUGACUUUCAGUAUUGGUACUAUAAAUAAGCAGUCAUGCAACUUUACCUAUUAUUAGUACAAUCUUGUAUGUAAUUGCUCGUGAAGUGUAUUGGAGGUGGAAAAUAAUUCAGGGACAGGCUUGGUUCCGUAAACAUCUUCUGGGUCUUUUAGAGGUUAUUGAGCUGCUUUUGCCGAACAGACCUACAUUGUAAUGUAUCAUUCAAUAUUACACGUCUUUUUUUCAUCUCUCGCUGUUUGUAAAGCUCAACACACAAUCUGUCCUUUUUGUGUUAAAAGUAAUUUACAAGAAACUGCUCAUGCUCUGGUGAAAAAGGUGCCAUAAGAAUAGAUACUGAAAGCUGACUAUUGCUAUAAAGUCAUAACAGAAGAACCUCUCAAUAAAGAAUUGCUACCACUACAGUGUUGAUGGUAGUAUCUCGUGAAUUCCUAUUUUGUCAGGAUACUACAGUAAUCCAUUAAAUCAUGUCAAGCUAAGUCUCUGAUCUUCUGUAGAAACAAACAAAAAUGAUUAAGUAUGAUGCUGUGUAAAACUGUGUAUUUCUGCAAUUUCUCAAAUCAUUUAACUGUACGAGGACUGCAGUCAGUGGCCUAAGGCCACACAUUUAUAAAUGUGAUAAAUGAUACAGUUGAACAGCUGAAAAAUUGUGUAAUCUGUUGUCUCGCCAGUACUUUGCAAUUUCUUGACAGAAGAAUCUGAUGGCACCAAUCACUAAGAUAACAGUGAGAACAUGUACAAUGUAUGACGCAUCUUCAAAAACCAGAGCCCCAGUUCAAUUUUCUGGACAGAGGUUAGCAAUUCACAGGUGCAAGUAGAAUAGUACAUCAGCUACCCUAAUUACUCUCACUAACACCAGAUGUUGCACUGCGUGUUGAUGGAAUCUGGCCGUCUUUCUUUUCCUUUUCAGCAGUUGAAGAUACAUUCCCAUUUCGGUUUGCAGUAGUCAGUUCCUUCACCACUGGUUGAGAGGAAGGCAUUCCUUCCUCAAUAGGAAGCGUUCUCUUUGAGCCCUCCAACGCGACACCAAGAACUAUAUUUUCUUCCAAGGCAGGCCUUGAUACUGGUGGUUGUGUUGAAGGCAACUUGUUGCUUUCCUGUUUUGAUUCCUGUAAUCCGCCUGCUUUGUCAGAGCCACCUGAUGAGGAAAUGGAAGGAUUAUCAAUCUUGCUGUUCUGCGUUGCGUUUCCC